Molecule: long non-coding RNA, 254377 nt
Filed under: Citrus x clementina
Lineage: Eukaryota; Viridiplantae; Streptophyta; Magnoliopsida; Sapindales; Rutaceae
Description: Citrus clementina (C. clementina) long non-coding RNA (CCLE_LNC004035)
Rfam family: Plant small nucleolar RNA R71 (bases 189024-189130)
Source: RNAcentral
UGUUUAAAAUGAGUAAUUUGAGGAUGUUGGAAUUAUGAUUAGGACUUGAUUAUAUCUUAUGAGAGUUAUAUUAAUGAUUUUUAGUUCGAUGAUAUCAAUACGCAUUUGUUACAUGUGGAUGCCAAGAGGUAAGUAAACUAGACUUCUAAAUAGAUCACAAUAAACAAUACGUAUAUGUUUGACAUGUUUGAAAAACCUAUUUUUGAUAUGUACGGAUAUGAUUUAUAUGUUUCUGCCAUGUGUUUAUGUGAUGUGUUGUUAUGUGUUGAGCGUGAUUAUAUACAUGGGCAUAUGUAUGUGUGAAAGUUCAUUAGCAUAAGCAUGAUGAAUAUGCAAAGCUUUUAUAAAAGUAUGUUCAGUACUAUUGCAUUCUAUAAGUCUAUGAUUUGUACAUGAACUUUGCUAUUAUAUUAAUGGUGCGUUUACUUCUUGGAUUAGGGAAUCAAAAUCCGAAAUUGGAAUCAUUGACAACGUUUUCUCCACAAAUAGAGUCGGGAAUCGAAAUCGAAAUUGUGGGGCCCACCACAAUGUAAAUGAGGAAUGGGAGACUCAUUCCCAAGGAAGAGGGUGGGAAUCAGUCUCCCAGUCCCGGGGCUAACCAUUUUGCCCUCCCUCAAAAUAAAAAAUGCCGCUUUGUCCUCAUUUAUAAUUAAUCAAUAUAUUGUUAUAAUUUAUUUAUUUUUUAUAAUAAUUAUUAAUAUAAUUAUUAUAAUUAAUUAAUAUAAUUAAUAUAAUUAUUACUAUUAAUUAAUAUAUUUUAUUAUAAUUAAUUAAUAUACUAUUAUUAUAAUUAUUAAUAUAAUUAAUUCAUGUAUUAUUAUUAAUUAAUUAAUAUAAUUAUUACUACUAAUUAAUAUAUUAUUGUUAAUAAUAUAUUAAUAAUUAUAAUUUUUGAAUAAAUAAUCACCAUAAUUAAUAUAUUAUUAUAAUUAAAUAAUUAAUAUUAUUAGUUCAUAUAUUUUUAUAAUAAUUAUUAAUAUAAUUAUUAUACUUAAUUAGCAUAUUAUUAUAAUUAAUUAAUUAAAAUUUUUUAUAAUAUAUUAAUAUAUUAUUGACAAUAAUUGUUAAUAAUAAUUUUUGAAUAAAUAAUCACUAUAAUUAAAAUAUGAAAUAAUAAUUAUGACAAUAAUUUAUUAAGUACUUUUUAGUAAUUUGUUACAAUUUAAUUCAUUUUGAUUCCGAUUCCAAGACAAAAUAAACACAUUAAUGGCAAUCCAACUCAUUCUGAUUUCGAUUCUUAUAGUUCAAGUAAACAACUUAUUUUCUAUUCCUUAUUCCUAUUUCAUCCCAUUCUUAUUCAUAUUCAUUUCGAUUCCUGCCCAUUUCAAUUUUAAUUUUGCAAAUGCACCAUAAGUUUCAUGAUAGUUUGCAUUGGGGCCACCUCUUAAAGCUGUAUAGGGGGCCACCUGUCAUGACCCAACUCAGACCUAGUAUGAUAUUGUCCGCUUUAGGCUUUAACAAGGCCUGCACGAUUUUGUUUCUAAGGUGCCAGUACACCACAAAACACGUCUUGCCAAUUAGGAUGUGGAUCGUCUCUUAUAAAUCCAACAUCUCUCCCGUGCUUUGUCAAUGUGGGGUUUGUGAAAUACUAACUAGGCAACCCAGGAGGGGGGGGGGUGAAUUGGGAUAUUAAAAGUUAUUUAAUCCUAAAACAAAACUCAAUGCAAAUCCAAAACAAAUUUAAAGCAAUAACAAAUAAAUCAAUCACAAUAUAAAAAGAUAAGGGAAGAGAGAGCAAACACAAUGAUUUUUACGUGGUUCGGCAAUCCCCGCCUACGUCCACGCCUCCAAGCUCACCGGGCUUGAGGAUUUCACUAAGCUAGCCUCCCAAGGCUUUAAACGCUUACAAUUGACUUCCAAGGUGUCAAUGGACCUUUACAACAAGAGAUUAUCCCCAAUCUCUUAACCCAAGUGUAUCCAACACUUACAAUUACUCAAAGUAAAAGAUUACAAGUUGUUCUUCUCUCACACAAUAUUUAAGAUUACAAAUCAAUGCCCAAUGUGUGAAUAGAUGAAGAGAGAAUGUGUUUUUAAAGCUCUAUGAAGAUUGUAUUCUCGGAUAUAGGCUCAAUGGUCGUGUUGUGAUCAACCUCCUUUGAUUUUGAAUGAGCUUAUUUAUAUCUGGAGCUGAAAAACUAACCGUUACAAACUGUCAGUCCGAAAACGAUUCGCCGUUAAUGAUUAACGGUUAACCGUUUAGGUUGGUUAAAAGUUACCAUUGAGCCAAAAUUCAAAUAAACGGUGUGUCGUUAAGGGUUACCCUCUCACCGUUAGUUUCUAGAGACUAGCAAUAUGAACAUCAGUUAUCCGUUUAAAGUAAACGGUUAAGGAUUUGCAUGAAGUGACUCCUCUGGAUAUUAUCGGUUGACCGUUUGUAAUAAACGGUUCACCGUUUGUUUCCAGUAACCUGCAAAACAAUUUAGCCUUAUCCGGUUUUGUUAAUCAAUUCCAGAGGAGGACAACCUUCAAUUCUGGAUGUUAUCGGUUAACCGUUUAAAUAAACGGUUCACCGUUAAGUUCAAGUAGCCUUCCCAUCUUUUGUGUUUUUCCAUUUUUCACAAACAGUUAGAGCUUUAGGCAAUAUGUUGCUAUCUGGAUGUUAUCGGUUAACCGUUUAAAUAAACGGUUCACCGUUAAGUUCUAGUAGCCUUCCCAUAUUUUGUGUUUUUUCGUUUUUCAUAAACGGUUAGAGCUUUAGGCAAUAUGUUGCUCUCUGGAUGUUAUCGGUUGACCAUUUAAAUAAACGGUACACCAUUUAUAUCCAGAAUUACAUUUUAAACCAUAUUUUACAGAGAAUCUUUUUCUAAUUUGAAAGUCCAUCUUUUAUGAAAAAUGAAUGGAAUGAUUAUUAAUGCUUUCGUUUAUUAAGGAAUAGGUCCAAUAUUUUUAUCAAAAAACCAUUUAAAAUUUGUUAUCGUCAAAAUCAAUAUUAUUAACAUAUUCAUGUUAACAAUCUCCCCCUUUUUGAUGAUGACAAAUUUCAAUCAAUGUUUAACUCCCCCUUAAUAUGUGCUCCCCCUAAAUGUAUGGCCAAAUUAAGAAAUGUUCAAUAAAAGGAUUUUUGCUCAAGAAAACAUUUUUAAAUUCAUUCUUAAUCUCCCCAUUUUAAAUCCAUUUUAAAUACCAUAAUUAUCUCCCCCUUCAUCAUCAAAAAGAAAAGAGAGAAUAGGAAAAACGUAAAUCCGUUAAAGAAAUUAUCCGGUGUUGGCAAGUGAAAAUUUUGGCAGAGUUUCCCCUUAAAAAGGAGCAAAACCACUAAUACAAAAUGAGAUUAAAACACUUCCAAAAUAGAUUAACACCAACUUCAUCUUUCAACAAACCAACAACUCCAUGAACAAACAAACCAACACUUCAAUAUCCAAUAAACCACAAAUUGCAUCAACCAAUCACCAAGUCAUCCAAUCAGCAAGAACAUCACAAACAUAUGUCAUCAAAAUUCAGAAAGAACAUAUAGAGGGAACAAUGUAUAUAAAAAUAUAAAUGCAAACAACCAAAAUGUAUGUGCGAAAACAGAACUCAGAAACUAUGGUGGUGGAGAAGAUGUGCUCCUCGGAUCAUAGCCGAAAUAGCGGAGAAGAGUGCGCUGUCCAGCGAUAAGCUCAAGCUGCUGGAAGGUCUGAAAUUCAGAACGUAGCUACUGGUGGUCACGGGAAAUAGUGUCCAACCGAUCAAGAAUCAGCUGCUGGCGCUCUGAAAUCGGGUGAACAUCAACAAUCAAUUGCUGCACAAUGUCUGAAGCAGGGGGCUGAACUGGAGUUGGAGGCGGCAUAGAGGCAGAUUGUUGCUCAGGAACAGCAGAUGGCUGCUUAGGAAUAGCAGAUGGCUCAGGAGCAGGAGGCGGCUCGGAAGAGGAGGGAAUGACAGCAUCCAUCGCACGCUCCUCAGAGUCAGAGUCAGUUGGAGGCCGAAGGACAAAACGGUGACGCGGAGGAUGAGUAUGAGCUCCUAAUCUAAAGUCCGGAAGCUGAUCGAGAGGAUAGAUAUCAUUGAGCAUCCGAUCGUCCUCUGGAGCAAUCAAGGUAUCCCGGUUUUUGGAGUUGCUUGUCUUUAUCCACUCUCCAUUCUUCCUAGAAAAACCAAUACUAGUCAUGGCCUUGGGACCAAUCCGUCUAGUCUCCAUAUAUCCAGUAUCAAGAAGAGGCACCUCAAAGCGUCGCAGUAUCUUAGUAAUGAUACUGCCAUAAGGAAGCAAGCGGUGAUUGACCGUGGGAAUACUCAACAUAUGCCGCACAAUAACAUACCCGAGGUUAAUGGGACAGUCUGUAAGUAGGCUAUCUAGUAGGCCAACGUCCAACCUCGUAACCUCAUCCGAGUGACCCUUUCUAGGUGUCACUAUGUGCUGUAAAAUAGUGUGAAGAAUGCAAACUUGGAGGGGUAAAAGUUGAGACAAAAAAGGAAGCAAACAAAUCUCUUCAGACAAGUCUCGACGACGACAUAUAUUGCGGAUGCCAUCAGUAUGACAAAAACUGUCAAAGAAAAGAGCUUUCCUAGAGGUGUAUAUAUCAUGCCUCUCACUAGAGAUACCAAGAAAGUCAGCUAGGUCCGCAUCAUUAAACUCUAUUGACACGACCGACUUGAGUAAUUAUCCUAUUUGGGCAAGUAUCAGAGAUUUCCAUGUUUGAAUAAAAGACUCGUACUAAAUUUGGAUAAACUCGGUCAUCAAGGUUAAUGGCAGGCUCCCAAGGCUGAAGCAUAUCCCGAAUGCUUCUACCAUAUACAACUAAGUUACGGAAAUCAUCAAUGUUAAUAAAGAAUGAGUCAAGUACCUUUCGACCGUUGAAGCGAUCUUCGAACCACUUGGCCAAGGAAGGUGUAGGGAAGUGAAUGCGUGCAAAUUCAGAGACUUCCCGUGGUGGUAUAGGAUUCCUUGGAGGCACAAAUUUACGCCUGAGAUUUCUCCGAGGGGGUUCAGCCAUGGAGAAACACAAUGGAGUGUGGAAAAUGCAGGAGAGAUGUGAUGAGAAGAAAAAGAAUCGAUGAUUGGCUUAUGAAUGAAUAGAGGAUGUGAGUUGGAUGCUUAAUUUGGUUGAAGAAGGGGAAGAAUCAGAUUAAAAACGAAGAAACUCGACCCGCGAUAGUUAGGGUUUCAAUUUGGGAUUUUUAAAUUUUGGGCUUGAUUUGAAGUUUUGAAUCGGUGAAAUUGUUCUAAAGGUGAUAAGAAAUGAUGUUGGAGGUUUGAUUUGGCAAGAAAAGAAAGAAAAAUAAGGGUUUGAAGGUAGAGAAACCUUCGGCUGUGCAACAAUGGCCGAAACAGUGAAAGGUUAACUGGAGAAGGAGAAGAAAAGACCUUUGAACAGUUUUUAUAAUCGCGAAAACGGUUAACCGUUUAUUGAAACGGUUAAGGGGUAACUUCCAGAAGCUAAAGAAUAGGCAACGGUGAAAGCUUAAGCGCUUAACAGCUAAGGAGCAACUGUUAGAGGACUCUCUGUUUUCAAAUGAUUCACCGAUUGUAGCAAACGGUGAAAGAGCAAACGGAUAGACACAUAAUCUCGUUUCUGGAAUUAAACGGUGAACCGUUUAUUGGAAACGGUUAACCGUUUAUUUUUAUCAGUAAUUUCGCACAUUUGAUUUAAUUUUUGGCCAGCAAAUUAUAUUCCAAGAUUAUUUAAUUGAUCUGAAAAUAUUUUAUGAGCCAUUUUAAUGGAUGAUUCAUGAACAUGUUUUCAACCAAUUAAUUCAUAUAAUCAAGAAUUAUCAAGGCAAAUUCAUCAUUUGACUAUCAAGCUCAAGCAUUUCACAAAUAUUAGAUCACAACUAAGUCAAUCAAUUCAGUACACUCAAUAACAUGAAUCGAGACGUUAAUGCAAAAAUUUCAUCAUCCCAAGUUCAUGCCGAAUUUUUUAAAAUUGUUCUUCGCAAAGUGGUUUUGUGGAAAUAUCGGCAAGUUGUUUUUCCGUAGAAAUAAACUCUAAUGCAAUAUCUCCCUUUUGAACAUGAUCUCUCAAGAAAUGAUGUCUUAUUUCUAUAUGCUUGGUUCAAGAGUGUUGAAUGAGAUUCUUUGAAAGAUUUAUAGCACUAGUAUUAUCACACUUAAUAGGAAUUUGUUCAAGAUUAAUGCCAUAAUCUCUAAGAGUUUGUUUCAUCCAAAGUGCUUGUGCACAACAACUUCCAGCAGCUAUAUAUUCGGCCUCGGUAGUUGAAAGUGUGACCGAAUUUUGUUUCUUGCUAAACAAUGAAAUAAGAGAGUGUCCUAGAAUAUAGCAAGUACCACUAGUGCUCUUCCUAUCCACUUUAUAACCGGCAAAGUCCGCAUCCGAAUAACAUGUUAAAUCUAUAUGAGUUCCUCUAGGAUACAAAAGGCCAAUAUCUAUGGUUCCACUCAAAUAACGGAAAAUUCUUUUAACAGCAAGCAAAUGGGAUUCCUUGGGACAUGACUGAAAUCUUGCACACAAACAUACACUAAACAUGAUAUCGGGUCUAUUUGCAGUCAAAUAAAGUAGGGAUCCAUCUCGAUACAUUUUGACAUCCACUUCUUUGCCUUUUUCAUCUUUGUCCAGCUUGGUUGUUAUGCUUAUUGGUGUAUUCUUGGUCUUUGAGUUAUCAAUGCCGAAUUGUUUGAGUAGAUCUUUUACGUAAUUGAGUAGAUUUAUGAAAAUUCCUUCCUCGUUUUGUUUGAUUUGAAGUUCAAGGAAGUACUUCAACUCUCCCAUCAUACUCAUCUCAAAUUCUUUGCUCAUACACGAUGAAAAUUCUUUACACAAUAACUCAUUAGUAGAACAAAAAAUAAUAUUAUCAACAUAAAUUUAAACAAUAAGUAUGUCUUAGUUCUUGUGCUUAACAAAUAGAGUAGUAUCCGCUUUAGCCAUAGAAAAAUCAUUUUCUAGCAAGAAAUUUUUAAGUCUAUUAUACCAUGCUCUAGGUGCUUGUUUUAAUCCAUACAAGGCUUUAAGCAACUUAUAAACAUGAUUUGGAAAUUUUUCAUUUUCAAAACCAAGGAGUUGUUUUAGAAACACUUCUUCCAUGAUAUAUCCAUUUAAGAAAGCACUUUUCACAUUCAUUUGAAACAAGAUGAAAUCUCUAUGACAUGCAAAUGCCAACAACAUUCUAAUUGAUUCUAGUCUAGCAACGGGUGCAAAAGUUUCAUCAAAAUCAAUUCCUUCUUCUUGGUUGUAACCUUGAGCCACUAAUCUAGCUUUAUUUCUUACAACCACACCGGAUUCAUCCAUCUUAUUUCUAAAGAUCCAUUUUGUACCUAUGACGGAUUGAUGUUCCGGUUUAGGAACUAAUUCCCACACAUUGUUUCUUUCAAAUUGAUUUAACUCCUCUUGCAUUGCCAUAAUUCAAGAUUCAUCAUUUUCCGCAUCCGCAAAGGAUUUGGGUUCAAUUUGAAAAAUGUAUGCAUUAUGCUCACAAGUAUUUCUAAGUGAUGAUCUAGUUGUAACACCUCGUAAGGGAUCACCUAAAAUUAUAUCUAUAGGAUGAGAAGAGACAUACCUCCACUCCUUGAGGAGUGUUUGGGAAAUACCUUCUUGUUGCUCCAUCUCCGUAUUUGUUUGCUCUUCUUGUCUAUCCUCUUGAUUUUCUUGUGAUGCAUUUUCUUGAAUCUCUUUCGAUGAUUCUUCUUGUAAAUCUCCAUCUGCAUCAUCAUUAGCAACUCCUUUCUCCGUAGAGCAGGGGUUAGACUCAUCAAACGUAACAUGCAUGGAUUCUUCCACAACUAAAGUUCUUUUAUUAUAAACUCUAUAAGCUUUACUUGAGUUUGAAUACCCAAGAAAGAUGCCAACAUCAGAUUUUGGAUCAAAUUUACCAAGAUUAUCUUUUGUGUUUAAAAUAAAACAUUUGCAUCCAAAAACUUUGAAAUAACCAAUGUUGGGUUUUCUAUCUUUCCAAAGCUCAUAGGGAGUUUUGUUGAGAUGAGGUCUAAUCAAUACUCGAUUUAAAACAUAGCAAGCGGUGCUGACGGCUUCGACCUAAAAAUAUUUAGGUAAAGCAUUUUCAUUUAACAUGGUACUAGCCAUUUCUUGAAUAGACCUAUUCUUUCUCUCAACAACUCUAUUUUGUUGUGGAGUCCUAGGUGAUGAAAAUUGAUGCUCAAUGUAAAAUUAUUGCAAAAGUUCUCAAAUGCAUGAUUUUCAAAUUCUCCUCCAUGAUCACUCCUAAUGCAUAUAAUAUCAUGCUCUUUUUCAUUUUGUAAUUUCUUAUAAAGCACUUUAGAAGCAUCAAGUGCAUCAUCCUUAUUGGCUAAGAAUAAUACCCAUGUAUAUCUAGAAAAAUCAUCCACUAUCACAAAUGCAUAAUACUUGCCAUUUAGACUAGCAUAUAUAGAUGGCCCAAAUAGAUCUAUGUGAAGGAGUUGAAGUGGUUUUGAAGUAGAGAUAUGGUUUUUAUUUUUGAAAGAGGUUUUGAUUUGUUUUCCAAAUUGACAAGCUUCACAAAUCUUAUUCUUUUGAAAACCAAUUUUCGGAAGACCUUUAACUAAAUCAUUUUUUGAAAUUUUCGAAAUCAAAUCCAUACUUGCAUGUCCUAAUCUUCUAUGCCAUAGCCAACUAUCAUCAUGUAAUGCGGAAAAAACAUUUAUCAAGAGUAGAUGCACAUUCUAUGUCAAUGAUAUAAACAUUACCACAUCUAUUACCAACAAACAAGAUUUUGCUAUCACAUGAGUUCUCAAUAACACAACUAAAUUUGUCAAAGAUAACUUUAUAACCUUUGUCACAUAAUUGACUAAUGCUAAUUAAGUUGUGUUUCAAGUUCUCAACCAAACAUACAUUCUCAAUUAGAGUUGAGGAGACUUUACCAACAUUUCCAAUUUCAAGAAUUUUUCCUUUUGAGUUGUCUCCAAAAGAUAUAUCUCCACUAUUUUCAAUUUUGGUGAAGUUUGAGAACCAUGCAUAGUUUCCGGUCAUGUACCUUGAACAACUGCUGUCCAAGUACCAUUUAUUUUUCUUCUUCUUUAAGCCCUACAAAGAAAAUCUCAAGUUUUAGGUACCCAAAACUUUUUGGGUCCUUGAGAGUUAGCAAUGGUUCCUUUUGGAACCCAAAUACAUUUGACACCAUAAUAUACAUUCCUUUUCACGGGACAUCCAUAUUUCAUGUGACCAUUUUGAUUACAAUAAUGACAGACAAUCUUAUGAUCAUUUGUGGAGGUAGCUUUAACAAAAUAAUUCUUAUAAUACUUUUGCUUCAAGUUAGGCUUGUAACCAAGUCCUCCUUUAUCAAAAACACAUUUUUGUGAAUUAAGCAUAUUAUCCAACAUCUUUUGACCAUUUGUAAAUUUCAAAACAAUUUCAUUCAAAUCAUUGCUCUUUUUCUUGAGCAUUUCAUUUUCAUUUUUCAAAUCAUCUAUGUGUGAUUCUAAAUGCUCAUGUGAGGUACUAUGCUUCUCAUUUGAUAAUGCAAGUUUAUCAUGCAAUGUUUUGUUCUCUACUUCUAGGCAUGCAAUUUUUGCAUUUAAAGAUUCAUUUUCAUUUUUAACUUUUGUCAUUUCCUUUUUAAGACAUACAUUCUUUUUACCAAUCUUUAUCAACUCAUUAUGCAAUUCUUCAAAAGCAUCAUACAAUUCAUCAUAGGUGGGAUCACUUACCUCAUUGAGAUUAUCAUCCUUUCCUAUUGCCAUAAGCGCUAGGUUUGAUUCCUCUUACAAUCCUUCUUCAUCACUUGAAUCUUCCUCGCUAUCAUCCCAUGUUGCAACCAUGGCUUUCUUCUUGAGUUUGAUGAUAAGUGGACACUCCGAUCUUAUAUGGCCAGGCUUCUUGCACUUACAGCAUGUGAUCACCUCUUUCUUCUCCCUUUGGUUCUUAAAGUUUCUGAAUUUUCUUUGCUCUCCAAUUUUCUUGAAAAACUUUCUGAACCUCUUUGCUAGCAUGGCUAACUCUUCAUCAUCCGGUUCACUACCUCCAUCACUCUCAUAUUUUGAAUCUUUGCGAGCGAUGCUUUUCUUCUUCUCCUCGUCUCUUUUUUUUACUGCCAAGUCUUCUUCAUAUGAAAUGAGAGAACCAAUUAAAUCAUCAAGAGGUAAAGUAUUUAAGUUUUUAGCCUCUUCAAUGGCAGUUCUUUUAGGUCUCCAUUCUUUUGGAAGUGACCUAAUGAUUUUCUUAACUUUCUCACUAUUUGAGAAGGUCUUCCCUAAGGCACCUAGAGUGUUCACUAUGUCCGUGAAUCUAGUAUACAUAGAAUACACAUUUUCAUUUUGUUCCAUUUGGAACAGCUCAUAUUGACGAGUGUAUCUACUGAUUUUAAACUCUUUAACUUGAUUUGUCCCUUUAUAGACAACUUCAAGUUUAUUCUAUAUUUCUCUUGCACUUUCACAACUAGAUACUCUAUGAAAUUCUUACUUAUCAAGGGCACAAAACAAAGCAUUCAUAGCCUUGGAGUUUAGAGAUAUCUUUCUCUUUUUUAACUCACUCCAUUGACUCGAUGGUUUAGGAAUAUCAUCUCCUACUUCAUUUUUAAACGUAGGCAUGAAUGGACCAUCAUAAACAACUUCUCAAAUUUCAUAAUCUAAGGCUUGCAAAUAGAUUCUCAUUCUAGUUUUCCAAUAAGCAUAGUCAUUACCAUAAAAAAAUGGUGGUCUAGUUGUAGAUUGCCCUUCUCUAAAGGUUGAGUCAUUUAGGGAUGCCAUGGAUCUUUUACUCUUAGACGAUUAAGUCCUAACAAGAGAACAAGGCUCUGAUACCAAUUGAAAUACUAACUAGGCAACCCAAGAGGGGGGGUGAAUUGAGAUAUUAAAAAUUAUUUAAUCCUAAACCAAAACUCAAUGCAAAUCCAAAACAAAUUUAAAGUAAUAACAAAUAAAUCAAUCACAAUAUAAAAAGAUAAAGAAAGAGAGAGCAAACACAAUGUUUUUACGUGGUUUGGCAAUCCCCGCCUACGUCCACGCCUCCAAGCUCACCGAGCUUGAGGAUUUCACUAAGCUAGCCUCCCAAGGCUUUAAACGCUUACAAUUGACUUCCAAGGUGUCAAUGGACCUUUACAACAAGAGAUUAUCCCCAAUCUCUUAACCCAAGUGUAUCCCAACACUUACAAUCACUCAAAGUAAAAGAUUACAAGUUGUUCUUCUCUCACACAAUAUUUAAGAUUACAAAUCAAUGCCCAAUGUGUGAAUAAAUGAAGAGAGAAUGUGUUUUUAAAGCUCUAUGAAGAUUGUAUUCUCGGAUAUAGGCUCAAUGGUUGUGUUGUGAUUAACCUCCUUUGAUUUUGAAUGAGCUUAUUUAUAUCUGGAGAUGAAAAACUAACCGUUACAAACUGUCGGUCCGAAAACGGUUCGCCGUUAAUGAUUAACGGUUAACUGUUUAGGUUGGUCAAAAGUUACCGUUGGGCCAAAAUUCAAAUAAAUGGUAUGCCGUUAAGGGUUACCCUCUCACCGUUAGUUUCCAGAGACCUACAAUAUGAACAUCAGUUAUCUGUUUAAAGUAAACGGUUAAGGAUUUGCAUGAAGUGACUCCUCUGGAUAUUAUCGGUUGACCGUUUGUAAUAAACGGUUCGCCGUUUGUUUCCAGUAACCUGCAAAAUAAUUUAGCCUUAUCCAGUUUUGUUAAUCAGUGCCAGAGGAGGACAACCUUCAAUUCUGGAUGUUAUCGGUUAACCGUUUAAAUAAACGGUUCACUGUUAAGUUCCAGUAGCCUUCCCAUCUUUUGUGUUUUUCCGUUUUUUAUAAACGGUUAGAGCUUUAGGUAAUAUGUUGCUCUAUGGAUGUUAUCGGUUAACCGUUUAAAUAAACGGUCCACCGUUAAGUUCCUGUAGCCUUCCCAUCUUUUGUGUUUUUCAUUUUUCAUAAACGGUUAGAGCAUUAGGCAAUAUGUUGCUCUCUGGAUGUUAUCGGUUCACCGUUUAAAUAAACGGUUCACCGUUUAUAUCCAGAAUUACAUUUUAAACCAGAUUUUGUAAAGAAUCUUUUUCUAAUUUGAAAGUCCAUAUUUUAUGAAAAAUGAAUGGAAUGAUUAUUAAGGCUUUCGUUUAUUAAGGAAUAGCUCUAAUAUUUUUAUCAAAAAACCAUUUAAAAUUUGUUAUCAUCAAAAUUAAUAUUAUUAACAUAUUCAUGUUAACAGUUUGCUUAGGGUGCUACAUACACCCUUCCUUAGGGACUCAGAGUCCUCACUGAGGUUUGCCACACCAUCGUUCAAUAUGACACAAGGACUCGCUCUGAUACCAUCUAUUGCGACCCAGUCUAGACCUGGCAAGAUAUUGUCUGCUUUGGGCUAUACAGUUUUGUUUCUGAGGUGCCUAUGCACCAUAAAACGUGUCUUGCCAAUUAGGGUGUGGAUCACCCCUUAUAAACCCAGCAUCUCUCCCGUGCUUUGUUGAUGUGAGAUUUGCCUAGGGUGUUACACAGUACCCUAUUUCAAAAUGAGUUGUUAGUUUAAUAAACUUGUGGGUUCCUCUAAUUACAUACCUUGUUUCGAAGAAAUUACAAUAUUCUCAAUAGUUUAAUUUUUCUUUAGUUACCUUUAAGUGAAUCCUUUAAAAUUUAUGUGAAGCUGAAAUGAUUUGUUCAAAAACAUGUAUUGUUGGAAUAUGUAGCAGUUGGUUACUUGUCUGUUGCUGCCUUUGACAAUUUUUAUUAGAGGAAUUUCAUCAAACAGAUCGUGCAUGUCUACGAAAAGUAACUAAAAAAUAAAAAAUGCAAUAAAAACAGUGACUAAAAGCAAAUAAAUCACGCAUGACCCAACAUCUAUUAAUUUAUUCUAAGUAAAAGCCCCAACACAUUGUGAACAAAGGAAGAAAAUGAAAAAUUACAUGUAACAGAGUAAAGAAAAACUCAAAAAAAUAAACAAUGCAUAAAGGAAAAUGUCGCCGUUCUUGGAUAUUUUAAACACAAAGAUAGAAGAAUAGACGUGUAUGAAAAUGGCUGGUGUUAGAAUCGUGUCGAUGAAAAUUACGGAUGUUGGAAUCACAUCAAUGAGAACCGCCAGUGUUGGAAUCGUGCUAAUGGGAACAACAUUUAGAGUUUGUUUUAUGGAAAAAUUGAUUUGAAAUUAAGUUUAAAAAUGAGGAGAAUAAAAUUGAAAUUAAAUAAUAUGUAAGGGUAAUUUAGUAAUUUAAUAUACAGGUGGGAAAAAAUCUACUGAGGUGUCAAAGUCCAGCUACAAGGUGUUACUAUUGAAAAUGAGGGGAUGAUAUAUGGAAAAAAGAAGCUUCAUUUUAAAUUAAUGAACAAAAUUAUUCUUUCACAAAGUAUUAAAAACAAUAAAAUACUAUUACAUAGCUCGGAAAGUUUGUAUUAAGUUAUAGAAUUAGGUGUCUCUUAUAUAUAUGUCUUCCCAUGAAUAAAAGCAUGUGUAUUAAGUUAUGAAAUUGUGGAUUAUUAUACCAGUCUAAUGGCUCUUUCCCUUUCAACAUUAUUGUACGUAUUUUGCAAGGAAACAUCCUCUAUCUUUCUUUCAAUUAAUGUCCAAUUAAGACUUCCGCGUGCCCAAUUAAUGUCAAUCACUCAAUUGUUUUUGAACGUGUACAGGAUAACAACUUAAAGACUUUAGAGGGCCAGCGUUAAUUCAAAGUCAAAACUAGGUUAUUACCCUACAUGAUUCUUGAUAGUGAGGUGAAAAAAAGGUUGAAAAGGAUUCGGAUUUAAUCUUGAGUUUAGUUUUUAUUGAGCACUGAAUUAAUAAUUAAUAUUUAUUUUGUAUUUUUAUUUAUUUAUCUUACUUAACAACCAUUUACUUAAAUCCUUGUCCGGUUGAAGGAUACUAGAUAAAUGAUUUUUAAAACUUUAGUUAUUUUUGUGUAUAAAACAAAAACUUUAAAUUAUUUAGUUUCAAAAGAGAGAAAAAAAAUCUAGACUUUGACCUGCUUGGGAAUAAAUUAUAUUUGUUAUUUAAAAAAAAAUCAUACUAUGAGAAAGAGAAAAUAUAAGUGGGGUUAAUUCUAUUUGUAUGUCCUUAAAUAUAAUUGUAUAGAAGAGGGAUUUUAUAAUAUUAAUGAAGGGGUGCCAAUACUCCAACCUUUUCUCAAUUUUUUUUUUAAUUUUUAUUCAUCUACCCAAUGGCUGAAUUUAUUUUCAUUAUUAUGUAGGUGUGGUGUUACUAGAAAUCAAAGAAUAGGAUCCUCUCCUGAUCUGAGCCCUACUGAGAUUUUAAAGAUCUUCUGUCAUGUGUCAUUUAGUGGUAGUGUAGGGAUAAGAUUUAACUUCUUUUACUUUUUUAUUUAUUAACUACCAAUCAACAAUUGAAUUAUUUGCUCAGGACAUAAUCAGAUCAAGAGAGAAUCUUGAUCCAGAAAUCAAAUGCUGCCUUUUUUUUUUUCCCCUCCUCUCCUCACUUGUGGUGGAAUAAGGAGAAUUGAACCAAACCAAUAUCCUAAUUACUAACAGAUUUGAGACAAAAUUAACAUUUUAAAAUAUUGCAAACUGGUAAAAAGUCAAACUUUUAUUUGCUACAUAAAUAUAAUCUACUUUACAUAUUAAUAUCAAAUUCGUUAGGUUAAAUUCUAGGUUCAAAUCCUAGCAGCGAAAUUAAUUUCUUUAUAGCUGGCAAACAUAUAUGCACUUUUUUUUCUUAAUUUACGCAGAAGUUUGAGUUAAACUAGUAAAGGAAUUAUUUUCUAAUUAACUUCUUCUUUUUGAUUUUGGAAAAAAAAAAUUGAAAGAAAGAUAGGAAGCUGAAAUUGAAGCCGAAUCAACUGGAGCUGCAUCAAGCAUCUUUUGAAAUUCUUCUUCUUCUUCUUUUUUUUAAAAUUUUUUAAAUGUUAUUGAGGGCAAAUAAAGUCUAUAUGCUUAAUAUUGAACAUAAUUUUUAACAAAUAAAAACUAACACUGACAUUGUGCGAAAUAAAUUGUUUAUAGCUUAACUGGCCCAUUUAGGAUAGCUGCGCCGCCAAACAGGGCUUUGAUUUUAUUGCUAUAAGUAUGCAUUAGAUAUUUUUAAUAGAUUUUCUUGGGUGGGCUGAAUGGUUAAAUAAAUUAAUUUAAAUGAUUUAAAUAAGAUUUUUUUUAUAUUUUAAAAAUUUAUAUAUUAAAAUUUAAUAUAUAAAUAUAUAAAAUAAUAAAGUGUUUAGAAUAAUUUUUAGAGCGCAAACAGUCUUACUCAUUUUAUUUCAUUUUAUUGUUAAUCAAGACUUAAAAGAGUCACUAAACUAAAUCUCCAUUUUCCAAAUCUUUAGGAAGAACGAGAAAAGGUAGCAAAUGCAAGCGAUCCACUGUUCAUCAAUAUUAUCUGGUGUUGUUGCAGAUCAUUUUGUUAUUCUGGUCCAUCAAAGCAUCAAAACAAUUUGCUUGUAAAAAUGAUUGUGGAAAUGUGCAGAUCAUAUUCCCCUUUGGAAUUGGAGAAGUGUGCCACUUUGGUAAGAGUUAUCAAGUAAUAUUCACUCUUCUGGCUCUCCCAAAGCUUUUCAUCCUAGUAUCAAGACGGAAUAUCGUACCGUUACUCCGAAACUAAAACUAGAGUCAACAUUCCUGUAAUUUCUUUGCACACAGUGCUAUACUGCUAUUGCCACAAGCAAUAAUAUUGCUAGAAGAGUCAAUCUAUCUGGUGGUCCUUUCACCUUUCCCUAGGGGCUCAGUAAUUUACAGCUCAAUUUGUUUUAGGUUCAAAAUUGAUGAACCCGCACUUAAUAACUGUACAAAUUGAUAACUUCUUGAUUUAUGAGGACAUAGAAAUUUUGGAACACUAAAUGCAUUUUUCUAAAUUAUGAGAGCUAUUACUGGUUAGGCAUUUCUAUUGUUUGAAGGACAAACCUGUUAGGAACCAGAUCUAGAUUCCUCAUGCUUUGGUCAAACCAUUGUGUAAUUGUGGGACUGGCAAUUCCUUUUCUUUUGUCCCAGUGUCAGUGGUCAUCAAUGAAGAAAAAAUUAUGAAGCUUGUUCGCAGCCUGCUGAAUCUUAGGUUGAAAUAGAGUUGCCUUCUACAUUACUGGAAAAUCUGAUUUUUGUAACUUAAUGAUAUUCUAGUAGUCUGCCUAGAGACCAAUGCAUACUGAUUAAACAACUGGUUUAAAUCAUUAGGGCAUGAUCAGCCCGUUAUCUGGCACUCUUAAACACAAUAGGCAGGGAGGCUUUGGGCAAAUCAUAUUCAAUGAUUAGAAAUGUUCAAAAAUUUCAAGAUAACAAAUACGCAAGCGUUUCAAUUGGACAUAAGUAUUUGGGUUUCUAGUUCUAAUAGAAGUUUCUCAAAGCUAUAUUCUAGUCACUUUACUAUUCUGAAUCAGAAUCAGAACCAGAAUCAGCGGAUGUUUUUCAUUGUAAACUUUUAAUAGAUCUCUUACUUAUUAUGAUUUUAAUCCAAUGAUUGAACUGGAUAAGAGAAAAGGGCUAUGGUCAAUAGGUUCAAUUGGGCUCCAAAUGGCAAUCAACUCAUGACAUUGCAUGAAAUAUACAGCAUGCUUCUUUUGAAAUAUUAUAUAUUCAAAAAUUUAGUGCAUAUAUGCUUAUAUUUGUAUAUUUACAAUGCAAUGCAUAUUAAUAUCAAGGAGGCAGAAAUUGAACAUAUACAUUCAUAAUGCAAUUUUUGAUAAUGGUACGGAUUUUCUUUUCUGGGUAAUAACAUUCAGGGAAAAGAAAAAUAAAUACAAGGUUAAGACAAUCUAAGACAUGAAGCCAGUGAAGCAUGGCUUAGGACAUGGUCAAGUUGUAAAAACUAUGGCUAGGACUAUCUAAUACAUGAACUUGUACUGCAAACAAAUUUAACUGUGGAUGUCAUUGCUUAGGAAUUGGAACUUCAAACAAUGUUCUAAAAACAAUUCUUUCUCCACUAGUUUUUCUCACCCUUUUAAUAUCGAAAGGCAUGGAAAUGGUAUAAAGAUGAUUCUGUUUGUGGUAAGAUUCCUUUCAGGCUAAUUACUAUUUGUGACGUGGGGUGCAGGAAUAUCUAGAAGAAUAUGUUGGAUCUUCUACUAGAAGAGCAAUUUUAUAUCAAGUAAGAACUCUUGUUUUCUAGAUGAUCAUAUAAUUUUAACAAACCUGCUUCCCUUGAAUUUGGAGUAAGAUGCUGUUAGUCUUUAUAUCUCUGGACUUUUCAGCUUGGGUCUGUUCAAAAUUGAGCAUCCAAUAAAUCAAGGCUGACAAAGUUAUCUAAGUCAAGUGAAAUGGUCAAUUAUUCAGUUUUUGGUCUGUUGCCUACAAAAUUAAGUUUUAGUUUUGCUUGCUAUCUGGCUUUUGGUAUGUAGCGUCAAGAGGCUGUAGUUAGAUAACCAAGUAUUUGGUUGACUAUUUCGAGAUUUUUCUUUUUCAAGGUUUGCUUUUUCAUUGGCACCCUCGAUGGAAUCGAUAUCAGUUGAGUGAUUCAGUUGGGCCUGACAAUCUUAGGCUUUCUUUUGGUAAUGGAUAUUUAUUUUAAGAUAAUCAUUGUAGUUUCCUUAACUCGUUACAACAUUGACAAUAUUUAAAGUUCUUAUUUUAUAUAUACCUAUUUUCAAGGAAAAUGCCGAUAGCUUGACCUCAAAUAUGUUACUCACAGGAAAAUGUAAAAGGUAUAUCAGUAACUGGGAUGCAGUCUAAUUAUGGUUUUGAUGGUCAAAUCCACGCCUGCUGGAUGCAUAAAAUGACACAAAAGACAUUCAAACCAUUCGUUCAGCUGGAUUUCUUGUGUCACUGAUUCAUGGCAGGUACAUGAGCAACCAUAAUGCACAUGAACAUAGCUGUAUAAUUGUGUCUAAAUUUAUAUUAGUAAAGUGACAUGCUUUAUGAUUUUAUUAUUUUAAGAUACUUGUAAAGGAAUAUGCAUAGGGCAUACAGGAAUGACAAUUGUUACAAAAUUAAACUUCAUUUUUCAAAUGUCAUUUAGAUGAGUUGAAGUCUGCAAAAUGUUUCUUUAAUAUCAUCAAACUGUUUCACGAAUUAAUAAACUAUAUAAUGUCAAUUAUCAUAAAAGAAAACAAUAUGCUUAUAUAUUCUUGGAUUCUGUAGAUAUAAUGUUAUGAGAUAGGCUCCAAAUACUGAUGGGAAAUUAAAACUGGGUUCUUCGUGAAAAAUAAAAAUAAAAUAAAAUAAAUUGGGAAAAAUUACCUGAAAUGGAAGUCCGUGCUGUGCUUUAUAGUAAAUUGUCAAAGUUUGCAAUCAACCUACAUUUAAUAAGGAGAUGACAGGAUUUGGCAAGAAUUUGGUAUUUUCGGAGUGAAGAGUAUUAGUUUUGUGUCAAUGCUUUUCUUAAUCUCAGACGAUCAAGAGAAUCGUUAUUUCAUUCAUGCACAGACCAGCACAAAGAGAAAACAAAUGUAUACACAUGCAAACUUGAAAAUAGGUUAAUAUACAUCGAACUUAGAAGGUCGUGCAGGAGCCUGGUCAAUAUUUUGGGCAUUUCUAGUAGUGAUACAUGGAUAACUGAAUGUUACAUAACUGAAUUUGAGCAAAAAUGCUAAUUCGCUCCACUGAAUGUAUAGGCAUGAUAUCAUUGCACAAAUCUGUUAUGCAAGGAGACUAGCAGAGAAGCUGAGCCCUGUUGCUAGAAUGAUAGAUCUUCCUGGAGGACAUCUUGUAAGUCAUGAGAGGACAGAAGAGGUAUUUCCUUUGCCCAACAGAUCAGACAAAUAUGCAAGUAGUCCAAUUGGUUGUGUGAGACAUUUACAAUUAAUGAAUUAUUAAAUGGAGUACAGUUGUGCAAACUAAUUGGGAAAGUUUUCUUAUCAAAGUCAGUAAAAAAUUGUCAUAAUCGAAUUUGAUUGAGACAAAAGGGUCCUUACAUUUGUAUUAUGGACAAAAAUCUUCCAAAUAUUGAGGAUUGACCUUGAGUGACUCAAGAUUUUUGAACAACUGGGAUUGAAUUAGAUCUUCACGCGUAAAAUAAUGUUAUGAAUUUAUUGGUAGAAAGAUGUCACAAUGCUUCUUGAAGUUUUACUUUCCUAAAUUACUAAUAUUUGUUUAAUUUUACUUGGCUACAAAUUAAGCAUAUAGACGUUAAACUCUUUCUUGAAAUUUCAGGUCAAUCAAACUCUCAUCGACUUGAUCAAGGCAUCUGAAAAGAAGAUAAGCCCACAAGAUUUGACUAAUCUGCCCCAGACAAGUUCUGGUAAGCACGCCACAAUCAAGAUAGUCUUUCUCUUUUCCAUGUUAUGUGUGGGCAAUAAUGUUAGAGCAUACUUACCUAACAUGGGUUGAAGCUUUUCAUACUGAGUUGUCUAUGAAGAUAAACUCGUGGUUAAUCCAUAGAGUUCCCAUUUUUCCAAUAAUAUGUUCAUGGAUUUGGAAACCUAAGAGUUCCAGAAGGACACAUGAUAACUACUUAAGAGAGCUCAAAUCAACACUGAAACUUUUUCCAGACACAAAAAUCAUCAGUGGUCAACUGAUUUUCAGCUAGGUUAUCUUCCUCUCUGUCUGGUCAGGAUUGAGAGGGAGACAAUUAGCAAUUUUGAUAUUUCUACUUCAGAACUCAGUUUUCAGUCUUUGACAUUUUCUGCUGAUAUUUUCAGUUCUUUGUCAGGGGAUUUGGCGAAAGGGAUGUCAUUUGUAAGAACAAGUUGGGGACCAAGAAGCUAUGUUUCAGGCCCACUAGAGAAGCUACGUCUUUAUCUAUUAUACCUCUGUGGUCUCUUCAUGUUAGCAUUUGAGUAUGCUAGAAGGCUUCUACAGAGUCUGUUGAUUUUCUAAAUAGAUCAUGCUAUUUAUUUUGUUCAACUAAAUCCAUACCUUAUUGGUUGAUGUGGAAACAAAUUGUCACAAAUCUGUAAGAAUAAAAAUAAGCUCCCUCUAAUCUCCCAAAAAUCAGGAACUAACACAAGCAAAUCGCAACGAACAGGAAUCGAUUGCUAGGAACUGGAACCUUCACGAGCAAAUCUCCUUCACGAACGGAUCGUCACAAGUUUAUGCCAUUGAUGAUCGGAUGAUAAUCACGUAUCUGGAAAAUCCCCUCAAUUCACGAAGCAAGAACCCAUUGCCUUUUUUCCUUUUCUCUAACUCUCUUUUGAUGUUGCUUUGAUUCUUGUGAUUAUUAUUUUACGUGCUAUCACUCACCCUUGUAGUAUUUAUAUAGUACAAUAAGUGUAGUUUAAUUCAAAUCAACUUACUAGAGUUAUUUAAUAAGCUACAUCUUAUGUGAUUAGGAUUAAAAUAAAAUACUAAUUUUAUCUCAUAAGAAUCCUAGACAAACUCUAAGUUUAUCUUAUCACUUACGUUUGAUUAAUCCAUCCCAUCAUGGACGUUAAAUCUAACAUCUCCCACUCGCACGUGAUGGGAUGAUUGAGUAAUCAUAGCAACGAGAGUAGAGUUUUGGGCAUAAAGCCACAACCGCAGUAUCAUACGGGCAAAUGCAACGUGUGACCCAUGAACAACAUAAAUUGGAGCUUGUGGAGCAAAAAAAAUGUCAAUUGCACUUUUUGCAAGAGGUUUAAAUAACUUAUUCAUUAUAUUUCCUAGAUUUCAUUAUCCUUUACAUCGGUACAAACAUAUUUAAUCCCUCAACAAAAAUUAUGUUUGACGUUGGGAACUCUAUGCAUUCACAAUUGUAUUCAUCCUUAGGCAGAUUAUAUAACUGGUAGACCAGUGAAUGCAUAAGUUAGAUGUAAGGAGAAUAAAUCUUCGCACUCUACUUAUAUCUUUUACUUCUAGGCUGGCUGGUUUCUUAGACAUGUUUCAUAGACUGAAUAACAUUAUAGUCGUAGAAAAAACAUGCUAAAGUAGCUAUCACCAAUCUUUCCUUUUAAGAUAUAGUCGAUGGUAACUAAGGAAACUGUUGACGUCUUUCUUAUACCUCGAAGGAACUUAUACAAUGAGGAAUUAGGGAUUCAUUCACUCAUUUUCCUUUUGGUCACAAAAGCACGUAUGGUAUGAAUCACGCGUUACAGUGAAUUCUCUUUGUAUAAGAGCAUAUGUCUAGCUAUCCACUGUACAAAUCUUAAAUUAGUCGCUUAUUCGAGUGCCUAAUUUGAGUCUCAAUAAGCUUGCCUUCAUAAGGCACCAAAUGAACUCAUAUCUGGCUUAAUCAGGUUCUUUAUCUUGACCCAGUCAAGUCGACAUUUUCAAGAUAUAAGCUUCAUGAGAACAUAUCCAGUACUUUCUCUUAAUAUUGUGUCUCAUCCCAGCUUGCUUUCAUUAACAACUGAAGUGACCGCUUGUGUAAGAAAGCCGGUCAUAACCUGACAACAUAUCUUUUAAUAAUCAUAUAUAUAUGUGUAAUCAUGCCAAUUAGUAUCUUAUGAGAAUAAAUCAAAAUAAUUUUAUUGCAUAAAGAAUUUAUUAAGUAUAACUUUUAUAAUAUGCACAAUCUUAAUGAUUGCGUAUGUGCGAUAAAAACAUCUCGUGUCCUGGCUUUAGUUAAUGGAUCUACAACCAUGAAGUGUGUAGAUAUGUGUUGCAUCAACACUUCCUUUUUCACCACAAUAUCUUUCACAAAAUUGUACCUUGUCUCUAUGUGUUUAGACUUGCUGUGGUAUUUUGCAUCCUUGGUAAAAGAUAUGGCUACUUGGUUAUCACAAUAUAUGGUUACUGGCCGAGGAUGACUAGUAACAAUCUCAAGAUCAUUUAAGAAGCGCCUAAGCCAAACAACCUCUUGUAUUGUGACUGAACAUGCUACAUAUUCUGCUUCCAUAGUCGACAGAGCCGUGCAUGUUUGCUUCUUGCUACUCUACGAGAUCGCACCACGACUAAGUAGAAAUACGUAUCUUGAGGUUGAUUUGCACUCAUCAAGAUCGCCUCCCCAAUCGGCGUCUGUGUAUCCAAUUUAGCGUAAAUCACCUCCUUGAUGACAUAAAGAAUAGUCGGCAGUGCUUUUUAGAUAUGCUAAAAUCCUUUUGACAACAUUCCACUGUUUGCGCCCAUGAUUUGAUUGGUAUAUGCUUACCAACCCCAUAGCAUAACAAAUAUAUGGCCUUGUACACAUCAUAGCGUACAUGAUACUUCCAACAGCAUUAGAGUAUGAAACUCGUGUCAUUUCAUUUCGUUCAUUUGAAGUCUUUGGGCACAUUUCAAGGCUAAGAGUUUGUCCUUUAGAGAUGGGAGUAUCCAUAAGUUUACACUUAUCCAUUUAAAAUUUUUCAAGAAUUCUUCUAAUAUAAAACUCUUGUGACAGAGCUAGAAGUUUUCUAGAACGAUCCCUAUGGAUUUUAACUCCCAAGAUAUAAGAUGCUUCACCAAUAUCUUUCAUUUCAAAGUUUAAAAAUAACCAUUCCUUGAUGGUUUGAACAAACUCUAUAUUAUUUCCAGCCAACAAUCUAUCAUCCACAUAUAACGAUAAGAUGACGAAGUUACCCCCUAACCUUUUAACAUAUACACAAUGAUCUUCUUCAGUCAUUGAGAAUCCAUAAGUCAUCACAGAUUCAUGAAACCUAAGAUACCAUUGCUUGGAGGAUUGUUUUAACCCAUAUAUAGACUUUUUGAGCUUGCAAACUUUGUGCUCUUGAUCAUUGGUUAUAUAACCAUCUGGUUGUUCCAUAUAAAUUUCCUCCUCUAGCUCUCUAUUCAGAAAAACUGUUUUAACAUCCAUUUGAUGUAAUUCAAGAUUCAUAUGUGCAAUGAUGGCUAAAAUUAAUCUUAUAGAGGCAAACCUUACCACUGGGGAAAACGCUUCCUCAUAGUCUAUACCCUCUUGUUGUUUAUAUCCUUUCACUAACAAGCAUGCCUUGUAUCUUUCAAUUGUGUUAUUUGCCUUUCGUUUAACAUGUAAAACCCAUUUGUUUCCAAUGGCCUUACGGUAGGGCGGUAGAUCAACCAAGUUCCAGACGUGGUUUGAUCUCAUUGACUUUAUUUCUUCAUCUAUUGCUUUAAUCCACAAUUCCUUAGCUGAUGAUGUGAUAGCCUCACUAUAAGUUCUUGGCUCAUCACCAUCAUGUGAAGCAACCAUAAACACCUCCCCCUUAAUCUCAAAAUGAUGACGUGGGAUGGUUGUACGAUUACUUCUUCAAAUUGAGUUGUCAAGUGGAGUAAACUCAUUUUGUGGUUGACUCCCAUUAGAAUCAGAAUUCCCAGACAUAUAUAAGUUUCUCUCAAUUUGUAAAUCAGAAGUGUCAUUCAUCUCUGAAUCAUUCAACUCAUAUAGAUAAACGUCUUUGUCGACCUCUGAAAUGCUAAGGAAUUCAUUUUCCAAAAAUGUGACAUCUCGUGAUUUUAUCUUAGUUAUAGUUCUAUCAUCAUGUUCACCUAUGAACACAUACCCUUUAGAGUGUUUUUGGUAUCUUAUAAAGAUACAUGUCUUUCCUCUCGGACCUAAUUUCCCAUGUUUAUGAGAUGGGUUAUGAACAUACGUUGCAGACCCCCAGUGACGCAAAUGAGUAAGAUUAGGUUUUCUAUGUGUCCAUAGCUCAUAUGGAGUGGAACUUACUGACUUACUCAGAACUCGAUUAAGUACAAAAGUGGUAGUCAACAAAGCAUCCCCUCAGUAAGAAACUGGAACUAGCACGAGUAGAUUGUAACAAAUAGGAAUCGAUUGCUAGGAACUGGAACCUUCACGACCAAAUCUCCUUUACGAGCGGAUCAUCAUGAGUUAGGAACUGGAACCUUCAUGAGCAAAUCUCCUUCACGAACGGAUCGUCACGAGUUUAUGUCACUGACGAUCGGAGAAUAAUCACGUAUUUGGAAAAUCCCCUCAAUUCACGAAGCAAGAACCCACUGCCUUUUUCCCUUUUCUCUCACUCUCUUUUGAUGUUGCUCUGAUUCUUGUGAUUAUUAUUUUAUGUGCUAUCACUCACCCAUGUAGUGUUUAUAUAGUAUAAUAAGUGUAGUUUUAUUCAAAUCAACUUGCUAGAGUUAUUUGAUAAGUUACAUCUUAUGUGAUUAGGAUUAAGAUAAAAUACUAAUUUUAUCUCAUAAGAAUCCUAGACAAAUUCUAAGUUUAUCUUAUCACUUACGUUAGAUUAAUCUGUCUUAUCAUGGGCGUUAAAUCUAACAGUGUCUAAAACCGGUUAGAGUGCGAGCCUCUCCCACUUAAGCCAGCAUGUAGUGAACCCUCUUUUUUACUAGUAAUUUUCAGUUUGCUUCCCAAUCUUUCUUCUAGAACAAAGACAACUAGCUAGAAAACAAUACAUAAUAUCCUCACUGUUUCUAUCCCUUCUUUUUGCAGGGUUUCACUAAUUUGUCACGCUAAUGGCGCGGCUCUUUGCAUUUAAGCAGUUUGCUUACAGGAUUCUUGAGUAAAUCUACUAAAAGUUAUACAAAAGAUCAUAAAUAAACCGGAAUCUGCUUUGGGAGAGAUCAGAACAACCGAUACAACAAAGCAUAUUAAUCAUAUGCAUAUGGAAGGGAAAGAAUAAACUGGAGAUAGCCUUUGUUUUUUCACUAUCAAAAAAUUAUGCUAACUGAUACCACUAUAUCUAUCUCUCUCGCAGCACAAACAAAAUGAAAAUAACUCGCAAGGAGGGGAAUACUGUUUUUUGUAUCUAAGGCAGUAAAUAUUGCUGCUUAUAUUAGAGUAACAGCAAGAGCUCAAGAUUUUAUUAAUAUUAUUAUUAUUUUCAACACUUGUCAGUUAUAUAUUAUCAAAGAUUAGAAACUCGACUUACAACAGCAAGGGAAGAUGUUAGUAAAAUAGUGGAAUUUGAGCUAGAUUGCAGUACAGGCUGUGAUCUAAAUGUUAAAAGCCAACAAAGAAAUGGCUAUUAAGGACAAGAUUGGUUGACAUUUGAUGUGGCUUCUAAAAUAAUCGACUUCAGCUUUUCUGGAUACAUUAUUAUUUAUGAGAUAAUGAAUGUAACAUCAAACCACUUUUAAAAGAUUUUAUCAAUCACUUAAGAGAGUCUUUGGUGUAGUGGUUGGUUUGUUGUUUUGAUAAAGUUGAGGACAUGUUUAUGGUUUUAUGAGGACUCAAAAUAUUUUUUUUCCCCAUAAAUGUGAAAAUAGUAGGAUUUGAUUUCCAAUUUGAAUUUCUCACAGCCAAAUUCACGGAUGAAAGUCGAACAUUAAAUCUCAUUUAACACCAUCUGUCAAUUUGGUUUGGGAUUGUUAUUUCAAAAUGACUAUAGGUUCAAANNNNNNNNNNNNNNNNNNNNNNNNNNNNNNNNNNNNNNNNNNNNNNNNNNNNNNNNNNNNNNNNNNNNNNNNNNNNNNNNNNNNNNNNNNNNNNNNNNNNNNNNNNNNNNNNNNNNNNNNNNNNNNNNNNNNNNNNNNNNNNNNNNNNNNNNNNNNNNNNNNNNNNNNNNNNNNNNNNNNNNNNNNNNNNNNNNNNNNNNNNNNNNNNNNNNNNNNNNNNNNNNNNNNNNNNNNNNNNNNNNNNNNNNNNNNNNNNNNNNNNNNNNNNNNNNNNNNNNNNNNNNNNNNNNNNNNNNNNNNNNNNNNNNNNNNNNNNNNNNNNNNNNNNNNNNNNNNNNNNNNNNNNNNNNNNNNNNNNNNNNNNNNNNNNNNNNNNNNNNNNNNNNNNNNNNNNNNNNNNNNNNNNNNNNNNNNNNNNNNNNNNNNNNNNNNNNNNNNNNNNNNNNNNNNNNNNNNNNNNNNNNNNNNNNNNNNNNNNNNNNNNNNNNNNNNNNNNNNNNNNNNNNNNNNNNNNNNNNNNNNNNNNNNNNNNNNNNNNNNNNNNNNNNNNNNNNNNNNNNNNNNNNNNNNNNNNNNNNNNNNNNNNNNNNNNNNNNNNNNNNNNNNNNNNNNNNNNNNNNNNNNNNNNNNNNNNNNNNNNNNNNNNNNNNNNNNNNNNNNNNNNNNNNNNNNNNNNNNNNNNNNNNNNNNNNNNNNNNNNNNNNNNNNNNNNNNNNNNNNNNNNNNNNNNNNNNNNNNNNNNNNNNNNNNNNNNNNNNNNNNNNNNNNNNNNNNNNNNNNNNNNNNNNNNNNNNNNNNNNNNNNNNNNNNNNNNNNNNNNNNNNNNNNNNNNNNNNNNNNNNNNNNNNNNNNNNNNNNNNNNNNNNNNNNNNNNNNNNNNNNNNNNNNNNNNNNNNNNNNNNNNNNNNNNNNNNNNNNNNNNNNNNNNNNNNNNNNNNNNNNNNNNNNNNNNNNNNNNNNNNNNNNNNNNNNNNNNNNNNNNNNNNNNNNNNNNNNNNNNNNNNNNNNNNNNNNNNNNNNNNNNNNNNNNNNNNNNNNNNNNNNNNNNNNNNNNNNNNNNNNNNNNNNNNNNNNNNNNNNNNNNNNNNNNNNNNNNNNNNNNNNNNNNNNNNNNNNNNNUCGAUUAGAAUCCGCUUCUACAUAGUAAUAAUUAUUUGUGCAUUACAAAAGUAUAUGUUAUGUUAGAUUAAAUGAACUUGCUUCCACAUAAUACAAUUACACAAUAAGAGAAAAUUAUUAAACAGAAUGUAAACAUUUAGAGAUUUUUAAGAUGACUUUGCAUAUUUCUAACAAUGGUACAUAGAUAAUAGAUAUAUUGGAUUUGACAUGCUCCAUUAGUAAAUUAUUAAUACAGUGUAUAUUUUACCUCUAUAUCUUUGUAAUAAAGAUAACUCAAUUAAAAAAAUAAUUUUUGUAAUUAUACCUCUAUUAAAUUAUAAUCCCCUCACGGCAACAAAUUAAUAUGGUCUCAAUAUUACAAAUAUAGAGAGGUUUCGCUGUAAUAUUUUUUAAAUGUAAGGGGAAAAAAGAGUAAUAAUAAAAGUUGAGCUAGUUUGUUUUGAAAUAUAUAUAUAUGUUUUAAGAAAACAGCUUAAAACAAUAAAAAGGUGUUUCUCACCUCAAGAAAUAAGUUUUUUAGAAAUAGCUAAACCGAAUGUUCUAUAAUUUUUGAAAAUAGAAAACAGAAACUGUGGUAACAUUUAUAUUAUAUAAAAUAGGUCAUUAUUCUUUCAAAAUCCAUAGUGAUCCUGCACACACCGUAAUGUAAGUUGAUACUUGAUCAUCAUCACUUUUCACCUUCACAUGAUCAAUUCUAGAAACCCUAAAAAAUAAACACUUGUAAUUAUUAAACAAAACAACAAAAAGAACAAGAAGAAGAAACGAAAAAUGUAAAGAACGUACCUGGAUUUGCUUGGGGGCUACAGAAGUUAGCUUUUGCUGUGAUUGGGAAGGCGAGUGAAUGAAUGAUUGAUUGAUUGAUGAAAGCAAAAAGCAAAGCAAAAAGAUCGAAAUGGAAAUUGUAAGUUGAAAUGUUUUUCUAAAGAGAGAUUCUAAAAUAACUAAUUGCGUUGGUGCCAGGUAAUAUUCCAAAUUAACCAAUCAAAGAUUCGAAAUGAAUGAUGCCAAUGCAGUUACCAAAUAUACCCCUUAGGAACAUCCCAAUAUGAUCCUCUAGUAUGCCGAUGCAGAAGCAAACAAACAAGUUACCUUGCCUCUCUAGUCUUUACUUACAAGUCUCUCAAUGGAUGACUCGACUUUCUGAUGAACAUAAUUUAUAUAUAUAUUUUAUUUUUUAUUAUAUAUUUAUUAGUUAUUUUUAUUUUUUAUUUUUAAUUAAUUAAUUUUUUUAUUGAAUAGAAAAUUAAUUUGAGAUUAUGAACAAAAAGUGCAUAAAAAAUCUAUAAGAGGAAAGAAUUGAAGAAUUAAAGAUUAUGUUCCAAAGCUUCCGCAUGGGCUUAAGAUAAUUAAAGAAAGAUUUUAUUUAGCAAUUUGGAAUGCAUGUGCCGGGCAUUAAAGGAAGAAAUCAUUAAUUGGCCUUUUGCUUUGGAAGUCAAACGUGUGGCUAGCUUUCCAAUUUUAAAAGGAAAUAAUAUACAAAGGAUUUGGCGUGUGCGAGUGAAUAUGGGCUUAAAGGAGGCGGUUUCCUAGCAAUUAUAAUUGGAGAAGAAUUCGGUCAACUAGCAUUAUAAAAGGGGGGAGCCGCCAAAGAGGAGGAAGAAGCAGAGUAUUCGGCAGAGGAGAGAAGAAAAAUAGCAGCAGCAGUUUAAUUCUUUAUGGCUGGAUUUUUUUUAUUUGUUACUCUCAAUUUAAGUAUGUCUAGUUAAUUCUUUUCAAAAACAAAAGUAUGUCUAGUUAAUUUUUUUAUACUGAGAUUAAGGAUGAAGCCUUAUUCAAUGAAAUAAUUAUCUUUUUAUUUAAUUAAUUCCCUACAUGCGUGCUUUGAUGAUUAUGGUUUUUGUUUCACAUAAUUAGUUGAAUGUUAUUAAAAUCUUUUCAGCAAUUCUGUCAUGCACUAUUGAUUGUUAAGAUUAAUAUUCAAUUAAAUCUAUGCUUGAAUUUAUAAAGUUUGUACAUGAUUAUCUUUAAUUCUGUCUUUCAUUAAAGAGUUGGAUUAUUGGCUCACCUCUAACUUUCUUUUUAAACCCCUUUUCUCUACAUAUUCUUUUUAAUUCCUAAAAUAACCCUAAUUUGUUGUACUUUCUUAAUAAACCCCUGCAUUGAUACUUUAAAAAAAAAAUUGUUAGGCGCUCUCUCUCACCCUUCUCUCAUUCCAAACCACUUUCAAUCUCUUCUUAAUUAUAGCAUUUAUGAAUUUAUGAUUUUUAUCGAUAUUUGUUUUAUUUUUCCUAGUAGGUAAUAACCUUAGUAGAUACAUAAAGACAUGUGUGCGAAUCUUUAAAAAAAAAAUGGCCCAAGUAAACGAACUUCACAAAAUUAUCUUUCCUACAAAAACUCUGUUUAUAUUUAGAUCAAAUUCUCAUUCUAUGACAAAUCAUUGUUUUUUCAAAUUUUAUAGAUUUAAUGAGUUUAUAAUGGAGAAAAAAUAAGAAAACAUAGGUGGGUUUAAUUAGAUAAGUGUUAUUUUUAAUAUAAUUUAAAUAUAAAGGACAUAUUUGUAAAUAAAGAACAAGAGGGGUUUCAUAAGAGAUAUAGAGGGGUGCCAAUAGCGUCACUCUUCAUUAAAUUGUUUAUACAGAGUGCUUAUGAAAAAUUUAACUCUUUAUUAUUCAAUAUAUUUACAUGUGAUUCUUAGAUAUCAUACUAUUAAGUAGAAAAAGAACUUACAUUAAAUUUAAUUAUUUAGGCUUAAUUGUUGUAUCCAUGAGAUGACAUAGAUUGAUUUCGAGUUGUCACUUUAAAAUUGGAGAUUAAUUAAUAUUUAGAUAAUUUCUAAUUGAAUAGUGGUGGAUUCUGAAACCUUGGUAAUUUUUGUCUUAUUGAAUUCUCCUUUACUUUAAUUGUUUUCUUAGUUUAAUUAGUUUAAUUUCUCUUAAAAAUUCAAAUUGCUCAACUAGGUUAGGAUUAAUAUUAAAUUUAGAUUUAAAUUAGACUUUUCAAUUUAUAACAAUCCAUGUGGGUUCGACCUCAUUACCACUAUUCUAUUUCUAGAUUCGUGCGCUUGCGAGUAUAUUAAAAAUUUUCACAACACUUCCUACCAAAUACUUCAGUCCAUACGUCAAUUUGUCUUUGAGAAAUACCUUUUUAACUUGGAAAUAUAUUUCAUAUUGAUAAGAAAUAUGUAAUAUCAUUUUACUCAAUAUUUUUACUUAUAAAUUUUCAUUUUACUUACCAAUAAUACAUUAAUCUAUCAGUUUUAUGCUAAAUCUAUUUAUUUUACUUUUUAUUUAUAUGUUAUUAUGUUUCAUUUCUAAAAUUUAUAUUUUAUAUUGCACUUAAUGUUGAUUUAUUAGUUUUACGUUGUAUUUGUAGGUUUUAUUUUAGUUAUUAGUGAUACAUUAAUUUAUCAAUUUUAUAUUAGUUUACUUUUUUUAUCCUUCAUUUACAAAUCUUAUGUUUUAUUUCCAAAGUUUAUCUUUUAUUUUAUAGUUUACGAUAAUUUACUAGUUUUUAUACUAUAUUUACUAACAUUCCUUUUAUUUACCAACAAUACAUCAAUUUACUAUAUUUAUGUUCAUUUACUAAUUUUACCUUUUAUUUACAAGUUUUAUGUUCCAUUCCCAAAAUUUAUGCUUUAGUGUCCACUUAAAUUGAUUUACUAGCUUUAUACUAUAUUUGUAAGUUUUUGUUUUCUUUACCAAUAAUACAUUAAUCUACUAAUUUUGUAUUAAUUUACUUAUUUCAUCUUUCAUUUAUAUUUUAUUUCUGAAUUUUAUGUAUAUUGAUUUAAAAAUUUUAUGUUAAAUUUACGAGUUUUAUGUUUUAUUUAUAUAAUUUAUAUUUAAUUACAAUAUCGAUAGUAUGACUUUAAUCACAACAUUAUAAAAUGACCUGAUAAGAAAAUAACUAAUAUCAUCUUUCUCAAAAUUUUUACUUAUAAAUUUUGGAUUUACGAUAAGCUUUAAAUGUUAAAAAUCUUUUUUAAAAAGUUACUUAAAAAUCUAUAUAUUAUCUAAAAGAGUUUAGAGUUGUACUAAAAUGUGAAAACUCAGCUCGUGCUGGUUCAACUCAAAAUGAAAAAAUAUAUAUGUGUGUGUGUGUAUGAUGGGAGCUGCUCCACCUUCUGAUGCAUCACAAUGGGAAUUCAGCUGGUUUUAAUUCUCUCUCUUGGCUACUUAUGCUUCUUUAAUUUAACAUUUUGAUAUGUAUUUAUUAUGCUAGAGUUUCAACUAAGUAUCCAUUUACUGGGAUUUUCCACUUUUGAAAAAUGUUAAUUUUGCCUUAUUUAUUCAAUAUUAUUAUCUUCCUCUGUGAAAUUCGCAAAAAUUUUAUGCUUUAGUUGGUUAUUCAAUGGGGGUUUGUUCCAUUUUGUUCUUAUACUGUUUGUAUAUAUGAGAGGUUUGGUUUCUGAAGAUGGGUUUCAGUCAAUUGUCUUCAAAGCUUUAUUUCCUAAAAGAGGAAAAAAAAUACCAAAAUGUUUAAUUCUACUGUUACAUGUUUGUGUUCUUAGGUUCUGCUAUGCUUUGUAUAUUUCUUAAUGCUAGAAAGAUGUGUGCUCUUCUAAUAUGAUUGUUUAGGAUGAAUAUGAGUUGGUUAUCGAGUUGCAAUAUAUCAAAUAAAUUGAAGACAACUUGCUUCAUAGGUUUUGAUUCUAUUAAUUGUUUUUAUUUCAAGUAUGACACGAUUGCAUGGGUGUUUGAUGAGGCUAAUAGUGACUUCUUAGGGUUGAUGCUAUAGGUUUCUUUUAUUGUUGUCUAGUAUCGAAACUUGAAAACAAAAUUUAAAGAUAAUGCUUAUGAUAUGAACACAAAUGUUUGUAACAGUAGCUUGAACAAAAUGGAAGGAAAUCUGUUGACUGGAAUGAUUCAUGAAGCUAAAUCGGUUUUUUUGUUGCUAUUUUUAAGGACUAUGACCACUUCUUCAUGCUAUUUUUCUGCACUUAUUUAUUAUGCUCAAAUGUAGCAGAUUUUUCUGCACUUUAGUUUUCAUUAUGUUGUAUAAAUAGAUGAUUUUGUUGCUCAAUAAAAUAUAACUCAGCAGUCUACAAACUAGCCUUCUCUCAUUAUCUUUAUAUCCAACAUAAUGGUAUCAGAGCUAUAAUCUUUAGGGACCUGUGAGAUUGAGAAAGUUUCAACACAAUUCCUAAACAAUUAUCACCUAUCUUCCCAAAAACAAAAAACCUUUCCAGAAUGAAUUUAGAAAGUCCAUUAACUGCAAUUGCACCUCCAGUGUUUGAUGGAAAAAAUUACCAAGCGUGUGCUGUUAGAAUGGAGGCUUAUCUUGAUGCUAAUGAUCUGUGGGAAGCUGUUGAACAAAUAUAUGAAGUUCCACCCCAGCCAGACAAUCCAACUCUUGCACAAAUCAGAAAUCAAAAAGAGAUGAAGUAAAGAAAAUCAAAAGCAAAAGCAACCUUGUUUGCAGCAGUCCCAUCCACCAUUUUUUCCAGAAUAAUGACGCUCAAAACAGCCAAGGAAAUUUGAGAUUUUUUGAAGCAAGAAUACGAAGGAAAUGAAAGGGUCAAAGGGAUGCAAGUGCUGAAUUUGAUCCUAGAAUUAGAGAUGAAAAAGAUGAAAGAAUCAGAAACAAUUCAGGAAUAUUCUGACAGACUUUUUAAGAUUCAACAAGGUAAGACUCCUUGGCACUGAUUUUUCUGAUUCUAAAGUUGUUUAAAAAAUCCUAGUCACAGUUCCUGAAAAGUUUGAGGCUACAAUUUCAUCUUUGGAAAACUCAAGAGAUAUGUCAAGUAUUACCUUGACAGAAUUGUUGAAUGCACUGCAGGCACUGGAGCAAAGAAGGCUUAUGAGACAAGAAGGAUCUCUGGAGGGUGCUUUUCAAGCCAAAUCACAAAACAACAAAGGUGGCAAAAAUAAGAAAAAACAGAACAAAGACAACAAGCUUGGAGGUUCUGCAAGCAGUAACAAAAAUAGCCAAAGUAGUAACACUCAAGUCUUUCCACCUUGCCCUUACUGCAAAAAAACCAAUCAUCCACAAAAUAAGUGUUGGUGGAGAGUAGAUGUAAAAUGUCACAAGUGUGGUCAGUUAGGGCACGUGGAAAGGAUAUGCAAGACUCAACAACAACAAAGAGAAGCCAAGGCUAUUGAGGAUCAACCCCAAGAGGAACAGCUGUUUGUGGUAUCGUGCUUUGCCACCAACAGCUCCACAGAGAGUUGGCUUAUAAAUAGUGGUUGUACAAACCACAUGACUUAUGAUCCAGAGCUCUUCAGAGAGCUUGACGCGCCUAGUAUUUCCAAAGUCAGAAUUGGAAAUAGGCCACACAUUGCAGUAAAAGGCAAAGGAACAAUAGCGAUUGAAGGCCAUACAGGUCUGAAAUUGAUUCAUGAUGUUUUAUAUGUUCCUGAAAUUAAUCAAAAUCUUUUGAGUGUUACUCAGUUGUUAGAAAAAGGCUAUAAGGUGUUGUUUGAAGACAAGAACUGUGUGAUCAAAGAUGCAAAAGACAGAGAAGUAUUCAAAGUUCAAAUGAAAGGCAAAAGCUUUGCCUUGGAUUUGAUGAAAGAAGAGCAGGCUUAUGUACACAGAGAACAUAGCAAUACAUUGAUUUGGCACAAGAGGUUAGGGCAUUUUCAUCAUAUUACUCUACUCUACAUGAAAAAGAACAAUCUAGUCAAAGGCUUGCCUGAAUUAGAGGAGAAGUCUCCUAGAUGUGCUGCCUGUCAGUAUGGAAAGCAAACCAGGAUUCUGUUUCAACAAAAUAAGGCCUGGAGGGCUAUACAGAGGUUGCAAUUAAUACACACAGAUGUGGGAGGACCAAUAAAAACACCAUCUUUGAAUAAUAGUAAGUAUUAUAUUGUUUUCAUUGAUGAUUACUCAAGAAUGUGCUGGAUUUAUUUUAUGAAGCUUAAAUCUAAGGUUGCUGACAUCAUUGUGACGUUUAAAGCUUGUGUUGAAACUCAAAGCAGAUGCAAGAUGCAGGUGAUUAGGUCCGAUAAUGGAACAGAAUAUAUCUUUGAAAAAUUUAACAAGUUUUGUGAAGAUUCAGGCAUUGAACAUUAACUGACAGCACCUUACACUCCUCAGUAAAAUGGUGUUGUGGAGAGGAAAAACCAGACAAUAAUGGAGAUGGCAAGAUGCUUACUUCAUGACAAAGGGCUACCGAAGAAAUUUUGGUCUAAGGCCGUAAACACUGCAGUUUUUUUAUUGAACAGAUUGCCAACAAAAGCUUUACAGAAAAAACUCCAUUUGAAGCAUGGUAUGGCUACAAACUAAAGCUGCUUAAUCUGAAGAUAUUUGGUUGUCUAUGUUUCUCUUACAUCCCUCAAGUUAAGAGAGACAAAUUAGACAAAAGAGCAGAACCUGGAAUUUUUGUAGGCUCUAGCUCAACCUCAAAAGCCUAUAGGAUUUACUUACUGCAAAACAACAAAGUAAUCGUCAGUAGGGAUGUUCAAUUCUUUGAGUUAGAUAAUUAGAGUUGGGAGAAUGACAAGAAGCUUAAGGUCGAGGAAGAGAAUAAUGAUACGGACGAUGAAAAUGUUAGAGAAACCAGAUCACUCUUUGACAUCUAUCAGAGGUGUAAUAUUGUUGUAAUGGAGCCUGUAUGAUAUGAAGAAGCUAUAAAUGAUCAGAAGUGGAUAGUUGCAAUGAAGGAUGAGCUAAAGAUAAUUGAAAAGAAUCAGACAUGGGAGUUGGUAGACAGACCUGAACACAAGAAAGCUAUAUGAGUCAAGUGGGUUUAUAGGACCAAGCUCAAUCCUGAUGGUUCUAUAAACAAGCACAAGGCAAGACUGAUUUUUAAGGGAUAUGCCCAGAUGUUUAGGGUAGAUUUUUCUGAAACUUUUGCCAUUGUUGCCAGGUUGGAUACCAUAAGGAUGUUGCUAGCUCUUGCUGUACAGCAAGGUUGGGUUAUACACCAAAUGGAUGUCAAAUCAGCCUUUUUGAAUGGAUACUUGGAGGAAGAAAUUUUUGUGGAGCAACCUAAAGGGUUUGCUUUUCCAGGACAAGAUGAGAAGGUAUAUCGACUGAAGAAAACCCUGUAUGAUUUAAAAUAGGCACCAAGGUCCUGAUAUAGCAAAAUUGACACACACUUAGCAAACUUAGGCUUCGAAAAAAGUAUGAGUAAAUCUACUUUAUAUAUCAAGAAGGCUGAUAAUGAAAUACUUGUGGUAUCUCUGUAUGUUGAUGAUCUACUUGUUACAGGAAGUAGCAAGGAGUUGAUUGACAAGUUUAAAGAAGAAAUGAAAGAUGUCUUUGAAAUGACAGACCUUGGUAUGCAGGUACAUCAAAAGGAAAAUGAAAUAUUUCUAUGCCAGCAAAAAUAUGAAAAGGAAGUUCUCAAGAAAUUUAACAUGGAAGAGUGCAAGCCAAUUGCAACUCCAAUGAAUCAAAAGGAGAAGUUUUGCAAAGAAGAUGGAGCUGAAAAGGUGGAUGAAAGAUUGUACAGGAGCCUAAUAGGCUGCCUAAUGUAUUUAACUAAACCAGACUAGAUAUCAUGCAUGCAGUGAAAUUCAUUUUCAGGCAGCAAAAAGAAUUCUUAGAUAUGUUAAGGGCACAAUUGAUUACGGAAUAAGGUUUAAUCAAGUUAAAAACUUCAAUCUUCAUGGAUAUUCUAAUAGUGAUUGGGCUAGAUGUGUUGAUGACAUGAGAAGCACCUCAGGUUACUGUUUUAGCUUUGGUUUUGGAAUAUUUUCAUGGUAUUCUAAGAAGCAAGAAGUUGUAGCUCAUUCUAUAGCAGAAGCAGAAUAUGUAGCUACUGCUGUGAAUCAAGCUCUUUGGAUCAGGAAACUUAUGACAGAUUUGCAUAUGGAACAACAAGAAGGCACACAAAUAUUUGUGGACAACCAAGCUGCAAUUUCAAUUGCUAAUAAUCCAAUGUUCCAUGGCAAAACAAAACACUUUAAGAUAAAACUUUAUUUUCUAAGAGAGGUACAAAGAGAAGGAGAAGUGCAGUUGAUCUACUGCAAAAUAGAAAAUAAAAGUGCUGACAUCUUAACAAAAGCACUUCCAAAGAUUAGAUAUGAAUUCUUGAGGCAAACGUUUGGUGUAUGCAGCUCCAGAGUCAAGGAGGAGAAUAUUGACUGGAAUGACUCAUGAAGCUAAAUUAGUUUUUUUGUUGCUAUUUUUUUAGGACUAUGACCACUUCUUCAUGUUAUUUUCCUGCGCUUAGUUAUUAUGCUCAAAUGUAGCAGAUUUUUCUGCACUUUAGUUUUCAUUGUGUUGUAUAAAUAGAUGAUUUUGUUGCUCAAAAAAAUAUAACUCAACAGUCUACAAACUAGCCUUCUCUCAUUAUCUUUAUAUCCAACAAAAUCGAUAAGAAUAGGUUAAUUCUUGGAAAUCUAGACCUCCAAAAUAGUAUUGGUUAUUUGAGAAACCAAUAAACUCCCAAAAGACAACUUACAACUCGCGAGAACAGUAAUACUCAAGACACUCUUUUAUUCAAUAACAUCAAGUUUUAAAUAAAACUUUAGUUCAAAACAAGCAUAAAAAUAGCAAGCAUUAAGCAUGUUCUCCAUCAUGCUCCAUGAAUCCACAAAAUAAGGAACCAACUAACAACUUAAUUUUGACUUAUUAAAAACCAACUACUGUCAAAAUAUAAAGUAAAUAAUUAAAAGAAAAUUAUAAUGGAAAGAUUGUAACAUUUUUUCUAAUUUUUUGUUAUUAUGCUUACUCUAAUGGAUGGGUGGUGGCUCAUAUUGUUAAAUUUUGGAUUGGACAAUUUACUGGCAUGUGAACUAAUUUGUAAUUUAGUUAUAAGUUGUGUGAACAAUAAAAAAACAAAGGGUAAAGUCAGUGGUAAUAUUAUCAGAAUAUUGGAAUUGUUCUAAAAGAUUUUGAAUAAACUGGCAACGAGGAAACUAUAAUAUUGGAACUUGAGUGGGUGAAUUGUUCUCAGUUUUGUUUGUUGAGGAACACAACAGAGCAUCAGUAAUUCCUCCGUUGUUUACGAUUGAUCUAUUUCUUUUUUUCCCUUUACGGUGUAGUGCUCUUUGUCCACCUUUCAGAAGCUUUUUUAGAGGAACUGUACCUGAAAUGUUUUGUUGUUUCUUAGAAAAGGGUUUUUCCCAUGCAGUGACUUUGAAGUGGAUUAUGAGUCUAAUGAGAAUGCAUCAAUUGUGUAUGCGGCAUUAGCUGUUGAUAAGGAGGUGAUGCAUCAUGAUCCUAAGAUCAUACCUUGCUCCUUUAACUUUGUUGCUUCUUCAAUAAAUUCUUACUUGGAUUCAAUUUCCCAAUGCAGUUGCAACCAGACAAAGUGAAAAGGCAGAUAUCUGUCGUUAAUGGGAAACUUUUAGUGUAAGUUUCUGUUCUUUGAUCAUUCAUGGUUAGAAGACUCAUUACAUAACUGAUUUUUCAUUCUUGUCCAAUAUUCAUUCAAUUUGCACCUACUAGUUUAUCCUAUGAGACAAUAUUCAUUUGGAAAUUUUGUGUGGCCUGUUUAAUAAUCAUUUUUUUUUAUGAAACUACGUCUUGAAUAUGAUUCAGCCCGCUCCAAUCUGAUGAAUCGUGAUCCUUCUCCUUCUUUGGAUGUGUGCUUUAAAGAAUUACUUCGUGAAGAGCAACGUCUUGCAACACAAACUAUUCUCCAGUAAAAUAAAAUGCAUGAUAAUGCAAUUGCUUAUGCUGCAGCUCAUGGGAAAAGCAAAAGGAGAGACAUGCGACAAGUUCAAUACUUUAGCUGUAAGGAAUACAGACAUAUUGCUGUUAAUUAUGCAAAGAAAUUUUGCAACUAUUGUAAGAAGCCUAGGCAUAUUAUCAAAGAAUGUCCUAUUCGUCCCCAAAAUCGUUAAGCUAGUUAGGUCGUUGUUGCUAGUUAGGCCGCUGUUGCUAAUCAGGCUAUUGAUGGUUCAACAACUGUUGAUAAAUUAGUUCUUACUCUAGAAAUGGUUAAGUAGAUGAUAAAAGCCUUUUCAGCCUUAAGGCUUCAAGGUAAACACACUAUACCAUCUUUCUUUUGGCUUGUUGAUUUUGGCUCAUCCAAUCAUAUGACUAAUUCCAGCGACACUCUUAGCAAUGUUCAAAAAUAUUAUGGAAACAUUCAUAUUGCUAAUGGUAGUAAGCUACCUAUUCAUGCUAUUGGGGACAUUAAUUUUUCCAUUAAAGAUGUUCUUGUAUCUCCCUAGCUUUCUACUAAUCUUAUUUCAGUAGGAAAAUUGGUUGAUAAUAAUUGUGAUGUUCGAUUUUCCCGUGAUAGUUGUAUUGUGCAGGAUCAGUUGUCGGGGAAGAUACUAGCGAAGGGGCCUAAAGUUGGACACUUGUUUCCUUUGCACUUUUCUGUUUCUAAUUUCGUUUCUUUGGUUAGUAUUGCUGUAAACCAAAAGAGUGAAAUAUGGCACAAAUGUUUAGGCCAUCCUAAUUCUGUUGUCCUGUCUCAUUUAAUAAAUUCAGGUUUAUCGGGCAAUAAAGAUCAGUUUCCUCUCAAUUUUCUUUUGAUUGCUCUGCUUGUAAAUUAGGAAAAAGCAAGUCUUUUUCUUUUCCUUCUCAUGGUAGUUGUGCAGAAAAUUGUUUUGAUAAUUCAUAGUGACGUGUGGGGCAUUACUCCUGUUAUAUCUCAUGCCAAUUAUAAGUACUUUGUCACAUUCAUUGACGAUUACAAUAAGUAUACUUGGAUUUAUUUUCUUCGUUCUAAAUCUGAGGUAUUUUCUGUCUUCAAAACAUUUGUAGCCUAUAUUGAGACUCAAUUUUCUUCAAAUAUUAAAGUGCUCAGAUCAGAUUCUGGUGGCGAAUAUAUGUCCCAUGAGUUUCAUGAUUUUCUUCAGCAAAAGGGAAUUGUUUCCCAACGCUCAUGUCCUUAUACACCUCAGCAAAAUGGUGUUACUGAACGUAAGAACCGUCAUUUAUUAGAUGUUGUUCGAACUUUAUUACUUGAAUCUUUUGUUCCAUCUAAAUUCUGGGUUGAAGCCUUAAGUACACCAGUUUAUCUAAUUAAUCGCUUGCCUUCAAGCGUCUUGAACUUUGAAUCUCCCUAUUAUCAUCUUUAUCAUAAGCAUCCCAACUAUCUUGACAUGCAUACUUUUGGCUGUGUUUGUUUUGUUCAUGUGCCACCUCAUGAAAGUUGUAAGCUUUCUGCUCAAUCUGUUAAAUGUGCUUUUAUGGGCUAUAGUGCUUCACACAAAGGUUAUGUUUGCUACGAUCCAUGUUCUAACAGAUUUCGUAUUUCUCGUCAUGUUAUUUUCUUUGAAAAUCAAUUCUUCUUUUUUAUACAUGUUGAGUCUUCACUAAAGUCACUUGUUCUUCCUAGUUUUGAUGAGGUAAAUACUACUAUUGAGAGAUUCAAGCCUGGAUUUGUUUAUACACGACAACGCCCAACUUUCCAGCCUCCUGAGCUUGAUCCGACAUCUAAGCCUGUUCAAGCUAUUUCUUCCAUGGACAAUCAGCCCUCAAACACUAUUGUUCGCCGCUCUUCCAGAAUCAUUCGACCACCUAAUCGGUAUGGAUUUCACACAUCUCUUCAUACUACUUUGACCAGUGUUUCUAUUCCUUUAUGUUAUUCAGAAGUUGCGAAAUAUGAUUGUUGGUGAGGCUAUGGAAGAAGAACUUCAAGCUCUUGAGGACAAUCACACAUGGGAUAUUGUUCAUUGUCGGACUAAUGUUAAACCUAUUGGUUGUAAAUGGGUCUACUCAAUCAAGCUUCGUUCAGAUGGUUCUCUAGAUCGCUAUAAGGCACGACUAGUUGCCCUUGGUAACAAACAUGAGUAUGGGGUCAAUUAUGAAGAGACUUUUGCUUCGGUUGCCAAAAUGACUACAGUUCGUACAAUUAUUUCAAUUGCUGCCUCAUAAGGUUGGCCACUUCAUCAAAUGGAUGUUAAAAACGCUUUUCUUCAUGGUGAUCUCAAAGAGGAGAUUUACAUGGUUCUACCACAUGACUUGCCUUCCUCCUCUUCUUUAGAUGUCUGUAAGUUGAAGCGAUCGUCUAUGGGUUGAAGCAAGCUCCCUGGGCUUGGUUUGAUAAAUUCCAAUCCACCUUGCUUCAAUUCUCAUUUAAGCAAAGCCAAUAUGACUCAUCAUUGUUUCUUUGCAAGACAUCUACUGGUAUUGUUCUUCUCCUAGUUUAUGUUGAUGAUAUUGUUAUUACUGGGACAGAUUCUGCCUUAAUUGCUCGGUUGCAACAACAUCUUCAAGCCUAAUUUCAUAUGAAGGAUCUUGGUCCUCUUACUUAUUUCUUGGGUUUGGAAGUUCAUUAUGAUUCUUCAGGGAUUUCUUUGAAUUAACAUAAAUACACACAAGAUUUGCUUAAAUUAGCUGGUCUUCAUAAUGCCUCUCCUGUGGAUACUUUGCUAGAAGUCAACACAAAGUAUAGUAGUGAGGAAGGUAAACUCAUUUAUAAUCCUACUAUCUAUCGAUAAUUGGUAGGAAGCUUGAAUUAUUUGACUAUUACGAGGCCGAAUAUUUCCUUUGUUGUCCAGCAAGUAAGUCAAUUCAUGCAACAUCCCGUCAUUUACAUUUAGCUGUUGUUCAUCGUAUCCUUCGAUACCUUCGCAGGACUCCUAGCCGUAGAUUGUUCUCUCCGGCCUGUUCUCCUCCUCAUCUUGUUGCCUAUAGUGAUGCUGAUUGGGCUGGCUGUCCGGACACUCGACGAUCUGUCACAGGCUGGUGUAUGUUUCUUGGGAAUUUCUUGAUUUCUUGGAAGAGUAAGAAGCAAGAUCGUGUUUCUAAAUCUUCAACUGAAUAUGAAUACCGUGCUAUGUCUGCUGCUUGUUCAAAGAUUGUUUGACUUCGUGGACUUCUAGCCGAGCUUGGUUUCUCUCAAUCUAAUCCCACUCCACUCUAUGCUGAUAACACUAGUGCUAUUCAUAUUGCUGCAAACCCGGUUUUCCAUGAGCGUACUAAGCAUAUAUAUUGAGGUGGAUUGUCAUUAUAUUCGUGAAGCUUUGGACACUCGUAUUAUUUCUCUUCCUCAUAUUUCCACUACUCUCCAGAGAGCCGAUGUAUUUACCAAGGCUAUGACACGAAAGCGUCAUCAAUUUCUUGUGAGUAAAUUGAUGCUCCUUGAUCGAUCAGCAUCAAUUUGAGGGGGGAUGACAGCAUAUAUGAAGGUAUAAAUUAUGUAUCCUGGCUGUAUAUAUAUUGUAAUUAGGAGGAUCUGUAAUUUCCUUAUUUAGAUAGAUCUAAUUACUAGAAAUUAGCCUCGAUUUGGUUGAUGUAAUAGCUGAAAAUCAGCCUUGUAAAUCUCUACAGUUUCUAUAUAAUGAGAGGAAUUCUCACAAGGAGAGAUAUUCAAUCCAAUUGAUAAAAAGAAUGCUCGGUUAUGUAAGAAAAUGAAAACAAUUUAUAGUUGCAAUACACUCAUCAAUAAUCUCAGGAAUCUCUGAUGAUUGAAUUACAAUUUUUUAAAAUCCAUUCUAGAAUUCAAGCAUACCUGUUCAUGCAAGAUACUCGAUGCUCUGGAUCCGAAACUUCAUCGGCCUUUGCAUCUAAGGGAUCAUUAACCUUACAAGUCACAGAACCCAAAUGGUCCACAAUAUUGACAGAGCGUUGAUGGCAUAAUCUUUCAAUGUUUCCACCACUCUGCAUAAAUGUGAAGAUGGUUUAUUUUCUCAAUAGAAAAUUGAAAUUAUCAGCUGUAAUUAGAGCAACUCACAUUUGUUUUUGGUCAUCACUGGUGUACCAUAGUUCAAGAUAUUCGGCCUCUGAGUAUAACAUUGUUCUCAGUUUUUUCAAAUCCUGAAAGUAAAGUCGCUUGAGUUAAAAAAAGACCAAAGUAAAUAUUUCCAUAAGAACUCAAAUCUAUUGCAAAUUGGUGCUUUUGUAUUUCCAUAAAUGGCUAUCUACCCCAAGGCUUGUUGAAAACUGAGUAUAAUUUGGAAAUUGACACACGAUCCACCGUUUGAAUCAUAUAAACAAGUAUCGCAUGAUUAAACAAGAAUUGGCUUUGAAGACAUAUGUCCCUAUUUGCCAAAAUCAUUUAUUUUUCUCUUUCUCUUUUCUUAAAAGUGAAUGCUGAAGUGGGUGCAACUUUUAGUAAUAGCUAUUAGUAGCAAAAACAAAGAUUGCACGCUGUAAAACAACUGUAAUAGGGAGACUGGUAUAGGCAUCUAAUCCAACAGAUUAAAACAAAAUAGAGAAACAGUAGUACCUUGAGACUAUCAGAGAACAGCAAGCUCUGCGGCCUUUUCUUAAAAGUGAUUGAUUAUGAUGAAACAUUUAACCUUGUAAUUAAGCCUGCUCCGGUUUGCUUUGUGUUUGGCAUUAUUACAAGACGGUAUUUGCGACAACUUGAUGUGAGCAAUGCCUUUUUACACGGGCAUCUAUCAAAGGAGGUAUUUAUGUCUCAGCUACCUGGUUUUAUUGAUCCCACAUAUCCUACUCAUGUUUGCAAACUUGAAAAGGAACUCUCUGCCCUUAAGCAAGCCCACGUUCUUGGAACAACACUGAGCUUCGAAACUUUCUUCUAUUGACGGGGAUUUUUCACUUGUAUCUAAUCUCAUGCUGGUGUGCAUGAGAUUAUCUUUGUGGGUAAAUAAACUUUCAUCCGUCGCCACAAUGUAGGGGCAUAUUAAAGAUACUCUCAAAGUCACGGUGUAAUUGUGCAAUCUUUUUAUCAUUUGUAUAUUUGACUUUCAUAACUUUAAACUAUAAUUGUGCACUUACUAUAAUUAACUAGCUUUAGUUGUGUAUAUAUUGAAAUCAUAUCAAUAGAAACAGUAAGCUGCGUUGUUAUUUCCUUUCUCUAUAUUAUUUAUUGUAUAAACCUAACAACUUUCAGCCCUUUUUUUCCCCAAAUCUGACACUUUUUUUUUUAUAAAUUUUAUUUACCCACACCUGUGUCGUUUGUCUCACUUUUUCUUUUUAUUUUCACUUAUUUCGUUACCCAGGCCACACUUUCAUAAACUUUGUCCCGGCCCCGCACUCUACUUUUGUUAGUUUUAUCAAAUGAGCAGCAUUAGCAGCACCAUGUAAUUAUACCCCCUUCUGGUAUAUCAGGGAAGCCGAAUAACAAAUACAUCCGCAAAAUAUCUACCAAAGAUAUUUCAACAAGCUGGUCGAGCACUGGACAGGGAAUUCAUCCGCAAUUUCUAUUUGUAUGAAUUGACGAUCUGUCCGGUGUCCCCUUGCCUACUCAUCAUACAUAUAAAAAUUGAAAUUAGGCUAUUUAGGAUUAAAGAUAACAGGGAAUGGAAAUAUGGAAUCGUUAAUUGUUAUACCCAUGACCCAUCUAAUUUGCAAAUGGUUCUUUCUCUUUCAAUAUUGUUUUCAACUGAUUUUGGGGUAGGAAAAUCCAAAAUCAAUCUUCAACAAUGAAUUUAUAUUUUUGGGGGAGAUGGGGUACCUCACUAGUUUAUUGUGUGCGGUGCGGUGUAUCUGAAAUGCGGGGGAGGUGAGAAGGGGAGAGAGAGUGGUAACAAUGGUGGAAGGCCAGAAAUAAGUGAGGUGUCCCUCAAAAUGAGCUUCACGCUUGCAAAACAGUAAAAUAGAGGUUAGAGGUGAAGCCGGGGUACCCCGGCGUUCACACUCCGACGCUCAAGUUAGCAAACUCAAGCUUUAAUGGUAAAGAGAGCUGGCCAGCCCUCUGUAAAUUUAGGGUUUAAGGUUGAAGAAAACCUAUUUUUUGGAGUGUGAGUGUUAAUGGUGAGUGAGAGCAUGAUGGAGAAUGAAACCUAGGCACCUUUAUAUAUGGAGUACCUCAGCUGCCACGUGGCAUACCCUUUUUGGCUAACGUCCUUUUACCUCUUUAUAAUUGUUUUUGGGCCGUUAUUUGCAUGUUCGCGGCGUAUCUCAUCUUUUGGAAACGUAGCGCGCGCUGGAGAGUGGUCCAGGGUACCUCUGCAGUAGCUGUCGGGUAGGCAGCUAGGGACCACUGUCCUUGGGACAGUGUCCUUCACUUUUGGCAGAGGUAGCAGGCGGCUGUCCCUCCUUUUAGCACGUCGCUUUUGAUUCCUAAUUCUGACUAAAUCAAAUGAUAUCUUUUAGGAGGCGGAGACGUUUCUCAUGGCGGGUAUUUUCGGUGGAUUCUCUUGCAUCCGCUUUGCCGGGUACCUUGAAUUACAUGGGGUACCCCCUAUUACGCGGGGUACCCCUAUCUGUAUGGGGUACCUCUAUUUGUAUGGAGUACCUCAUAUCAUAUGGGGUACCUCUAUUUGUGUGGGAUACCUCUAAUUGUGCAGGGUACCUCUAUUUAUACGGGGUACCUCAAGUCAUGCCGAGCACCUCGGAUUAUGCAGGGUACUUCGGAUUGCACUGAAGUUAUUUCAUUCUUCGACACAUGGCGUUCUACUAUCUUUCUUAUUUUUACCCCAAACAACAUCCCCCUAGUUUCUUUUGGCGAGAAGUAUUGGAGGCAAAAGAAACUUACAUAAAAAGUAUGAGCGACACGUGGCGAUAUGACGUUUAGCUCGAUGGACAGCUGAAUAGAGGACGCCUCUAGGGGUACCCUUAAGCUUGGAUAUCCCCUGAGCUAUCUGUUACUUCAUGGCGGGAUAACCCAAUUUUAUCAAACAUAUGGCGAUUCCUUCAAAUAUGCUUGCUGCUUAUCUCAGGCUCUCUUAGUGUAUUUGAGGAGUGACUUUCUGGCGUGGGGUACCUUGGACGUACCCUUAAUUAGUGUAUGGCGAUUUUUAGAAAAAUGCUUACCACAAAUCUUCACAAAACUUGUGGCGAUUCUUUUUGAGAGAUGAUGGAAAACCUCAUGAUCCACCAUUCACUCUACAUCAAAUAUGCAAGACAAAUAGUAAUAAAGGUGGGCUGCUCGCCUACCCUUAUGCAAGAUGGUCAAAAAUCUCAUGAUCUGCCAUUCGCGUAGAAUCAAAUAGACAACAUAGAUUGAGAUAAAGGUGGCUGCUCGCCUACCCUUAUGCGAGAUGGUCGAAAAGCUCAUGAUCCACCAUUCGUAUGGAAUCAAAUAGACAAUAUAGAUUGAGAUAAAGGCGGCUGCUCGCCUACCCUUAUGCGAUAUGGUCGAAAACCUCAUGAUCCACCAGUCGUUGGAAUUAAAUAAACAAUAUAGAUUGAGAUAAAGGUGGCUGCUCGCCUACCCUUAUGCGAUAUCGUCGAAAACCUCAUGAUCCACCAUUCGCUGGAAUCAAAUAGACAACAUAGAUUGAGAUGAAGGUGGCUGCUCGCCUAUCCUUAUGCGAGAUGGUCGAAAACCUCAUGAUCCACCAUUCGCAUGGAAUCAAAUAGACAAUAUAGAUUGAGAUAAAGGUGGCUGCUCACCUACCCUUAUGCGAGAUGGUCGAAAACCUCAUGAUCCACCAUUCGCUGGAAUCAAAUAGACAACAUAGAUUGAGAUGAAAGUGGCUGCUCGCCUACCCUUAUGCGAGAUGGUCGAAAACCUCAUGAUCCACCAUUCGCAUGGAAUCAAAUAGACAAUAUAGAUUGAGAUAAAGGUGGCUGCUCACCUACCCUUAUGCGAGAUGGUCGAAAACCUCAUGAUCCACCAUUCGCUGGAAUCAAAUAGACAACAUAGAUUGAGAUGAAAGUGGCUGCUCGCCUACCCUUAUGCGAAAUGAUUGAAACCUCAUGAUCGACCAUUCGCUCAGAAUCAAAUAUGGUGAACAAAUAAUGAUAAAGGCGGCUCUGAUGUUGAGUAGAUUAUUAUAAUUGGCGAUAGGUAGGGUACCUCGGGUACCCUGGAGUAAGGUGAUCCCUGGAUACCCUCUUGCAUCAUAAUAAACAAUACUUUUACUAGUAGUAUGACUUUUCUUUGUUAGAUUAGUGGCCCAAAUCGAGACUGAAACCGAGUCUUCAACCGAGGUACCCCGUUUUUCAUCUUUGGGUAUUCGAGGAUCCAAAGGUGCCUCCAAUUCACAUUUGAGCUUAAUUUGUUCCCCGUGGGGUAUCCCCGCAUAACUCUAGAGUAACUAGUUAUGGGAUACCCUACCACCGAGGCCUCGAUGGUGGCUCUUGCUGCUCUGGUGGUGGCGAUCUUGGAGGUUGGGGUACCCGUGAGAUACCCUAAGUGUUAAACACUCGUCCCCGCGGGGCAACCCGUGGAGGGCUCCGCAUUUGGGGUACCCCUGGUAUUGGGGCUUCCGUCCUCUUCAGCUUCUUCUUAUUCUUUGUGACCUCGACCUUAUCUUCUUGGCGCUUCAAAUGACAUUUCUCAUCCAUGUCCACUUGCUGCAAUGCCCGGGAACGGGCUUAAUCUGGUCCCCGUGGGGUACCCCGCAUAACUCUAGAGUAACUAGUUAUGGGGUACCCUACCACUGAGGCCUCGGUGGUGGCUCUUGCUGCUCUGGUGGUGGCGAUCUUGGAGGUUCGGGUACCCGUGAGAUACUCUGAGUGUUAAACACUCGUCCCCGCGGGGCAACCCAUGGAGGGCUCCGCAUUCGGGGUACCCUUGGUAUUGGGGCUUCCGUCCUCUUCGGCUUCUCCUUAUUCUUUGUGACCUCGACCUUAUCUUCUUGGAGCUUCCAAUGACAUUUCUCAUCCAUCUCCACUUGCUGCAACUCCUGGGAAUGGGCUUAAUCUGGUCCCCGUGGGGUACCCCGCAUAACUCUAGAGUAACUAGUUAUGGGGUACCCUACCACCGAGGCCUUGGUGGUGGCUCUUGCUGCUCUGGUGGUGGCGAUCUUGGAGGUUUGGGUACCCGUGAGAUGCUCUGAGUGUUAAACACUCGUCCCCACGGGGCAACCCGUGGAGGGUUCCGCAUCUGGGGUACCCUCGGUGUACCCGAUGAUGUCGCCGCCAUUUGAGAAGCCCUUUUGGCGUUUAACUUCUCACGGAGAUCCUCGUGGGUACGCUUUGCACGCCUCGUACCCUGGCUACUGCAGGAAUUGCAAGAGGCGGUAGAACGCUCGUCGCGGGAGCCCAUGGUUUGAAACUUAGAACGGGUACCCGAUGGCCUAGGCUUUGGCUUGCUGGCCUCGGGUACCCCUCUUCUGACCAUAGCUUGGUCGUCCGUUUGAGGUGGUGGAGCUUCUAGCGUCACUGGUGGAAGUGAACUUUUGGGUGCCCGAGAUCCGACCGCCCUAAGUAUUGCGUGAGUAAGAUCCUCAAAACGCUUGUGCGAAAUAGGUUCUUCUUCUUGGCGAACACCCGUCGACUGCUUGACACCCUUGCCCUUACUGAUGCGGGCUACCCUUCUCGCGGGAUCACUGCCUUCACUGCUGCUGUCCUCUCUCAUCCUUGUAGGAUCCCCCAUUAAACCUUCGGGAGGUACGUCGGGUGCCAUGUAUUGGAGUACACACAACAACUAGUUUGGUAACCGUGGAGGAGGCUUUUUGUGCGUUUCCCCACAGACGGCGCCAAUUGUUUUCAACUGAUUUUGGGGUAGGAAAAUCCAAAAUCAAUCUUCAACAAUGAAUUUAUAUUUUUGGGGGAGAUGGGGUACCUCACUAGUUUAUUGUGUGCGGUGCGGUGUAUCUGAAAUGCGGGGGAGGUGAGAAGGGGAGAGAGAGUGGUAACAAUGGUGGAAGGCCAGAAACAAGUGAGGUGUCCCUCAAAAUGAGCUUCACGCCUGCAAAACAGUGAAAUAGAGGUUAGAGGUGAAGCCGGGGUACCCCGGCGUUCACACUCCGACGCUCAAGUUAGCAAACUCAAGCUUUAAUGGUAAAGAGAGCUGGCCAGCCCUCUGUAAAUUUAGGGUUUAAGGUUGAAGAAAACCUAUUUUUUGGAGUGUGAGUGUUAAUGGUGAGUGAGAGCAUAAUGGAGAAUGAAACCUAGGCACCUUUAUAUAUGGAGUACCUCAGCUGCCACGUGGUAUACCCUUUUUGGCUAACGUCCUUUUACCUCUUUAUAAUUGUUUUUGGGCCGUUAUUUGCAUGUUCGCGGCGUAUCUCAUCUUUUGGAAACGUGGCGCGCGCUGGAGAGUGGUCCAGGGUACCUCUGCAGUAGCUGUCGGGUAGGCAGCUAGGGACCACUGUCCUUGGGACAGUGUCCUUCACUUUUGGCAGAGGUAGCAGGCGGCUGUCCCUCCUUUUAGCACGUCGCUUUUGAUUCCUAAUUCUGAAUAAAUCAAAUGAUAUCUUUUAGGAGGCGGAGACGUUUCUCAUGGCGGGUAUUUUCGGUAGAUUCUCUUGCAUCCGCUUUGCCGGGUACCUUGAAUUACAUGGGGUACCCCCUAUUACGCGGGGUACCCCUAUCUGUAUGGGGUACCUCUAUUUGUAUAGAGUACCUCAUAUCAUAUGGGGUACCUCUAUUUGUGUGGGAUACCUCUAAUUGUGCAGGGUACCUCUAUUUAUACGGGGUACCUCAAGUCAUGCCGAGCACCUCGGAUUAUGCAGGGUACUUCGGAUUGCACUGAAGUUAUUUCAUUCUUCGACACAUGGCGUUCUACUAUCUUUCUUAUUUUUACCCCAAACAAAUAUUAUUGUACGUAUUUGCAAGGAAACCUCCUCUAUCUUUCUUGCAAUUAAGCCUUUUGCGUAUCCAAUUGCUGUCAACUGUUUUUGAACGUGUGGAAAAAAACAACUUGAAGACUUAAGAGAGGGCCAGCGUUAAUUCAAAAUCAAGACCAACUUAUUAGCUUGCAGGACUCCUGAUGGUGAGAAAAAAGAGGGUUGACAGAUGCUGGGUAUAAGGUCUAUAAAACUUUAAUUAUUUCAUAAAAUUGAUUUAAUUUUUAUUCCUUAUCACGUUGGGGAUUGCCCCCCAAUGGCCCAUUUUAUUUUCAUGUUUAUGUAGGUCUGUAAUGUUAUUGGAAAUCAACUAUUGCCUCUUUUUUCUCGCUUAUUGAGGACUAUGGAGAAUUAAACAAAACUGACCCAAAAAAUAUAUAAUGAAUAUUUAUUAUAAGAUUUUAGACAAAUUAAUUUUUGAACCGAUUGAAACUUCCAAAAACCCAAAUUUCGAAUUUGUUAUAUAAAUAUAAUCUACUUUAAGUAUCAUUAUCAAAUCCUCCUCUAUAGCACAUGAGCAAAUUUGCAACCUUUCUAGCUUAAAAUCUAGGUUUCAAAUUCUGGCAGCGGAGUUAAUUUUUGUUAUAUAAUUUAGAUCAUAGAUAAUUUUAAAAAUAUAACGAGUAAUUGUGUAAUUCAAUCAAAUCUUAGAGACUAAAGGAAUAUUUACCAAAGAUUAAAAUAUAUAUAUAUAUAUAUAUAUAUAUAUAUAUAUAUAUAUAUAUAUAUAUAUAUAUAUAUAUAUAUUUUAAAGCUACAUUUUGUUUCAUCCAAAUGAAGCUACUGAAUCUAUAUUUUAUUCCAAUAAGACUAUGGCUUCAUUUCAUGUCUUAAUUAAAUUAUAUAAUGAUGAAAUAUUAUAUUCUGAACUUAACUGAAUCCAAUAUCAUUUCACCAAUCCGUCAUAUGAGAUGAAGGGAAAAAAAAUCUGUUGAAAUUAAUUUUAAAUUAAAGUUGAAGAAUGGUGAUGUGAUGCAUACACAUACAUGACUCUGAAUUUGUUAAAUUGAAGAUGUACUCAUCGUCUUGUCGAUGUGACCAAAUACUGGAAUGCGAGAAUGGUCUUUGGACUUUGGAGAAGACUUGAGAGGGCCCAGAGUAAUUAAAAGUCAAGAUUGGCAAUCUGAAGUUAAUCUCUGGCUUUAAAAUGCAGGACUCUCUUGUCGGUGGGAAAAGUUUCUGAAUUAAUAUAGGAGCUAAUACAUGCACUUUCCGAACUAAAGAAAACUGAGUUUAAGCGGCGAAUGGCUGUGCAUCUUUGUCUGGUGUUGUUGCAGAUUAUUGUUUUGCAUCUCAGGCCGAUCAAAGCCUCAGAAAGACUCCCCUGUCCAACUGAAUGUGGAAAUGUCAGCAUCAGCUACCCCUUCGGAAUCGGAGAAGGGUGCUACUUUGACAAGGGUUACGAAGUUAUCUGCGAUCACUCUUCUGGCUCUCCCAAAGCUUUUCUUCCUGGCGUCAACAGGCUAGAAUUAUUGGAUACUCUUUCUUAUGAUUCAAGGCCCGCGGUUAGAGUCAACGUUCCUACAAUUUCUUUAAACAGCAGUAGUAAGCGAACAAGCAAUAUUCUUAAAGGCGUCAACUUAUCAGGUACCCCUUUCGCCUUUUCGUCUGACAAUAAAUUCGCCGCCAUAGGCUGCAACAUGAGAUAUCACCAAGGGAACGGUUCAUCUGUGUUUGAUGCGUGUCUGUCGAUUUGUACUUGUGAUCCUACUCUCUACCCUGCUUGCUAUGAUUUCCUAUGCCCCCUUCCUCGAAAUAUUACUCAUCUUUUGAAUGUAAAUACAUCAUACUUGUUUUCUCAAAGUAUUCCUCAAAAGUGUCAGUCUGUUUUCCUGGUUGAUGAACAUUGGGUCAACAGCAAGUACCUUGAAGAUCCUCAUGAUUUGGAAGAUCAACGAGAAGUUCCUGCAGUGUUGAAGUGGGGAGAAAAGAUAGGCAGUUGUUUUGAAGGGAAUAACUCAUAUUCUAUUUUUUGUAAUUCGGAUAAAAAAGGUUGUUUAACACAAUUAAGCUCAGGCCAUUUAUGUCUUUGCUCUUCUGGCUACGACCUAGAGAAAGGAUACUGCUCAGGUACAGAUUGGAUUAUGAGUUAAAGAGUAAUUUUAUUUUUUUCAAAGAAAAUAUCCGGACGACAAGAAGAAAAGGGAAAAUUCUUGGUGCUCCACGAGCAUUAUGAAUAGAUGCUAUUUCCGUAUAAAUAUUAGCAAUAAGCGUGAAUGAGAAACGGAAAAUGCUAUUGGAGCGCCUAGACUUUAGUAGCAAGAGUUAAAUGUCAAAUGAUGUAACAUUCCUCUAUUGGAUGGUAAGAUGAUCAGAAAAGUGUUGUAAAAUUUAUCAUCCAAUAGAUGAUUGAAAUUACUGAUUUUUAAAAUAUCCAUCGGAUUACUUGCAAACGAGUAAAGUCUUCCAAUUACUGUAACUGUCUAUGUAAACAGAAAAUUAAAGACAAAAAUGGUGGAGUUUAUUUUAUUUAUUAUUUUCUGGACAGGCGACUUGAUCUGUAAUAUCUCGAGCGGCUACAAUUGCUCCAAUUGUCCUGACGGUUAUAAUCGUCUCUCAUAUGGUUGCAUUAAAGUUUUCAACAAAUCUCGGGUUAAAUUCAUUAUUAUAGGUAUGCAUGUCGAUCCUUUAUUUUACAUCAUAACAAAUUAAUAAUGUUUUUUAACAUAUAUUUCAAAUGAAAAUACUAACUGUUCAUUCGUUCGUUUGAUGAUAUCUUUCAUUAUUGUCCUCGAGAGCCACAGGCUGCGGUGGUGGGCUUGCGUUAUUCUUUCUACUCAUUGGAAUAUGGUGGUUGUACAAGUUUGUAAAAAGAAGAAGGGAAAUCAAGUUUAAGCGUAAGUUCUUUAAAAAAAAUGGUGGUUUAUUAUUGCAACAAGAAUUGUCUUCCAAUGAAGGUAACAUUGAGAAAAUGAAGUUAUUUACUUCAAAUGAUUUGGAGAAGGCCACCGACAACUACAAUGCCAAUCGAAUCCUUGGUCAAGGAGGCCAAGGCAUUGUAUACAAAGGAAUGUUAGCAGAUGGAGGAAUUGUGGCUGUAAAAAAAUCUAAAAUAUUGGAUGAGAGUAAUCUCGAGCAAUUCAUCAAUGAGGUAGUAAUUUUGUCUCAAAUUAAUCACAGAAAUGUUGUUAAGUUGUUGGGAUGUUGCUUGGAGACAGAAGUUCCUCUUUUGGUGUAUGAAUUUAUUCCCAAUGGAAGCCUCGAUCAAUACAUACACUACCAAUCUGAAGAGUUUCCAAUCACAUGGGAAAUGCGUUUACGCAUUGCUGUUGAAGUUUCAGGUGCUCUAUCUUAUCUGCAUUCAGCAGCAUCUAUUCCUAUUUAUCAUCGAGACAUCAAGUCUGCAAACAUACUUUUGGACGAUAAAUAUCAAGCUAAAGUUUCAGAUUUUGGGGCUUCUAGAUCUAUCACAAUUGAUCAAACUCACUUGACCACUCAAGUACAAGGAAGUUUUGGAUAUCUAGAUCCAGAAUACUUUCGGUCAAGUCAUUUUACUGAGAAAAGUGAUGUUUAUAGUUUUGGAGUAGUUCUUGUUGAGCUUCUAACUGGACAAAAACCUAUCCGUUCAACUGAAGCUGAAGAAGAUAAAAGUUUAGCAAGAUAUUUUAACCAAGCAAUGAAAGAGAACUGUUUGUUUGAAGUCCUUGAUGAUCGAGUUCUCAAGGAAGCUGAGAAAGUAGAAAUUAUUACUGUUGCUACACUCGCAAAAAGAUGCUUGAACUUGAAUGGGAAGAAAAGACCUACGAUGAAAGAAGUGGCAUUUGAAUUACGGGGUAUAAGAGAAUCGAUUGGAGCUUCCAUUUUGCAGCAAAAUUGUGAAGAGACUGAUUUUGUGGAUGGUGACAUUACUGGACAUGAUUUCGAAAGAGAUUCAUCUUCUAGUGGGUCAACUUUAAAUAGUGUCUCAGUUUCUGUGGAUGCCGACCCUUUAAUUUCAAACAAAUGGUGACAGAGAAGAAUGGCCUUGAAACUGUUUGUAUUUCAUAAAUAAGAUUGUUAGACUUUUCCGAUAUUAUCAUUCUUGAAUCGUUGCGCACCAUCAUUUGUAGUUAAACACUUCCAAGUCAUUUCAAACAAAUUUUCCACUUUUUCAUUGAAUGCGCGGAGGGGGCGCAAAUGGAGGAGAUGAAGGAAAAAUCUGUUGAAAUUAAUUUCGUAGUUGAAGUUUAUAAAUGCAAGAUGAUAUGAUCUCUCAGUCUAUUAAAUACUGAUGUGCAAGAACUUUAGCACUAUGUGACCUAAUAUCUCAAGUAAAUAGGAGAGAACAACUUGAGCACUUAAGAGGGCCAACGUUAAAUAAACUCCAGAGUGGCAUGUUGUAAUUGUUGGCUUAUUGUUAUGCAGAACUUUCCCGGUAGUGAAAUAAAAUCGAGAGGAAGAUGGGAGGAAAUAAAGAUCAAUGCGCUUUCUUGUAUUUCAUGGGUUAAAAAUCUUUUUAUCUGAUUACAAACUGAUAGAUAAAAUACCCUUAUAUCAUUUGUGAUUGAAUCUCUUAGGUCAAAUAUAUAAAGUUAGAACAAUCCUCAACUCAUUAGUUAGAUUUUGAGUAUGGGUUAAACCCAUGAACUUUUAUAUUUUACUAGAGAUAAACUCACCCACGAUUAUGCCCGCACUACCUCCCACAGUACCUUACCACUAGACGCCCUUCACAUGGAGGCUUGGGUACCACUUGAAAAGUCAUUCGAAAGAAAAGUCUGUUUAAAAUUACGUUCCAAUUCUGUAUUGUCAACUCUCCAAGUUAUAAAUUGAUAUUCAACUCUUAUGUUAUAAAAAAAGUAAUGCUGGAGCAUUCCAACUUGAGUACCAAUGGAUGUGGCAUUCAUUCAGUGGAUAGUAGAAUAUUUAUUUUAUCAACUAUAAAAUUUAUUAUUCAAUAGAUAAAUGAUAUAUGAUAGUUGGGACUCAAAUUGGGACUUAAUUGGUGGGUCACAAUCAUUAUUGGUUAAAAACGAUAUACAAAGAUAGCUAUCGUAAGAGGUAAAUCAAAAACUCUUUCUCUCUGCUAAGACCCUUUCUGCCACCAGCUGAAAUUCAAACACUAGUUUUGAUCCAUCAACGUGCCUGAAUUACACAGCCACCACAUUUUCAAACAUCUAAACUUUCAAAUCUAAACUUUCAAAUCUAUUUUUCAACUCCGUUUUUCCAACCACUGCAGUCUCGAACCAACCGGAACUCCACGCUGCUACUUGUAGCUGCCACGUCGCCAAUUUCCCAUUACCACAGCCAAUAAAAUAAAAUAAAAUAUAUAUAUAUAUAUACGGAGGAGAGAACAACUUGUAGACUUGAGAGGGCCAGGGUUAAUUAAAAGUCAAGUUGACUUGCAGGACUUUCAUUGUAUUGGGAUAAAAGCUAAAAGGAACCUAGAAGGAAUUUAAUUAAAGAUCAACGCAUGCAAUUGCUCCGUUAAAUCUUCAUUCUUCCGAGUAAAAAUAUUGAGAAUGGUUGUUCAUCAUUAUCUGGUGUUGCUGCAAUUGCUGAUUUUGCUAGUAUGGCCAAUCAAAGCAUCAAAAGAUUUAUGCCAAUAUGAUUGUGGCAAUGUCACUAUCAUUUACCCCUUCGGAAUCGGAGACGGUUGCUACUUUGAUAAGAGUUUUGAAGUAUUCUGCGAUUACUCCUCUCGCUCCCCAAAAGCUUUUCUUGCGAGCAUCAACAACCUGCAAGUAUUGGACAGUCAUGUUUAUACUGUUUAUGAUUCAUCUACUUCUUUUUAUGUAUACAUGAUUAGGGUAUACAUUCCUGUAAUUUCUUUGAAGAUCAGUAACCUGACAAGCAGUGAUAAAGGGGUCAGUCUAUCAGGUAGCCCUUUUACAUUUUCCCGGUCGCGCAAUAGAUUCACUGCCAUAGGUUGCAACAACUAUUCUACGAUUAUUAAGCGACAGAAUGAUUCAUCCGUUUUUGGUGGGUGCCUUUCGAUUAUCACUUGUGAUCCUGCUCUUAACCCUGGUUGCUACGAUUUCCUAUGCGCCUUUCCUCAAAAUAUUACUGAGGUUUUCAAUGCACAAAUAUCUAAUUUUUAUUCUAAAAGUAUUCCUCAGGAAUGUCACUCUGUUUCCAUUGUUGAAGAUUAUUGGAUCACCUCAGGGUACCUGAAGAAUCCUCACGUUUUGAAAGAUCAUGAACAAGUUCCUGCACUGUUGGAGUGGCUUGAGUAUAAAGGAUAUUGUUAUGAAGAAUAUAAUUCGAAAACUACUUGUAACAAGGACAAUAGAUGUUUAAUACAAUUAAGCUCAGGCUACCUUUGCCUUUGCUUUAGGGAAACAAGCUUUGACCGACACCACCAUGGAUAUUGCUCAGGUACAAUUUCGAAUACUAAUUAAAUUAAUUUCAUAUAUGAAGUGUAUACUACAUUUCCUUGAACCAACUACGUAUCUAACACAAAAUUAGUGAAAGUAAUUGCAGAAUUCGCAUAUGUAAAAAAUGAAAGAUUUAUAUAUAGCCAUAAUUUAUUUUGAUAUUCUAUUUCAUCUUUUGGGUUUGUUUAGGUUUCUUGUUCUAUAAUAUCACAAGCCCCUACAAUUACUCCUCAGGAUGUCCCAAAGGUUACUUUUCAGAUCCCAACUCAAGUAUCUGCGCCCAAAAUCGUAGGACAAGUUCAUAUGAACUUCUUCAAAUUAUGCACAAAAAUUCUCAUGUCAAAUUCAUUAUUAUAGGUAUGCAUUGGAAUUUGCAGAUUUUGUCGACAGAAUUAACUGAUUUUUAAUUACCGUAUAUAUAUGGGCUCACAAACGCAAAAACGUUCUGCACCUGAAAUUUGCAAUAGCAUAUACAUUUAUGAUCUCCUACUCUUAACAGACUAAACAGUUCCUUGCCAUAAAUCGCCGAACGCGUAUUAAAUAUUCUUGUCCUGGAGCGUUGCAGGUUGCAAUAGUGGGCUUGGAAUGUUGUUCCUACUAAUCGGAAUAUGGUGGUUGUGCAAGUUCGUUAAAAGAAGAAGAGAAACCAAGCUCAAACAGAAGUUCUUUAAAAGAAAUGGUGGUUUAUUAUUGCAACAACAAUCGUCAUCAAAUGAAGGUAAUACCGAGAAAACAAAAUUGUUUACUUCAAUGGAAUUGGAAAUGGCUACUGACAACUUCAAUACCAAUCGAAUCCUUGCAUUCAACUACUUGUAUUCCAAUUUAUCAUCGAGACAUCAAGUCUGCAAAUAUACUUUUGGAUGAUAAAUUUCGAGCAAAAGUUUCGGACUUUGGGGCGUCUAGAUCUGUCACGAUUGAUCAAACUCACUUGACCACACGAGUACAAGGAACUUUUGGAUAUCUAGAUCCAGAGUACUUUGGGUCAAGUCAAUUUACAGAGAAAAGUGAUGUUUAUAGUUUUGGAGUUGUCCUUGUUGAGCUUUUAACUGGACAAAAACCUAUCCUUUCAACCGACGCGGAAGAAGAUAAAAGUUUAGCAGGGUAUUUUCUCCGAGCAAUGAAAGAGAACCAUUUGUUUGAUGUGCUUGAUGCUCAAGUUCUUAAGGAAGCCAAGGAAGAAGAGAUUAUUACCGUUGCUAUGCUUGCAAAAAGAUGCUUGAACUUGAAUGGGAGGAAGAGACCUACUAUGAAAGAAGUAACAUUUGAAUUAGGGGGGAUUAGAGCUCAAAAGUGUGAAGACAUUCAUCUUGUGGGUGGAAAUUUUGAAACUGGUUCAUCUUCAACUGGAGCAUUUUAAAUACUGUUGCUUUUUCUGUAGAUGCUAAUCCUUUGCUUUCAAACAAGUGGUGAUUAAAGGGAAAAAUUUUCCUUUAAAAUCUAAGUAUUUCAUUUCAUAAAUAAAUUAAGCUGUGGAUUUUUGCAUUAUGCUUCUCUUAUGGUUAAAAUUUUUCAUCUCUAGAAUAAAAUAUACAGAGUUUAAUGUUCGGUUUGUAAGCGGAGAAAUAAAUUUAGAAGGUAGAUUCCAACAAAGCAUCUGUGGCAAACAUAUUUAAAUGUCUAAGAAGCAAGCUUCUAAUGCUACCAAUAUUUAGGGGCCCUGUGCUUGAAGAAACAGAACUUUGAAGCUGACAGAGUGAGGCAUCUCAGCAUCUGAAUCUGCAUACAAGUGGAACAGGAGAUGCUGACAUGACAUCCUAGGUGGAACUUAUGUGACACAUACAAUGUAUCCAGUUCGUUCCUAAUUCAUACGCUUACAUUGUAACCCCGUUCUGUGUGUUUCGAGUACCAUUGGUGAACCAUCACUUCGUGCCAUUGUAUUGCUAAUAGCACCUUUGCCUUGAUUGAUUUUGCUGACAAUGUAUAGGUUGUGUUUGAAAGUGAAGUACUAUAACUUUUAUGUUACGUUUACUUCCCGGAUUAGGGAAUCGGAAUCAUUAACAACGUUUACCUCGCAAAAUAGAUUUAGGAAUUGGAAUCGGAUUCGUGAGACCCACCACAAUUUGGGAAUGAGCAAUGGGAGACUCACUCCUAGGGGAGGUGGGAAUGAGUCUCCCAUUUUCGGGAUUGACUGUUUUACCCUCCCCCAAAAUUAAAAAUGUUUAUAUUGUCCUCAUUUAUAAUUAAUUAAUAUAUUAUUAUAAUUAAUUAAUAUAUUGUUAACAAUAAUUAUUAAUAAUUUUAGUAUUUAAUAAAUAAUGACAAUAAUUAAUAUAUUAUUAUUAUAAUUAAUUAAUUAUUAUAAUUGUUACUAUUAAUUAAUAUAUUAAUAUAUUAUUAACAACAAUUAUUAAUAAUUUAAUUUUUGAUAAAUAAUCACAAUAAUUAAUAUACUUUUAUUAUAAUUAAUUAAUUAGUAUACUAUUAUAAUAAUUACUAAUAUAAUUAUUUUAAUUAAUUCAUAUAUAUUAUUAAUUUAUUUAUAUAACUAUUACUAUUAAUUAAUAUGUUAGUAUAUUAUUAACAAUGAUAUAUUAAUAAUUAUAGUUUUGAAUAAAUAAUUACAAUAAUUAAUAUAUUUUUAUAAUAAUAGUUAAUAUAAUUAUUAUAAUUAGUUAAAAAAAUUACAAUUAAUUAAUAUAUUAAUAUAUUCUUGACAAUAAUUAAUAAUAAUAAUAAUAAUUUUUGAAUAAAUAAUCACUAUAAUUAAAAAAUAAAAUAAUAAUUAUGACAAUAAUUCAUUAAGUACUUUUUAGUAAUUUGUUACAAUCUAACUCAUUCUGAUUCCAAUUCCAAGAUAAAAUAAACACAUCAGUGGGAUUCUAGUCCAUUCUUAUUCUGAUUCAUGUAGGUCAACUAAACAAUUUAUUCUAAUUUUUAUUCCUCAUUUUGAUUCCAGCCCAUUCCAAUUACUAACAAGUAAACGCAGCAUUAAGAUACAUAUGUUGUGGAGUAAAAGUCAUAGUUGUGGGAUAAAAGCUGCUAGUGUUUAGCAAAUUUUAAUAGUUGUAGAGUAGAAGCUGAUGGUGUUUGGUAAAUUUUAAUAGUUGUAUAGUGAAAGUUGAUGAAUAUUUGUAAUAAUUAAUUUUAAAUAACAUUAUUUUUAAUUAUUAAUUAGUCAAAUUAUUUUUCAUAUUUUGAAUUAUCAUGUUAACUUAUGAUUAUGUUUAUUACUUUGACAAAUCAAAUUAAUAUUUAAUUAAUCAAAGUUAUUUUUCUUCACAAGUUGUAAUAAAUAUUUUUUAAAACAAAAUAAUUUAAAAAUUGAAAAUAAAUAAAUUCUAAUUUUACACAAUGAUUGAAGAAAUAAAUUAUACCAAAUAUGUCUAAUAAAGAUCAUACAACAUAACAUUAUCUAUACAACUUAAAAGUGAUUUUUAACCCGCAAGUAUAAGAGUGUCUUGUUGUAUUAUAGCUCGGUGAGUCCAAGGUCGAUUUACAGAGAAAAUAUUUAAUUUGUUUAUUUUAUUUUAUCUAAAAAUGAAAAUAAAAUUUAAAUAUAAACAACUUAAUUUAAAUCAAAUUAUGAAAUUGAAUUAGUUAGGGUUAUGGAUCCACUCUUAGUAGUAAAUAAAAUUUAAUAAAUUCUUUUUACUAUUUUUUUAGAUUUAUUACCCAAAAGAUUAAUUAUAUAAAUUAUUAUUAUUUUCCUAUUAAUUUUAUUAUGGAUUAAGUAUUUAUUGUGCCAAAAUUUAUUUUUUCUACAAUAAAUCAAAAUACCAUUUUAUCAUACCUUAUAUUAAGAUAUUAAGAAUUUAUUGUGCCAAACUCCCUUUUUUGUCUACAAUAAAUCAAAAUUUCAAAAUAUAAAAUAUGUAUAAAAUUAAAUAGAAAAUAAUUUAAUUUAUUAAAUUAAAAAUAAAUUUUGAUUAAAUUAUAUUUAUUUCCUAAGAGUUUCACCUUACCCUAACUAUUAUUAUUUAGUUAAGUAUAAUUGAAAUAAAAGUAAUUACUAAAAUUAAAUUGAACAUAAUUAAAAUGAAUAAAAAACUAAAAUUGAAAAUAAAACUAAAUUUAUUUAUAAAAAUAAUUAAGCAAAAUAUUAAAAACACACCUGAAAAACAAGAUUACAAGGAGAUUGAGAGAAAUUGAGAAGACGAGAGAUGAUAAAAAACAUAAAAAAUGAGGCUCUAUUUAUAAAAAAAUAAAUUCAUGAUCCAGUGUCUUGCGGUCCAUCAUAAGCUUUAUGCAUGCGCUCUUCACAACCAUUAGAUCAAAGAUCCAACAGCUGCUCAAACUUCAAAAGUCAACAUCACACAUAGCAUCAUGUGAAACGUCCGAUUCGGUCAAAGAACGGUUGAGAUUUGGCGGGUUAAUGAGUUGAUCUGAUUGACCCGAAUACAAAGGUUCGGAUCCUACAAUUUACUUCACCAACCAUUGCCACGUGGCACAAUCGCAGCCAUUGAAUCAUGAACGGUUAAGAUUUAGUUAAAAUUGCUAGUUAUGUCAUGCACUCAUAUAUAUUGUAAGCUCAUUUUAUCAUCCAAUCAGUGCUCAGUCAACUGAAAACGUCAACCUUUUUUUACAACAGCUCAAUUUUAAGCCGAUGUGGACCAAUCUUAAGGUUUUCGAAUCUCCGAAAUCCAAAUUUGACAUCCGUUUAUCUGUUUGGAGCCUCAAACUACGUGAAAUUAAUAUUUUACCUAAUAAACACACAAAAAUAUACAAAAUUAAAUAUAAUUAAGACAUAAUUAAUAAUUCCUAAUAUAUUGGAUAAACACAAAUAUAAAUUAUAAUAUAAACACAAAAUAACAUUUUUAUCGCUUGAUAAUUAAACAACUUUUAAUACUAAUCAAUUAUAAAAUUAAAAUGUAACUAAUUAUAAAAUUCUUAUAAACAUUUCCAUUGUCAUGCCUCCAUUAAACUUGCAACAAUGCCAUCUCUCAAGAUUAUUAUAUUUUGAGCUAUGUUAUCAGUUGUGUUAUAACUUUCUUUAGGAGACGCAAUCUUGCUUAUAUGUUCGCUCUUAGUAUGACUUGGUUCAUCCAUUGUUUCAUAAAAAUGAUCAUGAUUUUGUGAAUAUCUUCUUAUGUAAUUAUGUAAGGCCAUGGUAGUAAUAACACUCGCUUCUUGAAUGUAUCGCUUGGCAUAUUUCGUAAAAUCUUCCACGUGUUCUUUCAAACCCCAAAAGUACCCAUUAGAGUUAGCAGUACUCUAAACACUAAGAGAUUCAGAUGCCUCAUUACUCUCGAAAGGAAAACCAAAUGAGGGAAGCCAAACAUGCUCACUCAUAACCACUGUGUUUGAACAUUAAAUUUAGGUUUUUCUCUAACUCUGGAUCAAUAACAUUUUUUCGAAAUCUACUCAAUUGCAAAUUUUCCUUUAUUUUCUUUUCCCACCAGUCUUCACUUGCAUCAACUAUCCAGGGGCAAAGCUAUGAGGGGGCUAACCCGGGUUGUAGCCAGGGUUAGUAUCUUGAAAGAAAAAAGUUAAUUAUAAAUUUAUUUAAAAAAAACUUAUAGUAAAAUAUAAAAUAUAACGAAUAAUUAUUGUCAAUAUCUAUUUUCUCUAAAUCGAAAAACUCACCUUCCUUGACUAAUUAAUCCAAUUAUCCAAAAUCUAAAUUCCCCAAGACUCAAUUGUUCAAGUCAUUAACUUGCUGCUUUAUGAGUGACAACCAGCCUCUACCGCACCCACAUAAUCAUACUGUCUUUGAAUUAGUUAUUAGCUUAUACUUUUGUCAAAUUUUUUGAUAAAAUAAUUAAUAAUUCUCUAAUAUAUUAUUAUCGCAGACAAUAUCAAUUCAGAUACGAUAAUACAUGAGCUUUCUUUUUUGAAGAAUCACAAGACAAAACUUCUUUGACAGUGUUUUUUUAUUUACAAUGUACCUUUACAGUUUUAUUAUUAGUUUUUUGCUUGUCUAGUGUAUUUUAAUAAUUUCAUUUGUAUAGAAUAAAUUUUUUUGAGAAAUAAAAUUGAAUUAAAAAAAAAAUCUAGCCCACCCCAAAAAAUAUUGCUAGCUUCGCCACUGCAACUAUCCAUAACUUAUGAUUCCACCCUAGACUAGCUUCCUAGCUAAUCAAAUUCUUCCACAGUUUCCAAUCAGUUCUAAUAGAAUCCCAUUUUUUUUUCAUCUGAAUUCUAUUGUAAUCCAAUCCAGUUUCUUUAGUGGAUUCCUUAAUUAAAUUUUCAUAUCCUUUGGAAGUCACAUGAGUCCUAGGACGAUGUUUGGCAUCCACUGCCUUAAUACAUAACUCACAAAAUACAUUUGAAGUCUAGGAGUUCCAGGUCGCCUUACUAGUUGAGCUAUUAGACAUAAUUGCGUACACUUAAACCUAGAAAAUAGAAUAAUAUUUCGUCAUCAAACAACAAUAUAGGAAAGAGAUUAAUUAAGAGCAAUACCCAAUUUUCUUUUUAAAACAAAUAACAUUAAUUAAGGAUGAAUUAUGUCUAGCAACAAGGAUGAAUUAUGUCUAACAUUACAUAUCCUGUUUCAAAAUGAGUUGUUAGAUUAAUAAACCUGGGGUUUCCUCUAAUUACAUACCCUGUUUCGAAGAAAUUAAAAUAAUUUUUCUCAAUAGUUUAAUUUUUUUUAGUUACCUUUAAGUGAAUCCUUUAAAAUUUAUGAGAAGCUGAAAUGAUUUGUUCAAAAACAUGUAUUGUUGGAAUAUAUAGGAAUUGGUUACUUGUUUGUUGCUGCCUUUAAUGAUUUUUAUUAGGGAAAUUUCAUCAAACAAGGAUUGUGCAUGUCUAUAAAAAGCAACUAAAAAAAAUUAAAAAUGCAAUAAAAAUAGUGACUUCAAAGCAAAUAAAUCACACGUGACCAAUCACCUAUUAAUUUAUUCUAAGCAAAAGCUCCGGUACAUUUUGAACAAAAAGGAAGAAAAUAAAAAAUUACAUGUAACAAAGUAAAGGAAAACUCAAAAAAUGAACAACGGGUAAAGGAAAAUGCACAUUUCUUAGAUAUUUUAAAAACAAAGAUAGAAGAACAUAUUUGUAUGAAAAUGACUGGUGUUAGAAUCGCGUCAAUGAGAAUUACCAAUGUUGGAAUUGUAUCGAUGAGAACUGUCGAUGUUGGAAUCAUGCUAAUAAGAACAAUGUUUAGAGUUUGUUUUAUGGAAAAAUCAAUUUGAGUUUAAGUUUAAAAAUGAGGAGGAUAAAAUCAAAAUUAAAUAAUAUGUAACGGUAAUUUAGUAAUUUAAUAUACAGCUAAGAAAAAAUUUUGCUGAGCUGCUAAAGCCCGACUCCAAAGUGUUACUACUGAAAAUGAGGGGAUGAUAUAUGGAAAAAAGAAGCUUCAUUUUAAAUUAAUGAACAAAAACAAUUUAAAGAUUUAAGAGAUCUAAUUUGUCGUUUUAUUUCACUAAAAUGUAUUGAUAGAUAAAAUUAGCCAUUAGGUGUGUCUUAUCCUAAAAUUAAUCUUUCACGAAGUCCUUAGAAACAAUAAAAUACUAUUACAUAGCCCGGAAAGCGUUUGUAUUAAGUUAUAGAAUUAGGUGUCUCUUACACAUAUGUCUUCCCAUGAAUAAAAGCGUUCGUAUUAAGUUAUGAAAUGGUGGAUUAUUAUGCCAAACAAACGGCUCUUUCCCAUUCAAAUUUAUUAAGUUAUGAAAUGGUGGAUUAUUAUACCAAACAAACGGCUCUAUCCCUUUCAAAAUUAUUGGACGUAUUUUUCAAGGAAACCUCCUCUAUCUUUCUUCCAAUUAAUGUCCAGUUAAGACUUCCGUGUGUCCAAUUAAUGUCAAUCGUUUUUGAAUGUGUACAGGAUAACAACUUGAAGACGUGAGAGGGCCAGCGUUAAUUCAAAGUCAAGACUAGGCUAUUACCCUGCAGGAUUCUUGAUAGUAAGGUGAAAAAAAAAAGGGUUGAAAGAGAUUAGGAUUUAACACUGAGUUUAGUUUUUAUUGACCACUAAGUUAAUUAUUAAAAUUUAUUUUGUGCUUUUUCUUUCGUUUAUCUUACAUAACAAUUAUUUAUUGAGAUUCUUGUCCAAUUGAAAGAUAUUAGAUAAAAGGUUAUUAAAACUUUAGUUAUUUUUGUGUAUAAAACAAAAACUUUGGAUUGUUUAGUUUCAAAAGAAAAAAAAUCGAGACUUUGAGCUGGUUUGGAACAAAUUAUAUUUGAAAUUGAAAAGAAGAAAAAAAAACCAUACAACGAGAAAGAGAAAAUAUAAAUGGGGUUAAUUCUAAUAAUAUGUCCUUAAAUAUAAUUGUAUAUAAUAGGGGUUUUAUAAGAUUAAUGAAGAGGUGCCAAUAAUCCAACAUUUUCACAAUUUUUUUUUUAAUUUUUAUUCAUCACCCCGAUGGCCCAAUUUAUUUUCGUUAUUAUGUAGGUGUGGUGUUACUAGAAAUCAAAUGCUGCCUUUUUUUCUUUUUUCUUUUCUUUUCCUCUCCUCUCCUCACUUAUAGUGGAAUAUGGAGAAUUAAACAAAACCAAUUCCUAAUCAACGUUAACAUACGUUAUAUAAUAUAUUACACAUUACAACUAUUUGUAUUUGAACUAAACUAAAAAAUCCAAACUCGAAACAAAAAUUGGGCUGCCGUUUGCUGGAUUUUGUAUGGAACUUAGAGGAGAAACUUGGUGAUGAAGUGUGUGGAGGUGCAAAGCCAACAAUCAGUAGGAGGUAGCAUCAGAUCUGGUCGCGGUCCUCGCAGAACAGUAGAUCGGCUGGCGGUUGGCAUCGGCGGUGAUUGUGGCGAGCCUGUGUUGGCUGCGGCUGUGUGUAUGUGUGUGUGUGUUUCUACUUGUGUUGAGUGUUGACUUGAGGGUGGGGCAGUGACCCAUGAGGCGUGAAGGAGGGGAGCAGAGGCUGGAGUGCGCUGUGUGGUCUCUUGUCGAGGUUUGAGGGGGAGGUAGUGAGGCGUGAGGGAGGGGAGUGAGGCUGCUGGGUACGGCUGGGUGCGCUGAGUGUGUAGUCUACUGGUUUUGUGCCUCCAUCUCUACUCGUUUUGUGUGUCGUAUACGUGUGUGGUGCGUGAGGCUAUGUAGUGUGUGGUCUGUGCUCUGCGGCGUCACUGGUGCUUGACUGCUUGUUGUUGGAUGCAUGUGUGCUGUAUCAGUAUGGGUUGUUCACUUUCUUCUUUAAGCCAACCCAUUCAGGUUAUCGGAUUGGAUCAGAUUUCACCCGAUCCGAUCACGAUCCGAUCGGGUUGGCAACAUUUGAUCCGAUCGGAUAUUAUGGUCAAUCCGAUCCAAUCUGAACCCAAUUUUUUUCGGAUCAAAUCGGGUCGGAUCAGUUAUUUUGCCCACCCCUAUUGCCCAGUGUCCCCCCUUGCCUCCUCACCAUACAAAUAACAAUUGAAAAUUAGGCCAAUUAAAUUAAAGGCAAGACGGGAUGGAAAUAUGGAAUCGUUAAUUAUUAUACCCAUGACCCCUCUAAUUAAUGGUUAUUUCCCUUUCGAUAUUAUUGUACGUGUUUGCAAGGAAAACUCAUCUAUCUUCCUUCCAAUUAAGACUAUUGUAUGUCCAAUUAAUGUAAAUUUUUUUUGAACGUGUAGAGUAUAACAUGACAAUGCAGAGACAUUUAAAGUUGAUUGAUAGAAGGAACAAAAUUUCCUAAAUAAUGAAGUUAAUUGAAAAAAUUUUAAAUUAACAAAACUAGAGUUUUAGAUCUUUUUAUAUAAUAACUUUAACUAUAAUAAAAUUCUCCUAAUCUAAAUAAAAAAUCCAAAAUAAACAGUGCUCAAAUAUGUUAUUUAGGAAAAAAAAGAUAAAAAUUUUAGAAGAAAUAAGAAAAAAUAGAAGAAUAUCUUAAAAACGAAAAAUGACAAGGAAAGAAACAAAUUUUUAGGCUCAAGUAAGGCCCAAAAUGGCAUAAGCUUUAUUAGCUUGAUUUGUCUUCUCGUAAACUUUAAAACAAUAUAUUAUACACUCAAAACGGAUACAUGUAGCCUAAGUUACGCCCUUUGGAAAGUACCAUUCUCAUCCCACACACCCAUCAUACAUUAGUCCCUCUCACUUGGAAAAGAACUCUCCAUCGAGUUUGACUCGUACAACGCCUCAUCAUCUAAAUGAUAUUUAAACAGAUAAGCCAUAUUGAAUGUGUAAAAGAUCUUUUAGUUGUCCGGUAGUGCGAGAACAUAAGCAUUAUUAUUAAUCUUCCUUGCCACACGAAAUGGUCCAUACUUGAUGUGGACAUGCAUCACUUUCCUGUGUCGACGCCUGUUCGCACCGAACUUGUACAUAGCAUUUGUAACCUCCAAAUGAGCUCGUACCUUGGCGUGAAUCUAUAGAGCCCUUUAUUUUCUACCACAUUAUUCACUAUUUUUUAUACGAACCCCAUCAAGCACUAACACGACCCUAAUCAAUUUAGUUCCCAAGAUCGAAUCUAAACCAGGAAUUGAAUAGAACCUCAACCCAAUGCUUAAUGAAAGCACGAACCUUGGUAUGUGAAGACGCCACAAUCAGCUAUGGAUGGUCUGAUUGAUAAGUCAAGAGUUUGAACGCCACGGAAAUCCGAUAAGUUCAAAGAGUUUGUAAAGAACCAAAAAGAAUUAACUCUCUCACCAAUUGCAUCAAAAUUUAUCUCUGUUUAUUGGAUAUGAAUACAUUAUAUAGGGCUGGUUACAAGAAUUUUUGGAAAUAAAUCAUAAGCCAAAAAUCAAAUCUGAAUAUGAAUCUAAACAAAUAGGAAAGAAUAUAAAUCAAAUCAGAAUCCUAAUCUAAGUAAAUAGGAAAGAAUAUAAAUCAAAUCAGGAUCCUAAUUGGCUUAAAUGUCUUACAUCAAUUAAAAUGGAAACUAGUCGAUUAAAAUAGAAAUAAUUGAUUUGUUUCCUUAAUAGCCUCCUCAAGAAACAAGAAAGUAUCUGAAAAAAAAAAAAUAUAUUUUCCCGCCAUAAUGUGCAAGCCAACUCCUUAUUUCAUGGAAAUAAUUAUUUGGAAACUUCAAGAGCCUAAAUCAUGCAUUUAUCAUGUGCGAUUCCUUCAACGGACCUCCACGAAUUUGAUUGAGCCCAAGUUGCUUGAAUCAAUCCAUUACGCGCUUCUUUGAAUUUCUUUGCUCGAGCUCUUGUAACAGGUCCGACGGGAACUUGAGUAGGAUCUGAAUAUGCCUCAUCCCAUGUGCUUGUGAUAGUUUUAUCCUUAAUCUCAUCAUUCCCCUCCUUUUGAAGAGGAUUUGUCCUCAAAUCAUCACCAACAUCAAAAGAACUCAAAUCAGAAACAUUAAAAGUAGCACUUAGAUUGUACUCACCGGGCAAAUCCAGUUUCUAGGCAUUUUCAUUGAUCCGUUCCAAAACUUGGAAUGGGCCAUCCCCUCAAGGUAAUGACAUAGAUUUCCUCCGUUCAAGAAAUCGUUCUUUGUGCAUGUGUAACCACACCUAAUUGUCGGGUUCAAAGACUAGUUUAUGUCGCCCUUUGUUAGCUUGUUUAGCAUAUUGCUCAGUUCUCCGCUCAAUGUUGAACUUCGCCUUCUCAUGUAUUUGUUUAACAAUUUCAGCCUUUUUCUUGCCAUCUAAGUUAACACGAUCAGAAAUAGGUAAUAGAGUUAAAUCCAAUGGGGUUAAAUGAUUAAAACCAUAAACAAUUUCAAAUGGUGAAUACUUAGUAGAAGAAUGAACGGAACGAUUAUAAGCAAACUCAACAUGUGGUAAACAAUCUUCCCAAGUUUUGAUGUUCUUUUUAAUGAUAGCUCGUAACAGAGUAGAUAAAGUUCUAUUCACAACUUCUGUUUGACCAUCAGUUUGAGGAUGACAAGUAGUUGAAAACAACAACUAAGUUCCUAACUUAGCCCAUAAUGUUUUCCAAAAGUAACUUAAAAACUUAACAUCCCUAUCAGAAACAAUUGUCCUAAGCAUACCAUGCAACCUUACAAUCUCCCUAAAGAAUAGGUCAGCGACAUUAUAAGCACCAUCCGUUUUGUGACAUGGAAUAAAAUGUGUCAUAUUUGAAAAUCUAUCUACAAUCACAAAAAUUGAGUCUUUCCCUUGUUUAGACCUAGGUAAACCUAGUACAAAAUCCAUCGAAACAUCAGUCCAAGGUGCACUAGGUAUUGGCAAAGGGGUGUAUAAGCCAUAAGGUUGCACUUUUAAUUUGGCUUGCCUAUAAGUGACACAUUUACCACAAAGUUUUUCAACAUCUCGUUUUAUAUGUGGCCAAUAGAAGUGUUCCUAUAAAACUGCUAGAGUCUUUACAACUCCAAAAUGCCUUAUUAACCCUCCUCCAUGGGAUUCUCUCACUAACAAAUCUCUCAAAGAACAGUUAGGCACACAUAGUUUAUUCUCCUGAAAUAAAUAGUCAUCAUGCCUAAAGUAUUUACUGACUGUGGUCUUUUCACAAGCUUGGUAUUCAACAUUAAAAUCAUGGUCAUUGGCAUACAAUUCCUUAAUAUGUUCAAAACUAAGUAGUUUAGCAUUAAGUGUUGAGAUUAAGACAUAUCUGUUGGAAAGCACAUAUGCAACAACGUUUUUUUUACCUUGCUUGUAACGAAUGACAUAUGGAAAUGUCUCUAUGAAUUUUACCCAUCGAACAUGCCUCUUGUUCAGCUUGUGUUGGCCUUUAAGGUGUUUUGAGGACUUAUGAUCGGUGUGAAUCAUGAACUCCUUAGGCUAUAACUAGUGCUGCGACAUUUCUAAUGCUCGAACCAACGCAUACAACUCCUUAUCAUAAGUAGGGUAGUUUAAGUUUGCCCCACUCAGGUUUCCACUAACGUAAGCAAUUGGUCGUCCCUCUUACAUUAGGACUGCGAAUACCAAUCCUGAGGCAUCACAUUCAAUUUCAAAUGUUUUAUUAAAGUUAGGCAAAGACAAUAAUAGAGCAUUUGUUAGCUUUUGCUUGAUCAUUUGAAAUGUCUCCUCUUGUGCUUCUCCCCACUUGAAUCCAACAUUUUUUUUAUUACUUUAGUAAGCAAUGCGACUAAUGUGCUAAAGUCUUUCACAAAUCAUUGGUAGAAACUAGCGAGCACAUGAAAGCUUCUCACAUUACUUACACUUAUGGGACUCGACCACUCUUGGAUUGCACAUACCUUUUCCUCAUCAACCUGUAUACCAUGUGCACUGACAAUAAAUUCUAGAAACACACAUUUAUUUUCUAAGCAUAUCUAAAAUAGAUUUCAAAUGUAUUACGUGAUCGUUUAUGUUUUUGCUAUAAAUGAGGAUAUCAUCAAAAUAAACAACAACAAACUUGUCAAUAAAAGAUCGCAAGACAUGAUUCAUAAGUCUCAUAAAAGUGCUCGGGCCAUUAGUUAGACCAAAAGGCAUGACUAACCAUUCAUAUAAACCAUAUUUUGUUUUAAAGGCAGUUUUCUAUUUAUCUUCUUCUUUCAUUCUAAUAUGAUGAUAUCCACUUUUUAAAUCAAUUUUGGAAAAUACACAAGACCCAUGUAAUUCAUCAAGCAUAUCAUCUAACCUAGUAAUGAGAUGUCCAUACUUUACCGUUGUGUUGUUGAUGGCUCGACAAUCAACACACAUCCUCCACAUCUCAUCCUUAUUAGGAACUAAUAAAACGGGAACUGCACAUGGACUCACACUUUCUUUCAUGUACCCUUUUUUCCAUCAAUUCAUUAACCUGCCUUCGAAGUUCAUUGGUCUCCUCCAAGUUGCUCUUAUAGGCUGGUCUAUUUGGAAUGGCUGUACCGGGCAUAAAAUCAAUCUGAUGCUUAAUCCCUCAGAUUGGAAGUAAACGAUGUGGUGCUUCCUCAGGAAAGAUAUCCUCAUACUCCUACAAAAGAGAAGUAAUAGAACUAGGCAAGGUAUGGUCAAAUUCGUUAGUGCUUAAAAAUGUCCCUUUGUAUAAAAGUACAAUAAUCGGCUGAUGUAAAAACAAUGUUUUUUUAAUCUCAUUGGCUCUCGCGUAGAAAUUCUUUUGUUUUCCAUAUGAUUUUUGCUUAAUGGGCACAUUUUUCUUUGGUUUUUCUCUCACAUUUUACUCUACCUCUUUUUUAAUUUCACUAUCUUUUUCUCUCAUUUUCUUUUGCUCACUUUCUCUCUGUAAGCUCACUUGGUCUCUAUAAACCUACUUUGGUGUCAAUGGAACAAGAGUGAUGUUGCAUUAAUUAAAUACAAAUGAAUAUUUAUUGGUGAAGCCAUCAUGCUUCACACGCCUGUCGAAUUGCCAAGGCCACCCAAGUAAUAAGUGUCUAGCCUGCAUUGGCACUAUAUCACAAAGCACCUUAUCUUUAUACUUCCCAGUCCAAAAGUCACUAGUACCUACUUGUUCACUUUCACCUCACCAUUGUCAUUUAACCACUAUAAUUUAUAUGAUUGUGGGUGUUUAAGUGUCAGAAGCCCUAACUUCUCUACCAUGAUAGUACUAGCAACAUUAGUACAACUUCCUCCAUCAAUAAUCAUACUACAUACUUUGUCUUGAACAUAGCACCUAGUUCCCGUUGCACUGCUUUGUCUUCCUUUACUUGUACACUCAAACCUCUCCUCACUACUAAAGUCAAUUCCCUAAGGGCUAUUGUUGUGAAAAUUUUAAUAUAUUCGCAAGUGCACGAAUCUAGAAAUAGAAUAGUGGUAACGAGGUCGAUCCCACAGAGAAUGUUAUAAAUUAAAAAGUCUAAUUUAAAUCUAAAAUUAAUAUUAAUCCUAACAUAGUUGAGCAAAUUGAGUUUUAAAAGAAAUUAAACUAAUUAAACUAAGAAAACAAUUAAAGUAAAUGAGAUUUCAAUAAGACAAAAAUUACAAAGGUUUCAGAAUCCAGAUAAUUAUUUCAUUGAAUAAGGUUUCAUCCUUAACCUCAGUAUAAAAAAAUUAGCUAGACAUACUUGAAUUGGGAGCAACAAAAAAAAUAAAAUCAGCCAUGGGAAAAGUAAAUUGCUGCAGCUCUUCCUUUUCCUCUCUGCCGAAUCGCAUUUGCUUCCUUUUUCUUCCUCUAGCGGCUACCCUUCUCCAAAAGCCAAAAGCUUGCUUUUAUAUUUCUCUUUAAAAUGAGCCCCACCGACCUUGUUAUUUCUUAAGCCAAAAGGCUUGGUCUUUUAAUUUUCUUUGCUCUCACUCACGUGCUCACCAAUUAAGCUUGCACUAGGAUUCCUUUUUCCACUUAUGAAAGCCAAGUGUGGGUCCCUUUAAGUUGCUUUCCAUGCAUUACAAUGCCAUGCACAUCCAGCUCACUUGAAAAAUUGAAAUUUUUUUUGAGUGCAAAUUACUCUUGGCUUCACAUGCUAUAAACUCUUAAUUGUGUCACGACUUUGAUUGAUGCUUUCCCAAACUUGUUAUUCUUUAUGCACUUUUCAUUCUUAAUCUCCAAUUAAUUCCCUAUUCAAUAAAACAAUUCAAUAAAUUAAAAAUAACAAAUAAAAAUAACUAGCAAUUAUAUAGUUAAGGGUAAAAUAUGUAUAUAACUUAUGCUCAUCAGCUAUAUACUCUUCGUCUUUAACGUCCUCUAAUGGUGGCAUCUCAUUUUCUUCCGUUUCAUCUUCAGUUACAAUCUUACUAUUGUCUCACAACACUAUAACUCUCUUAUUCACACAUUCACUUGCGAUAUGCCCCUUGUCUUGACAUUUAAAACAAUUAAUGUCACAAUUCCUAAUAGUAAGAGGCACGGUGUUACCUUGUGAAUUGUGCUUGGAGGGCUCAGAUCUUAGCUUAGGUGCAAUAGAUGCUUGUAGCCUCUUGUCUCGUUUCACACAUAGCUGAGCUUCCAAUGAGUGGAACUCAAGCUUGGGGCUGCACGGGCGUUACCCCUCCUCUUGAGUUGCUGCUCAAUCUUGAUGGCUUUGUGUACAAUUUCAUCAAUUUUCACAUAAUGUUGCAACUUAACCUUAUCUGCUCUAUCAUCCUCCACAUUUGCUCUAAUCAUGACAAUCUCCAUUUCAUUAUAAUAAUCCUUCAUGCUUCAGCUACCAUGUGUAAGACUUUGUAAUUUUUUGUACAAGUCUCAAUAAUAGUGGUUAGGUACAAAACGUCUUCUCAUCAAUGAUUUCAUUUCAUCCCAUAUCUCAACUGGACGUUCUCUAUUUUGCCUCCUACUUAUAACAAGCUUAUCCCACUAAGUAAUAACAUAGUAAGAAAACUCAAUCACAACCAAUUUUACCUUUUUUUCCUCUGAAUAAUUAUGGCAAUCAAAUAUGAACUCUUUUUUCUUCUUCCAUUCAAGGUAUGCUUCUGGGUCAGAUUUUCUUUGAAAAGAUGGGAUCUUCAUCAUUAUGCCACUCAAUCCAUCAUCUCUAUUCAUAACUCUCCUACCUCGUCCAUUUCUCCUAUAGCUACCCACUGGGUCAUUCCAUUCAUCAUACUUAUCCCUAUAAUAGUCAUCAAUCUUUCCUCUAGCUGGAGAUCUUUCUCUUCUACGUGCUUGGGGAACAUAUUGUGGCUGCCCCGCACAUGUGUUCUCAACUUGAUCCAAACACUCAUGUAUGAGCUCUAAUUCAGCUCUCAUCAUCCUUCUUAUCAAAUGAUGGGAACCUCGUGUGUUCUCCACUUGGUUGCCCUGCACAUGUGUUCUCCACUUGGUUGCCCUGCACGUAUGUUCUCUACUUGGUGCCUAGGCUUUAAUACUAAAUGAUAGGAACCCAGUCAAGAACUAACGCGGCCUUAAUCAAUUUAGUCUCCAAGAUCGAAUCUAAACCAGGAUUGAAUGGAACCUCGACCCAAUGCUUAAUGAAAGCACGAACCUUGGUAUGUGAAGACGCCACAAUCAGAUGGAUGGUCUGAUUGAUAAGUCAAGAGUUUGAACACCACAGAAAUCCGAUAAGUUCAAAGAGUUUGUAAAGAAUCAAAGAGAAUUAACUCUCUCACCAAUUGCAUCAAAACUUAUCUUUAUUUAUUGGAUAUGAGUACAUUAUAUAGGGUUGGUUACAAGAAUUUUUGAAAAUAAAUCCUAAACCAAAAAUCAAAUCUGAAUCUGAAUCUAAACAAAUAGGAAAAAAUCUAAAUCAAAUCAGAUUCCUAAUCUAAGCGAAUAGGAAAGAAUUUAAAUCAAAUCAUAAUCAUAAUCUAAGUAAAUAGGAAAAUAUCUAAAUCAAAUCAGGAUCCUAAUUGGCUUAAAUGUCUUACAUUAAUUAAAAUAGAAACUAGAUUAUUAACAUAGAUAUAACUGAUUUGUUUCCCUAAUAGCCUCCUCAAGAAAACGGGAAAGUAUCUGAAAAAAAGGAAAAUAAUAUAUUUUCCUGCCAUAAUGUGCAAGCCAACUCCCUAUUUCAUGGAAGUGAUUAUUUGGAACUUUUAAGAGCUUGAAUCAUGCAUUUAUCAUGUGCGAUUCCUUCAACGGACCUCCACGAAUUUGAUUGAGCCCAAGUUACUUGAAUCAAUCUAUUAAGCGCUUCUUUGAAUUUCUUUGCUUGAGCUCUUGUAACGGGUCCGCCGGAACUUGAGUAGGAUCUGAAUAUGCCUCAUCCCAUGUGCUUAUGAUAGUUUUAUCCUUAAUCUCAUCAAUUUUACUCCCUCCAACUACUAUGGGCAUGAUAGCCAUAUCAUAAACAUGGCGUGGGGAACAAGUGUAGACAAUCUCAUAAAAGGUCUUAGCGCCAUGUUAUUGCAAGCAAACUUGACUUGAGGCAAGAUAGCUUCCCAAUUCUGUUGCUUGUCACUAUAAACACAGCACAACAUAUUGAGCAGAGUGCGAUUGACCGCCUCUAUUUGACCAUUUGUUUGCAAAUGAAAAGCACUACUAAACUGUACUGAACUUAUCCUAUAGAUGAUGCCAAAACUUGUUGAUAAACUUCACAUCCAUGUCAGAAGUAAUAGUCUUUAGCAUACCAUGCAAACUUACUACUUCUUCAGAGAACAAAUGUGCAACUGAAGCAGCAUCUUCAGUAUUCUUACAAGCAAUAAAAUGCACAAUCUCUGAAAACAUGUUGAUCACAACCUAUCAAUAUGUUCCCUUUAAAACUUUGAGGCAUAUAUAACUAAUUAGAUUUGAACAGAUAUCCAUCUUGAAUAAGGAAAUCUUUUGCAUUUUGAUGAUUAAUGCACCGAUCUUAAAUAUGCGCAAAGUCUUCAUCCUUAGCGUACAACUCCCUCAAGCAUUCAAAACCAGUAACUUCAAUGAAGAGAACAGUAAAGUUGCUUGCCUACUAAGUGCAUCUGCUAUCUUAUUCUAUUGCCCAGAUUUAUACUUCACAAUAAAAGUGAACUUUUACGUAUAGCUCACCCAUCUUGCAUGCAUCUUGCUCAGAUGUUGCUGGUGUUAAAGUACUUGAUUGCUUGAUGGUCACUAUAAGGUACGAACUCUUUGUAAAUCAAGUAAUGUUCUUAUGACUUCAACACUUUGAGGAUUGCAUAAAAUUAUUAGUCGUAAGUAAACCAUUUCUGUCAUGUUUUAUUUAACUUCUCACUCAUAUACAUAAGUGGUCAUCUCUCUUGAGAAAGAACAACCCCAAUACCAUUACCAUAAGCAUCACAUUCAACCUCAAACAACUUGAUGAAGUUUGGUAAGGCUAACAUAGGAGUAGUAAAAAAAUUCUCUUUUAAUAAAGGAAAACUUGCACUCCGCAAUAAGUGGGGCUAUGGUACUAAACUACAAAUAAAUAUCUUAUAAAACAUCGUCAACCCAUGAAAACUCCUAACUUCACCCACUGUCUUCGGCAUAGGCUAUUCUUUAAUGGCUUGUAUCCUCGACUCAAUAGCUCAAAUCAUAUCUACAUCAGUUAUAAAACCAAAAAUUCCACAUUACUCUACAGAAAGCUACAUCUUUAGAUUAAUGUAAAGUUUAUUUUUUUGCAACAUCUUCAUAAUCAUUCUUAAAUGUUCUAGGUGUGCCACCACAUCAACAGAAUAAACUAAGAUACUUUCAAAAUUCACUACAAUAAAUUUACAGGAAAAAGGCUUAAAACUUAAUUUAUUUAGUGCAUAAAAGUGCUUGACACAUUAGACAAUUGGAAUGGCAUAAAAAAACCACUCAUACAACCCUUUGUUUAUUUUAAAUGUUGUCUUCCACUCACCAUCAGGCCUAAUUCUGAUAUUGUGAUAUCCAUUACGCAAAUAUAUCUUUGAGAAAACUCGAGCAUCAUUUAGUUGGUCUAAUAACUCUUGAAACGUAGAAUAAGAAAUCGAUACUUCACUAUAAUAUGGUUAAUUAGCCUACUGUCUGUACAUAUAUGCCAACUCUCAUCCUUUUUCGGUACCAACAAAGUUAGUAUAGUACAUGAACUCAUGCUCUCAUGAAUGAAACCUUUCCCUAACAAUUCAUCAACCUGCCCUUGUAAGAUCACAUGCUCGUGAGGGCUCAUACGAUAAUGGGGCAAGUUAGGUAAAAUUGCACCAUAUCUCAUAAAGAUGGCAGCUUGUCUAACAACUUUAGUGAUCUAAUAUCAACAAACUCAAUUAAUAAUGGCCGUACUUUUUUCAAAAACAAUCUCAACCUUUAAUCCUUCUUUUUUCUUUAGCUUCUAGCAAUCAUCGCAAUCAUCCUCUUGAUGAUUUUUAACAACCUUAGUAUUCCUCUUUUUGUUCGUUAAAGGCAUCAACGAACCUUUUUGUUAUUCCACCAAAACUCAUACACAUUAUCCUCUCUUCUAUAUUGUAUCAACAUCAAAUUGCUAAAGUCUGCCAAAUAAUAUAUGGCACGCAUCCAUAUUCUUUACAUUACAUAACACAUCACUCUUAUAAAUCUUCCUAAUGGAAAAAAGAACACGACAUACCUUUAUUACUUGCAUUUCUGUCUUUUUAUUUAUCAAUCGUAUUCUGUCAGAUACUGGAUUUUUUUGGUUAAAAGUCCUAUCAUGUCAAAUAGCACCUUUGAAAAUAUGUUCUCGCUACUGCCACUAUUAAUUAUAAUGUUGCACACUUUGUCAUUGAUAAUGCCACAUGUUUUAAAAAUCUUAUUGCGCUGAUUAUCCUCUUUAAAUUUCAAUGCUAAUAAAAUCUUCUAUAUAAUACAAUUUAGUCUCUCCUUCAUUUGCUUCCAACUUUAAAGCUUCUUCGUCAUCCCCAUUCUCAACGUCGUUCAACUCUGUCUUGCUGACUUUAGCCUUUACUAAAUUCAAAUUUUUAAGAUGAUUGUCACUUGAUCGAUGGCCUGGUUCCCUACACUUCAAACACUUGUUCAGCAUAGGCUUCACUAUAAGUGAUUGUAUCUACUAUCUCAUCUUAUAUCUCUUGUUUUAAUCUACCAAUAUAUUUCGUAACUAUUCAAAAUUCUGGCUCAUCCAUAUUAUUUUUAGUGUGUAGACGAUAAAAUUCCUUUAUGUAUUCAUUGACACUGUGAUUUCCUUACCUGCAGUUUUGAUAUUUAAAAUACAGUUGCUACCAGUAAUCUACUGGCAAGAAAUACUCUCUCAUCAUCCUCUGCAUUCUAGGCCACAAUUUGAUUUUUUUUUUUUGCAACUUUUCUUUAGUUUUGUAUGUAUUGCCAUCAUGUAGAAGCUGCGAAAGCUUAACUCACUUCUCUUGAGGAAUCUCUAUAUACUCGAAAAAAUUAUCCACUUGUGAUAUCCAGUCUAAAAAUUUUUCAACAUGCAUCCCACAAAAAAAAAUCCAGAAUAUUAACAUUAAUCUUGUAAUCUGAACUCUUUUUGCGCCCCUAUCAUCCUCCACAUAUUCUUCUUCUUCUUAAUCGUUUCUUAGCUCCUUACGCACGCGUAUUGGUUUUCAUCACGCAGGGCCUAAAUUUUGAGGUACUACUUCACCAUUGAUGCCUUGAGGUUUUAUUUCAUGACCGAUCGCUUGAGGUAUCUCCAUGUAGUUGUAAUCUUCAGGUUGUACACCACGAUUGACUCUUUGAAGUUCUUCCUCGUGAUUAAAUUUUUGAUGUUGACCUCUCUUUCUGUUUUUGUUCAAGCAAAACUUAAGACUCAUGAUUGUCUCGCUCUAUCGCCACCAAUCUCGAGUUAUAAGCUUCCUUAAUUGCUUUCAAGGUUGCUUCUCUAGCUGCCCGUCUGACAGCCUUCACAGUCCUUGCCUGCAUCCCUUUGUUAACAUGUAUGUGUCUAUAAUGAUGAUUUUGAUGAUAACAAAUAAGAUUAAGAAUGAUUAAGUUUUUAAAAACUCAAAUUAUUUUUCAUACAUUUUAAAUAAAUCAUUAUUUUCAUAUAAUAAAGGUUUUAUAUUCAAAGGUAAAGUGAUUUCAUGAAAUUGGUUGUUUUUCAAGUUCAUGGUCUAAUUGAAAAUUUUUUUAGAACUUUGAAAUCAACAAGUAUUGCUUAAAAUUCUAGAAAUGGACUUGUUUGAAAAGUAUCAGAAAGUUUUGGGCCAUAGUAUAAGUACAGAAAGUUUUGGGGCAAAAAUAUAAUUUUAAAAAAUAGUUUCAUUGUAGUAGUCACUAUAGCAAACAGCUAACCGACAAAAAAAAAAGAAUUGAAGAUUAGCCUCUGGACACUAACGGCAAACCGACUUCUUGAAAACGGUAAACCGACAUCUUCUUUGCAAGUCAAUGGACGAUAACGGCGAUCCGACAUUUCAAUAACGGUGAUCCAACAAUUUGAAAUUCUGUUCAAUGGUAACUUGCUCAAGUUAAAACGGAAAUCUGACUUCUAUAUAACGGCGAUCCGACUUAGAGUAAAUUAUCUGUAACGGCUAUUUUUUAGCUCAAACUAUAAAAAAGCUCACUUACACACAAACAAUGGGGAUUCCACCUAUCAUUGAGCAAACUAUUGAGCAUACAAUUUUCAUUGAGCUUUAAAUUCUUGUAUUCAUCUCAAUUAUUCACAUAUUAGGAUUUCAUUUGUAAUCAAACACAUUGUGUGAGAAAGAUUUAUUUGUAAUCCUUUUUGUAAAAUCAAGUUGAGAGGUUGUAAGUGUUGGGAUACACUUGGGUUAAGAGAUUAGGGAUAAUCUCUUAUUGUAAAGGUCUAUUGGUAUCUUGGAAGUCAAUUGUAAGAAGUUGUUGAAGCCUUGGAGGCUUACUUAGUGAAAUCUUCAAGCCCGAUAAGCUUGGAGGCGUGGAUGUAGGCACGAUUGGCGGAACCACAUAAAAAUCAUGUGUUUGCUCUCUCUUACCCUAUCUCCUUAUUUUUUAUUGCACGUUAAUUUUUUUAUUUCAAAUUUGAUUGCCUUGUUUAAAUUGCAUUUAGUUUCUUAGUUGCUUAAAUUUUUUAGAAACUCAAUUCACCCUCCCUUUUGGGUUAAUUAGUAUUUCAUCAUUGAUUGUCGUCUUCGGGACAAUUGCUCCUAUGAUUGUGUGGUCGUACCAUAAUGAUAAGCGAACUUGCUUUGAUACUAUUUAACAAUGCGAAAAUGUUUAAAUUUGAUGGAUAGAAGAAACAAAAGUUUCUAAAUAAUGAAGUUUAUAAAAAUGUCUGAAAUUAAUAAAACUAGGGUUUUGGGCCCCUUUAUAUAAUAAUCAUAAAUAUUUUGAAUUUACCAAAAUAGGUAAAUCUAAAAAAUUAUUUUAUAAUAAAAUUCUCAUAAUCUGAAUAAACAAAUGGUGCCUAAAUCUAAGAUCUUAAAAAAAGAUAAAAAAUCAUAAAAGAAAUAAAAAAAUAAGAAAAUAUCUUAAAACCAAAAAAACGACAAGGAAAGAAAUGGAUUUUUACGCUCAAACACUGCCCAAAACUAUGCAACAAUUCUAGUUUUGAUUCGUCUCGUCACAAGCUUCAAAAUAGUAUAUAAUAGGCCUAAAAUAGACACACAUAACCUAAGUUAUACCUUUCGAAAAGUAUCGCAUUCGUCUUGCGCAUCCAUCCUACAUCAUAACAACUUGAAGACUUAGGAGGGCUAGCUUAAUUCAAAAUCAAGACUAGCUUAUUAACUUGCAGGAUUUUUAAUUGUCAGGGAAAAAAUUGUUGAAAGAUGCUGGUUAUAAAGUUUAUAAAACUUUAAUUAUUUCAUAAAAUUGUUUUAUUGUUUAUUCAUCAUCACGUUUGGAUUAUCCCCAAUGGCCAAUUUUAUUUUCAUUUUUGUAUAGGUCAAAUAAAUGUUACUAGAAAUUGAUUAUUACCACUUUUUUCUCAUUUAUUGAGGACUAUGAAGAAUUAGACAAAACUCAUAAAUGACCUAAAAUAUAUAAUGAAUAUUUAGAUAUUUUUUCAUAUCCAUACGAUAUCUUGGAGUACGACAUAGUCUCCAAAAAUAGCCAAACAUUUCACAUCUAUCACAAGUGCUUUCUUGAAUAUUAUGUUGGGGCAGGUGUUUCGUCGUCAUUUUUUUCUUUUUCUAUGGUUAUUAUACCCAGCACGAGGUUGACAAUAAUUUUUUUCAAGACCUCAAUCUUAAUAAUAGCCAUGACCACAACCAUGACUACAUCUACGGGCAUGGUUAUACCCAUUUUCAUUAUGAUCACAUAGAGAACAUUUGCUCCAAGACCUUGUUUUGUACCAAUAUGAUGAACUUAAUAAUUCACUAUUCUUUUCUACAAAAAGAAGGCAUGCAAUCAAGUACCGACAGAUAGGGGUGGGCGUUCGGGUCGGGUGAACCAAACCAAACCAAUUUCGGGUUUUGGUUCGGUUCGGGUCGAACCUAAAACUCGAACAGAUUGAAAGAGUGAAACAGAACAGAUUUGCUAUUUGGUUCGGGUUAGCCCGAACCAAAUAGCAAAAUUGUUCGGUUUCAUAUUAAAAAAAUAAAAAAUAUAUAUAACUAUCCCAUGAAUCUCGAAAUGCCCAAAUCGCCCCCACUGCUCGCAAAUCCCUAACCUCUCUUAACUCUCACCACUCUCCCAAGUCCUCGACGAGCAUGCCGCGAGCCCCUCGCGCACGAGAGGGAAAAAAACAUAGAAAAAGAUAAAGGAAAAAAAUUAAACACACUGCUUUGCUCGCAGGACCCUGUUCAGCUACAAUAAAGAUCAUGCCUCUACUUAUACCCGUAAGUUUUUCCAACAAUUGGUUAUGUGCAUACUUAAUCCCCAAAUAAACUCUUAUGAUCUUACCAAACUUCCUAGCUGGUUAAUAACGCCACUUACCUGCAUACAUUAAAAAAAAAGAAUCAUUAAAGUUUUUACGCAUUAAAAUGAAAAAUAGAAGUUUACUUCACAAGUUUAUAAUUUGUAUACAAAUUUCUAUCUGUAAAAUGAAAACCAAUGUCAAAAUAAUAACAUACAAUAUCAAUUAGGGGUGGGCACGGGUCGGGUUGAUAGUCAACCCGACCCAACCCGCAUAUAGAACGGGUUGAAAAAAUUCAACCCAACCCAACCCAUUACAUUUUUCAACCCAACCCGCAGAGUUGCGGGUUGGGUUGAUUGGGUUGGGCUUUUGAAAAAGCCCAUUUUUAUGAUCUAAAUAAAAAUAAAAAAUUAAUUAAAAAAAUUAAAAAAAUACAAAUACUAAAAUUCUUACAACAAAUCCAAUAUUUCAAAAUUUAGCAAUCAAAUUAUUAGUACAUAACUAAUGAAAAAAAGUACAUAAAUUUAAAAUCUUGUUUAAUACAAAACAUUAAAGUCCAAAGAGUGAAAUUUUAUAAGUCUUCCAUACAUAGGAAGAGAGUUUCCCGAAACCAUUGCUCAACACCAACCAAUAGGAGUGUAGUGAAGAUCAGUCCAAUGACAUCAAAAUCUAGAUCAAUCCAAAUUAAUGACAUCAAAAAAUUAUUAACUCCUGGAUUACUGGAUGAAUUUGCUUCCAUCUACAAGGAAAAAAUUCCAGGCCAUGAAUAUUUUUUUUAUCCUAUUAAUAAUUAAAAAAUAAUAAAAAAAAUAACAAAUAGUGGUCACAACAAGCUUAAAGCUCUUUUAUUAAUACAUUUAACCAUGUUUUGUCAGUUUUAAUACUACAAUAAAUAAAUAUGAUUAAAAUAAUUUUAUGAAAAAAAAAUCCAUCGGAGAUAGAAUACAUAUGUGAAUUUGAGAGCAUGACUAGUUAAUAGUAAUACUGAAUAUAUUUCUGCAGAACAAUGCCCAGGAGAUGUUUGUCGAAAAGCCUUUUCCCUAAGAUUGUAAUAAUAACAAUUAUUUUAUUUAUGUUAAUCCGAUUGUUGAUUAAGCUUGACACCAUCAUAACAACCAAAAAUUGACCAACUUUUAUCAAUAAAAAAAUAUUAUAAAGCACCAAAUCAUGAAAUCAAAUGACCAACUUGUUUCAAAAUAAUAAUAAAUUAGUAAAAUAGAAAGAAGAAAGAACCUAAGCUUGUGACGAAUCUGACGAUGUGUAGUUUGAGCAGCUUUUCAAGAAACGUUGAGUUGUGAUGUUGUUGUGUUCUAUGCGCGAGCAGAUGAACAGCUGAUCUUUAAACAAGGGAAUUUGAGUUUAGGGUUCAGAGAAGUUGUUAAAUACAUUUUUAUAUAUACGGGUUGACGGGUCGGGUUGGGUUAAAAAUUUGCAACCCAACCCAACCCGCAAAAAUUCAUACGGGUUGGGCGGGUUGGUGCCCACCCCUAAUAUCAAUUGGAAUAGAACAUGCCAUUCCACAGAAUGCACUACUUCUAGAAAUAAUAGAUGUAUUUACUCCAGUCAAACUUCAUGAACAAUCAAAAUCAUACUUUCAGGGUGGCUGAUUACAUGGACUUUCUCACAUAGUUAUUGGUCUUAUUCGUGUUUUGGUGCAUUAAUAUGCUAGUAGUGCUACACAUUCUAAAUUUUUUAUCUCAAAAAACUACUUCAAAUGAUAUAACAUUCAUCAGUUUGUUGGUGAGACAAAAUAGUCAAUUCACUUAAAUCUUAUAAAAAAUUAUCAACCAUUCAAUAAACGACAUAUUAUUUUACGAUGAAAUUUGAGAUAAAAAAUUAGAGAUAUCUAUCAUUAGUCUUAAUAUGCAACAUUGCCAAAGUCUUUGUCUUGAUCAUAACAAACAAGUUAAUUUUGCAUAUAAGGUUGAUUGGUCAAAAUAGUGACCCUAUAAAAAUAAUUUGUUGUUUGAAGUAUUUUAUAGAAUAAAUAAAAAAAAAAUUAUUCCAUGGCGUUAGCCUACCAUCAAUUGUCAGCAGUUAUUUGUCAACUCCACCGCCCUCCAGCAGCAAACAAUUUUGUGUCCCACCAGCAAAUAUCGCCUGAUUUCGAGUCCCACCGGUAAAUGCUGCUGGAUUUUGAGGCUUCCAUAUCCUCGGUCGUCGGCAUUGCAGUAUCCAAGGGUUCAUCUUCGACAUCGUAGGCUCACAGCUCUCUACUUGAUGUUGAUGGUAAUCGGUAAGCAUGUUCUUUUUUUUUUCUUUGUUUCACUAAAUCAAUAAAAUACUGUUAUUACAAGAUUAAUUUUAAAAAAUAUAUGUUUAAUUGCACGUUGUAGCAAUGGAGCUGAUUAUGAGUGAUGAUGCCAGUAGAGCAAACUUGUAUAUUUUGAAGCAAGCUAGCUACCAAAUAAAAAGAUGAAAGAUGGACAAGAAAAAGGAAUCAAAUUUAGUGGAGUAUGAUCAAAUUUCCGUGCAUCAAUUAAUUAAUUUUUUAUGCUCUGCUGUUUAGAAAAAAGGUUUUGGAUUUAUUUGUUGGGGCUUUCUUGUUUUGUCUAUAAUUUGCGUUGUAGUCUCGUUAAAAAAUGUUUAUUUUUAGUUUUUGUAACAAAUUAUGGUUGGAUAGUGCUAAUGCUUGAUUCGCUGUAAUCAGGGGCAUAUUUUACCAAUUGAUUUAAGCUAUUAUGAAUUUUUUGACCCGAAAUUACAACCCCAAACCAUAAUUGGACCCGAAAUAUGAAACUGAACCUGAAUCAAAAUAUGAAACCGAAACCGAACCAAAAUAUGAAACCGAACCAAACCGAACCGAAUUUGAAAUUGAACCAUACCGAACCGAAAUAAUCUUUCAAACCGUUUGGGUUGAAUUCUCAAACCCGAACGGGUUACAACUCGAACUGAAAACCGUAAAAACUGAAUCUCCGACCCCUACCGACAGGCUCUAUAUUGUUGUUGUAGAACCAUAUUGGAAGCAUGAAAUUUUAUAAAUAUUUUUUUUUCAACAUUCCCCAUCAGUAAUAUUUUCCCCCACACAGUUUUAAUUAUUAAGUAAUUUUGUACAAUGCAGAAUUAUAUGUUGGAUCAUAAACUUGAUCCAUACAACUUUGAAACCCAAAUGAUUCUUUAUCUAGUUCAUGGAAGCUUCUUUAGGUAGUUAAGAUUUGUGGUGUUAAAUGUGGUAAUAUGGUAAGUAGAAUUUGUGUUGUCGAGUAUGUUGUUAGGUUUGGUGUGUGGUUAUGAUUUGUGUGGUAGUUAUGUCAAUAUAUGGUUGUGAUUAAAUUGUAACAAGUAUAAAUAUAUGCUCUCUCAGUUGGUUUAAGUAACAAGAAGUAGUAAAGCUUAUUAAUUCUAAAAGAGGCGUAAUUAAGGAGUUGUAUUGAGUUCAUAAGAAAAAGAGUGUUUUGAGUGUUUGAUUAUUCAAAUUCUCCAAUAUUAUAUUUAUGAACUAACUUAAAAUUCACUAAAAGCAUUUGAAAGAAUUACUGACCUUAAAUGACCAUGUUUCUCAUCAAGCUACUUCAAAUGACAUAUGUGUCCUAUAUAGGAAGAUGUCUUGUUUUGAGUGGUAGAUAGAGAUGGAGACAUAGAUAAAUCAUGGUCUUCUCUUGAUCUUGAAGGGAUGAGUCAUUUUUAUUUUUCAUUGUAUCACUAAGCGUCAAGAUGAAUUUCAGCAACAUCAAGCAUUUUUGGAAAAUAAAGUAUAUAUGCUUAACAUUGAAUAUAUUUUUAUAAAUAAAAGCUAACACAAAUGUUGUGCCAAAGAAUCUGUUUAUAUGUUAACUAGACCCAUUUAGGACAGCAGCGUUGCCGACCGGGGCUUUGAUUUGAUUGCUAUAAGUAUAUACUAAAUACUUUUAAUAGAACUUUCGGUUGGGAUGAAUGGUUGAGUAAAAUAAUUCAAAUGAUUUAAGUAAGGAUUUUUUUUAAUAUUUUAAAGAGUGCACAUGUUAAAAUUUAAUAGAUUAGUAUACAAAAUAAUAGAAGAUGGAACUAUCAUACUCUUACUCCGAAACUGCAAUUAGAGUCAAAAUUCUUGUAAUUUCUUUAUGCAACACUAUAUUUCAACAAGCAAUAAUAGAGCAAUAAUAUAGUUAUAAAUUCUUGUACAAAUAUUUUUAUGUACAAAUUGAUUUGGCAUGAUUUAAUUGGUUGGAUUAAAUAUCUCUUAGUUCAAAUGAUUUGUUUUUAUUAUUUUCUAUUUUCACUUAACCAAUGAGUUAAUGUCAAAUUAAUUUAUGCAAAAUAAAUUUGUAUAAAAGUUUUUGCAUGUAUCAUCACUCACAAUAAUAUUACUAGAGGAGUCGAGCUAUAACUUUUCCCUGGGGGCAUAAUAAGUUUACAGCCAUAUGUUGUGACAAUUACACAAUUACCCUAGAGAUUUUUAAUGAUUCAACUGUGCCUAUGUUUGCACGUUAUUUUAUUUUUUAAAAUAUUUUGUGGAAACUACUUCGAAAAAUGAUAUUUUCACGCAUUUAAAAAAUAAUAAUUUAUUACUAUAUUAUUUAGAAUUUAAAAAAAAGUAAUAAAAUUUGAGUUUAUAAGACUUAAAAUGUAUUCAAGUGAACAUUAAAAAAAAUCUAAGUUCAAUAAAAUUUUUUGAACUAAGUCCCCCCCUCAUUUUAGUUUUUGGGUCCUCUGAUUGUUACGAUUUCUUGUGCUCUAUUCCUCCAAAUAUUAGUAAGAUUUUAAAUGCAAAAUAUGAAUAUUCAACUAAAAUUUAGAGUGUAAAUAAUUCCACCCAAAAUUUGAUUAUCUGACAAAUUGUAUGAAUUUCUAUGAGGAAUCCGUUGGCAUUUCACAGAAGCCCAAUAAAAAAUACAUCCGCAAAAUAUCCAUCAAAGAUAUUUCAACAAGCUAGUCAAGUACUGGGACAGGAAAUGGCUCUGUUCCUCAUAAUGAAUUGACGUCCUGUCCAGUGUCCCUCCUUGGCUUCUCAUCACAGAAAUGAAAAUUGAAAUUAGGCCAAUUAGAUUAAAGGCAAGACGGAAUGGAAAUAUGGAACCGUUAAUUAUUAUACCCAUGACCCCUCUAAUUAAAGGCGCUUUCCCUUUCAAUAUUAUUGUACGUAUUUGCAAGGAAACCUCCUCUCUCUUUCUUCCAAUUAAGACUUCUUCUGUCCAUAACAUGUGCGGCCUCGCGCAUUAGAUUAUUUUUCUAACUUUAUACAAGUAAAGUAUCUCUUUUAUACAAGUAAAGUAAAUCUCUUAUUCCUUGCAAAAAAAAAAAAAGUUUUUUUUUUUUGAGUCUUAAUUACGAGAUAUCUUGGGGAGGGCCCCAACUAUGGGAGGCACCUUUAAACCCGUACCACAACUCAGAUUAGAAGUCCCCGCUCGAACCGGAAGACACAGGUUCUCCCAACAAAAGUGCCUUCCUUGCAACGCGAACUGGGAAGCAAAUGUUGGGAAAAUAUGCUCUUUAAAAGCAUAUGUGUUUAUUUAAUUGUAAUAAACUAUUUUUCUGAUUAAUAAAAUAAAUGAGAUAUUUUAUUCAAAUAUCUUAAUUGCAUUAAUACUUGUAUUAAAGUCCAUUUAAUCAUAUUAUAUGUAUUUAUGUGAUCACCAUGUGGAUUCACAGAAGACAUAAAUACAAGUUAUCUUAUGAUUAAAUAAAUUUAGUUCGCAGUUGAUAAAUAAAGUUGGGCACUUUAUUUAGGUAUAGACUGUAAUAAAUUCAUUGAAUGAUUUGUCUUAAUCAUGUAUGAAUUUAUUGAUGUAGUACGACUACAUUGAACAGGAUCACAUAUGAGAUUUAAUUAACUUUGUAAUAACUGUCAGACUUAUUAAAUCUCAUAGGCGUUGAUUUUACUGUAAUCUUAAUCUUGAGUUAAUUAUGAUUUCAUGAUUGUAAUUGUUAUUCCAUUUGAGUUACCAAUGGGCACGACACAUCCUUGUGGUCAAGAUUACCCGGUAUCUUGGUGGGAGCAAUUAUGAGUAUUGGAGUUAUGGAUUAACAAUAUAGAAUUUGUACAACACAUCUCUUGAUGGGUUUUCGGCACUUGAUCAUAGAAUUCUCUGGCCAGAGUGUGUCAACAUAUUUAGUAUGUUGAAAAUGAUCAUUAGAGAAAACCAGUAAAGAUCAAGGAAUAAGAUGUUAUUAAAUUGAUUGGACAGUUGAGAUAUCAAUUUAAUUAACGAUGUGGUACAAAGGAUUGUGCAGUAAAGAAAUCAAUGUGGCUUGGGAUGAAUUAUUAUUCGAGCAUACAAUUAUGGAAGUCAGUUCCAAUCUUUUAGUGGAGUAGAUUUGGAAUUAAAUAAUUGGGCUAGUUUAAUUACAAGCCUAAUUAUUGUAGCCACUAUUGUAUGUUCCCAAAUGAUCCUCGGGUUAGCUCAUUUAAUUGACUGCACCACUACUGGACUAAUAAGUAAGAUAACUAGCUAUUUGGGUCAAAAGCCUAAAUACAUCAUUUAGUGGGAGGCUCCAUUUAAUUAACUUUUGUAUAAGGGGCCUUAUGUUAUUUUACAAGGUGGGUCCCCUAUUGAAAAAGCAAAUUACGUGAGUUUUGUUUUUUGAUAUUUGGAGCCUAGGGUUUUCACUAAAGGGUGAUAUAAAAAAGACUUAUUUUUCUCUAAAGAAUAAAAUAGAAGCCACUUUAUACAGAUCAGAGAAUAAGAUUUUUCUCUCCAUUGUUGAGAGAAAAAUUUUCUCGUGCUAGUUACUUUGGUAGUGAUAAAGGCGCCCACACGUCAAGUGCAGAUCGAACCUGAGUCAUAACCUGGAAGAUCAUUGGUGACAGUUCGUGAUCUAGCAAGCGUGGUGGUGACGGAUCGUGAUCUAACAGGAGUGGUGGUGGCGGAUCGUGAUCUAGGAGCCUAAAUCAUUUCAACGGAAAAAGCCAAAUCGGAUUUUCAAGGUACGAUUUCUAGAAUACAAAUUCUUAUAUAUUAUAUGAGAGCGAUUUUCAAAAGGUUUUAUAAAAAUUUAAAAACCUGAUUUUUCCCCAACAGCAAAUCCAGUCAAGCCACUUAAAGGGGACUCCAUUGUUAGUGGAGCCAACACUUUGUUGGUUAAAGUAUCUCUCUUAUUGUACAAAUAUAAUUUGAUUCGACGUGGCGCACUGGUCGCACUAGAUGAGUGCUCUAACUUUGUUCAAGUAAAACUGUCUCCCUUAUCGUGCAAACAUAAUUUGUCGUGGUUCGGCACCAAAAUGGCAAAAUUUGUCACUCUAUUUCCUGAAAUUUUAAAAUCCGCAACUAUUGGGCUGUGUGGCGGGCUCGCCAAGGUCACAACCCAACCUUUAUCAUGGGCCCUUUCCAAACCUAACUUGCACUCUCCAUAUUCUUCCUCUAUUAAAUAAAACUGAAUAUGACGCAUAUUAACAGAUUCUCACCAUUCACGUAUUUUAUAAUGAAUCUCGCACUAAUUCUAAGUUUUCAUUUUUGUCCUACAAAGAAGAAACUUUGGAGUCUUAAUGUCUGCCUUUUUUUUUUCUUAUCUCGAGGAAAAAAAAAUCUAUAUAAACCUAUCAAAUUAUCCAUUAAACCUAUUUAUUAAAUAAAUCACCAAUUAAAAUUUAAAUAUUUAAAUUUUCAUCUAAAUUUACGUAUUUUAUUUCAUCAAUAAAUGAAAUUAUGGACUUUUGCCUCUAGUGUCUUAUAUGGUUACAAUUUUUGACUCUAAAACCAAGCAUACAGAGUUUGAUGUUCAUUUUAUAAGGGAUAAAGUAGUCAAUGGAGAAAUGGAAAUGGUAAAGCUUAUUUAAGUAGAGCUUUUAUUAGUAGUUUUUUUAUAAAUAGAACUUUUACUAAAAAAAUUUAGUUGUUUGGUUGUUAAUAAGAGCUUUUAUUAAAUAUUUUUAAAAUUACUUUAAUAGACAAGUUUUUUAAAGUUAUAUUAUGAAAAGAAUAAAAUAAAAUUUCAAAUAAAUAGAAGAUAUUUUAGAUUUUUUAACAUUUAAAAAAAGUUUUUCAAUCUCUAUUACCAAAAGCCCAAAAUUUAAGCUUUUACUAGUAGAGGCAAAAUAACUUAUUUAAGUUUCAAAAAUCCUAGUAGAAAAACAACCAAACAAUAACAAAAAUUAUAAUAAGAACUUAUGAGAUUAAAUAAACACUUAUACCCAUUAAAUAAGUCAUAUCAAACAAACAUGUAUACCAACAAAGCAUGAUAAGAUGGCAAACACAUAUAUUAAGUCCUUAGCAAUUGAAAGUUUCAAAGAUCUCACAAGCAAUCUCGUAAUCCUACCAACGAUCGCGCGCUUGAGGGGGUUGAAAUUGAAGAAACACAGGACCUGUAUUACCACUUAGAAGCAGACAGAGUUUUACAUCUCAGGACUCAGCAUCUGAGGAGCUGAUGACAUGAAAAUAAAAUCCAUCCUUUAUGUACGGAACUCUGUAACGCAUGCAAUGACAGGUAACUACGAUUUCUUCUCAUUUUAUUCUCUCAGUCGAUCCGCGCUCUUCUAUUUCAUGUCUUAUUUUAAUUAGAAGGCGUAACGCCCCAUGGGUGCUGCUCAGUUGGCUAUGAAUAUGCUUUGUGCCAGCAGUCACUCAAGUUCAAGUUAAAAUAAGAGAGUAAGAUUGGUGAUUAAUGCUUAUUGAGGUUCCUCGUCCCUAUUCAAAUCUCUAUUUAAAGCCAAAGAGUAAAUACCCAACUCCCAUGUAUGCCAGUGAGGAGUAGCACUUACAUCGUCUAUUAAAGAACAGAGCAAAUACGACCAACCAGUGGAAAGUCUACCAAUGAGGAUGAUGUUAAUGGAAUUCUGAGAAUAGAGGCAAAUGGGUUAAUGAAGACAGACUCUGAAUGUAAGUUUAUAUGUUUCAUAUGUAAGCAAAACGGCAUAAGACGCAUGGGCUUAUUUAGAUGUUUAUUAUUAUUAUUAUUAUUAUUUUAUUGCAGAUACUGUUUCAUAAAUACAUCUUACUUGAAUGUACAUUUAGCUAGUUGUGAAGAGUACUCGGUAAGAAGGGAUAUUUUUCAAAGCUUUUUCACUUGGAAGACACAUCAAGACUUGAUUAUAAUGAGAUUGAGCUACUGGAUUCGUAUGAGUUUACAGGAUAAAGCUUUAUUUCAUGUUAAAAAAAUUAAACAUAAAAUUGACUUAAAACUUGAAGCAUUUCAAGCUUGCGAUGCAUGAUCUAUUAAUUUUGUUUCAUAUUUACAUGUUAUAUACACUCAUUCCACAAUGAACUUGAUACCAUGUUUGGCUAUACAUAUAUCGUGUGUGUUUUUCAGAGUUUGCAACAAAUUCUAGGUUAAAAUUUAAUUGAUUUUAAAUUUCGAUUUUAUUUUAGAAUUAACUACAACAGUUACAAGCUUUUAAUUCAAAUGUUUAAGGCAGUCAUUACAACUCCUUAAUCCAAUUUAUUAGGACCAAAGUGUCCGUCUCACUGUUUAUAAAUUGGAUGCUCCUUUCAUUUAAAAAAUAUAACCAUUGCACAAAAACAGUGCAUAGAGUUUUCCUUCCUCUCCUUUUGACAUUUAUUCGUGUCCAAGAUUCAACCAUGCUGAAAGUUUGCUGAGGAACUAUUCAGAUGUGUACUGAAAUUGUUUCGUUCCGAUUGUAUCCUGAGAAAUAGUUGCUAUUCAAACCUACAGUUCCUGAUAGUAGGUGGCAAAUCUAUUUUAAGAAAACUAUCUAGUGCAAGCCUCGUGUUAUUUCUAUGACUUUAUCUUGUUUACAGUUUCUGUUUAGUUAUUGUAUUUGCUGCAAUCUAAUUUUACUGUUCAGCUAUAAUGUUGGUUGUUGUUUACAAUUUUGUUGCACUUAUAAAAUAUAAAGUUGCAUAUGUUUCUAAUAGACAUAUGUUCGUUAGUUAACUUUUUAUGCUUUCAGUAAUUAGAUACGUUCACAACACCGAUGAAUAUAUGACAUAUCAAGAGCUAUGGAUCAGUUGGGAACAAAUACAAUUAGCUAUGGUAAAAGGAAAGAAAAUAAUCACUUAAUUUUAGGAUAUUUGGUCUGCUAGCCAUUAGAGUCAAUCUUGUAGCCGUAAAUGACUAGUCAUUGUGAUUCACUUUCCGUUGUGGUGUUUAAAUUUCCAUCCAAUGUUAUGGUGGCUGAUCUGCUGCCAAGCUUGGUUAUAACCUUAUCAAUUUACCUAUAUUAAACAGUUUUGCAUCUUCUAUAAUUUUUCCCUUUAAUGUGUUUAUAUUUUGUUGUUGUUUUUACAUUCUUUUUUCUUGCUAAGCAAUCAAUCUACAGCCUCAGUUGCUUUUUAUGUGUGGUGACAGGUUCUUGAGAACAUGAGGGGUUGUACAAGGUUUUUCUGGCGUUGAACCUAAUGUUCUUCAUUGGAAUUUAUUUGGGAAUAGGGAUUUCUCUUUGACAUCGGCAUAGGAGCUUGUUCGUAGGUCUAGAUCUAGGAGUGAGUUUAUUUUUCCUUUUUUUGAUAGUGAAAUAUUCCUUCUUGAAUUUUUUUUCCUGUUGUGAUUAUUACAUGGUUUUUGGUCAGGAAUGAUUCCUUGUGCCCGAGUUGUUUCCGUAUUAUUUCUUGGUGUUUCUAUGUUGGGUGGUUGAGACGGUUAUGCAUUUAUUUUUUGAUUGCGCCCAAAGGUUAGACAGGUUUAACAGUUUUUUUUUUUUUUUUUGUACAAUGAGUUUGCAGUACCUGUAUCUUUUAUCUGCUCAUGCUUUAAUUUGCCUUUUGGUGAUGAUGCACGUAUUCUUUGCGGCGUUUUUGGGUUCUUCUUCCAAGCUUAUCCUAUGGUAUGUUUGGAAGGCUUAAAAUGCUUUUAGGUUUGAUUCCGUUGCUUUUGUUGUAAAUGUUGUUUGUAGGGUGGUUUCUGACCUUAAGCUCUGUAGUUUUGUUUUCGAUUUUAAACCAUCGUAGUUAAAAGGGUGUCUUUGAUACUCAACUUCGGAGGGUUCGUGGAUUAUCCUCCUCCCUAUAGGCUAAAUCGUUUGGUUUCAUAGUUGAGGCUGCUGGCUGAGGUGGUGAAGCUUAAUAUGAAUAGUUGCUCUUGGGGCAAUCCUAGUUUGCAUUUCAUGGGCAGUGUUUGCGUGAUCAUCAAGGUGUGGUUCUGGUUGCUAGCUUUUGGCUAUUUUCUUGGGCACCAGCCUAUUCUUUCUGCUGAGCUAAUGGCUGUUUGCGAGGGCUUGGAUCUUGCUACUAAGCCUGUUUAUUCUGUUCUUGAGGUGGAAUUCGAUCUUGAGACAGUGGUUUCAUGGAUUACUUUUUGGCCAAGUCCGUACUUUAUCUUCUAAUCCUUCAGUCUCUAUUAGACAUGUUUGUAGGCAGGCUACUUCUGCUACUAAUUUCAUGGGCACUUGGGCUUGUUCUCAUUAGACUCAUUAGCAGCUUUUGAGUUAUUGCGAUCUUUCAACUAGUUUGAUUAGCAUUCUUCAUUUGGAUGCUCAUGAGACUCUGCAUGUUAGGAGAUGACGUUUCUCUUUUGAGUUCUUUGCUUGUUUCCUGUGGGCUUUUUGCUUUUGUUUUGUAUUGUGCUUUUUAUUGGAGGUUUUAAGGUCAUGUACUCCUUUUGUUCAUCUUCUUAUAAUUUAUAUUAUAGGUAGAGGUUCGGUCUAAACCCCCACUUUCUUGGUAAUCUUAAAAACAAAAGCCAUUAUUACUUGGCGAACAUAUUCUCAAAAAAGCUAAAGAAAAUUCAUGUGUAUAAGAUAAAUAAAUAAUUACCAUCCCUUUAGCUAAAAAAUUAAAAAAAAAAAUUACCAUCCCCUUAGCUAAAAAAUUAAAAAAAAAAACGAAGAAAGAUGCUAGUACCUCCGCUCUAUGUGAUUAGGUUUUUCAAAGGGAUGAAUGAGAUUAUUAUUGUUUGACACUUAAUUAUAUAUAGUACCACAUACUAGUUUCAAUUUUCAAUUAUAAUUCCUCUAAGAACUAUUUUUGAAAAUGGAGAUAAAAGUAAAACCUCUUUAUAUUUAUAUUCUAUAAAGAAAUAACUUUUUUUUAGUCAUGAAAAAUUAUGGUUCCAAUUUAAGGCAAUUAUAAAUAAGAAUAAACUCCAUAUUAUAAUAAGGUAUAUUUUUCUAGAUUGUGUCUUAAAGAACUUGUCUCUACAUAGUAGUAAUUAUUUAUAUAUUACGAAAAUAUAUGUUAUGUUACAUUAAAGGAACUUACUUCCACAUAAUACAAUUAGACAAUAAGAAAAAAAUUAUUAAAGAGAAUACAAACAUUUAGAGAUUUUUGAGAUGACUUUGCAUAUUCCUAACAGUAGUACAUAGAUAAUGGAUAUAUUGGAUUUGACGUGCUCCAUUAGUAAAUUAUUAAUAUAAUGCAUACUUUAUCACUUUUUUCUUGCAUUAAAGAUAAUUAAGUCAAAAUAAUAAUUUUUGUAACUAUCCCUCUAUUAAGUUAUAACACCCUCAUAGUAAUAAAUUUGUAUGGUCGUAACAUGAGGUUUUACUGUCUUAUUUUUUAAAUGGUGUUUUAAGAAUGAAAAACUAUAUUUGGGAUUUUUUCUUUUUAUUUAUUUAUUUAAAGAAAAUAUGCAAUUUAGCUUCAAAAGAAAAAUAAUAAUAAAAGUGGUAAUAGAUUGUUUUUGAAAAAUAAUUUUUAAAAAAUAGUUGAACAAUAAAAACAUGUUUCUCACUUCAAGAAGUAAAUAGUAUUAUAAUUUUUGAAAAUAGAAAAGAGAAAUUGUCGUAACACUUAUAUUUCAUAAAAUAGGCUGUUAUUCCUUCAAAAUCCUUAUUGAUCCUACAAACAGGGUAAUGGAAGUUGAUACUUGAUAUUCAAGUUAAUGAUUUUUCUAUGUAAAGUUGAUAAUCACAUAUUCAUAUCACUUUCACUUUAACAUGAUCAAUUUUAAAAACCCUUCAAAAUAAAUAUAUGUUAUUAAAAUAACUAAUGGCAUAGGUGCCAAAGUAAUAUUCAAAAUUAACCAAUCAAAAUGAAUGAUGUCAAUGCAAUUAAGAAAUAUACCCUUAGGAAUAUCCCAAUAUGCUCAUUGUCAUCAGGACCUAUCUCAAGGACGUGGCAACCUUUUGUGAUGGCGCUAAGUCUUCACUUAGCCAAUCACUCAACAAUGUCUAGUGGAAACAAAUAAAGUAACAAGCACGCAAAGAUCCACAAUAGAGGUUUACAUAAGAGACUAAUUCCACCAACAACAAUGAACUAAAACAACAAGGAUUAAAGUACACAAAAAUACACACUUAUUGCUUUUUACAUAGGUCCCAGCACUGAAUUUUCUAUUUCUGCAAAUAAGAAAAGAUAACAAAUAGCUUAGGGUUUUGUAUGCUCAAUGACACCACUCUCUUUACCAAAAUCCAAGAUCCGCAAAACAUGCAUUACCUUUACUGUAUAUGUAAGUUUUCAAAUGACACCUCUAUUUGAUAAGGCUAGGUGGCACGCUGCCCUUGUGCCAUCUCAAUUCUUUCUCCUAAUGUUUAGGCACCACUAAGCAUGUUAUGAGGAGGCACAUCUCCACUCCCCCUUGAAUAAAAUAAUUGCUGCCCACUUAGCCUAGAAGCAAGGAUGUUAUAGAUUGUAACCAUUGCUGCCCACCUUUCUUGAUGAGUAACCGUCACAGCCCACUUCUGUUGCCCCCAUUUUCCAGGCAUGUUAUCCAAUUCCAUGCUCUCUCAUUAGUUACACCCACAACUACCUACUUCAUGCUUGAUUUUUAGGUCUCAUUUUUAUUUGUAGCCAAUGAUAACUCUAUGAAAUGAGAGUUAUCAUGGCACUUUUAGACUUAAAUCAAUACUACUUAGAGAGUAAAUUAUGUGUUUCUAUUGCAUUUUUGUUACAUUUUGCAUAAAUAAUCAUUUUAGUCAACCUUAAUAAGUUUUGCUCGAUUUAAAGUAAUUUGUGCUUAAAUUGUGUGCAUAAUUAUAGGUUUCCAGAAGCUUGUAAUUCAUGGAAGGAAUGCUAUGCAAUAGGCUUGCAAAAAUAAGGAAAGAACAUGGCUACAAAAGAGUUUAAACAAAUUUGGAACAGUGCAGUUGCUGUAGAUAUUGUUGUAGCAACCAUUGUUGUAGCCGUUGCUGUAGCAAUCCUGGAACAACGACAGAGAAAAUUCUGCUCAGGAUAACUGUAGAAUUGCGAUCUGCAGUUUCCUAAUCUGACUUAUGCGCGACUUAGGCUUGCGUUUACCUUAAUUUUCAACUAUAAAAGAAGUACACAUCAUAAGAGAGAGAUUGAAGGCUACACAAGAGAAAAAAUUGCAGAGAUCAAUUGAGAGCUCAAUCCUUCUUAUCUUUCUCUUAUUUUCAUGUUUUCUAUUUAUUCAUGGGGAUGUGUUUCAUGGCUAAAACUUUGUUCUUUAUUUUUCUUUUGUAAAUCAUGAACUAAUUUAUUUGUAGUUGAGUGAUAAACAAUCUUAAUGGUUUAUUGACUGGAAAUAUGUGUUGCUGCAUGUUUGCUGUAGCAGUUUGUUUUGAUAGUAUUUAUUUUAUUCAUUAUUUCAAUUGAUCACUCAUUUAAUGAUACUAGCUAAUGAAGAGCCGCAAAAGGGCCUAUCUUAGUGGAACAUAUCAGAACAAUACUUGAUCUUAAAUUGAGUUUCCCGGAUUUAGUUUUAACUUGAGUCCCAAAAGGGCCAUGCUUGAUUUAAGAUUAGUAAUGAACUAGACAUAGGGAUUCGCCUUGUAGGGUAAAUAGAACUUAAGCGUGUAAUGUUAUAUCUUAUGUUGUCAUAACAAUUGAUCACUAUUAGGUUGCAUAUAGAUAUAAGAUAUCCAACAUGCGACGGCUGAUGAUGCAUAAGGAUUAUGCCCAGUGCUGGAGCAAAUACUGCAGCAACCGAUCCAACCAUUAGAAAAUAAUCAAGACCAUUAGGAGAGUUUAUUCACUCAACUACUAUAUAUUCCCAUUAGUUUUAUCCUUGAGCUUGACGUGAUAGUUUACUUUGUUGCAUUUAUUUAUUGCGUUUUUAUUUUAAUUAGUACAUUAGUUUCAUUAAUUGUUUAUUUUAUUUGAACACAAAAUCUGCACUGUUAAGAUUGCUGUAGCAAAUCUGAUAACAUCAAUCCAUGUGGAGACGAUCUUGAAUACUCAUCCCUUUAUUACUUGUUGUGUACACUUGCACAUUGACACCAAUAGCAUUAGUAUUUAUACACCAACAGCCAACAUGCUCUACAUUCAAUUGUCAUUGUUCGCACACAGAGUGCAUGCCAACGCCUCUAAUCUUUGUAGAGUUUGGCCCCUGUGCAUUCCUCAUUGUGAUGCACGUUUAUGUGCUACGCCUACAUACAUUUGCACUAUUGUAAUGCAUCGUCCUAUGCGUCCUUUGAGCCCUAUACAAUCCAAGCCCCCGCACCAUAUGCGUCCUACAUUCGUGGCCUACACGUCCACACACUUAUGAGAUGUUGCGUGCAUUGUCCAUGGCGUCAAACUUGAUAUAAAGUUGAAGAGCAUGUCCUCAUCUAAUUUUUUUUUAUGUACAACAUUAAUGAACUGAAUUCCUUGAUGUAAUCCCUCAUUAAUCUAGUCUGCUUUAGCUUAUUCUUCAAUAUUUCCCUCGUGAGUUAGCUAGCAUUUCUUCGUAAGAACUGGCCCUUUAGUUCUUAUUUGAAUUUGUCCUAUGUUUGUAUUGCGGAUCAAUGCACUUCAGCAUCCUCUUAAAGUCUGCUCCAUAUCCCACAAAAAAAUCUCUAACUCUUUGGCAUUCUGAGUCCCAUUAUAAGCCUUAGGUUUAGGCACCUUAACUUUCAAAGGCCCAUCCUCCGCACGAGAAGUGUUGUUUGCUGCCCGUUUCAACAACCUAACUUUUUUUUCAAGAUCCUUAAUGUCAUAUUUUACCACCUCUGCUAAUGCAGCAACAUCCUCAUCAUCUUAUUCAGCUUGUCCAAAAACUCAUUCACAAACUCUAUGCAAGUAGUUUCACACUCGCUAUCUCGAUGCAGUUGAUUUCUUUGUUCUCAACCAAACUCUCUAAGUCAAGUUGUAAAAUACCCAUAAUUGCCUCUAAGUGUAUUGGCUUGUCCUUUGUUCAUGGCCUCGUCAUAUUGGUUUCCAUUGUUGUUAAUUUCUCUAAAAAUGUACAACUUUGCUAUUGCACCGUAGCUUCCAUGAAACCACGCAAUCAGGUGUCUGCAAACUGAUUGUAAUUGAAGCUUGCAAUCAAUUGCCACAUACAACCAGUUCUAAUAUGCUCUGUAACUGAAUUAUGCAAACCCAACUAUGCAUUCUAAUACUAGUUUCUUCUCAAAAUGAAGCAACCUUUGCUCUGAUACCAGUUGUCACCAAGGUUUAUCUUAAGGAUGUGGCAACCCCGCGUGAUGAUGUUAAGUCUCCGCUUAACUAGUCACUCAACAAUCCUAGUGAAAGCAAAUAAAGCAACAAGCAUGCAAAAACCCAUAAUGGAGGUUUUAUAUGAAAGAUUGAUUCCACCAACAAAAGGGAACAAAAAUAGUGAGGAUUAAAGUUCACAAAAAUGCAUACUAUUUGCUUUUUACGAAGGUCCCAACCCCCAAAUUUUUUAUUUUCACAAAUAAGAAAAGAUUACAAAUAGCUCAAGGGUUUUGUAUGCUCAACAACACCACUUUCUCUACCAAGACCUAAGAUCACCAAAACAUACAUUCUCAUCACUAUAUCUACUAGUUUGCAAAUGAUACCCCUGUCUGCUAAGGCAAGGUGGGGUGCGACCCUCGCACCACCUUAAUUCUUCUCCUAAGUUUAGGCACCAUUAAACAUGUUGUGAGGAAGCACAUCUCUAUUCCCUCUCGAAUAAAGCAACCAUUACCCGCUUAGCUUAGCAGUAAGGAUGUUAUAGAGUGUAACCAGCAUUGCCCACCUUUCUUGAUGAGAAACCACCACUGCCUACUUGUUUUGCCCUUAUUCUCUAGGCAUGUGAUCCAAGGACAUGUUCUCCCAUUAGUUGCACCUACAACUACCCACUUCAUGCUUGAUUUUAGGUCCCACUUUUGAAGAAUUUGUAGCUAACAUGCUCUGCAUUCAGCCACCACUGUCCCAGCACAGCAAGCAUGCGAACGCCUUUCAUCUUCUUGUAGUUUAGCCCCAGUGUAUGCCCUACGGUACUGCGUGUUUGUGCGCUACACUCGCAUGCAUUUACGCUACUGCCUUGCACCAUCCUACAUUCUACCCACAUGGCCGGUGUGCGUGCCAUAUGUUCUGCAUGCCUCAUCUAUCCUCUGUCUGCAUGCCCUAUGCAUAGCUCAUUUGCAUCAUCAUAUCUCAUAAGUAUCAUCUUUAUCUCAAUAUUUGUAUCUUUGUAAUCAUCAUACUGCAUUCAUAUGCCCCCAAAAGGUAAAAGUGCCCAAACACACGGCCCAAAACCUCUAUGUGUUUCAGGCGAGCCCCAAAGGCCUCUCAUCUCAUAUCAUUUGUAUCACUGUAUCUGGAGGGGAAGGGUACUGUCCAAUGAUUUUGCAAAUAACCUUUUAUACACAUGUACAUAAACAUAUAAUCACAUAUGAAAUUUCAUUUCCUUUUUAUUUAACAUAUCUCAAAUCCACUCAAUUUUAUUAUCAUGCAUUUACUCAAAAACGCUAAUAAAAUCAUUAAUCAAACUCAUUUUUAAUAAUAAUAAAUAUCAGCACGUAGAUAAAAAUCUAUUUUCUAGGAAAUCAUCAAAUCGAAGCAUCAAAUACUUAUUAUCAAAACAUGUUGUACUGCAUCGUAAAAUCAAAAUAUACUAUGAAAAUAGGUUUUGGAUAUUCCACUCACAGUAACGAUGUCCAAACUCGGUAUCAACAACGUUCACGGGUCCUCCUAAUCAAGUAAACGACAUAAUUAUUAUUUGUAACAUGAAAUACGGUUAACAAUACAAAAUAAAGCUCGAAAUGAAACUCCCUGAUACAUAAAAUUUUAAAAUUACCCUUAUAUCAAAAAAUUACCAAAAUGCCCCUAACAUCGAAAUUUACCGAAUUUCUGUCGGAACCAUAAUUUAUCGAAUUAUCCUCAAAAUCCUAAAUUACCUGAUUGCUCUUAAUUCAAAUCACAAAAUUAACCACAAGUUUUGCAUACACGGAAUUACCCUUAGAAUGUGAAAUUACUAAAAUGCCCUCAACAACAUAAAUUAGGGAAUUACGCCUGAAAUCUUAAAUUACCUCAUUGUCCUAGUCUGGAAUUACCAAAUCAUCCACCAAUUUCAGAAAAUUAUGAAUUAAUCCCCAGAUUUUGUAAAAUUAUCGAAUUGCCCAUGCCGGUCAACGGUGACCGAAGUUCAGUCAACGGCGACGGGAAGUUUACUACCAAUUAAGCUAAUGCGGGACCCGUGUUGAAAUAAAAAUCCGACUACACAGCCAUUAAAUCGUGUUCGAAUUGUCUCAAUUUUAUGUCAUGACAAAUUUAAAAUAAUCCAAACACGAUUUAUUUAAUAAACGUAUAACAUUUAACAGUCACUACUCAUAAUGUCGGAUAAUCAUGUUGUAUCAACUUCAUCGUAAUAAUUCGGAACAAGUCCAACAAAUUUAAAAUUAAUGUCGAAGGGAAAAAAUUAAAUAAUACACUUAAUUAAGAAAAUUAAAGUGCAUAUGUUAAAAUCCUCCCCACUUAUAAAAAUUUGGUCCUCGAAAUUUACACAUAUGAUGAGAACAGAUGAGGGUAUUGGGCUCGCAUUAAGUCUUCACGUUCCCAAGUAUCCUCUUCCCUUGUGUGAUUCCUCCACAUCACUUUUACUAAAGGAAUGGCUUUAGAACGCAACACUUAGUGUUUCCGUUCAAGUAUCUCCACAUGCUCCUUUUAGUACGUCAAGUCUUCCUUCAACUCAAUUAGUUGUCUCGAUAACACAUGAUUGAGAUCAUAUAUGUACUUUCAAAGCAUCGAGACAUGAAACACAUUGUGGAUUAUGGAUAACUCAGUUGGUAGAGCUAAUCAGUACGCCAAUGGACCAAUACACUCUACGAUCUCAUAUGGUCCAAUGUAACGUGGGCUUAGCUUUCCGCACUUCCCAAAUCGAAGUACUCAUUUCUAAGGAGGUAUCCGUAUGAAAACCUUAUCACCCACUUCGAAUUCAAGUUCCCUCCUACGCUUAUCUGCAUCGCUCUUUUGUCUGUUUUGGGCUACCUUUAAUCUAUCCCGAAUAAGUUGUAUAUUCUCAUUAGUAUUCUAAACCAAUUCGGGGCCAAAAAGCUUCCGCUCGCCAACCUCAUCCCAACAUACCGAAGUUCUACAUUUCCUACUAUACAAAGCCUCAUAAGGUGCCAUCUCGAUGCUAGCUUGAUAAUUGUUAUUAUAAGAAAACUCUAUCAAAGGUAAAUAAAUGUUCUAACUACCCUAAAACUCCAAAACACAAGUUCGCAACAUACCUUCCAAUGUCUGAAUAGUACGCUCUAACUGUCCAUCAGUCUGAGGAUUAAAACAUAUACUAAAAUUCAACUUUGUGCUUAAAGCCUUUUGCAACCUAGUACAAAACUUAAAAGUGAACUGGGAAUCUCUAUCUGAAACAAUAGACACAGGUGCUUCGUGAAGUCGAACAAUCUCAGCCACAUAAAUACUCUCCAACUUAUCCAUCGAAUAAGUGGUCUUGAAAGGUAAAAAGUGAGCAGAUUUCGUGAGUCGGUCAACAACCACCUAAACAUUAUCAUGUCCACUCUGGAAAUAUGGAAGUCCCGCCAUAAAAUCUAUCGUGAUAUGCUCCCACUUCCACUCAAAAAUAGGAAGCGGCUGAGAAGGAAGAGAAACAAAAGCAAAAAGGUAGUCGCACAAAUUGAGAAGACAAAAAGGGAGCAGCCGCGAAAAUUGGAGAGAAAAACGGGGAGAGAAGGAAGAAAAAGAACGAAGCAGCCAUAAGAGAUUUAGAGGGAUGAGGGAAUUAAUUCUUGAGUUUUUCUUUUCCUCUUCUCAAUUCUCUUACUUGAAUGUUUCCAAUUAAAUUCAUGGAUUCUCUUUAUAUUCCCAUGAACUAAUUUAUUUUGCUAGCGCUACGACGUAACCUAACUAUGAAGAUAAUAAGACCUAGAUGAGAUUUAUGUAUUUUUGCUCUGUGUAAUGUAUGUCAUGAAUUGAACGAAAGACAGAGAUGUGCCAACGUGAUUCAUGCAGUUUUUCUAAGAGUUUCCAUAGAGCUUAAUGAAUCUUUGCAUAUUUAAAUUCACAUAGAGAUAUAGUGGGUUAAUAUGUGAAGGUAUUUUUGAUAUUACUCGAAAGAGGAUAUUGAAUAGACUAGGGAAAUUCACUGUAACCAUGGACAAUAAAUUUUAAUAGCAUAGAUGGAGGAUUAAAUUGGAUUAGUUAUGGUGAAAUCAGAUGUCCUAAUGUCUUAAUCUCUUGGUCAUUUCUAUUACUACCUGCAUCUUUUUUAAUUUUUAGUUAUUUUCUUUUAUUUUAAUUUUUAAUCUAAAUUCGCUUAUUCGAUUAUUCAAAUAAUUUAGAGUUAAAAUAAUUUCGGUAGCUAAUAGGAUAUACGAUCUCUAUGGGACGAUACUCUACUCUUCAUUAUAUUAUUUGUGCCGACUAGUACACUUGCUAAUUUAUGCAUCAAGUUUUUGGCACUGUUGCCGAGGAUUAUUUGGAUUAGUAUCGAUACCAACUAACCUUAGUUUAAUUUGAAUUUGAAUUUUAUUUUUUUUGUUUAAUUUUAUGAGAUGUUUAAAAAGCUUUGAUUUAUUGCCUUUUGAUCCAGAGAUUGAACAUACGUGCAGAAGGCUUAAUAGAGAAAGGAGAUAAGCUUUACAGGAGCUACAACUAGUCAUGACUGAGAAGCAUUACACAUAAAUGAGGAUGCGAGACCUUUAAGAGAUUAUGUUGUGCCUAUAAUUAAUGGUGCUCGCUCAAGCAUUGCACGCCCUGCCAUUCAAGCCAAUAAUUUUGAAAUUAAGCCAGCUAUAAUCUAGAUGAUUUAGACGUCAGUACAAUUUACUGAGAUGCCGAAUGAUGAUCCAAAUGCUCAUAUUGCAAAUUUAUUGGAAAUUUGUGACACAUUUAAGCAAAAUGGUGUUUCAGAAAAUGCUAUCAGGCUAAGGCUUUUCCUGUUCUCACUAAGGGAUAAAGCAAAACAAUGGUUAAACUCACUCCCUGCUGGAAUAAUCACUACAUGGGAUGGUUUAGCGCAUAAGUUUUUAGCAAAGUACUUUCCUCCAACAAAAACAGCCAAGUUGAGAAAUGACAUCACAACAUUUGCUCAAUUCGAGAUGGAAUCAUAUAUGAAGCAUGGGAGAGAUACAAAGACCUACUAAGAAAAUGCCCAUAUCACGGUCUACUAGUUUGGCUUCAGGUACAUACAUUUUACAAUGGUUUGGGAUCCAAUACCAGAACAAUGAUUGAUGUUGUAGCAGGAGGAACAUUAAUGGGAAAAACACUAGAAGCAGCUUAUGAAUUAUUGGAGGAGAUGGCCUCUAAUAAUUACCAGUGGUCUUUAGAGCGACUAAUAUCAAAGGGAGCUAUAGGAGUCCAUAAUAUUGAUGUGGUCACCGCUUUAUACGCACAGAUAAUUGCAAUUCGUAACAAGUUGGACAAUCUGAAUAUUCAAACUCAACCGCAAGUAUGUGAAUUAUGUGGAGGGAAUCAUACUAGCGUCAAUUGCCAAGUUAGAAGUCCUUUUGCACCAUCAUCUACUAAACAAGCUCAUUAUGUGUCAAACUUUUAGAGGCAACAAAAUAACCCAUAUUCUAAUACCUACAAUCCAAGCUAGAGAAACCAUCCAAAUCUAUCAUGGAACAACACCCAAAAUGCAUUGGCACCACUUCCAGGGUUCCAACCACAAGAAAAAAAGUCAAACUUAGAAGAUGCUCUUACCCAGCUUACAACAAAUAUGUCUCAAUUCAUGACCAAAACAAAGACAACUUUUCAGAAUCAAGCUGCAUCAAUUCGGAACCUCAAGGUACAAGUGGGUCAAAUUGCAAACUUACUAUCCAGUAGACAACAAGGCUCUCUGCCACGCAACACCGAGACAAAUCCAAGGGAGCAAGUUAAUGCAAUUGUACUUUGGAGUGGUAAACAACUUGAUGAGCCGCAAAAAGAAGCAAAGAAAGUUAAUGAAGGACAAGCUAAAAACACCACCAAGGUUUCAAAGGCAAUAAAUUUAGAAAUACCACAACCUAAACCAGCAGCACAAGUCAAGGCCUAUGUUCCUCCAAUCUCUUUUCCUCAGCGUCUCAGGAAAAAUAACAUAGAUAAGCAAUUUUUAAAAUUUCUUGAUGUGUUUAAGAAAUUGCAUAUUAACAUUCCUUUUGCAGAUGCUUUGGAACAAAUACUACUUUAUGUCAAAUUUAUGAAGGAAAUAUUGUCCAACAAAAGGAAAUUUAAGGAGCAUGAAACUAUAAUGUUGACUGAGGAUUGCACUGCCAUCUUGCAAAAUAAAUUGCCACCAAAGCUGAAAGAUCCAAGGAGUUUUAAUAUUCCAUGCACUAUUGGAAAUACUUAUUUUGAAAAAGCUUUGUGUGAUUUAGGUGCAAGCAUUAAUUUGAUGCCUUUUUCUGUUUUCAAGAAAUUAGGUUUGGGUGAACCUAAGGCAACAACUGUUACCCUCCAAUUAGCAGAUAAAUCUAUAAAGUACCCAAGAGAAAUAGUUGAGGACGGGCUUGUGAAAGUUGAUAAGUUUAUAUUCCCUGUAGAUUUUAUUGUCUUGGAUAUGACUGAAGAUAUAGAGUUACCUCUUAUUCUAGGCCGACCAUUCUUAGCUACAAGAAGAGUUUUGAUUGAUGUUCAGGAAGGGAAAUUGAUUUUGAGAGUUCAAAAUGAGCAAGCCAUUUUUAAUGUGUACACACCUAUCAAGUAUCCAACUGAACUCAAAGAAUGUUUCCAAGAAAGUACCCAAGAGACAUAGUUGAGGACGCGCUUGUGAAAGUUGAUAAGUUUAUAUUCCCUGCAGAUUUUAUUGUCUUGGAUAUGGCUGAAGAUAUAGAGUUACCUCUUAUUCUAGGCCGACCAUUCUUAGCUACAAGAAGAGCUUUGAUUGAUGUUCAGGAAGGGAAAUUGAUUUUAAGAGUUCAAAAUGAGCAAGCCAUUUUUAAUGUGUACACACCUAUCAAGUAUCCAACUGAACUCAAAGAAUGUUUCCAAGAAAGUACCCAAGAGACAUAGUUGAGGACGCGCUUGUGAAAGUUGAUAAGUUUAUAUUCCCUGCAGAUUUUAUUGUCUUGGAUAUGGCUGAAGAUAUAGAGUUACCUCUUAUUCUAGGCCGACCAUUCUUAGCUACAAGAAGAGCUUUGAUUGAUGUUCAGGAAGGGAAAUUGAUUUUAAGAGUUCAAAAUGAGCAAGCCAUUUUUAAUGUGUACACACCUAUCAAGUAUCCAACUGAACUCAAAAAAUGUUUCCAAGAAGACACCAUGGAUAGAAAAAUAGCCAAACAAUUUAAGGAUAAGCAUCUAUCUAACCCUCCUGACAUUUAUACAAUACGUAAGCAGUCUAUUAAUGAAUAUCCAUCUCCUCAUUUUCGUGGGAAGAGAUCUAAUUGCAAGCAACUUGGGCGAGAUCCAUCCAGAUCAUCUCUUUCCAUCCAUGAGCCUCCUUGAACGAUCUCUCCAAAGAUAGUCAAGCUAAUGACUAUAAAUUAAGCACUUCUUGGGAGGCAACCCAAGCUUUCUAAACCUUAUUAUUGUCAUUUUUGUCUUUUCUUAUUUUUUUUGUCUUUUCUUAUUUCUUAUGUCUUUUCUUAUUUCUUAUGUCUUUUCUUUUACUUAUUUUAUUUUGUUUUGUUCUAGGUUUUUGCAUAAGUUUGGGGGUGGGAAUAUUUGCUUUCAAUUUUUUCUUAAAAAAAAAAAGAAAAAAAAUCUAAAAAAAUUAAAUUUUUUUUUAUGCCUUUGAUGAGUAUAUUGUUGAAAAUGAAUAUGGUUCUUAGAAAGGGAUGAAUAUUGUCUUAAUUUAUACUUGAUUCUUGUGUUAUUUUCGUCUUGAUUAUGAUUCUUUAAAUAUUUUGCGCACUUAUAUCAAUUUUUUUAGAAUUUCGACUUAAGAUUUGAGAUUGAUACAGCCUGAGUUGAGAAUUUUAGAUUGAGUAAAUGAUUGUUUGCCUCGAUUCUACAUUACUUAAGUACCCAGGCAUCAUAGUCAGAAAUAACUACCUAUAACCCUUAAGAGUGAAGCUAUCAUUGAGUAAUUUGGGCCUAUGUACCACCGAUAUGUAGAGGAUAAUCUACCAUGAGAAGAAGACUACCUUAAGGGGUAGAGUGAAAGCUCCUGACUACGAAAAAUCAAAAGAAAAUGCAAAUUAUGCUUGUGAAAAAAAAAGAGAGAGAUCAAGAUGAUGAGGUUAGUUUGACCUACUCUGUUUACUAUUCAAUACAAGGGCUAUUGAUAAUGAAGAUUUUGAGAAUGAGUUUUGAUUGAAUUGAUUCACACACAACACAGGAAUCCAAUAUGAGAUGAGGCUGACCAUUGAAUUAAAGUUAGAAGUUUGCCAAUACUUUUAAUUUUCUUUGAGAUGUAUACUUUAUGCAAUCUUUGAGGCAUUUUUAAUGAUGUUUGUGGGUAUCAUCGCUGAAAACCCUCACGAGACUAUAACUUGUCCACUAGGGCCGCCUAGGGGUUUACAGGCUUGUUGUAUACGUUAAAUGCAAUCGCGAUCACCUGGGAAAGUUGUUUAGUUAGGAUUUUCUUUUCAUAGUUUUUAUUUUAAUUUUUGCUCGAGGACUAGCAAAAUGUUAAGUUUGGGGGUAUUUGAUGUGCCAAUCAUUUUCAUAUUAUUUUAAUGCUUCCAUAACUUAAUUUUAUGUUAAAUUAUAUUUUAUUUCAUUAAUUUUUAUCUUAAUUUUUAUAUUUUGUCAUUGUAGGAAUAUUGGGAAUAUUCAUGAGAAAGGAAGCUUAAAGAGGAAACAAAUUGGAGCUUAAUGGAAAUAAUUGCAGAUUGUGAGAGAAAAGAGGAAAGAAUAAUGCUUAAAGAAUAAUUAUUAGAUUUAUUACCAAAUAAUUUUAGAAAUUUAUUGGCUAUUUGUACAAGUCACGUGGAUGAUUACAUAAAGCAUUGGCAUUUGUCAAGUGGGCUCACAUAAGCAUGGGCUUAAAAGGGUGGCUAGGUUUGUUUUGUUUUAAAAUCCUUUUGAUUUAAGGAUUUGGGGACUGAGCAAUAAUAUAAAAAGGAGGAGAAACAAAAGCAAGAGGGUAGCCGCACAAAUUGAGAAGACAAAAAGGGAGCAGCCGCGAAAAUUGGAGAGAAAAACCGAGAGAGAAGGAAGAAAAAGAACGAAGCAACCAUAAGAGAUUCAGGGGGAGGCUGGAAUUAAUUCUUGAGUUUUUCUUUUCCUCUUCUCAAUUGUCUUGCUUGAAUGUUCCCAAUUAAAUUAAUGGAUUCUCUUUAUAUUCCCAUGAACUAAUUUAUUUUUCUAAGGCUACGACGUAGCCUAACUAUGAAGAUUUAAUUCCAUAAAUCUAUGUUAUUUUUAGUUUAUUAUUCCAUCGGUGAGUGUUCAUUAUUGUGUUUAAUGCUUUUAAAUAUCUGGCUAAUAUUUAAAUGAUUUGAGGAUACAUAAUGAGACCGGGAGAAGAUUUAUAUAUUUUUGCUCUAUGUAAUGUAUGCCAUGAAUUGAACGAAAGACAGAGAUGUGCCAACGUGAUUCAUGAAGUUUUUCUAAGAGUUUUCAUAGAGCUUAAUGAAUCUUUGCAUAUUUAAAUUCACCUAGAGAUAUAGUGGGUUAAUAUAUAAAGGUAUUUUUUAUAUUGCUCGAGAAAGGAUAUUGAAUAGACUAGGGAAAUUCACUGUCAACAUGGAUAAUAAAUUUUAAUAGCAUAGAUGGAGGAUUAAAUUGGAUUAGUUAUUGUGAAAUUAGAUGUCCUAGUGUUUUAAUCUCUUGGUGAUUUCUAUUACUGUCGCAUCUUUAUUUAAUUUUUAGUUAUUUUAUUUUAUUUUAAUUUUUAGUCUAAAUUUACUUAUUCGAUUGUUCAAAUAAAUUAGGGUUAGAAUAAUUUCGAUAGCUAAUAGGAUAUAUAAUCUCUGUAGGACAAUACUCUACUCUUCAUUAUAUUACUUGUACUGACUAGUACACUUGCUAAUUUACGCAUCAAGUUUUUGGUUAUUAGCUUUCAACUUAACUCCUAAAGAUCUCAGCUCGAUCAACAAAGUCAUAUAUAUCACUCAUAAAUGAGCUAUAGAGCUGGAGGACUUCCUACUUAACGCAUCAACUACCACAUUUGCUUUGCCCAGAUGAUAAUCAAUAGUGCAAUCGUAGUCCAUAAUCAGCUCGAUCCAUCUCCUCUGUCUCAAAUGUAACUCUUUCUAAGUAAAUAAAUACUUCAGGCUCUUAUAAUCGAUGAAAAUCCGACGCGUUGCCCCGUAUAAAUAGUACCUUCAUGUCUUGAGUGCAAACACCACUGCUACUAGCUCUAAAUCAUGAGUUGGAUAGUUUUGCUCAUGCUUCUUAAGUUUUCUAGAAGCAUAGGCCACUACUUUCCCAUGUUGCAUUAGCACACAUCCCAAUCCUUGUCUAAAGGCAUCACUGCAUACCACAAAUCCUUCAUUACCCAAUGGAAGUGUAAGAACUAGGGCUGAAGUAAGACAUGUCUUAAGUUCUUGAAAACUCUUUUCACAGUCAUCAUCCCAUUGGAACUUAACAUUCUUUCUGGUUAAUCGUAUCAAAGGAAUAACAAUCUUGGAAAAUCCCUCCACAAAUCUACGAUAGUAGCCAGCUACUUCGAGGAAACUCUGAAUCUCUGUGACAUUUAUAGGUCGUUCCCAAUUUACAACUGCUUUGAUCUUUUGAGGAUCGACAUAAAUUCAUUCAGCUAAUAUCAUAUGGCCCAGAAAUACUAGUUUAUCCAACCAGAACUCACACUUGUUGAACUUGGCAUACAACUGCUUUUGCCUUAAAGUCUGUAAAACAGUUCGCAAAUAUUCUGCAUGUUCCUCCUGGUUCCGAGAAUACACCAAAAUAUCAUCAAUGAACACAAUCAUAAACCGAUAUAGAUAAGGGUGAAAUACUUUAUUCAUAAAAUCCAUAAAAGCUGCUGGAGCAUUAGUCAACGCAAAUGGCAUCACCAAGAACUCAUAAUGUCCAUAACAGGUUCUGAAUGUUGUUUUAAGAACAUUGACCUCUUUAAUUCUAAGCUGAUGAUAUCCUGAGUGUAAAUCAAUCUUAGAAAAUACUUUCACUCCAUGAAGUUGAUCAAACAAGUCAUCAAUAUAUGGAAGUGGAUACUUAUUGCGUAUUGUAACUUUGUUUAAUUAUCUGUAGUCAAUGCAGAGUCUAAAAGCACCAUUCUUUUUCUUAACAAACAAAACCGGAGCACCCACGGAGACACAUUAGGUCUAAUAAAUCACUUAUCCACCAAUUCUUGCAGUUGAAACUUAAGUUCCUUUAGUUCAACUAGAGCCAUCCUGUACGGUGCUAUAGAUAUAAGAGUUGUUCCAGGGACUAAAUCAAUAGAAAACUCAACCUCCCUAUUAGGUGGCAUCCUUGGAAGUUCAUCUGGAAACUGUUGGACUACUAGAAUAUCCUCCAAUCUCAACUCCCGAACUUUAGUGUCUAUCACGUGCGAUAUAAGCUGAGCAACCUUUUCUUAGUAACCGUCUAGCACCAAUGGCUAAUAUGACAUAUGACGGUAAAACUCUACACUCACCACAAAAUUUCACCUCAGUUUUCCCUGACUUUUCUAAACAUAACUUCCUUUUUGAAACAAUCCAUAGUAUCAUAAUGAGAUGCAAGUCAAACCAUGCCCAAAAUGUUAAUGAAAUCUCGAAUGUCUAAAAUAAUCAAAUUCGCCCUAAAUUCUUGCUCACCCAAUUUAAUCAUACAAUCUUAAUACACACUCUCGGCAAGCAUUGACCCCCUAUAGGUGUAUUAACAACUAAACCAUAAUCCAGUGGUUCAUGCUCUCUCUCUCAAAUGCAUAGCAAAAACAUGAGAAACAAAAGAAUGCGUGGAUCCAGGAUCAAUAAGAAUAUAAGCCUAAGUAAUUGCAACAUGUCAUUGAUAUUGAUGUUCUACUAUUUGCCACCAAUGAUAAGCUUUAUCCUCAAGUAGAAAAGUGGCAAAGGAAAGUCCAUCCUCCUCUGAGCAACUCAUCAUAUUAAAAAUACGUUCUAACUUGACAAACCACGACUCUGCCUCAGGUGGAUCUCCAAAACCAUUAAAACUCUUUGCCCCUAAAUUUUGUACACGCUCGAUAGUGUAUACAUGACCGGCAUACAGAUGAGUCUGAUUAUGUACCAUUGUAGUCACAAUCUCAGCUAGUUUAUCAAUUGACUGCUCAAGGUUGGGUACAUUUCCUGGUGCCUGUUGUGCAACCUCGUGCGUUGAAGACUCAACUACUCUCUCGUUUACAGCAUUAUUUUCCGCCGCAGGUACAUCUCCUGGAGUCAACCCAUCUACUGAUUUAGUACAGCUACAACCACCCCUAUUGCUACAACGAAUCAUGAUAGUGCUCACAAAAUAUCAAUUACGACUUUGACAACAGCAAAACUUAUUCUAAUCACAACAACAAAGUCUACAUAAUCUAAAACUGUGCUCUGAUACCAACUGAAACGACCCGCCCCGAGUCCCCAGGACGAGUCUAUCUAACUCGCCUAACCAAAUUAAUAAUAAUUCUAAUGUCUAAGAAUUCUACCAAAAUUUCGGCAAAGUCUCCUAUAUAAUUAUGACAUCCCCAAACUGCAAUUUAUAAAAUUAACACUCCAAAAAAUGAUACAAUAUUCAAUCAACCUCCACAACUAACUUCCUCAAUCAAAUACCAGUAUCCUUCAAACAUAUAAUGUCAAGAAUAUAAUAAUUUGUCCUUAAUCACAAAUAAAUAAUAAAUUAUAUAAUUCAAAAUAUCUCAACAAAACAUCUAGGAUUAACACCAUCACGUGGCCAUAGUUUCAAAUCUAACUAUUGUUGCUGGGUCGACUGAUGCAUCUGCAAAUCUCCUGUGGCGGGAAAAAUAUAAUAAAAAUGGGGUGAGUAUAAAACUCAAUGAGUGGAUAGUAGUUUUUGAAAAAUAAUUUUUUUUAAAAUGAUUUAAUCUUUCCCAAAUCAAUUUCAUUAAAAUAUCAUAAGAACUUAAAUUAACAUAUUUAAUUAAAAUCAUGCACUGAAAUAACAAUAUUACAUAAAUCUGCAUAACAUCAAUGAAAUCAUAACAUUCAUAAUAUCAAAUACUAAAUACCAAAAACUAUCACCAAACAAGAACCCAAGGGAAUAAACCCAUCAUAUCCGGACCUCGACGGACGGACAAUCAAGGAACUAUCAUGCCUUGGAGCUACAACGGAUAGACGUGGAAAUGCCAUUUCAUAUCUCAUAUAUCUCAUCAUAUAUGUGCAUGUAUAAUCUGGUCCCCAAAGGAUAAGGUGCCCAAGUAUACGGCCCAAAACCUCUAUGUGUACUCAAACGGGCCCCAAAGGCUUCUCAUCUCAUCUGUAUCAUCAUAUCCCAUCUAUAUCAUCUGUAUCUCAAUAUCCGUAUCUUUGUAAUCAUUAUACUGGAGGCAUAUACCCCCAAAAGGCAAAAGCGCCCAAGCACACGGCCCAAAGCCUCUAUGUAUAUUCAGACGGGCCCCAAAGACCCAUCAUCUCAUAUCAUUUGUAUCAUUGUAUCUAGAGGGAAAGGGUAUUGUCCAAUAAUUUUGCAAACAACCUUUUAUACACAUGUACAUAAACAUAUAAUCACAUCUGAAAUCUCAUUUCCUUUUUAUUUAACAUAUCUCAAAUCCACUCAAUUCUAUUAUCAUGCAUUUACUCAAAAACGAUAAUAAAAUCAUUAAUCAAACUCAUUUUUAAUAAUAAUAAAUAUCAUCACGUAAAUAAAAAUCCAUUUUCUAGGAAAUCAUCAAAUCGAAGCAUCAAAUACUUAUUAUCAAAACAUGUUGUAUUGUAUCGUAAAAUUAGAAUAUACUAUGAAAAUAGGUUUUGUAUAUUUCACUCACAGUGACGAUGUUCAGACUCGGUAUCAACAACGUCCGUGGGUUGAUUCUCAUUCACGGGUUGUUGGUGAAUUACUCAAUUGCUAUUGAUGCCAAUGUGCAAGUGUACACAACAAGUAAUAAAGUGAUGAAUAUUCUAGAUCAUCUCCACAGAGACUGAUGUUACUAGAAAUGCUACAGCAAUCACAAUAGUGCAAUCUACCUUUAUUUCAUGAUGAACCUAGUUAAAGUUGAUUACUACCGAAAUUAAAAAUUGUAAAGAAAUAAAUCAAAUAAUUGCAUUAAUGAAAUAAAUUAGAUAAAUUGCGUAAAAAAAUGAAAUGAGAAUGAGGUAGUUGAAUGAUCAAACUCUCUUCAUGGGUUGACUGCUUUUCAUCAAAUUAGCACAAGUUGCUACAACAAUUCCUACAGCACUGGGCAUAAUUAUUUUGCAUCCUCAGCUGUCGCGUGUUGGACUUCUCAUACCCUUAAGUAUCUUAACAAUGACCAGUUACUAUUCUACCUACGGCAUGGCAUUAUGAACAUCUAUUCUCUCCACCCUACAAGAUGAGUGUCUAUGUCUAGUUCUUCACAAAUCUUAACUUCAAGUAUAGCCCUUAUGGGAUUCAAGAUAAACUUAAUCCAGGAAACUCAAAUUAAGAUCAAGUAUUACUCUAAUAAUAUCCACUAAGACAGGCCUUUUGCGACUCUAUCUUAACUUGAACCAUUAAAUGGGUGAUCAACCGAAAUAACAGUUAUAAUAAUAGCUACUAGAGUAAAAUGCUACAACAAUUAUAUAGCAACUCAUAAGAAUAGUCAAAAACCCAUUGAGAUUGUUUGUCACUCAACUACAAGCAAGUUUAGUUCAUACUUUGAAAAAGAAAAACACAUAGCAAACUAUUGGUCACGAAAUACAUCGGUUCAAUCAAAGAGUAACGAAAAGAACAAUGAAGAUUGAAUCCAAAUAACUAUGCUGGAUUCUUCACUGAUACAGCUUGGUUCUCUUGAAUUCAUAUUGUUUUCUUCUUUUCCUCUUGAUUUUUCCAAUGUUAAUUCCUUUCCGCCGUUUUAUGUGAUGCGCGCCCCUUUUUAUAACUGAAACUUAGGGUAAACAAAAGCCUAGGGCGAGCAUGAGUCAAAUUAGAAAACUGUAGAUUGCAAUUCUGCAGAUAUCCCGUGCUAAGUUUUCUCUGUCGUUGUUCCAGGAUUGCUACAGCAAUGGUUGCUCCAGCAACAGCUAUAACACUGCACUGAUCUAGGUUUUGUUUCCCUUAUUUUUUGGUCAUAUUCUUCCUCCUUUUUGCCAACCUAUUGCAUCAGCAUCCCUUCCAUGAAUUAUAAACUUCUGAAAACCUACAAUUAUGCACAUGUUUUGAGCACAAAUUACUUUAAAUCAAGCAAAACUUAUUAAGACUAAACUAAAAUGAAUGUUUAUGCAAAACGUAACAAAAAUGUAAUAAAAACACAUCAUUACUUUCUAAGUGAUCUUGAUUUAAGUCUAGAAUUGCCAUAAUAACUCUCAUUUCAUGAAGUUAUCACGGGUCCUCCUAAUCAAGUAAACGACAUAAUUAUUAUCUGUAACAUGAAAUACAUCUAACAAUACAAAAUAAAGCUUGAAAGGAAACUCUCAGAUACAUAAAUUUCAAAAUUACCCUUAUAUCCAAAAAUUACCAAAAUCCCCCUGACAUCGAAAUUUACUGAAUUGCUAUCGGAACCAUAAUUUAUCAAAUUAUCCUCCAAAUCCUAAAUUACCUAAUUGCUCUCAAUUCAAAUCACAAAAUUAACCACAAGUUCUGGAUUUAUGAAAUUACCCUUAGAAUGCAAAAUUACUAAAAUGCCCUCAACAACAUAAAUUAGCGAAUUUCCCCCGAAAUCUUAAAUUACCUCACUGCCCUAGUCUGAAAUUACCAAAUCAUCCACCAAUUUCAGAAAUUACGAAAUAAUCCCAGAGUUUGCAAAAUUACCAAAUUGCCCAUGCCGGUCAACGAUACCGAAGUUCAGUCAACGGCGACGAGAAGCUCAGGUCUGAUAGUUCUUACCUCGAUCAGUCCAAUGGUGCCAAUGAUGACCCCCCAGGCGUAGCGACAAUGGCGGAUCGAACUUCCCAAACCGCAAGAUUUCUGACAGUUGUUCGCAGCCAAAACGGCAGUUAUAGAUGGCGGGGUUGGUUGGAAAACGACGAGGGUGAGCUGAGGAUCAAGAUCUAAGUGGUGAUGCGGCCUAAAUUCGGCGAAAUCAACUGCGACAAAAGCGAGUUGAGUCGCGGUCCUUGAAGCUUCGAUCACCCGUGUUCUGGCUGUUUUUCGGCGACGAUGACAGCGGGGAUAUGACCGGCAUCGCUCAAACUUCAGAUCGAUACCAAACUUGACUGGAACGGUGGCCGAAAACAAGAGUUGGAGUCGGGUCGGCUUCGCUAGUCAGGUUGGGUCAAAUGGGUCAAUUUCUCUUUCUCUCACGCGCCCCCUCUCUUUCCAUUUUUGGAAACCAACUCCCCUCUUUCUAUUUAUAGAAACUAGCUUCCAUUUUUUUUUAAAGCUUACUACCAAUUAAGCUAAUGCGAGACCCGUGUUGAAAUAAAAAUCCAACGACACAGCCAUUGAAUUGUGUUCGAAUUGUCUCAAUUUUAUGUCGUGACAAAUUUAAAAUAAUCCAAACAUGAUUUAUUUAAGAAAUGCAUAACAUUUAACAAUCACCACUCAUAAUGUCAGAUAAUCGUGUUGUAUCAACUUCACCGUAAUAAUUUGGAACAAGUCCGACAAAUUUAAAAUUAAUGUCGAAGGGAAAAAAUUAAAUAAUACACUUAAUUAGGAAAAUUAAAGUGCAUAUGUUACAGUUUUAUUAUUAAUUAUUGACUUAUUAUUUUUUGCAAUUUAUUGUGACACAUAAAAAAUCAUAUUAUUGAAAUUCCCAAUUGAAUAUAUAAAGUGAGUAAGUAUAACGUUACUCUUUCCAUAAUUGAUAAGGAUGGCAAAAAGACUAGACCAUGUUCUUGUCUGAUUGACCUAACUUUAAUUUUUAGGGUUUUUAAUUGAAUUUAAAGGGUCAAGGAUCAAGUUUCGACCGGAUUACAUUCAAGUCUGGGUUAGGACUUUAUAAAAAAUCCUAACUCAACCUUUGACCCUUAAAUUAAUUUUCAAAAUUAAAAAAAUAAUACUUAAAAAUUAGAACACAUACACUACAAAUGUGGUCAAAACUCACUCCUCAAACUGAUAGUAUUUUGUAUUCGAUUUAUUUACUUGCUAAUUUGGUUAGAUUUUUACAUGUUGGAUUUUCAAUAAAGCUAAAUAAAAAGUUAAUUUAUUAAAUGCCUUACAACCAAAUUUAUCAUAAAAUGGAACAAUAAUAGUACAAUAUAAUUAAUAAAGAAUGAAGAGUUGGAGUCCUACUAAAGUAUCUAAAAAUUAAAAGGUUAUUGCAAAGUGUGGAUAAAGCUCGAGCCUGAACUUGACUUGAAAAAGGCCGACCCUAGUCCAACCCUUACUUUUGAGGAUCAAACUUUUGAAAGUUAAGACCCUUUAUUUUUAAUUAUAAGGGCAAGGCUAGGGGUUGGCCAAGCCUGAGCUCAACUAGAUCAAUUGCCAAACUUAUUGAUAAGAAAAUAAUUAAUAGAGUUGUGAUAUUUGACCCCCUCGUUGUACCUCACCAGCCCCCACUAAUUACUUUUAUACUAAUAUUUAUUUUAUCUUUGUAUGAAAUGAUUUAAAAGAGUAAAUAGCUUUUAAGUGCACCCACAUGAUAAUUUCCAUUAAUAUAUAAUUUAACUAAUUUAUUUUCUUAAACCUUAAUUUUUUUAAACUUUUUAAUUCUUUCUUAAAUAUUGUAUACUUUACUUUUGGAAGAAAUUAAUUUAUAGCACGCAAUAGAAGAUGAUGAAGAAAUAUUAAUUUUUUUAUGGUUAUGGUAAUGAUGGAUAAAUCUUUAAAAAGAGAGAGAGAGAUUAUAGUGAUUUUGAGAUUUUUUUUUCUUUUUGAAAUAGAUUUUAUAAGUUUCAGUGCUUGGAAAAAAGAUAAAAAAUCGUAAUAAAGCUAAGUUCGCGAUUCAAUGAGGUAUGUUGAUAUAUAAAGUUUAGUUUAAAAUUUUUAAUAGCGUUAACUGAAAGGGGUUGGUAAAAUAUAAUAAGUGGGUCAAAUCUACCACCCUAAUUAGUAUCAUUUUACUCGAAAGUUUUACUUAUAAAUUUUGGAUUUUGACCAGCUUUAAAUCUAUAAAAAAAAUUCAGAAAAAGUUACUUUAAAAAAUCUAUACAUUAUCCCAAAAGUUGUACCCAAAAAAAAUAAAUAAAAAUCGGCCCGUUCUGGUUAAAUUCAAAAUGAAAAAACCCGGCCCGUUUCCCUACUUAAGACCCUCCUAGCAGUUUUAAAAAAAAUUUCCCAGCGAAGAAUAGAAGUGAUAGCAGCUGCUCUGUCUUGCGACCCAUCGCAAUGGGAAUUUAGCUGGUUUUAAUUCUCUCUCUUAGCUGUUUCUGUUUCUUUAAUUUAACAUUGUGAUAUAUAUUUAUUAUGCUAGAGGUUCAACUAAGUCUCCAUUUACUGGGACUUUUCUCAUCUUGGGAAAUGUUAAUUUUGCCUUAUUUAUUCAAUAUUGUUAUCUUCCUCUGUCAAUAAAUUUUAUGCUUCGGUUGGUUAUUCAAUGUGGGUUUGUUCCAUUUUGUUCUUACGCUGUUUGUAUAAAUAUUAAAGGUUUGUUUUUUAAAAUGGCUUUCAGUCAAUUGCCUUCAAAGCUUUAUUUCCUAAAAGAGGAAAGAAAAAUAUACCAAAAUGUUUAAUUUCUACUGCUAUAUGUUUGCGUUUUUAGCUUCUGCUAUGCUUUGUAUUGUGUUGUUUGUGUUGGUAUUAAUGCUAGAAAGAUGUUUUCUUCUCAAAUCUGAUUGCUUAGAAUGAAUAUGAGGUGGUUAUUGAGUUGCAAUAUAUCGAAUAAAUUGAAGACGUCUGCUUCAUAGGUUUUGAUUCUAUUAAUUGUUUUCAUUUCAAGCAUGACACAAUUGCAUGGGUGUUCGAGGAGGCUAACGAUGAUUUCUUAGGGUUGAAGCUAUAACUUUCUUUUAUUAUUGUCUAGUAUCAAAACUUGAAAACAAAGUUUAAAGAUAAUACUUAUGAUACAAACACAAAUGAUUGGAAAGGUAACUUGAACAAAAUAGAAGGAAAUCAAUAAGAAUAGGUUAAUUCGAGGAACUCUAGACCUUCAAAAUAAUAUUGGUUAUUUGAGAAACCAAUAAACUCACAAAAUUUAAUUUACAAGUUGCGAAAAUAAUAGCACUCAAGACACUCUUUUAUUGAACAACAUCAAGCUUUAAAUAGAGCUUUACUUCAAAGCUACAAGUAUAAAAAUAAGCAAGCAUUAAGCUUGUUCUCCAUCAUUCUCCAUGAAUCCACAAAAUAAGGAACCAACUAACAACUUGAUUUUGACUUAUUAAAAACCAGCGACACUUAAAAUAUAAAGUAAAUAAUUAAAACCAAUAUUAAAAUGGAAAGAUUGUAAAAUGUUAUAGUGUUUACUUUAAUCAAUGGGCCGUGGCGCAUAUUGUUAAAUUGUGGAUCGGAUAGUUUACUGGACACGCGAACUAAUUUGUAAUUUAGUUAUAAGUUGUGUGAACCAUAAAAAAAUAAAGUCAGUGGUACUAUUAUCAGAAUGUUGGAUAGUUCUGAAAGAUUUUUGAAUAAGCUGGCAUUGAGGAUAAUAUACUAUUGGAAGUUGAGGAACAGGACAGAGCAUCUGUAAUUCCUCUGUUAUUUACGAGUUAUCUAUUUUUAUCCCAUGACAGUGUAGUGCUCUUUCUCCCCCUUUCAGAAAGUUUUUAGAGGAACUGUACCUGAAAUGUUUUGUUGUUUCUUAGAAAAUGGUUUUUCCCAUGCAGUGACUUUGAAGUGGAUUACGAGUCCAAUGAGAAUGCAUCAAUUGUGUAUGCAGCAUUAGCUAUUGAUAAGGAGGUGAUCCACCACGAUCCUAUUCCCAAGAUCAUACUUUGCUCCUUUAACUUUAUUGCUUGUUCAAUAAAUUCCUACUUGAAUUCAAUUUCCAAGUGCAGUUGCAACCAGACAAAUUGAAAAGGCAGAUAUCUGUGAUUAAUGGGAAACUUUUAGUGUAAGUUUCUAUUCUUUGGUCAUUCUUGUAACUGAUUUUUCAUUCUUGUCCAAUAUUUAUUCAAUUUGCAUCUAUCAGUUUAUCCUAUGAGACAAUAUUCAUUUGGAACUUUUGUGUGGCUCGUUCAAUAAUCAUUUUUCCCCUUUUCCUGAAAAAUUUUCAAAUAUGUUACUUCAGAAGAGUUCUUCCUCUAAGAUACCAUUGUUCUUUAGUAUAUCAACUUUUCUUGGACAUUUUGUUUAUUUUCUCAUCUGAUUCAGGCACUUUGAGGCAGUUGAGGCAGGGUUUCUUCGUGCAUCAUUUUCUGCUUUUGUAGAUGUGCUUACACUUGCGACAAAAACAAUCGAACAGUUUGGUCAUGGAACGGAAUUGUAACAUCAUACUAUCUUUGGCAGUUGGAGAAUCAUUCAUAGUAGGAACUGUAUUACUUUAAUUCGCCAUCUUGUUUCGGAUUAGUUGACGUGUUUGUAACAAGAGAAUCUAUAGUGUUCGUUUUAUAAUGUAAACCUUCAAAUUAUCGGAAAGCUGAAAUCUUCAAAGCUGUGAAUUAUAAUUUUUUUUUUUCAAUCAUUGGGUUUUAGCAAGAGGUUGCAGCUGUAAAUGUUACAAUCCUCCCUUAGACCUUUUCAAUAAAGUUAUUGGCAAGCUAUCUCCAACUCUUUCAGUUUGGGCCUAACUAGAUUGCCAGACCUCACUUCUAGGGCUUUUCUGUUUACCCUCAAAACAGUUCAAUCUGAUAUUGAUUUCGUAAAGUGAAUAGAAUGAAGAAUUCAUUAGUGCUAAUAUUCUUCCAGCCAUUGAUGCAAUUCUUUACCAUUGUGUGACGCAGGAGGUACCUACUUGGCUACCAAGUGGCCCUCAGCUUAACGUGCCUCGAUAGCCUUCAAGCUUUUAGAAUUCAUCUAGCUGGUGGAAUCCUAUCAGGCGUCUCUCUAUAAGUUCGAAAAUCAAGAUUUUUCUAUAGCAAGCGUCAAGGGAUUUCUUGUCACCCAAAAGGAACCCAGAAAAGAUAAAAUCGUAGACAGCACUGUUUCACAUGCUGGAAUUCUCGGGAGGGUGCUUAUCAUGUGCUUGUGGCUAUAAAUAUGCUCGAAAAAAAUUGGAAAUUGAUGCUGCAAUCCCUCUGCCUGAAGCCUCAAAGAAAAAAAAAAUGCAUUUUUAUAGCAUUGCUAAGAUGAAAGAUUACAGACUUAGCAACGCUGACAUUGAGCAACAAUUUUCUGCAUACACUUUAUCUUGGGCAGAAUCACCAAAAGUCGAUGCAUCUUUAAAUUUAGAAUAAAAGCAGAUUCGACUUGUAUUAUAAGAAAUUCAAAUGGGGUGUCACGGCUGCUUCCAUCUCUAGGAAAACUUGCUUAGAAAAAAUGCUGAAUGCUUUGGCAAUUCUUGAUGGCAUCAAAAUGGCAGUUGACUCUGGACUGCACCCACCACUAACUUGAAUCUGACUAUUUUAAUGCAGUGAAAUCAAUCUUAAAGAAGAGACUUCGGAUGGAUGAUCAAAGGAAUGCUCGGUUAUGUAAGAAAAGGAAAACAAUUUAUAGUUGCAAUACACUCAUCAAUAAUCUCAGGAACCUCUGAUGAUUGAAUUACAAGCAUACCUGUUCAUGCAAGAUAUUCGAUGCUCUGCAUCCGAAACUUCGUCGACCUUUGCAUCUAAGAGAUCAUUAACCUUACAAGUCACAGAACCCAAAUGGUCCACAGUAUUCACAACAGCUUUGCUGGCAUGAUCUUUCAAUGUUUCCACCACUUUGCGUAAAUGUGAAGAUGGUUUGUUUUCUCAAUAGAAAAUUGAAAUUAUCAGCAGUAAUUAGAGCAACUUACAUUUGUUUUUGGUCAUCACUGGUGUUUGUGGGAUAUUCUUCAACGAAGACCAACACUAAUGAGCAGACAUCUGGUAGCAGGGCUCCUCGAACAUGUAUAUCUGGUAAGAAUCUGGUAUCCGGGGGAGCAGGAGCAGGAAUAUCCGGCUCGUCCACGAGUACGCCAUCCACAAGGCCAAUCUUCGGCUGGAAGCAUAAAGCCAUUCCUACUGCAUUCCUGCUAAGGGCUGAGUAGAGGAGACCCGGUCAACGACAGUUGGUGAGACAUGCUCUCCAGUCCGAUAAUCAAGGCACAAAGGCCACGCAACCAUCCACGACUACGGAAAUGGGGCAUCCACUUACGAGAGGUGGGGAGAUAACAACCGCGAAUGGAGGGAAGGCUUGAGUUCAGAGGUGGCCUAUAAAAAGGUAGCCAACGAAGGUAAAAGGGUUAGCAUUUUUGAGAUUAUAACUGAGAAAAGAGAGCUCUAAAGAACGGGUACUAGAGAAAAGCCAUAAGAUUCGUGGCAAACAUUCCCAGAACCUUCAUAUCUGACUUGAGCAUCGGAGGGUUUACGCCGGGGAAACAACCGGCGUACUCUGACCUGCUUCUGUGUACGCAGGAACUUUCGGAGAAGAAGCCUUAUGAGGAGAGAACCUGAUCUGGUAGAGUUGGUCGAGCAGAGGUCCUAGUCUUGGUAGAAAAGGCAACCAGAAUCUCGCAUCAACAUUUUGGCGCCGUCUGUGGGGAGCUGAUCAAAAAGCUUCUAUUGAUAGUAAGAAGAGGAGUAAAGCAAGUGGAAAAAACAAUGGAGGCAGGAGGAAGUAGUGCGCAAAGGGGUGAUUUGCGGCUUAAUGAUUCCGUGACGUUGAGGGAGAUAGCCAGUGAAGCACGGGAAAAAGCCAUGUCUGACCGGAUGGAACGGAUGGAAAAGCAGAUGGAGACCCUGACAACCAUCCUACAUGAGCUGCGGAGUGAACGAAGGGGAACCCAGGAGGAAAGGGUGAGAAAUGGUGGAGUGGCACCAGGUCACGAUAGUAUAAGGAGAAGUCAAACCACCAGGAGAUUUGGUGGUGAGAGAGGUAACCUAUCUCUGCAGGGAGAAAUUCACAGAGAGGAAGAGCAAUCCCCAGCAAGAUAGAUUUUUGAUGAGGAUGAUGGGGUGGCAAAUGCAGAGGAAACAGAGCUCAGGCAACACUUACAUGAUGUAGAGCAAGAGCAGGAUCAAGUUGCAGCACGUGACCCUGGUCGUGUAGUGCAGCUGGAGGAGGAAGUGCGCAGAUUGGCGUAGGCAAUUGAUGACAUGCAAGGAAAGAGCAGAGCUCCUGGUUGGAGGAUAAUGCUGGACGGAGAAUCAUCGCUCGCAGCAGAGAUCAUGAGGGCAAUCAUUCCAAGAGAUUUCCGCCUCCCAGACCUUAGAUAUUCGGGACGAACUGACCCGCUGGUACACAUAGAGCGCUUCAACGAUAUAACCGGGGUACAAGGAUUAUCUCAAGCCCAAAGGUGCAGGGUGUUCCCACUAUCCCUAGAGGGACGUGCACGCGAGUGGUACAGGAAACUGCUUCAGGGGAGCAUUAAAACCUUAGAGCAGAUGUGCCAGGAAUUUACAGAGCAGUUUCGUGAGGCAAUGGCACCAGAAGAUGACAUGAUGGAGUUGAAAAGCAUGAAGCAAGGGGAGCAAGAAACCCUUUAGGAAUUCAUCAAAAGGUUUCAUUGUGUUGUCCUCGAUUUGGGAGCCUUCAACCAUCCUCAGGCACAAAGGGGAUUGAAAGAGGGAGUGAAGAUAGGAAGGCUGUGGUACAACUUGAGAAGCCCAACUAUUCAGACGUAUGCAGCUGCAUACGAGCAGGCUAAAAGAGACAUAGAGAUCGAGGAAGAAAAGGCAGCUCGGAUUAAGACAGACCAGCUGGAAGGGUUGGGAAAGAAAGAGAAGAGAGCAUUACCAAGAAAUGGGCCGAUCAGGAGGAAGGACCACCAGACCGCAGGUAGUGGUGCAGGAGGUCGGAUAACCGCUUACUAGCCUUAUCAAAGGCCACCAUAGUAUCAGCGCAGCAGGGCACAACCUCUUCGCUCACCAGCUAGGGAGCCUUGGAGAAGGCAUGACUCGGCAUUAGGUGGUCUUCAUCCACACUCCCACGGUAGUAGAGGGAGCAGACCAGAAGCACUGCCACCGCCUCCAACUCAGAACAGCGCAAAUAGUGAAAGGGCAGUGCACAUGAUCGACCAAAACCAGGACUAUGGACGGUAUACCUCCUUAAAGAUGCCCCUGGACGAGGUGUACGAGGCUAUAAAGGACUGGGGACUACUGUACCUCCCUGCCCCAAUAACAAAACUACCCAGCAUGAGGGAUAGAGGACGCUAUUGUAAGUUCCAUGGCACUCAUGGCCAUACCACUGCAGAAUGCAGAGAUCUCAAAACCCAGGUUGAAGAUUUGGUGAGAAAUCAGUACCUGGAUGAGUUCAUAGAUGGGACUUUCCCGAUGGUUGCCUCGACAUGUGAAGGCGAGCAAAAUCCCCAAGUAUCGAAAUAUUCACUAAGGCAUGCAAAGGCUCACCAAGUCUCAAAGCCUGUUUUACAGCGAGACAGAAGCCAAGCGUGCCAAGAUUUGCUGGACCGAACGAAGGCGAGCAGAAUCCCCAAGCAUCGAAAUAUUUACUAAGGCAUGCAAAGGCUCACCAAGUCUCAAAGCCUAUUUUAUGGCGAGACAGAAGCCAAGCGUGCCACGAUCUGCUCGACCGAACGAAGGCGAGCAGAAUCCCCAAGCAUCGAAAUAUUCACUAAGGCAUGCAAAGGCUCACCAAGUCUCAAAGCCUGUUUUAUGGCGAGACAGAAGCCAAGCGUGCCAGGAUCUGCUUGACCACGCGAAGGCAAGCAAAAUCCCCAAGCAUCGAAAUAUUUACUAAGGCAUACAAAGGCUCACCAAGUCUCAAAGCCUGUUUAUGGUGAGAUCAGAAGCCAAGCGUGCCAGGAUCUGCUCGACCGAACGAAGGCAAGCAGAAUCCCUAGACAUGCAAAAAACUAAGUCUAAAAGCCAGUCAUGUGGCAAAACCAUAUGCCAAGCCUAAGCCCGCUCGACCGAGUGAAGGCGAGCAGACUCUCAAAUGGAAAAAUAGCUCGUAAUUACAAACAUAAGAAAGUAAUCAAAAACAUUUUUCAUUAAUUUGUUAAUAACUAACAAAGCCGAUAAUCAAUACACAUAUUGUUCAUUACAAUACAAGAAACAUAUUUAAGAAGACGGUAGGUCAGUAAGCCGAGCAGCCUCAGUUGGCUGGUCCACCUCAGGUGCUGGGGGAGUAUCACCAGUUGCGUCCGGGGGGGUGCUCGCCUCACCCACAUCAAUAAGAACGGCACGAGGGGGAGAGUUUUCCUCCUCAACUACGAUUGGUUCCACCCAUUCGGCAUCUUCCUUUGGCUCCUUGUCCAUAUGUUGAGCAACACCAACUGCAAGAUCAUCCAUCUUCAGAUCAGGAUGCUGCUUUCCGAGGACGGCCAUGAUGCAGCGAUAGAAAUGCCGGAGUCCCUGGUCGUACUGGUUGUCGGCUUCCCUCUCCAAGUUCUCGACCUGAACUCGGUGAGAAUCGCGGAGAGAUUCGAGCUGAGCCUCGUACAUAGCCUUCUGCCUUUGAAGAUCCUCAUUGACCUUGAUCAGCUCUUCCUCGAGGGUAAUGGCUUUUGCUUGAGCAAGAGAUUCCUGCUCUAUCAGCUUCAGAUUCUCGACAUUCAGCUCCCCUACUUUCUUCUCGGCAGCGUCAGCUCUGGUCAUCGCCGACUGAAUGUCCUCCUUCAUCUUUCUGUCAUAACGGCCAACCUUGGCCUUAUAGUAGGUGGUUAUGCAGCUGAAAUGGAAAGCGCUAUACUACAUGGCCCCCACCAACUCGCCUAGGGUGCAGCCAUCAAAGUCCUCCAGGUCCUUUUUGCUCACAAGUUUAGAAAGCUCGUUUAGAUAGGGGACCAAGUGUUCUGCUCGAUUGUCAGGCAAACGAGAUCUGGGCCCGAUAGGGGGAGAAGAGGAAACAGGAUCAGUGGCUGCUCCACUAGUUUCCCCGACUUUGGCAGAAGGAGGAGGUAAAGUGUUCAAGAGAGAGACCUACUGCACGAUGUUGGCCCGCUUUGCAGUAGGGGCGUCUUUGUUCUGGUCCCUCUUCGCGGUUUGAGCUAGAGAACGUUUCUGGUUCAGAGCCCCGAUCACAGCAUCCUCCAUCUUAUGGUCGGGAAGCACCAAGUCAGAUUCGAUCAGGUUGUAAGUGGUUAGUAGCUCUCGUUGCGAGCAGGAAUUGGCCAGUACAGCCUUGACCCGUUUGAGCUGGUCAGGUUUGAGUGGGAGGUGAACACCCUAAGAACCUGUAAACGAGCAGACAUUUGGUUAAAGACAAAACAACAAAGUAAGAACAAUUAUGAAGACAAGACAUCUAAAACGAGCAGGCAACCUAGGACCACGAAACGGAGUGGGACACGACAAUCUUUCCCGUCAAUUUGUGCAACUUGACCCCAAGAACCCCCAGCGAAAAAUAUUUUUUUCUUCCAAGUCCCACCACCACCAGUUGGAAGAUCAGUUAUGGGUUUUUUGCUCUUGGUACUAGAUUGGAAGUAGUACCAGCUGGCAUCUUUGGGGCUGCUCUUUAGCUGGUACAGGUGCUUCACCUCAUCAAUUGUGGGCUCGCUUUGGCAACAUCUGUCCCACAAUAUGAACAGACCAGAGAGCAAUCUCCACCCGUUGGAGUUCAGCUGACCAGGAGCUAGAUUUAGCCCGUUGAGUAUCCGGGCAAAAUAGGGUUGCAAGGGGCACCUCAGCCCAUACUUAAAACUCUCCAGAAACAGGGUAACAUAUCCCCUAGGAGGUUUGCUAGGAGUAUCCUUUUUUCUUGGGAUCCUAAGGGGUAUUUCACUAGGAAUAUGGUACCUAAGCCAGAGGUCAUCGAGCUCAUUGAAUGUGGUCGUGCACGUUAUGUAAUCAAUAGCAUAAUCCCGUGACAGGGCUCUACCUCCUACUGUAUCCCGCCCUUCUGGUCGCGAUGUUCCCGGUGAGGAUCCCUCACCAGAGUCACCUCCUUGAUCUUCACUUUGAAAUACUAACUAGGCAACCCAAGAGGGGGGUGAAUUGGGAUUUUAAAAAUUAUCUUAGGCAAACCACACAACAAUUUAAUCUAAUGCCUUAAUAAAUUCGAAAACAAUAAAUUCAAUAAAAGCACAAUAAUAAAUUAGUAGGGGAAGAGAAAGCAAACUCAAGGAUUUUUACGUGGUUCGACAAUCCCCGCCUACGUCCACGCCUCCAAGCACCCCGGGCUUGAGGAUUCCACUAAGCAAGCCUCCAAGGCUUCAAACGCUUACAAUUGACUUCCAAGGUGUCAAUGGACCUUUACAACAAGAGAUUAUCCCCAAUCUCUUAACCCAAGUGUAUCCCAACACUUACAAUCUUUUAACUUGAUUUUACAAAAAAGAUUACAAAUGAAUCUCUCUCACACAAUGUGUUUGAUCACAAGUGAAAGCUCAAUGUGUGAAUGAAUAAGAUGAAUACAAAGAUUUAAAGCUCAAUGAAAGUUGUAUUCUCAAUAUUUUGCUCAAUGAUGAUUGUUGGAAUUCUACUUGUUUGAAUUGGAUUGAGCUUAUUUAUAGUUGGAGCUGAAAAACUAGCCGUUAUAGACUGUCGGACAGAAAAUGGUUCGCCGUUAACCCUAAACGGUUAACCGUUUCGGUCGGUCAAAGUUACCGUUGGGCUAAUUUUCAAAUAAACGGUUAGCCGUUUAGGCUUACCCUUUCGCCGUUAAUUUCCAGAGACCUGCAAAACAAAUUUGGUUUAACCGUUCUUACUAAACGGUUCAAGGUUAGCAAACUGGAAAUAAUCGGUUAACCGUUUUCAAUAAACGGUUCACCGUUAGUUUCCAGAAUCAUCAUAUUAACAAUACUUUAAAGAACAUGCUUUCUGGAAAUUAUCGGUUAGCCUUUUUAAAUAAACGGUUAGCCGUUUUUAAAUAAACGGUUAGCCGUUUGCUACAGUGAUUGCUACAGUAACCUGCACAGUGCACUAUUUUUUAAAAUUACCGUUUGACCCCAAAACUUUACAAAACUAUACCAUAGCCCAACACGUCAUGAAACUUUGCAAAUAGGUCCAAUUUCAAAAUUUCUAAAUAAUGCUUUGUUAAUCCCAAAACUUUCUGAAAUUAUGUUAUAGCCCAAAAUGCUAUGACACUUUUCAAAUAAGUCCUUCACCAAAAUUUCAAGCAAUACUUGUUUGUUUCAAAGUUUUCAAAAUGCUUUCAAUUAAACCAUAAACUUUGAAAAACAACAAAUUUCAUAAAAUCAUUUUUCCAUUAAAUAUGAAACAUUUAUAAUGUGAAAAUAAUGAUUUAUUAUUUAAAAAGAAUAAAAACAAUCAAUUUCAUAAAAUCAUUUUUCCAUUAAAUACAAAACAUUUAUAAUGUGAAAAUAAUGAUUUAUUUAAAAAGAAUAUUAAAUAAUUUGAGCUUAAAAGAUUAAUCAUUCUUAACUUUGUUUGUUAUCAUCAAAAUCAAUAUUAUGGAAACAUAUAUGUUAACAAUCUCCCCCUUUUUGAUGAUGACAAACAUUUCAUGUAUUUAAAGAAUGAUUCCACAAAUUGCUCCCCCUAAAUAUAAUCUUCUUUUACAACUUGCCAAUUAGCUAAAUUAAUGAUUUAAAUACAUGGAUUUUUCUCCCCCUCAUCAUCAAAAAGAAAAACUUAAUUGGCAAAGACAAAAGUAGCAAAUUUUUAUAGAUUUGAAAACAUGUAUUCUUCUCCCCUUUCAUCAUAAAAAAGAAAACGUAAAGGAAAAGAAUAAAAGUAGCAAAUUUGUUACCCAUGUUGUUUGAGUAGAAAUUUUGAAAGAAUCUCCCCCUAACAACAAGCAUUACCUCAAAUACAAGAUUAGUAAUAUUACUCCCAAAUUAUUAUAGAUCAUGAUAAAAGCCAACUCCAUACACAAAUCAUCACACCAAAAUAUCAUGAACCAUUAUUCCAUUAAUCACCAAAUCAACAACUCAUAACAUGAAAUUUAUCAUAUAAAACACCCAUGAAAUCAAAUCGUCAUUAUAUCUCAAAAUCAUCACCAUAAUCAAAUAUCAUCAAAAUGAUCACCAUAAUCAAAUAUCAAUUAUCAAAAGAAUACUCAAAGUGCAUAUUAUUCUCCUCCCUUUUGAUAACAUUGAAAUGAUAUAUUAGUUUAUCUCCCCCUUUGGACAACAAAAAAAUUCAAAAUGCAUAUUAUCCAAAAUCAUAUUAUAUGCUCCCCCUAAAUAUAUGGCCAAUUUUAAAUUUUAACCACAAUGAUUUUAUCCAAAAACAUAUCAUAUUUAUCUCCCCUUAAAGAUGAGCAAAUUCUCAAAUACUCAACGUGAUUAAAAAAUAUUUCCAUAUAAGCUUCAACAAUUAUAACAAACCAAUAACUCCUUCAAUUCAUCAAGCAACGCACAUCUAAUCAUCAAUUACCAAAAUCAUCAAGAAAUCAAAUCAUUCCAAGUUUAUGCCGAAUUUUUGAAAAUUCUUCUUCGCAAAGAGGUUUUGAUUUCUUUACCAAAUUGGCAUGCAUAUUAUCAAAUAUUCAAGCUCCAUAAUUAUCAAUCACAUUUUAUAAAUAAAGACAACUAAACUCAUCAAAUAUCUAAUGUGACAUUCAAUAUAACAAAAAAAUCUCAUAUACUUAAAACUCUCGAAGUAUAUGUAUUUCUCCCUUUUUCGAUAUCAUUUAAAAUAAGUAAGACAUAUUCAACAAUACAUCGAUAAAGUACAAAAAAUGCAUUCAUUCACUGAUCAUAGAUUGCAUAAGAUCAAAGCUUCAUCAAAUACAAUGUAAUCAUCAAUGCACAAACUUUAUCAUCAAAACUUAAGCAAAGCAUAAGUACAUAAUGACAAUGUAUAAAUCAUCAAAAUCAACAUAUGCCAAUAUAUGGAUCAUCAAAAUUAACAUAACUAUUAAGAAAAGCCAUAAUUAUGAGUUAAAUAACAAGUGAUCAAAUCCAUACUUACAUAUAUUUUUAAAUGAUGAUCUAGUAAUUACAUCUUGUGAUGGAUCUUUCAAAAUUAAGUCAUUAGGGUGAGAAGAAACAUACCUCCACUCUUUAGGGAGUGUUUGAGAAGUACUUUCAUUUUACUCCGCGUGUUGCUCCUCUUGAUUUUCAAGUGGUGUGUUCUUUUGGCUAUCAUUUGAUAAUCUUCUUGUAGCUUUUCAUCUACAUUAUCAUCAACAACAACUUUCUCCAUAGAGGAAGAAUUAGACUCAUCAAAUAUAACAUGUAUAAAUUCUUCCACAAUCAAAGUUCUUUUGUCAUACACUCUAUAAAUUUUGCUUGUGAUUGAAUAACCAAGAAAAAUACCAACAUCAAAUUUUGGAUCAAAUUUGCCAAGAUUAUCUUUUGUGCUCAAAAUAAAACAUUUGCAUCCAAAAAACUUUGCAAUAACUAAUGUUGGGUUUUCUAUAAUUCCAAAGCUCAUAGAGAGUAUUACUGAGAUGAAGUCUAAUCAAUGUGGUCCUAGCCAUUUUUAUUUUUUUUAAUAGACCUAUUCUUUCUCUCUACAACUCCAUUUUGUUGUGGAGUCCUAAGUGAUGAAAAUUUAUGCUUAAUGGAAAAUCAUUAAAAAAAAUCUCAAAUGCAUGAUUUUCAAAUUCUCCACCAUGAUCAUUUAUAAUACAAGAAAUAACAUAUAACUCAUCUAUCAUGCAUAUACCUCACACAAUCAUGAAAUAUGUAAGUAUUCAAAGAUUGAGAAUUAAAGCAUAUCACUUAUUUUUCAUGCUUAGGCAUUAAAUAAUCAUUAAAAUCAAAACAAAUUCAUCAUGAUGAGUUGACAAGCUAUCAUCUUAUAUAUAACCAUGCAUCAUGAUAAAGCACUAAAUGUUAAACACAAUGAUAAUUCCAUCAUGUAAACAUACAAGCAUACUUUCGUAAAUUCAUUUGUCAUGAUUCACUCAAUAUAGUAAAUAGGCAAGAUAAACUUAUCCACUUCAUGUUAAUGCACUCAAUGUUAUGAUACCAAAUGAAAUGUUAAAUAUUUACUAAGAUUAAAAGACCAUAACUUAUAAUCAAUAAGGCAAUAAUAGUUACCAAAACAAUUAAAUCAUUUUGCCUCAUUAUUUUUGCUUAGACCAUGAUCAAGUGAUUAUCCUCAUAAGCUUCAUCAAGGAACUCUCCACCAUUCCUUGAUUGUGGUUCCUACAAAGAGAACAUUCACGUUGUGCCCUUUGGUACCCAAAUACUCUUGGGUCCUUGAGUGUUAGAUUUAGUUCCUUUCGGAACCCAAAUACAUUUAACUCCAUAAUACACAUUUCUUUUAAUUUGACAUCUAUUCUUCAUAUGACCAUUUUGAUUGCAAUAAUGACAUACAAUUUGAUCAUUUGUGGAGGUAGCCUUAACAAAAUAAUUCUUAUAAUAUUUUGUUUCAAGUAAGGCUUAUACCCAAGUCCUCCUUUAUCAAACACACAUUUUUGUGAAUUAAGCAUGUUAUCCAACAUCUUUUGCCCAUUUGUGAAUUUCAAAACAAUCUCAUUCAACUCAUUGCUCCUUUUCUUAAGCGUUUCAUUUUCAUUUAUUAAUUCAUCAACAUGUGAUUUCUCAUGCUCAUACAAAGUACUUUGUUUACAUGUGAAUGAUGCAAUUCUAUCAUGUAACAUUUCAUUAUCUAAUUCCAAUUCUUUGAUCUUUUCAUUUAAUGAAACAUUGGAUUUUUGCAAGGCAUCUUUUUCAUUUUUCAAGUCAUUUACAUGUGAUUCUAGAUGCUUGUGUGAAAUGUUAGGUUUCUCAUUUGAUAAUGCAACUCUAUCAUACAAUGUUUUAUUCUCUAAUUCUAGGCAUGUAAUCUUUGCACAUAGAGAUUCAUUUUCAUUUUUGAGCUCUACCAUUUUCUUUUUAAGACAUGCAUUCUUUUUACCAAUUUUCAUCCACUCAUCAUACAAUUCUUUAAACGCAUCAUGUAAUUCAUCAUAAGUAAGAAGAUCAUUUACCUCAUCAAGUCCAUCAUCCGAGUCAUCUCCAAUUGCCAUAAGUGCCAAAUUCGACACUUCAUGAAAUUCCUCCUCCUUUGUAGUCUCCUCAUACACAAUUUCAAGUUUUCUCCAAAUUUCAUAAGCAUUAGAACAAUUUGAAACUUUAUGAAAUUCCUUUUUAUCUAAGGCACAAAAUAAAGCAUUCAUAGCCUUGGAAUUUAAUGACAUCUUUUUCUUAUCCAAUUCACUUAAAACAUUCUUCCUAGGAAUGAAUGAAUCAUCACAAACUAUUUCCCAUAGUUCAUAAUCUAAGGCUUGUAAAAACACUCUCAUCCUAGUUUUCCAAUAAGGAUAGUCAUUACCAUCAAAGAACGGUGGUCUAAUUGUGGAUUGUCCUUCCCUAAAAAUUGAGUCAUUAUGGGUUGCCAUGGAUCUUUAACUCUAGACGGUUAAGUCUACACAAGAGCACCUCUCUCUGAUACCAAAUGAAAUACUAACUAGGCAACCCAAGAGGGGGGUGAAUUGGGAUUUUAAAAAUUAUCUUAGGCAAACCACACAACAAUUUAAUCUAAUGCCUUAAUAAAUUCGAAAACAAUAAAUUCAAUAAAAGCACAAUAAUAAAUGAGUAGGGGAAGAGAAAGCAAACUCAAGGAUUUUUACGUGGUUCAGCAAUCCCCGCCUACGUCCACGCCUCCAAGCACACCGGGCUUGAGGAUUCCACUAAGCAAGCCUCCAAGGCUUCAAACGCUUACAAUUGACUUCCAAGGUGUCAAUGGACCUUUACAACAAGAGAUUAUCCCCAAUCUCUUAACCCAAGUGUAUCCCAACACUUACAAUCUUUUAACUUGAUUUUACAAAAAAGAUUACAAAUGAAUCUCUCUCACACAAUGUGUUUGAUCACAAGUGAAAGCUCAAUGUGUGAAUGAAUAAGAUGAAUACAAAGAUUUAAAGCUCAAUGAAAGUUGUAUUCUCAAUAUUUUGCUCAAUGAUGAUCGUUGGAAUUCUACUUGUUUGAAUUGGAUUGAGCUUAUUUAUAGUUGGAGCUGAAAAACUAGCCGUUAUAGACUGUCGGACAGAAAAUGGUUCGCCGUUAACCCUAAACGGUUAACCGUUUCGGUCGGUCAAAGUUACCGUUGGGCUAAUUUUCAAAUAAACGGUUAGCCGUUUAGGCUUACCCUUUCGCCGUUAAUUUUCAGAGACCUGCAAAACAAAUUUGGUUUAACCGUUCUUACUAAACGGUUCAAGGUUAGCAAACUGGAAAUAAUCGGUUAACCGUUUUCAAUAAACGGUUCACCGUUAGUUUCCAGAAUCAUCAUAUUAACAAUACUUUAAAGAAUAUGCUUUCUGAAAAUUAUCGGUUAGCCUUUUUAAAUAAACGGUUAGCCGUUUUUAAAUAAACGGUUAGCCGUUUGCUACAGUGAUUGCUACAGUAACCUGCACAGUGCACUAUUUUCUAAAAUUACAGUUUGACCCCAAAACUUUACAAAACUGUACCAUAGCCCAACACGUCAUGAAACUUUGCAAAUAGGUCCAAUUUCAGAAUUUCUAAGUAAUGCUUUGUUAAUCCCAAAACUUUCUGAAAUUAUGUUAUAGCCCAAAAUGCUAUGACACUUUUCAAAUAAGUCCUUCACCAAAAUUUCAAGCAAUACUUGUUUGUUUCAAAGUUUUCAAAAUGCUUUCAAUUAAACCAUAAACUUUGAAAAACAACCAAUUUCAUAAAAUCAUUUUUCCAUUAAAUAUGAAACAUUUAUAAUGUGAAAAUAAUGAUUUAUUAUUUAAAAAGAAUAAAAACAAUCAAUUUCAUAAAAUCAUUUUUCCAUUAAAUACAAAACAUUUAUAAUGUGAAAAUAAUGAUUUAUUUAAAAAGAAUAUUAAAUAAUUUGAGCUUAAAAGAUUAAUCAUUCUUAACUUUGUUUGUUAUCAUCAAAAUCAAUAUUAUGGAAACAUAUAUGUUAACACACUUAGGGUGUUUUCCGAGCCAGAAGAUCCCUCCUCACCGCUACUUCCGCUCGUGGAGGUUGUUUGGGGAGACAUCCUCCUAGCACUAGUCCCGACACUAGACCUAAUGGGUUCUAAGGGGAUCCCGGGGUCAAAAGCAGGAUCGAUGAGCAGACUAGGCAAGAAACCUAGUUCGUCGUCAUCAAUCUCAACGACUUUCUCUUUGCCUUUCGACAUUCCCUAAAUUAUAACCAGAGCACCACCACCAACCACUACCCAAACAAAGCACAGAGAAAAGAAAUUAUCUACAACUAACCAAGACCGAGAAAAUAGAAGAAAUACCUGAAGUAGGGACUCGGUCAAAGAGAGACAGGGAUGAAAGCUUUAAUGCCGAGGUUCAUUCGCCGGAGAGACAAGAAGGGAGAAAAUGCAUAUUUUGGGUUAUCCUAAUUGUUGAGUGUUAGAAAAUGCAUAUUUAUAAAGGAGAAAACCGUCAUUUUACCUUUCAAGCCUUACUAACAACCCUUACUUUUAUAUAUUUAACCUUCUUGUAAUUUAAUUACGUGUCUGUUAUUUUAAUUAAGUAUUUUAUGUAUUUUAGGGGCAUUAUAGUCAUUUCACAAUAAAGGAGAGAUCAGACGGCAAAACGGACAUCACUUUUGAACUUAGGACAGUCGAAAACCUUAAGAGGAGCAUAAAAGGAAAAAUGACACUAUUCACAUGUACGGUACUAUUCACGUAUACGGUACUGUAUACGUUACUGUUCACGGCAUUGUUUACCCUCGUCAACUAACGGUCAAACCGUAUGUAUACUAACGGUAGGGGAGGUAAGUGAGAAUACAAUCAAACUCGCCAUCUAAGUGAAAUUAUAUCAAACCUCAGGGGAGGUUUCUGAAAAUUGCCCUUUGUAUGAAUUGACGACCUGUCCGGUGUCCCCUGGCCUACUUAUCAUAAAAAUAAAAAUUGAAGCCCAAUAACAAAUACAUCCGCAAAAUAUUCAUCAAAGAUAUUUCAACAAGCCAGUCAAGUACUGGGACAGGGAAUGGCUCUGUUCCUCAUAAUGAAUUGACGUCCGGUCCAGUACCCCAGUGUCCCUCCUUGGCUUCUCAUCACAGAGAUGAAAAUUGAAAUUAGGCCAAUUAGAUUAAAGGCAAGACGGAAUGGAAAUAUGGAACCGUUAAUUAUUAUACCCAUGACCCCUCUAAUUAAUGGCUCUUUGCCUUUCAAUAUUAUUGUAGGUAUUUGCAAGGAAACCUCCUCUAUCUUUCUUCCAAUUAAGACUUCUUGUGUCCAAUUACUGUCGAUUCUUUUUGAACGUGUAAAGGAUAGCAACUUGAAGACUUGAGAGGGCCGGCGUUUAUUCAAAGUCAAGUACAGGGACUGGGAAUGGCCCUGUUCCUGAAGUAUGAACUGACGUCCCGUCCGGUGUCCCCUUGCCUACUCAUUAUACAAACAAAAAUUGAAAUUAGGCCAUUUAGAUUAAAGAUAAGACGGAGUGGAAAUAUGGGAUCGUUAAUUAUUAUAGCUCUGACCCAUCUAAUUUGCAAAUGGUUCUUUCCCUUUCAAUAUUAUCGUACGUAUUUGCAAGGAACCCUCCUCUCUCUCUUCUUGCAAUCAAGACUUUUGCGUAUCCAAUUACUGUCAACUGUUUUUGAACGUGUAGAAGAAAACAACUUGAAGACUUGAGAGAGGGCCGCGUUAAUUCAAAGUCAAGACAAGCUUAUUCUUGCAGGAUUCUUGAUGAUGAGGGUAAAAAAGGGUUGACAGAUGCUGGUAUAACGUCUAUAAAACUUUAAUUAUUUCAUAAAAUUGUUUUAUUUUUUAUUCGCCAUCACGUUUGAGAUUCCCCCCCCCAUGGCCCAUUUUAUUUUCAUUUUUUUUUUUAUGUAGGUCAGUACUCAGUAGUGUUACUGGAGUCUGGAAAUCAACCAUUGCCUCUUUUUUCUUAUGGAGAAUUAAACAAAACUCACCAAUGACCUAAAAUAGGACAUGGCUACGGUACAGAGGCUGCAAGUAACAGCUUCGAACUUUCCCAUUUCCAUCACCUUGCAUUGGGACCUCUUUCUCUCUUCUCUAGCACCCGUGGAAGUUCUCCAUUGGCUGCUGUUACUUACAGAAGCCGUAACAUAGACUUGUCCCCUAAAAUAAAUAUAUAAUGAAUAUUUAUUAACAGAUUCUAGACAAAAUUAAUUUUUCAACCGAUUGAAGCUUCCAAAAACUCAAAUUUCGAAUUUUUAUAUAAAUAUAAUCUAUUUUAAGUAUCAUUAUUAAAUCCUCCUCUAUAGCACAUUAGCAAAUAUGCAACUUUUCUAGCUUAAAAUCUAGGUUCAAAUCUUGCCAGCAGAGUUGAUUUUCGUUAUUUUUUAAGUCAUAGUUAAUUUUGUUAUAUAAUUUCGAUCACAUAUAAUUUUGAAAAUAUUACGAGUAAUUGUGUAAUUCACUCAAACCUUAGAGACUAAAGGAACAUUUACUAAAGAUUAAAAAAAAAAAAUUUUUAAAGCUACAUUUUGUUUCAUCCAAAUGAAGCUACUCAAUCCAUAUUUUAUUCCGAUAAAACUAUGGCUUCGUUUCAUAUCUUAAUUAAAUUAUAUAAUGAUGAAAUAUUAUAUUCUGAACUUAACUGAAUCCAAUAUCGUUUCACCAAUUGGUCAUAUGAGAUGAAGGAAAAAAAUCUGUUGAAAUUAAUUUUAAAUUAAAGUUGAAGAAUGGCGAUAUGAUACAUACACAUACAUGACUCUAAUUUUAUUAAAUUGAAGACGUACUCAUCGUCUUGACGAUGUGACCAAAUACUGGAACGUGAGAAGGGUCUUUGGACUUUGGAGAAGACUUGAGAGGGCCCGGAGUAAUUAAAAGUCAAGAUUGGCAUGCCGAAAUUAAUCUCUGGCUUUAACUUGCAGCACUUUCGUGUCGGUGAGAGUUUUAUGAGGAGCUAAUAUAUGCACUUUCUGAACUAAAGAAAACUGAUUUUAAGCGGCGAAUGGCUGUGCAUCUUUGUCUGGUGUUGUUGCAGAUUAUUGUUUUGCACCUAAGGCCGAUCAAAGCAUCAAAAAGACUCCCCUGUCCAACUGAAUGUGGAAAUGUCAGCAUCAGCUACCCCUUCGGAAUCGGAAAAGGGUGCCACUUUGACAAGGGUUACGAAGUUAUCUGCGAUCACUCUUCUGGCUCUCCCAAAGCUUUUCUUCCUGGCGUCAACAGGCUAGAAUUAUUGGAUAUUCUCCCUUAUCCAAAUCCCGCGGCGGUUAGAGUCAACGUUCCUACAAUUUCUUUAAACAGCAGUAGUAAGCGAACAAGCAAUAUUGCUAAAGGCGUCAACUUAUCAGGUACCCCUUUCGCCUUUUCGACUGACAAUAAAUUCGCUGCGGUAGGCUGCAGCAUGAGAUAUCACCAAGGGAACGGUUCAUCUGUGUUUGUUGGGUGUCUGUCGAUUUGUACUUGUGAUCCCACUCUCUACCCUGCUUGCUAUGAUUUCCUAUGCCCCCUUGGUCCAAAUAUUACUCAUCUGUUCAAUGUAAAUACAUCAUACUUGUUUUCUCCAAGUAUUCCUCAGAAAUGUCAGUCUGUUUUCCUGGUUGAUGAAGAUUGGGUCAACAGCAAGUACCUUGGAGAUCCUCAUGAUUUGAAAGAUCAACAAGAAUUUCCUGCAGCGUUGAAGUGGGGAGAAAAGAUAGGCAGUUGUUUUGAAGAGAAUAACUCAUAUUCUAUUUCUUGUAAUUCGGAUAACACAAGUUGUUUAAAACAAUUAAGCCCAGGCCAUUUAUGUCUUUGCUCUUCCACCUACUACCUACUGAAAGGAUACUGCGCAGGUACAUAUUGGAUUAUGAGUUAAAGAGUAAUUUUAUUUUUUUCAAAGAAAAUAUCCGAACGAGAAGAAGAAAAGGGAAAAUUCUUGGUGCUCCACGAGCGUUAUGAAAUUAUUGAUUUCAUAAGUGUGAAUGAGAAACAGAAAAUGCUAUUGGAGCACCCUAGACUUUACUAGCAAGAGUUAAAUGUCAAAUGAUGUAACAUUCCUCUAUUGGAUGGUAAGAUGAUCAGAAAAGAGUUGUAAAAUUUAUCAUCAAAUAGAUGAUUGAAAUUAUUGAUUUUUAAAAUAUCCACCGGAUUACUUGUAAAUGAGUAAAGUUUUCCAAUUACUGUAACUAUCUAUGUAAACAGAGAAUCAGAGACUAAAAAUGGUGGAGUUUUAUUUAGUUGUAGCCAUGAUUUAGUUUGAUCUUCUCUUUGAUUUAUUUUUUUAUUUAUUAUUUCCUGGGCAGGCGACUUGAUCUGUAAUAUCUCAAGCGGCUACAAUUGCUCCAACUGUCCUGACGGUUAUAAUCGUCUCUCAUAUGGUUGCGAUAAAGUUUCAACAAAUCUCGGGUUAAAUUCAUUAUUAUAGGUAUGCAUGUCGAUCCGUUAAUUUACAUCAUAACAAAUUAAUAAUGUUUUUUAACAUAUAUUUCAAAUGAAAAUACUAAGUGUUCAUACGUUCAUUUGAUGAUAUCUUUCAUUAUUGUCCUCGAGAGCCGCAGGCUGCGGUGGUGGGCUUGCGUUAUUCUUUCUGCUCAUUGGAAUAUGGUGGUUGUACAAGUUUGUAAAAAGAAGAAGGGAAAUCAAGCUCAAGCAUAAGUUCUUUAAAAAAAAUGGUGGUUUAUUAUUGCAACAAGAAUUGUCUUCCAAUGAAGGUAAUAUUGAGAAAAUGAAGUUAUUUACUUCAAAAGAUUUGGAGACGGCCACCGACAACUACAACGCCAAUCGGAUCCUUGGUCAAGGAGGCCAAGGUAUUGUAUACAAAGGAAUGUUAGCAGAUGGAGAAAUUGUGGCUAUUAAAAAAUCCAAAAUAUUGGAUGAGAAUAAUCUCGAGCAAUUCAUCAAUGAGGUAGUAAUUUUGUCUCAAAUAAACCACAGAAAUGUUGUUAAGUUGUUGGGAUGUUGCUUGGAGACAGAAGUUCCUCUUUUGGUGUAUGAAUUUAUUCUAAAUGGAAGCCUCGAUCAAUACAUACACUACGAAUCAGAAGAGUUUCCAAUCACAUGGGAAAUGCGUUUACGCAUUGCUGUUGAAGUUUCAGGUGCUCUAUCUUAUCUGCAUUCAGCUGCAUCUAUUCCUAUUUAUCAUCGAGACAUCAAAUCUGCAAACAUACUUUUGGACGAUAAAUAUCGAGCUAAAGUUUCAGAUUUUGGGGCUUCUAGAUCUAUCACAGUUGAUCAAACUCACUUGACCACUCAAGUACAAGGAAGUUUUGGAUAUCUAGAUCCAGAAUACUUUCGAUCAAGUCAUUUUACUGACAAAAGUGAUGUUUACAGUUUCGGAGUAGUUCUUGUUGAGCUUCUAACUGGACAAAAACCUAUCCGUUCAACUGUAGCUGAAGAAGAUAAAAGUUUAGCAAGAUAUUUUAUCCUAGCAAUGAAAGAGAACCGUCUGUUUGAAGUCCUUGAUGAUCGAGUUCUUAAGGAAGCUGAGAAAGAAGAAAUUAUUACUGUUGCUACACUCACCAAAAGAUGCUUGAACUUGAAUGGGAAGAAAAGACCUACGAUGAAAGAAGUGGCAUUUGAAUUACGGGGUAUAAGAGAAUCAGUUGGAGCUUCUAUUUUGCAGCAAAAUUGUGAAGAGACUGAUUUUGUGGAUGGUGACAUUACCGGACAUGAUUUCGAAAGGGAUUCAUCUUCCAGUGGUUCAACUUUAAAUAGUGUCUCAGUUUCUGUGGAUGCCGACCCUUUAAUUUCAAACGAAUGGUGACAAACAGAAGAAUGGCCUUGAAACUGUUUCGUAUUUCAUAAAUAAGAUUUUUAGGCUUUUCCGAUACUAUCAUUCUUGUAUCCUUACAGUUUCUUUGGGCACCAUCAUUUGUAAUUAAACACUUCCAAGUCAUUUCAAACAAAAUUUCCACUAUUUCAUUGCAUGCGCUGCAUCUUUCUCUUUUUUUUUGGGGGGGGGGGGGGAUGGAGGAGAUGAAGGAAAAAUCUGUUGAAAUUAAUUUCGUAGUUGAAGUUUAUAAAUGCACGAUGAUAUGAUCUCAGUCUAUUAAAUACUGAUGUGCAAGAACUUUAGCACUAUGUGACCUUCUCAGAGUCUAUUAAAUACUGAUGUGCAAGAACUUUAGCACUAUGUGACCUAAUAUCUCUAGUAAACAGGAGAGAACAACUUGAGCACUUAAAGAGGGCCAACGUUAAAUAAACUCCAGAGUGGCAUGUCGGAAUUGUUGGCUUAUUGUGAUGCAGGACUUUCCCGGUAGCGAAAUAAAGUCGAAAGGAAGAUGGGAGGAAAUAAAGAUCAAUGCGCCUUCUUGUAUUUCAUGGGUUAAAAAUCUUUUUAUCUGAUUACAAACUGAUAGAUAAAAUACCCUUGUAUCAUUUGUGAGUGAAUCUCUUAGGUCAAAAAUAUAAAGUUAGAACAAUCCUCAACUCUUUAGUUAGAUUUUGAGUAUGGCUUAAACCCAUGAACUUUUAUAUUUUAUUAGAGAUAAACUCACCCACGAUUAUGCCCGCACUACCUCCCACAGUACCUUACCACUAGACGCCCUUCACAUGGAGGCUUGGGUACCACUCGAAAAGUCAUUUGAAAGAAAAGUCUGUUUAAAAUUACGUUCCAAUUCUGUACUCUCAACUCUCCCAAGUUAUAAAUUGAUAUUCACUCAUGUUAUAAAAGAGUAAUGCUAGAGGAUCCCAUAUUGGGUACCAAUGGAUGUGGCAUUCAUUCAGUGGAUAGUAAAAUAUUUAUGUUAUCAGUUAUUAUUCAUAGAUAAACGAUAUAUAAUAGUUGGGACUCAAAUCGGGACUUAAUUGGUGGGUCACAAUCAUUAUUGGUUAAAAAAAAUAUACAGAGAUAACUAGCGUAAGAGGUAAAUCAAAAACUCUUUCUCUCUCUCUGCUAAGACCCUUUCUGCCACCAGCUAAAAUUCACUAGUUUUGAUCAAUCAACGUGCCUGAAUUACACGGCCACCACAUUUUCGAACCUCUAAACUUUCAAAUCUAUUUUUCAACUCUGUUUUUCCAACCACUGCAGCCUCGAACCAACCGAAACUCCCUGCUGCUACCUCUAGUUACCACGUCGCCAAUUGCCCAUCACACAGCAAAAAAUUAUACUAAAGGAGUUUCAGUCGGGGGAGAGAACCAGUAGGUCUAUCCUUUUUUCUUAUUUUCUAUUUUUCUUCUAUAUUUCUUUUAUUUUUAUUUUUGUCUCUGCUUCUGUUAUUGUGCUUGUUUUUAUGUUUUUAUGUUUUCUAAGAUUUUAUACUGCUCCUAAGGUGGUUCUGGUGGUCUCUACAUAGAUGGUGUUGUUUCAAUGUCCAAAUCGAGAUUGUGUCAGUGUUCGGAUUGGAACGGUAUGCCUAUAUCGAAGCUGUUGAGGACUUUAAUAGUGGUACAUCAAGGUUCUAAUAACCUAAGGGGAGGUUCUGAUGGCCUAGGUCAAGGGCUCAUUGAGAGGCUUUCUAGUGAACCGUAAGGUUGGUUUUUUUUUGGUUGCAUUUUGUGGUUUUUUUUAUUGUUAUUUGUUUGCAUUCUGUUGUUACAAUUGUAUUUUCUUGUGCUCUGUUGUAUUAUCAAACACGAGGGGGAUUUCAGCUAUAGUAGCUAAGAUUGGUUCCUCUAGUUUUUCUUUGGAUUUUAAUUUGAGCUUAUUGUUAUCUUAUGUAUUGUACUUAAGCCUGUUAUUAUUAUUACAGGUCCGUCAUACUUCCUUUAAAAUAAAAAGAAAAAAAGAAUAUAUACGGAGGAGAACAACUUGUAGACUUGAGAGGGCCAUGGUUAAUUAAAAGUCAAGUUGACUUGCACGACUUUCUUGGUAUUGGGAUAAAAGCUAAAAGGAAGCUAGAAGGAAUUUAAUUAAAGAUCAACGCAUGCAAUUGCUCUGUUAAAUCUUCAUUUUUCCGAGUAAAAAUAUUGAGAAUGGUUGUUCAUCAUUAUCUGGCGUUGUUGCAAUUGAUGUUUUUGCUAUUAUGGCCAAACAAAGCUUCGAAAGAUUUAUGUCAAUAUGAUUGUGGGAAUGUCACUAUCGAUUACCCCUUCGGAAUCGGAGACGGUUGCUACUUUGAUAAGAGUUUUGAAGUAUUCUGCGAUUACUCCUCUGGCUCCCCAAAAGCUUUUCUUGCGGGCAUCAACAACCUGCAAGUAUUGGACGGUUAUGUUUAUGAUUCAUAUACUUCUUUUGAUGUAUACAUGAUGAGGGUAUACAUUCCUGUAAUUUCUUUGAACAGCAGUAACCUGACAAGCAAUGAUAAAGGGGUCAGUCUAUCAGGUAGCCCUUUUACAUUUUCCCGGUCGCGCAAUAGAUUCACUGCCAUAGGUUGCAACAACUAUUCAACGAUUAUUAAGCGACAGAAUGAUUCAUCCGUUUUUGGUGGGUGCCUUUCGAUUAGCACUUGUGAUCCUGCUCUUAACCCCAGUUGCUACGAUUUCCUAUGCACCCUUCCUCAAAACAUUACUCAGGUUUUCAAUGCAGAAAUAUCUAAUUUUUAUUCUAAAAGUAUUCCUCAGAAAUGCCACUCUGUUUCCAUGGUUGAAGAAGAUUGGAUCAACUCAAAGUACCUGAAGAAUCCUCACGAUUUGAAAGAUCACGGACAAGUUCCUGCAGUGUUGGAGUGGGCUGAGUAUAGAGGAGAUUGUUAUGAAGAAUAUAAUUCGAAAACUACUUGUAACAAGGACAAUAGAUGUUUAAUACAAUUAAGCUCAGGCUACCUUUGCCUUUGCUUUAGGGAAACAAGGUUUGACCGACACCACCAUGGAUAUUGCUCAGGUACAAUUUCGAAUACUAAUUAAAUUAAUUUCAUAUAUGAAGUGUGUACUGCAUUUCCUUGAACCAACUACGUAUCUAACACAAAAUUAGUGAAAGUAAUUGCAGAAUUCGCAUAUGUAAAAAGGGCAAGAUAUAUAUAUAUAUAUAGCCGUAAUUUAUUUUGAUAUUCUAUUUCAUCUUUUGGGUUUGUUCAGGUUACUUGCUCUGUAAUAUCACAAGCCCCUACAAUUGCUCAUCAGGAUGUCCCAAAGGUUACAACUCUUCAAAUCCCCCCUUCAGUGACUGCCGAAAUGAACUUCUUCCAAUUUUGCACAAAAAUUCUCAUGUCAAAUUCAUUAUUAUAGGUAUGUUUUGGAAUUGCAGAUUUCGUCGACAGAAUUAACUGUUCUUUUUUUUUGUUAAUUUCAGUAUAUAUAGGCUAACAAACGCAAAAACUUCUGCACCUGAAAUUUGCAAUAGCUUAUACAUUUAUGAUCUCCUAUUCUAAACAGUUCCUUGCCAUAAAUCCCCUCGAACGCGUAUUAAAUAUUCUUGUCCUGGAGCGUUGCAGGUUGCACUAGUGGGCUUGGAAUGUUGUUCCUACUAAUCGGAACAUGGUGGUUGUACAAGUUCAUUAAAAGAAGAAGAGAAAUCAAGCUUAAGCAGAAGUUCUUUAAAAGAAACGGUGGUUUAUUGUUGCAACAACAAUCGUCAUCAAAUGAAGGUAAUACCGAGAAAAAAAAAUUGUUUACUUCAAUGGAAUUGGAAAUGGCUACUGACAACUUCAAUACCAAUCGAAUCCUUGGUCAAGGAGGCCAAGGCACAGUGUACAAAGGAAUGUUGACAGAUGGAAGAAUUGCGGCUGUGAAAAAGUCGAAAUUAGUGGAUGAGAGUAAUAUUGAGCAAUUCAUCAAUGAGGUGGUAAUUUUAACUCAAAUUAACCACAGAAAUGUUGUUAAAUUGCUCGGAUGUUGCUUGGAGACAGAGGUUCCUCUUUUGGUGUAUGAAUUUAUUCCAAAUGGAACUCUCUAUCAAUAUAUACAUGAAAUUGAGGAGUUCUCAAUCACAUGGGAAAUGCGUUUACUCAUUGCCAUAGAAGUUUCAAGUGCUCUAUCCUAUUUGCAUUCAACUACUUCUAUUCCAAUUUAUCAUCGAGACAUCAAGUCUGCAAAUAUACUAUUGGAUGAUAAAUUUCGAGCAAAAGUUUCAGAUUUUGGGACUUCUAGAUCUGUCACGAUUGAUCAAACUCACUUGACCACACGAGUACUAGGAACUUUUGGAUAUCUAGAUCCAGAGUACUUUCGGUCAAGUCAAUUUACAGAGAAAAGUGAUGUUUAUAGUUUUGGAGUUGUCCUUGUUGAGCUUUUAACUGGACAAAAACCUAUUCGUUCAACCGACGCUGAAGAAGAUAAAAGUUUAGCAGGGUAUUUUCUCCUAGCAAUGAAAGAGAACCGUUUGUUUGAUGUGCUUGAUGCUCAAGUUCUGAGGGAAGCCAAGGAAGAAGAGAUUAUUACCGUUGGCAUGCUUGCAAAAAGAUGCUUGAAUUUGAAUGGGAGGAAGAGACCUACUAUGAAAGAAGUCGCAUUUGAAUUAGGGGCGAUUAGAGCUCAAAAGUGUGAAGACAUUGAUCUUGUGGGUGGAAAUUUUGAAACUGGUUCAUCUUCAACUGGAGCAAUUUUAAAUGCUGUUGCUUUUUCUGUAGAUGCUAGCCCUUUGCUUUCAAACAAGUGGUGAUUAAAGGGAAGAAUUUUCCCUUGAAAUCUAAAGAAUUUUCUUUUGAAAUCCAAGUAUUUCAUUUCAUAUAUAAAUAAAUUAAGUUGUGGAUUUUUGCAUUAUGCUUCUCUUAUGGCUAAAAUUUUUCAUCUCUAGAAUAAAAUAUACAGAGUUUGAUGUUCAGUUUGUAAGCGGAGAAAUAAAUUUAUAAGGUAGAUUCCAACAAAGCAUCUGUGGCAAACAUAUUUAAAUAUCUAAGAAGCAAGCUUCUAAUGCUACCAAUAUUUAGUGCACUAGAACUUUGAAGCUGACAGAGUGAGGCAUCUCGGCAUCUGAAUCUGCAUACAAGUGGAACAGGAGAUGCUGACAUGAUAUCCUACGUGGAGCUUAUGUGACACAUAUAAUGAGUCCAGUUCGUUCCUAAUUCACACGCUUACAUUGUAGCCCCGUUCUUUGUGUUUCGAGUACCAUUGGUGAACCAUCACUUGGUGCCAUUGUAUUGCUAAUAGCACCUUUGCCUUGAUUGAUUUUGCUGACAAUAUAUAGGGUGUGUUUGGGAGUAAAGUCCUACAACUUUUAUGUUGCGUUUACUUUCCGGACUUGGGAAUCAAAAUUAUUAACAGUGUUUUUUUCCCAAAAUAAAUUCAAGAAUAAGAAUCGGAAUCAUGGAGCACACCACAAUUUUAGAAUGAGGAAUGGGAGACUCAUUCCUAAGAGGGACGUGGGAAUGAGUCUCCCAUUUUCAGGAUUGACUAUUUUACCUUCCUCAAAUUUUUGUCCUCAGUUAUAAUUAAUUAAUGUAUUAUUAUUAAUUAAUUAAUAUACUACUAUAAUAAUUAUUAUAAUUAGUUCAAAUAUUAUUAAUUAAUUAAUUAUAAUUGUUACUAUUAAUUAAUAUAUUAAUAUAUUAUAAACCAUAAUUAUUAAUAAUUUUAAUUUUUGAUAAAUAAUCACAAUAAUUAAUAUACUUUUAUUAUAACUAAUUAAUUAGUAUACUAUGAUAAUAAUUACUAAUAUACUUAUUAUAAUUAAUUCAUAUAUAUUAUUAAUUAAUUUAUAUAAUUAUUACUAUUAAUUAAUAUAUUAGUAUAUUAUUAACAAUGAUAUAUUAAUAAUUAUAGUUUUGGAUAAAUAAUCACAACAAUUAAUAUAUUUUUAUAAUAAUAAUAAUAAUUAUUAGUUAAAAAUUUGUACAAUUAAUUAAUAUAUUAAUAUAUUCUUGUCAAUACUAAUUAAUAAUAAUACUUUUUGAAUAAAUAAUCACUAUAAUUAAAAUAUAAAAUAAUAAUUGUGACAAUAAUUCAUUAAGUGCUUUUUAGUAAUUUUUUACAAUAUAACUCAUUCUGAUUCUGAUUACAAGAUAAAAUAAAUACAUCAAUAAGAUUCUAACCCAUUUCUAUUCUGAUUCAUGUAGAUCAAGUAAACAACUUAUUCUGAUUCCUAUUCCUCAUUCUCAUUCCAGCUCAUAAUGAUUUCAACUCAUUCUGAUUACAGUCCAUUUCGAUUACUAACAAGUAAACACAACAUUAAGAUGCAGCUGUUGUGGAGCAAAAAUCAUAGUUGUGGGAUAGAAGCUGCUGGGGUUUAGCAAAUUUUAAUAGUUGUAGAGUCAAAAUUGAUGGUAUUUGGUAAAUUUUAAUUGUUGUAUAGUGAAAGUUGAUGAAUAUUUGUAAUAAUUAAUUUUAAAUAACAUUAUUUUUAAUUAGUAAUUAGUCAAAUUAUUUUUCAUAUUUUGAAUUAUCAUAUUAACAUAUGAUUAUUGUUUAUUACUUUGACAAAUCAAAUUAAUAUUUAAUUAAUCGAAGUUAUUUUUCUUCACAAGUUGUAAUAAAUAUUUUUUAAAACAAAAUAAUUUAAAAUUGAAAGUACAUAAAUUCUAAUUUUACUCAUUGAUUGAAGAAAUAAAUUAUACCAAAUAUGUCUAAUAAAGAUUGUACAACAUAACAUUAUAAAAUUAAAAUGUAACUAAUUACAAAAUUCUUAUAAAUAUUUACAUUGUCAUGCCUCCAUUAAACUUGCAGCAAUGCCAUCUCCCAAGAUUAUCAUAUUUUGAGCUAUGUUAUUAGUUGUAUCAUAACUUUCUUUAGGAGACGCAAUCCUGCUUAUAUGUUCGCUAUUACUAUGACUUGGUUCAUCCAUUGUUUCAUCAAAAUGAUCAUGAUUUUAUGAAUGUCUUCUUAUGUAAUUAUGUAAGGCCAUGGUAGUAAUAACUCUCUCCACCUGCUUCUUGAAUGUGUAGCUUGGCAUAUUUCGUAAAAUCUUCCAUGUGUUCUUUCAAACCCUAAAAGUACUCAUUAGAGUUAGCAUUACUCUCAACACUAAGAUAUUCAAAUGCUUCAUUACUCUCUAAAGGAAAACCAGAUGAGGGAAGCCAAACAUGCUCACUCAUAGCCACUGUGUUUGAACAUUAAAUUUAGGUUUUUUUUCUAACUCUAGAUCAAUACCAUUUUUUUUCGAAAUCUACUCAUUUGCAAAUUUUCCUUUAUUUUCUUUUUCCACCAAUCUUCACUUGCAUCAACUAUCCAUAACCUAUGAUUCCACCUUAGACCAAUUUCCAAGCUAAUCAAAUUCUUUCACAAUUUCCAAUCAGUUCUAAGAGAAUCCCAUUUGUUUUUCUUUUGAGUUCUAUUGUAAUCCGAUCCAGUUUCUUUAGUGGAUUCCUUAAUUAAAUUUUCAUAUGCUUCGGAAGUCACAUGAGUCCUAGGACGAUGUUCGGAUCCACCACCUUAAUACAUAACUCACAAAAUACAUAUGAAGUCUGAGGGUUCCAAAUAGCCUUACUAGUUGAGUUACUAGACAUAAUUGCGUACACUUAAACCUAGAAAAUAGAGUAAUAUUUCUUCAUCAAACAGCAAUAUAGGAAAGAGAUUAAUUAAGAGCAAUACCCAAUUUUCUUUUUAAAACAAAUAACAUUAAUUAAGGAUGAAUUAUGUCUAGCAGCAAGGAUGAAUUAUGUCUAACAUUACAUAACUUGUUUCAAAAUGAGUUGUUAGUUUAAUAAACUUGCGGGUUCCUCUAAUUACAUAACCUGUUUCGAAGAAAUUAAAAUAAUUUUUCUCAAUAGUUUAAAUUUUCUUUAGUUACCUUUAAGUGAAUCCUUUCAAAUUUGUGUGAAGCUGAAAUGAUUUGUUCAAAAACAUGUAUUGUUGGAAUCUAUAGGAAUUGAUUACUUGUUUGUUCACUACUAGAAAAAUGGGCUUUACUGACACUAAAUUAGUGUCAGUAAUUACUUUUCCUGACACUUGUUAAUUGUGUCAGUAAUGCUCCAGCCAGAACACACUGACACUAAUUUUUAGUGUCAGCGAUUUUUGUGUCAGUAAUUCAUGUCAUUAUGGUAUCACUAAAAUAAUGACACGAUAGCAUUAGUAUUUAAUGAUACUAUUUAGAUGUCAGUAAUUUAUGAGACUACAGUAUCAAGAGCACACUGACUCAAUAACAUCAAAAAUUAUUACUGUCAUUUUAAACAUUUAGUGUCAGUAUUUAGUGAUGUUAUGAUUCUUUUGGUUAAUAGUAUACUUUGAUUUUAAUUAUAUUUUCCUAUUUGUUUUACAACUGAAAGAAAACUCAAAAUAUAUUAAAUAUACAAAAUCUCGCAACACAAUUGCAUAAGAAACAUCUCAAAUACAUCACUUAAAUUCAUAUAAUUCAACUACAUCAUUGUUUGGAAAAGAAAAAUAUAAGUACUAAAUUAAGUCUUGGACAAGCUCUUAACAACCAAGUACUAAGUUAAGAUUCAACAAAUAUUAACCAACAGAAAGAAGCACAUAAUGUCAUUGAACAUCCACAAGCAGCUUCAUUGUUCUUUUCCCACCUACAAGUACAUAAAAUCAAUUAGUAUACCACAAAAAAUAAUUCUUGGAUUUUUGGGAGAAAAAACAAUCAGGCCAAUUUCAGUGUUCAAAGAGACUAACAAAGAAUGGGGCAAAAACAAUACAUAGCUCUCUUAGUGCAAGCUAAUUGUAAUAGGUAGUAUUGUGAAGAAUAUUUAUCUGCUAAGAAUUGAAUUUGAGUGGAUUUUCCUACAGAUCUAUACACAACUCAACUUAAGUAGAAUACAAAAAUAAAAAAUAAAAAAUCCUAAGGAUUAAGAAAGAUAAAUGGAGAUUUAUUAGUAUACAUCCAAAAUUAAAAACUCAUUAAACAAUCCAGGGGUAAAAAUUGAGGAAUAAGAAUAUAGCGUAUCUCAGGAUAAGACCAAAGACAUAAUAACAGAAACAUUUGAGGCAAACCACUACAAAGUUUUUACAUAAUAACCCAAAGCAAAGCAAACCAUUAUAAAAUUUUUACAUAAUAACCUAGAAACAAAACAGACGAAAAUUGGGCAAGUCCAUAUCCCAAACCUCUGUUAGGAAAAAUGUGUUCAGCAGACUCAUGGCUCCAACAAUAGAAAUUAACCCGCACACAAUGAAACAAAUUAAUUGAUAUAAAAAACAGUCAAAGACAAAGCCAACUAAGAAGAUUAACUAAUUUGGAGAUUGAAUUACAUAGUUAUUUUUACAAAAAUAUAGCAUAAGCCCAUUGUAUUUCAUAGUAAGCAACUGCAAAAAUGCCUAGAGGUAAAUUCAUAAAGAAACAGUAGAUAGAAGAAAAAAAAGACGAGGAAAUAAACAGCAUGAAACAAACAAAUCACCUAACACAUCAUGGGAAUUGACUUGUUAACGUUAAAGAGCAAAAUAAAACUUGGCACCUUCAUCCAAACAAGAACAGACGCUUACCCCUUACAGAGAAUGGCUUAGGUUUUUCGUUGGAGUUUGAGGCUGAUUUAUAAGAAUAUGAAGAAGAAAUGAUUGUUGAAGUUUGAUAGUGAUCAAGGAUUGAGUAUUGGGCUUAAAAUACAAAUUGGCAGUGAGGGCUAGUUUUCGAUCAUAAUGUUGAGAGACCACUAAUCCCCAAUACUUGUACCGUCUCACAUAAAAAUCCACAUUUAAUAAACAUGAACUAAAUCCAGUGUAUUGAGUGUUAUUAUUUAAUGGAACAUAAAAUCUCUGGGUCAAAUAAUUCUAAAGUUAAACCAACAAUAAUCCCAAAAGCUAAAGUUGAUAAGAAAGGCCCAACAGUAUACUUCUAUCACACAAAAUUUGAAGAUAGAAAAAAGAAGGGCCUUUUUUUUUUUAACUGAAACUGAAAAAAGAUUCAGUAUUAACAAUUCAAUAAUUUUAACAUUGAAAACUUGGUGUUUAUAUAUCCGAAUAUAAUUAAGCCAAAAAUUUUAAUUUAUCACUAAAUAGGAAAACAACUAAAUAAGCUGCAUAGUUUUAUUUUCCAAUAAAUGCUUAUAAUAUUUAUACCUAUCCUUCAUUAUUUAUUUAUUUUUUAUAGGAAACAGAGAAAUUAGUAUUAAUAUGAACAAUAAUUACAAAAUGUCAAAAAGGAGUCCACAAAAAAAGGCUAUUGAAGUAUCACACACCAAGAGAAGAAUAAAUAGAAAAAUAGAAAACACUGAGGCAUUCAAACCCUCAACAAUAAACUCAACAUAUCAACUUUAAACAAAUAGAUUCUUGGCUGUUCUUAGUGACAUUAAGAAACAAAUCAAAAGAAGGAAACUCCCCAGAAGAAUUAUAAUAAGUGAGAAGACAUAUUGUAAUUCUAUCAUCAAAGAAAGAUAAGCUUAAUCAUUUUUAAUUUUUUCUCAAAUAUCCAGUAGUACCUUAAGGUAAUAGGACAAGAUCGCUGAAGUUGUCAUGAAGAGUGUAAAGCACUAAAUAACAAAAAUUAUGCUAAUAAAUAAAACUCAAUUUAUUUUCUCCCUCAAUCAAUUGCUUUGAGCUUACUAUGAAUUCAACUAUGAAUUUGAGGAAAAAAUAUAGACCGCAGUUUGCCAACUUCUUGUUCAUGAGAUUCAGCCGCAGUAAAUGCAAACCUCCAUUUCUCGUCAAGCAUUGUUAACCUCUACGACAAAUUGAAGGUAAGAAGAUGAACAAAAUAAGUGUAAUGUGCAGGAAAAAAAUGAAGUCUAUGGGUACAACAACACUUCAAGAUUUUUCAAGUUCUAGUUCAUUUAAAUAGACAUUCCUUGAACUUCAGCAGCAAAGAAAGUACAUUAUAGCAACAAUUUCAAUUCAUUCCAAUCUUUAGAAUUUUUUAUUUUAAAAAAAUAAAUUCCUUCAAACUAGUGAAAGGAAAAUAAAAGUGUGUUUACAGAAGAAAAAUUAUGGAAUGAAUUAAUGACCAUGCAAGUGAGGAAACACAUAAAUUUCUGAAUAAGAGCGAAACUAACCGUGCAAAUGAACAAAGAAAAUGUAAGUCUUCAAGUGCUACAACAAGCAAAACUACCUAAAAACAAGCAUUUUCUUCUUGAAUUAAAGACAAAUCAUGAACUUUGUGCAAUCUCAAAACAUUCAGACAAGCAUGAACUUAGUUAAUUCAUAUCAUAGUCAUUGUCUCUAUUAAAAAUCUUCCAACUGAAAAAAAUAAAAAAAUAAACAUGUUGGUUUCUAUAACAUAAUUUCCUAUCUUUACAUGAAACAGAGCAAUAAAUAACACGUAAUAAUUAUGAAAUACACAGCCAUUCAAUCUAUAUAAUAUAGAAAUAUAGGAAAAAAAGAAAAAAAAAUUCAAAUUACAAUUAAAUAAACAAAAAAUAGAUAUGGAAAAGAAAUCCCACCAAGACUGCACUACUGGGAGAAUUUCUCAACAUCUGCAACAACCCAAAAAAUUAAAUUAACAAAAAACCCCAAUAAUCAUAAGCUAAAAUAAAACAAAUCUAUUAAUUAAUUUGACAAAGAAAAUAAAAUAUUAAGCCAUUACUAGCAGUUAAGCCUUAAUCAAGGCAACAUGUUUGCCCUUAAAGUCAUUGAAAAUCUCCUUCACAGGUCUACGUAUAAGGUGUGGUAUCCCUUCCAUAGCAAGAAAAUUAACUAAUUUCUCAAUAAUUUUAUUCAAAUUCAAGAAAAUGGGUUUUGAAUAUUGAACAAAAAAAAGAGAAAUUUGACCAUAAAAAGAAAAAAAAUUGAUGAAAGAAGCCUCGAUUACGGUUUUGGUCCGUUUUUCAAUUUGGGAAAAAAAAAGGAAAAAGGGAAUAAAAGCCUCACUUAGGGUUUUAGCUUUAUAUUAUCUAUUUGAGUUAAAUGAACGAAUUUGUGAAUGGACAGAAAAAAAAGGAAAGAGAUCGAGAAGAGAAAAAGGAAAGAGAAAGAGAAAGAGAAAGGCAAGAGACAGUUUUGGGUUUGAGUUUGGGUUAGAGAUUUGUGUGUAUAAAAGACAACGAGACGGGGACAAUUGCUAAGUUUGGGAUAUGUUUUACUUUCGUUUUACAUGUUUUAAAUUCUUAAUUUAGUACCUGCAGUGUCGAACCACUUGAACGGAAGUGACAGUGGCAACGGCGUGGGGGUGGGUGCAGCCGUGGGGGUUGGGCGCGGCCGUGGACGUGGGCGUUUGGGCCUUGUCAUUCGGCAUCUUUCACGAUAGAGAAGAAGAAGUCAAGAAAGGCAAGGAUAUUAUGCAGCAGCUGCAGCAUGGGCUCUAUUGCACAAUGGAAAAGGGGAAUUAGGGUUUGGUUUUUUAUAUGUUAAUAUUUUAUAUAACAUUGUAAUUCUAACUCAAUUUUAUGGGGUCCAGUGGUUUGCAAUCUAAACGUAAAAGUUUUGAGUUUUAGAAGUCGCAGGUUCGAGUUAAAAUCAAAACACAUUUUAAUGAUUUUUUUUAGAUCUCUGAUGCUGAAGUAUCAGUAAUCUCUAAUAUUUAAUUUACUGAUACAUUAGUAUUAAUAAUUUGUGACAUUUAUUUGUUAAAAGCAGAAAAUGGUGCAUAGUUAGGUAAUUACUGACAUUUUUUUCAAAGUGUCAGAAACAAAGUGUCAGUAAAAGUCAUUUUUGUAGUAGUGUCGUUGCUGCCUUUAAUGAUUUUUAUUAGGGAAAUUUCAUCAGAUAGGGAUUGUGCAUGUCUAUAAAACCAACUAAAAAAAUUAAAAAUGCAAUAAAGAUAGUGACUUCAAAGCAAAUAAAUCACACGUGACCAAUCACCUAUUAAUUUAUUCCAAGCAAAAGGCCCAGCACAUUCUGAACAAAAGGGAAGAAAAUGAAAAAUUACAUGUAACAAAGUAAAGGAAAACGCACCUUUCUUAGAUAUUUUGAAAACAAAGAUAGAAGAACAGAGGUGUAUGAAUAUGAUUGGUGUCAAAAUCGCGUCGAUGAGAAUAGCCGCUUUUGGAAUUGCAUCGAUGAGAACUGUCGAUGUUGGAAUCAUGCUAAUAAGAUCGGUGUUUAGAGUUUGUUUUAUGGAAAAAUCGAUUUGAGAUUAAGUUUAAAAAUGAGGUGGGUAAAAUUGAAAUUAAAUAAUAUGUAAGGAUAAUUUAGUAAUUUAAUACACAACUGAGAAAAAUUUCUGUUGAACUGCCAAAGCCCAACUACAAAGUGUUACUACUAAAAAUGAGGGGAUGAUAUAUGGAAAAAAAGAAGCUUCAUUUUAAAUUAAUGAACAAAAACAAUUUAAAGAUUUAAGAGAUCUGAUUUGUCGUUUCAUUUCACUAAAAUGUGGAUAGAUAAAAUUAGUUAUUGGGUGUGUCUUAUCCUAAAAUUAAUCUUUCACGAAGUCCUUAGAAACAAGAAAAUACUAUUACAUAGCUCGGAAAGUGUUAAUAGUUAUAGAAUUAGGCGUCUCUUACACAUAUGUCUUCCCAUGUAUAAAAGCGUUCGUAUGAAGUUAUGAAAUGGUGGAUUAUUAUACUAAACAAACGGCUCUUUCCCUUUCAAAAUUAUUGUACGUAUUUUGCAAGGAAACCUCCUCUACUUUGUUUCUUCCAAUUAAUGUCCGGUUAAGACUUCCGUGUGUCCAAUUAAUGCCAAUCGUUUUCGAAUGUGUACAGGAUAACAACUUGAAGACUUGAGAGGGCCAGCGUUAAUUCAAAGUCAAGACUCAAGACUAGGUUGUUACCCUGCAGGAUUCUUGAUAGUGAGGUGAAAAAACAAAAAGUUGAAGGAGAUUAGGAUUUAAUGCUGAGUUUAGUUUUUAUUGACCACUAAGUUAAUGAUUAUAAUUUAUUUUGUACUUUUUCUUUUAUUUAUCUUAGUUAAUAAUUAUUUAUUGAGAUUCUUGUCCAAUUGAAAGAUACUAGAGAAAAGGGUUUUAAAACUUUAGUUAUUUUUAUGUAUAAAACAAAAAAUUUAAAUUAUUAAAAGAAAAAAAAAUGUAAUUUUAAGAGACAUCUUUUAAGGUUUGACAUAUUAAUAUUUAGAUAAAAAAUAUGCCUCUAAUUACAGAGAUCUUCCCGCCGUCUAUACUCAGUUUCGUAUAUUGUCAGCUAGGAGGGUAAAUUAGUAAAAGCGCAUUUAAAAUUGAAAUAAGUAAAAAGCUAAUUUGAAGAUAAGCCCACUGAAACACUCAAAAAAUCCCGAUGAAAAUCAGUUACCACUAACUAGAGGAUGGAUGAAUGCUUGCUCUCUUUCAUCAACCUAACUCAUCACAAAACCAUUUUCUCUUUCAAUCAACCGAGGCCCACAUGCACUCCUCAUCUCUAAAUGCUUUGAAGAUGAAAAAAAUCAGAUUUUUAUUGCCAAGUUCCGCAACUUUAGCUUAGAUUUAUUAACAAGAAAAGCAUCGAUGGUGGCCUAAGGGUGGUGUCAGGUGAAAAUAGCUGACUAUUCGGCGUCGGACAUGACUGUUAUUGACUUGAAUUCAAAGAAGGUUAGUCUUUGAAACAAUUUUGGAUUUAAUUUUUUUUUUGUUUUAAUAUGUUUUAUAUUUUAAAAUAAAAUUGAAAUUUUAUUUCAUUUUAAUCAUAGAUUGUUUUUUUUUUGUUUGAAAAUGAAAAUGGGCUGAAGUGUUGGAGAACAGUUGGCAUUGUGUUGUUCAUAAAAAAAAAAGAUAUCAAAUUGUUGAUGUAUUAGAGAAGAUGCAUGUUGUUUGUUACUUUCAGACCGUAGCUAUUUGGAUUUUUCAAGUUAAGAGCUAAUCAUAACAUAUGUGUUGGAAAUUAGUGAUUUUUAUGUGACUUCUUUGUCAAAUGAAAAUGGGUUAGCACUGUUAUGAAGAAUAUGGAUGCUAUUUGGAGGAAUUAACUUCUUAACAUGUGCUUGAACUAAAAAUACCAAUGCAUAUUAGAAAUUAGUGAAGUUAUAUGCAUUAAUAAUAUUGGAAAUAAGGGUUUGUUUGUGAUGCUUUAAAGAAGCUGAAAAGGGUAUUGCUUGUGCUCCUUAAUAUGGAGAAUUUUUAGUUGCUUGAUAAAAAAAGCAUUAGUGACAAAUAAAAUGAAGAAAUUUUGGAUGAUGUUUGUGUAAAAGAUUUAAAUUAUUUAUUUUAUUGAAGCUGUACUGUGUUUUUAUUUGUGAUUUAACCAUUAAAACGGCUCUGUAACAUUGAUUAGAGGCUGCAUGUGCUCUUUUUAUAAAAAAAGUAGUGGCAUUCCUAAGUGGAGUAAUGAGAUGCUAAGAUGGGAAUGUAUGAAUAUUUAAUUUUGUUCUUGCUUUAAACUAUGACUAUAAAUCCUAAGUCUUCUAAAAUGAAACUCAAUUAUGCUUUUAAGAUGUAAAAAGGCAUCAUUGCCAUUUUUAAGUGACUUUGAUAAUGCUUCAAAUGGAAGUUCGCAUUGGUUUGUCAAAAUCUUUUGUUAAGCAGGGUGAAAUGAUUCAAUUUGCAUUGAAUAUGCGAAAGUUUCUAAGCGAAUAACUUGUGGUCUCAUGUUAUUUUUUUUCAGAUGAUGCUCUAGUGGAGGUCGAAAAGGAAAAGAGAGUCUUUGUUAAAAAAAAAAAAAGCAGGGAACAAAUAUGCCUUUCUAUAAUUGUCUUCCUUUUAACAUGUAUGUCAGGAUUGGUGUGCAUAAAUGGCCUUUAUUGACUAAAUAAUAUAAUCAUGAACAAGUAAAAAUAUAAUUUUUUUUAGUACUUUUCCUACUGAUCAUAUGUGAAUUGAAUCAAUUGUGUUGAAAAUGUUGAUCAAGGCAAAAAAGCUCUCAGCCUUUGCUACAUUCGAAAAUAGCAAGAAGGAAUUUUGUAAGCCCAAUUGAAAAAGAUUGAGGUAACCUGUCUCUUCUUAUUCUAGAUUCUUUUUUUUUUCUUUGUUUUACUUCCCAUUUCAUCUUCAACAAAUCUAGUAAUUGGCAGGAAAUAAUUGGAAGGAAAGAAGGCUGAAUAUGCUGAAAAUCUAAAAAAUAAGGCAGCUAUACGUCACAAAGAAAUAGAAGAGAAAAGGGCAACGGUUGAAGUUAGUGGUGGAGAUUGAAUUCUUAAGUUAAAGGAGAUGGUUGAAAAAAUCGGUGUAACUAAGAGCAUUUUAAUGAUCAAUGGAAUUAAACAAAUGUUAACAAUAGGUUGUUGUCUAUUAGAUAUACCAAAUUUGACUUUGAACUGUUGUAUUAUGUUAAAUUUCUAAAUUUUAUUUCACUGUAUAGUAUCGCUAGCCCUAGUUUCCCUACGAUAUUUUUUUUUUACAAUUGAUGAAUAUUUGAUGUCAAAUUUUUAUUUCCCAAGAGUGGUAAAGUGUAAUGAUUAAUUUGAUAUUUAGUACUACUAAAUUUUUAAAUUUUAGUUCACUGUAUACUAUCGCUAGCCCUAGUUUCCUAGUAAUUUUUUUUACUUUUAACAAUUGAUGAAUAUUUGAUGUCAAAUCUUUGUUUCCCAAGUGUGUUAAAGUGUGAUGAUUAAUUUGAUAGUUAGCAAUAAGGCUGUUUAGGUCUUUUCUCAAAUCAAGGGUAAUUUUUACAUAUCACUAGUCAACUAACAUUCAAGGAAACUGAGUACAGACAGUAGGGGAGGUCUCUGUAAUUAUGAUUAUACUUUCUAUUUAAGUGUCAAUAUGUCAAAUCUCCGAGGAGGUCCCUAAAAAUUAUCCAAAAGAAAUCGAGACUUUGAGCUGGUUUGGAACAAAUUAUAUUUUCAAUUGAAAUUGAAAAGAAGAAAAAAAAAUAUAUAAGAGAGGUUUUAUAAGAUUAAUGAAGGGGUUCCAAUAAUCCAAUAUUUUCACAAUUUUUUCUUUUAAGUUUUAUUCAUCACCCCAUAGGCCCAAUUUAUUUUCGUUAUUAUGUAGGUGUGGUGUUACUAGAAAUCAAAUGUUGCCUUUUUUUCUUUUUCUUUUUUUCCUCUCCUCUCCUCACUUAUGGUGGAAUGUGGAGAAUUAAACAAAACCAAUAUCCUAAUAUAUAAUUAAUAUUUUGAAAUGACCCGCCCCGAAUCCCCCUAAGCAAGUCUAUCUAGUCUCAUCAAAACAGACUUGAUAAAAAUUCUAUUAGUAAAGAUUCUGCCAAAAAUUCGGCAGAAUCUCCUUUAUAUAUAUAACACUCCCAAUCUAUAAAUAUGAAUAUAACACUCCCAAUACAAUUCAAUAUACAACAAACUCCAGUGAUUAACAUCCUCAACUAAAAUGCUGAGUUUUAUAUCUCCAGAGUCUCAAAAGAUAAUAUUAUAACUAAUAUUAAUAUAUCAGUUUAUUCUUAAUCCCAAAAGAAUAGUAUAACAAAAUUAUACAAUCCCAACAGAACGAGAUAACCAAGAUGUCCUAACAAAAACAUUUAUAUCUUCUAACACCAUCACGUGGCCAAGACUCAAAAUAUAUUUACAGUCGCUGGGUCGGUCUGGUGUACCUGCAACCUCCUGGUGAGGGAGGGAAAAUAUAAUAAAAACGAGGUGAGUUUAAAACUUAGUGAGAUCAGUGAGUGGAUAGUAGUUUUGAAAAUUAAUUCUUACUUUAAAAGAAAUAAUCAUAUCAUUUCCAAACACGAUUUCAUUAAACCAUAAGCGAGAAACCAGUAAUAAAUCAUUAAACAUUUAAAUCAGAUUACUAACCAUGGAAAUCAUAUCACAAUAUCAUAUAGAAUUCACAAAUCUGAAAAUCAUCGCCAAACAAGUACCCAGGGAAAUAAUCUCGUCAUAUCCGAAUCUCAACGGAUGGGCAAUGAUGUACUAUCUGGGUAACGUCACGCCCCGGAGCUACACGGAUAGAUAGGGAAAUCUCAUAUCUCAUCAUAUCUGUGCAUGCAUAAUCUAGUCCCCAAGGGACAAAAGCGCCCAAGCACACGGCCCAAAACCUCUGUGUGUACUCAGACGGGCCCCAAAGGCCUAUAUCUCAUUUGUAUCAUAUGUAUUAUUUGUAUCAUAUGUAUUAUUUGUAUCUCAAUAUCUGUCUGUAUCUCAUAUCAGUAUAUCUGUAAUCAUCAUACCGCAUGCAUAUGGCCCCAAAAGGCAAAAGCACCCAAACACACGGCCUAAAGCCUCUAUGUGUCAAAGGCCUCUCAUCUCAUCUCAUCUGUAUCACUGUAUCUGGAGGGAAGGGUACUGUCUAAUGAUUUCAAAAACAAUCAUUAUACUCAUUCACAUACCUCUUAACCAUAUUUUAAAUCAUACCACAUUUGAAUCCACUUUUCUUAUCUUUAAAAUACUAUCAUGCUUAUUCAAAGUCGAUACGCAAAAUCAUUAACCAAACAUUUUAAUAAAAUAUCAAUGCGUGAAUAAAAUCCAUUUCGAGAAAUCAUUAAAUCAGAACAUUUAAAAUACUUAUUUCGCAAACAUGCUUUACUAUCAUCGCUAACUAUGAAAAUAAGUUUUGUAUAUUCCACUCACAGUGACGGUGUUCACGGUCGGUUAUCGUCCACGUCCGCGGACCGGUUCUCGCUCGCAAAUCCUCCUAAAUUAAGGAAACGACAUAAUUAUUUUCCGUAAAUCGGAAUUAUGACUAAAUUUUAUGCAAUAAACUCGAAACGAACAUCUAUCCAUAAUUUACAACUCCUGUGUCCAUAAAAUUUCUAAAAUGCCCUUGAGUCCGUAGAUCAUUAACAUGCUCUGAAAUCGUAAAUCACCGAAUUACCCUCGGAAUCGUAAUUACACCCAAUCCUCAAUUCUAGGAAUUACUAAAAUAUCCACAGGCUCAGAAAUUACAAAAUUGCCCUCAUAGUGUGAAAUUACCAAAAUGCCCUUGCCGAUCAACGGUCACCGGAAUUUGGUCAACACUGGCUAGGAAGCUCAAAUCUUAAAGUUCCAAUCACGCUGAGUUCAAUGGUACCGACGGUGAGCUCCAACGCGCGGCAACGACGCCGGAAUCUAGCUCGGCAGCCGUGAAUUCCAAGAAUCGACCGGCGGCAAAACAGUGACUCUCGGUGCCUAUGAAUGGUCGGAAAUGGAAGAGGGAAUCGUGGGGAACAAAAUCCAACUGGUGGUGUCACCCAAAACCGGCGAAAAUCCCGGCGGAGUAAAGUGAAACAGUCGCGGGUUUCAAGCUUCGAUCUCCGGUGUUCCGGUUGGUUUUCGGCGGAGAGGAUGGCAUGGGAACGACGGUCGGCUUCUAAGCUUCAGAUUGGUACCAAGCUCGGCCAAAACGGUGGCCGGAAAUGGGAGAUAUGGCCGGGUCACGUUCGCAGGUCAGGUCGGGUUUUUUCGGGUCUGUAGUUGGGUUGGUUUGGUAGCUUCUCUCUCACUCUCUGUUACACGUGCAUAUGUUUCCUUUGUUUCUAGCUUAUUCUUUUACUUAUAAAAUCCUUAACCGCCUCAUUUUCAUUUUAAAUUCACAUAUGUUACAUAUUUAUUAACAGAUUUCAGAAAAAAUUAAUAUUUUAAAAUAUUGCAAACUGCCAAAAAGUCAAACUUUUAUUUGCUACAUAAAUAUAAUCUAUUUUAGAUAUCAAUAUCAAAUUUGUUAGGUUAAAUUCUAGGUUCAAAUCUUAGCAGGCAGAAGUUUGAGUUAAAUUGGUAAAUGAAUUAUUUUUUAAUUAAUUUCUUCUUUUUGAUUUUGAAAAAAACAUUCGAGAGAAAGAGAGGAAGUUGAAACUGAAGCCGAAUCAACUGGAGCAGCAUCAAGCAUCUUUUGAAAUUCUUCUACAUGCUGCUUUUUUUCAGCUUUUGUUUUCAAAUGUUAUUGAGGGCAAAUAAAGUCUGUAUGCUUGAUAUUGAACAUAAUUUUUAACAAAUAAAAACUAACACUGACGUUGUGCCAAAGAAUUUGUUUCUAGCUUAACUGGGCCCAUUUAGGAUAGCUAAGAUAGCUGCGCUGCCAAACAGGGCUUUGAUUUCAUUGCUAUAAGUAUUUAUCAAGUAUUUUUAAUAGAUUUUUUUGGGUGGGCUGAAUGGUUAAGUAAAUUAAUUAAAUGGUUUAAAUAAGGAUAUUUUUUUAUAUUUUAAAAAAUGUACGUAUUAAAAUUUUAUAUAUUAAAUAUACAAAAUAAUAGAAUGUUUAGAAUAAUUUUUAGACAGCAAGCAGCCCUACUCAUUUUAUUAAUCAAGACUUAAGUGUCACUAAACUAAACCUCCAUAUUCCAAAUCUAUAGAAAAAAACGAGAAAAGGUACCGAAUGCAAGCGAUCUGCUGUUCAUCAAUAUUAUCUGGUGCUGUUGCAGAUCAUUUUGUUAUUCUGGUCCAUCAAAGCAUCAAAACAAUUUGUCUGUGAAAACGAUUGUGGAAACGUGUAGAUGAUAUUCCCCUUUGGAAUUGGAGAAGGGUGCCACUUUGGUAAGAGUUAUCACGUAAUAUUCACUCUUCUGGCUCUCCCAAAGGUUUUCAUCCUAGUAUCAAGACGGAAUAUCGUACCGUUACUCCGUAACUAAAACUGGAGCAACAUUCCUAUAGUUUCUAUACACAGUGCUAUUGCCACAAGCAAUAAUAUUGCUAGAGCAGUCAAUAUAUAUGGUAGUCCUUUUACCUUUCCCUGGGGGCUCAAUAAAUUUACAGCCAUAGGCUGUGACAAUUAUGCAAUUAACCUGGACAAUGAUAAUGAUUCAGCUGUGCCUGUAUGUCUGCACUUGCGAUCCUUCUCAGAAAAGUGGUUGCUUUAUUUGUUCAGAGUAAAAUUUGGAAUGUAAAAAAUUCCAUCCAAAACUUUAUCAUCGAACAAUUUGUAUGAAUUCCUGUAAGGAAUACGUUGGCAUAUCACAGAAGCCCAAUUACAAAUACAUCCGCAAAAUAUCUACCAAAGAUAUUUCAGCAAGCUUGUCAAGUAGUGGGACAGGGAAUGGCUCUCUGUUCCUGAGGCAUGAAUUGACGUCCUGCCCAUCGUCCCCCUUUGCCUCCCCACCAUACAAAUAACAAAUGAAAAUUAGGCCAAUUAAAUUAAAGGCAAGACGGGAUGGAAAUAUGGAAUCGUUGAUUAUUAUACCCAUGACCCCUCUAAUUAAUGGUUCUUUCCCUUCGAUAUUAUUGUACGUGUUUGGAAGGAAACCUCCUCUAUCUUUUUUUCCAAUUAAGACUAUUGAAUGUCCAAUUAAUGUAAAUUGUUUUUGAACGUGUAGAGGAUAACAUGACAAUGCGGAGACAUUUAAAGUUGAUUGACAGAAUGAACAAAAUAUCCUAAAUAAUGAGGCUAAUUGAAAAAUUUUUAAAUUAACAAAACUAGAGUUUUAGAUCUUUUUAUAUAAUAACUUUAAAUAUAAUAAAAUUCUCUUAAUCUGAAUAAAAAAUCCAAAACAAAUAGUGCUCAAAUCUAUUAUUUAGGGAAAAAAAGAAAUUAGAAAAAAUAGAAGAAUAUCUUAAAAAUCGAAAAAUGAUAAGGAAAGAAAUAAUUUUUCAGGCUCAAGCAAGGCCCAAAAUGGCAUAAGCUUUGUAGGCUUGAUUUGUCUUCUCGCAAACUUUAAAACGAUAUAUUAUACACUCAAAACAGACACAUGUAGCCUAAGUUAUACCCUUUGGAAAGUACCCUUCUCAUCCCACACACCCAUCAUACAGUAGUCCCUCUCACUUGGAAAAGAACUUGCCCUCGAGUUUGACUUGUACAAUGCCUCAUCAUCUAGAUGAUAUUUAAAUAGAUUAGCCAUAUUGAAUGUGUAAGAGAUCUUCUAGUUGUCCGGCAGUUAGAGCACAUAAGCAUUAUUAUUAAUCUUCCUUGCCACACGAAACGGUCCAUACUUGAUGUGGACAUGCAUCACUUUCCCGUGUCGAUGCAUGUUCACAUCGACCUUGUACAUAGCGUUUGCAGCCUCCAAAUGAGCUCGUUCCUUGACAUGAAUCUGUAGAGCUCUUUUUACCACAUUAUUCACUAUUUUACUCCCUCCAGUUGCUAUGGGCAUGAUAGCUAAAUCAUAAACAUGGGGUAGGGAACAAGUGUAGACAAUCUCAAAAAGGGUCUUACCACCAUGUUAUUGAAAGCAAACUUGACUUGAGGCAAGAUAGUUUCCCAAUUCCGUUGCUUGUCACCACAAACAUAGUGCAACAUGUUAACCAGAGUGCGAUUAACCACAUCCAUUUGACCAUUUGUUUGCUAAUGAAAAGCACUACUAAAUUGUACUGAACUUAUCCUAGAGAUGAUGCCAAAACUUACUGAUAAACUUCACAUUCAUGUCAGAAGUAAUAGUCUUUAGCAUACCAUACAAACUUACCACUUCUUCAGAGAACAAAUGCGCAGCUAAAGCAGCAUCUUUAGUAUUCUUGCAAGCAAUAAAAUGCAUGAUCUUUGAAAACCUGUUGAUCACAACCUAUCAAUUUGUUCCCUUAGAAUUUCGAGGCAUAUAUAACUAAUUAGAAUUGAACAGAUACCCAUCUUGAAUAAGGAAAUCUUUUACAUUUUGAUGAUUAAUGCAUCGAUCUUAAAUAUGCGCAAAGUCUUCAUCCUUAGCGUACAACUCCUUCAAGCAUUCAAAACCAGUACCUUUAAUGACGAGAGUAGUAAAGUUGCUCGCCUACUGAGUGCAUCUGCUAUCUUAUUAUGUUGCCCAAAUUUAUACUUAACAAUAAAAGUGAACUUUUACGUAUAGCGCACCCAUCUUGCAUGCAUCUUGCUCAGAUAUUGCUGGUUAUUAAAGUACUUGAAUGCUUGAUGAUCACUAUAAAGUACGAACUCUUUAUGAAUCAAGUAAUGCUCCUAUGACUUCAACACCCUAAGGAUUUGAUAAAAUUCUUAGUCGUAAGUAGACCAUUUCUGUUAUAUUUUAUUUAACUUCUCACUCAUAUACCUAAGUAGUCGUCCCUCUUGAGAAAUAACAGCCCAAUACUAUUACCAUAAGCAUCACAUUCAACCUCAAACAACUUGAUGAAGUUUAGUAAGGCUAACACAGGAGUAGUAAAAAAAUUCUCUUUUAAUAAAACAAAACUGCACUCUGUAAUAAGUGGGGCUAUGUUACUAAAACUAUAAAUAAAUCUCUUAUAAAACAUCGUCAACCCAUGAAAACUCCUAACUUCACCCACUAUCUUCGGCAUAGGCCAUUCAUUAAUGGCUUGUAUCCUCGACUCAAUAACUCGAAUCCUAUCUACAUCAGUUAUAAAACUAUAAAUUCCACAUUACUCUACAGAAAGCUACACUUCUUUAGAUUAAUAUAAAGUUUAUUUUUUUUUUGCAACAUCUUUAUAAUCAUUCUCAAAUGUUCUAGGUGUGCCACUGCAUUAACAAAAUAAACUAAGAUAUUGUCAAAAUUCACCACAAUAAAUUUGCAGGAAAAAGACUUAAGAACUUGAUUCAUUAAGUGCAUAAAAGUGCUUAACACAUUAGACAACCGGAAUGGCAUAAAAUACCACUCAUACAGCCCUUUUUUUAAUUUUAAAUGUUGUCUUCCACUCACCAUCAGGCCUAAUUAUGAUAUUAUGAUAUUAUGAUAUCCAUUACACAAAUCUAUCUUUGAGAAAACCCGAGCAUCAUUUAGUUGAUCUAAUAACUCUUAAAACGUGGAAUAAGAAAUCGAUUCUUCACUAUAAUAUGGUUAAUUAGCAUACUAUCUGUAUAUAUAUGCCAACUCUCAUCCUUUUUCGAUACCAACAAAGCUAGUAUAGUACAUUAACUCAUGCUCUCAUGAAUGAAACCUUUCCCUAACAAUUCAUCAACCUACCCUUGUAAGAUCACAUGCUCGUGAGGGCUCAUACGAUAAUGAAGCAAGUUAGGUAAACUCGCACCAUAUCUCAUAAAGGUGGCAGCCCAUCCAACAACUUUAAUGGUCUAAUAUCAACAAACUCAAUUAAUAAUGGCUAUACUUUUUUCAAGAACAAUCUUCACCUUUAAUUCUUCUUUUUUCUCUAGCUUCUAGCAAUCAUCGCAAUCAUCCUCUUGAUGAUUUUUAACAACCUUAGUAUUCUUCUUGUUGUUCGUUAAAGGCAUCAACGAACCUUCUUGUUAUUUCACUAAAACUCAUACACAUUAUCCUCUCUUCUAUACUGUAUCAACAUCAAAUUACUAAAGUCUACCAAAUAAUAGAUGGCACACAUCCAUAUUCUUUACAUCGCUCAACACAUCACUCUUAUAAAUCUUCCCAAUGGAGAAAAGAACACGACGGUCCUUUAUUACUUGCAUUUUUGUCUCUCUAUUUAUCAAUCAUAUUCUGUUAGAUACUGGAUUUUUUUGGUUGAAAGUCCUAUCAUGUCAAAUAGCACCUUUGAAAAUAUGUUCUCGCUAUUGCCACUAUUAAUUAUAAUGUUGUACACCUUAUCGUUGAUAGUGCCACAUGUUUUAAAAAUCUUAUUGCGCUGAUUAUCCUCUUUAAAUUUUCAAUGAUAAUAAAAUCUUCUAUAUAAUACAAUUUAGUUUCUCCUUCAUUUGCUUUCAACUCUAAAGCUUCUUUGGCAUCCCCAUUCUCAACGUCGUUCAGCUCUGUCUUGCUGACUUUACCCUCUACUAAAUUCAAAAUUUUAAAAUGAUAGUUACUCGAUCGAUGGCCUAGCUCCCUACACUUCAAACACUUGUCCAGCAUAGGCUUCACUAUAAGUGAUUGUAUCUACUAUCUCAUCUUAUAUCUCUUGUUUUAAUCUGCCAAUAUAUUUCGUAACUAUUCAAAAUUCUGGCUCAUCCAUAUUAUUUUGAGUGUGUAGACAAUAAAAUUCGUUUAUAUAUUCAUUGACACUAUGAUUUCCUUACCUGCAGUUCUGAUAUUUAAAACUGCUGCCAGUAUUCUACUGGCAGGAAAUACUCUCUCAUCAUCCUUUGCAUUCCAGGCCACUAUUUGAUAAUUUUUUUUGCAACUUUUCUUUAAUUAUGUAUGUAUUGCCAUUAUGCAGAAGCUGGACAAGCUUAAUUCACUUCUCUUGAGGAAUCUCCAUAUACUCGAGAAAAUUAUCCACUUGUGAUAUCCAGUCUAAAAAUUUUUCAACAUGCAUCCCACCAAAAAAAUUCAGAAUAUUAACAUUAAUCUUGUAAUCUAAACUCUUUUUGGGCCCCUAUCAUCCUCCAUAUAUUUUUCUUCUUCUAAAUCGUUUCUUAGCUCCUUACGCACGUGUACUGGUAUUCAUCACGUAGGACCUAAAUUUUGAGGUACUACUUCAUGAUUGAUGCCUUGAGGUUUUAUUUCAUGACCGACCCCUUGAGGUAUCUCCAUGUAGUUGUAAUCUUCAGGUUGUACACCACGAUUGACUCUUUGAAGUUCUUCCUCGUGAUUAACUUUUUGUUGUUGACCUCUCUUUCUGUUUUUGUUCAAGGAAAACUUAAGACUCAUAAUUGUCUUGCUCUAUCACCACUAAUCCCGAGUUAUAAGCUUCCUCAAUUGCUUCCAAGGUUGCUUCUCGAGCCGCCCGUUUCACAGCCUCCACAGUCUUUGGCUACAUCCCUUUGUUAACAUGUAUGUGUCUAUAAUAAUGAUUUUGAUGAUAACAAACAAGAUUAAGAAUGAUUAAGUUUUUAAAAGCUCAAGUUAUUUUUCAUACAUUUUAAAUAAAUCAUUAUUUUCAUAUAAUAAAGGUUUUUUUUUCAAAGAAAACGUGAUUUCAUGAAAUUGGUUGUUUUUCAAGCUCAUGGUCUAAUUGAAAAAAUUUUGAGAACUUUGAAAUCAACAAGUAUUGCUUAAAAUUCUAAAAAUGGACUUGUUUGAAAAGUAUCAUAAAGUUUUGGGCCAUAGUACAAGUAUAUAAAAUUUUGGGGCAAAAAUAUAAUUUUAGAAAAUAGUUUCAUUGUAGCAGUCGCUGUAGCAAAUAGCUAGCUGUUUGGAAGAUAACAGCUAACUUACAUUGAACAGAAUUGAAGAUUAGUGUUUGUAUACUAACGGCAAACCGACUUCUUGAAAAUGGUAAAUCGACAUCUUCUUUGCAAGUUACUGGACGAUAAUGGCGAUCCGACAUUUCAAUAACGGUGAUCUGACAAUUUGAAAUUCUGUCUAAUGGUAACUUGCUCAAGUCAAAACGGCAAUCCAACUUCUAUUUAACGUUGAUCCAACUUCGAGUAAAUUAUCUCUAACGACUAUUCUUCAGCUCAAACUAUAAAAAGGCUCAUUUAAACACAAAUAAUAGUGAUUGCAACUACUAUCAAUGAGCCAUGUAGAUGCUGUGGUUCAAAACGAAAAUAGAAGAGUGUGGAGAUGUACCAGUAUUUAUGGCCAUCCAAAAUUGACCUAAAAGCACCAUACUUGAACUCUCUUGAAAAGGUUAGCAGCUCUCUCUUUUCACCCCUGGUGUUGCUUUGGAGACUUCAAUGAGAUUUUGUAUUUGCAUGAGAAAAAAAGAGGGAAUGAUAGAAACCGAAAUGUGAUAGCUGAUUUUAGAGAAGCUGUCCAAGCUUAGAAUUUGGUUGAUAUUGGGUAUCACGAGUAUCCUUAUACAUGGUUGAAUAGGAGAUUUGGCCCUCACCACAUAGAAGAGAGGCUAGAUAGAUUCCUGUGCAACAAGGAUUGGUGUGAUAAUUUUCAAGCGUCAACAACAAUUAAUCUGGUGAAUUGGGUUUCAGAUCACUACGCAGUUGUUUUUUAUUGUAAUGAGAGAGGUAGAAACAAAAGCUAGAGGAAACAACAUCCCACUCGAGAGCAUUACGAAGACACGUGGAGUCCCUAUAAAGACUGUAAGAGAAUAGUUAGUGAAGAAUGGGCUCACUAUGGAGAGAAAUCUUGGGAGAAUCUGGCGCAACAAUUCCAAAGGGUAGCUAAAAAUUCUUUAGCUCAGCUCAAGUUGUGGAGUAAAGAUGAGUUUGAAGGCAACCAAAAAAAAACAAGAAAAGCUUAUCAAACAGCUGGAGAACCUCAGACAGAGCAACGAUCAAAUGAGGGAAGGGCUGAAAUUAGAAGAAUUGAGAAUCAAAUUAAUAACAUGCUGAUUGAUAAAGAAGUCUAUUGGAAGUAAAGAUCAAGGGCUGAUUUGCUUAGAUAGGGAGAUAAAAACACCAAGUUCUUCCACUCCAAUGCUUCAGAUCGGGGGGUAGAAAACAAUCAAGGCCAAUGGACAGCGAAGCAGGAUGAAGUCGAGAGGGAGUUCUGCAAUUAGUUCCAAAGCUUAUUGACAUCAUCCAGCCCAACCUACAACCAAAUUUAAGCUGCCUUAGAGAAACUUCCAGCAAAGGUCACCCCAGAGAUAAACGCCUAUCUGGAAGAGCCUUUCAGUCUUGAGGAGAUUGUCAAAUCUCUAUCUCAGAUGCCGCCCACAAAAGCUCCAGGCCCUGAUGGACUUCCUGCUGCUUUUUUCCAAAAGCACUGGAAAUCAGUUCAUAAAGGAGUGGAAGAGACUUGUUUAUACAUCCUUAAUGAGCAAGGUAACCUCGCUCCUCUAAAUCAUACUUUCAUUGCUCUUAUUCCUAAGACAAACAAGCCAAGGAAAGUCUCUGAGUUUAGGCUAAUCAAUCUCUGCAAUGUAGUGUACAGAAUAGUUGCCAAAGUUAUUGCAAAUAGACUGAAACCAAUACUCUCCCAAAUUAUCUUCCCCACCCAGAAUGCCUUUAUUCCAAAUCGGAUAAUUACGGACAAUGUGAUAAUUGGCUAUGAAUGCAUGCAUAAGAUCAGAAGCAGUAGAGGGAAAAGAAAGGGUUUGGUAGCUCUAAAGUUGGAUAUGAGUAAGGCAUACGAUAGGAUUGAGUGGCCUUUUCUGAAGCUCACAAUGGCUAAGCUCGGCUUCUCUCAAAAGUGGGCAAAGUUGAUAAUGAACUACAUACAACAACAGCCACCUUCUCAGUCUUAAUCAACGGCAGUCCCAAAGGUUUUAUCCAACCUGAGAGAGGUCUGAGAUAGGGCUGUCCCCUUUCCUAUUAUUUAUUUAUUUUGUGUGCUGAGGUUUUCUCAAAUUUAUUGCUCCAAGCAGAGAAAAAUCAGCUGAUCAGGGGCUUGAGGUUUGCCAAAGAAGUCACAAUUUCUCACAUACUGUUUGCAUAUGAUAGCCUUAUCUUCUCAAGGGCUACAAAAUCCGAUUGCAGGCACUUGAAGAGAAUAUUUGACUGUUAUGCUAAAGCCUCUGGGCAGAUCUUUAAUUUUGAAAAGUCAUCUAUGGUGUUUAGUGGCAAAGUGCCGAACAACCAGAUUACAGCAAUCAAAGAUAUCCUCAACUUAAAGGUAGUCUUCAGCCAUGAAAAAUAUCUCGGCCUCCUAUCCAUGAUAGGCAGAAAGAAAACCAAUUUUUUCAAGGACAUCAAGCUGAAAAUCCUGAGUAAAAUUUCAAGCUGGUAUCACAAGAUGUUCUCAAGUGGUGGGAAUGAAACUCUUAUUAAAGCGGUAGCCCAAGCAGUCCCAGCCUAUGCCAUGAGCACAUUUAAGCUUCCAAAGAGCUUAUGUGAAGACAUACAAAGAGCCAUUGCAAAGUUCUGGUGGGGAUCUAAGGAGGAAAAACAAGGCAUCCAUUAGGCAAAAUAGAGCAGACUCAGCCGUGCAAAGAGUAGAGGGGGUAUGGGAUUUAGAGAUCUCUUCAGCUUUAAUCAAGCUUUGGUGGCCAAACAAGGCUAGAGGUUGAUGCAGUAUCCUAACUCUCUGGUUUCCAAAGUGCUGCAGGCACGAUAUUACAAAAACUCCACCUUCUUAAAUGCAAGCAUAUGAUCCAACCCAUCUUAUAUAUGGAGGAGUAUCAUAUGGGGGCGGCAAAUCAUCAAGGAAUGAGCUAGAUGGAGAAUAGGUAAUGGUAAAAAUAUUCGGAUUUACAAGAUUGCUGGAUUCCAAGACCAACCUCUUUCAAGCCGAUAUCUCUACCAAGCUUGUCUACAGAUGCUAUCGUGGCAGACUUGAUAAACGCAGAAAACCAAUGGGAUGUGGAAACAUUAAACCAGCACUUCAUGCCAUCAGAUGCCGAUUUGAUCUUGAAGAUCCAUUUGCCACAUAGGCAAUCCGAAGAUGAAUUAAUGUGGCAUUUUGAUAAGAAAUGAGAUUAUUCAGUGAAAAACGGCUACCAAAUAGCUUUAAAAAUAAAUCUUCCAGAAGAGCCUGGCUGCUCAGGAAGCAAUUCAAACCAAUGGAAAGGAAUAUGGUCUCUUGCUUUGUCCGAAAAGAUUAAAAUUUUCUUAUGGAGAGCUUCAAUAACCUGCUGCCAACAGCUGAGAAUUUGUGGAGGAGAAAAAUCAUUCAAGAUCCAAUUUUUCAAAGGUGCAGAAGGUCCAUUGAAUCAAUAAGUCAUGCGCUCCUAAUCUGUAAAUCAGCAAAGAAAAUCUGGAACCAUGCCCCUUUUCCAGUGAACAAACAUGAAUUUUAUUCCCAGGACAUCUUCACUAUCAUCCAGGACAUGAGCAUCAGAUUUAGGAAGGCUGAUAUAGAGCUAAUGGCAGCAUACUUGUGGGUUUCAUGGUAUGCAAGAAACAAGUUCUUGUUCGAUGGGAAGAACCUGAAGCCAAGCAUCUUAACAGCUAAGGCAUAAUCAACAGUGGAAGCAUACCAGAGGGUAAGGAAGAUAGGGCUUUCUCAUAUUAGCAAUACCAUCAACAAGAAGCAGGAAAGAUAGAUCCCCAUCCAGACAACUCUUUCAAAGUCAACGUUGAUGCAGCCAUAAACAGCAAGAACCAAACAGUGGGCAUAGGUGCAGUUAUCAGGGAUUCAAAAGGCAUUGUGAUAGUAGCAGGCAUCCAGUAGACCACGCUAAAAGGAGAAGUCAGCUUUGCCAAAGCAGAGGCUAUGAGGUGGGGUUUGCAGAUUGCAAAGGAAGCAGCCUUAUCGAAUCUAAUAGUUGAGACAGAUUGUCAAGAGGUGGCUGAGUUGGUUAACAACACAAAGGGCAGCAAAACUGAAAUUUUCUGGAUUGUGUCUGAUAUCCAAGACCAGAGAAAGUAUUUCCAGAAGACUACAGUGCAAUAUGUUCCUAGAUAUUGUAAUGCUUAUGCCCAUUCCUUAGCAAAAUUUGCGUUAGGAAGAAAAACAUCUGCGAUCUAGUUUUAUCCAUUACCAGCAGAGAUAAUGAAUGUAUUUGACAGUGUUGUUUGAAGUAAUGAAAGUCUUUACUUUCUUUUAAAAAAAAAAACUACUAUCAUUGAGCAAACUAUUGAGCAUACAACUUUCAUUGAGUUUUAAAUUCUUAUAUUCAUCUCAUUUACUAACAUUUUAAGAUUUCAUUUGUAAUCGAACACAAUGUGUGAGAGGGAUUUAUUUGUAAUCCCUUUUGUAAAAUUAAGUUGAGAGGUUAUAAGUAUUGGGAUACACUUGGGUUAAGAAAUUGGGGAUAAUCUCUUGUUGUAAAGGUCUAUUGGUAUCUUGGAAGUCAAUUGUAAAAAGUUAUUGAAGCCUUGGAGGCUUACUUAGUGAAAUCUUCAAGUCCGAUGAGCUUAGAGGCAUGGACAUAGGCACGGGUGGCCAAACCAAGUAAAAAUCACGUGUUUGCUCUCUCUUACCCUAUUUCCUUAUUUUUUAUUACACAUUAAUUUGUUUAUUUCAAAUUUGAUUGCCUUGUUUAAAUUGCAUUAAGUUUCUUAGUUGCUUAAAUUUUUUAGAAACUCAAUUCACCAUCCCUUUUGGGUUGUCUAGUUAGUAUUUCACCAUUGAUUAUCGUCUUCCGGGCAAUUGCUCCUAUGAUCGUGUGGUUGCACCAUAAUGAUAAGCGAACUUGCUUUGAUACUAAUUAAAGAUGCGGAAAUGUUUAAAUUUGAUUGAUAGAAGAAACAAAAGUUUCUAAAUGAUAAAAUUUAAAUGUCUGAAAUUAAUAAAAUUAGGGUUUUGGGCCCCUUUAUAUAAUAAUCCAAAAAAUUUUGAAUUUACCAAAUAGGUAAAUCUAAAAAAUUAUUUUAUAAUAAAAUUCUCCUAAUCUGAAUAAAAAAAUCUAAAACAAAUGGUGCCCAAAUCUAAGAUCUUAAAAAAAGAUAAAAAUCAUAAAAGAAAUAGAAAAAAAAAUAAGAAAAUAUCUUAAAACUAAAAAAACGACAAGGAAAGAAAUGGAUUUUUAGGCUCGAACACUGCCCAUGCAACAAUUCUAGUUUUGAUUCGUCUCGUCACAAGCUUCAAAAUAAUAUAUAAUAGGCCUAAUAUCUCAUUCGUCCUAUGCAUCCAUCCUACAUCAUAACAGCUUGAAGACUUGGGAGGGCCAACUUAAUUCAAAGUCAACACUAGCUUAUUACCUUGCGGGAUUUUUAAUUGUGAGGGGAAAAAACUGUUGAAAGAUGUUGGGUUUAAAGUUUAUAAAACUUUAAUUAUUUCAUAAAAUUGUUUUAUUUUUUAUUCGUCAUCACGUUGGGAUUAUCCCCAAUGGCCAAUUUUAUUUUCAUUUUUUUAUAGGUCAAUAAAUGCUACUAGAAAUUGAUUAUUACCUCUCUUUUUCUCAUUUAUUGAUGACUAUGAAGAAUUAGAUAAAACUCAUAAAUGACCUAAUAUAUAUAAUGAAUAUUUAGAUUUUGUUUCAUAUCCAUACGAUAUCUGGGAGUAUGACAUAGUCUCCAAAAAUAGCCAAAUAUUUCACAUCUAUCACAAGUGCUUUCUUGAAUAUUAUCUUGUGGCAGGUGUUUCAUCCUCAAUUUUUUUCCUUUUCUAUGGUUCUUAUAACCACCGUGAGGUCGACAAUAAUUUUUUUUUUCAUGACCUCAAUCUUAAUAAUAGCCAUGACCACAACCAUGACUACAUCUACGGGCAUAGUUAUGCCCACGACCAUGCCCAUUUUCAUCAUGAUCACAUAGACAACAUUUGCUCCAAGAACUUGUUUUGUAUCAAUAGGAUGGGCUUAAUAAUUGAAUAUUCUUUUCUACCAAAAGAAAGCAUGCAAUCAAAUCAGAAUAUUUUGUAUACCGACGAGCUCUAUAUUGUUGUUAUAGAACUGUAUUGGAAGGAUGAAAUUUUAUAAUUUUUUUUCAACAUAUCCCCAUCAGUAAUAUUUUCCCCACAUAGUUUUAAUUAUUUAGUAAUUUUGUACAAUGUAGAAUUAUAUGUGUUGGAGAAAAAUCAGUUUUUUAAAUUUUUAUAAAACAUUUUAAGAUCGCUCUCAUACAAUAUAUAAGAAUUUGUAAUCUAGAAAUCGUACCUUGAAAAUCCGAUUUGGCUUUUUCCACUGAAUUGAUUUAGGCUCCCAGAUCACGAUCCGUCACCACCACUCCUGUUAGAUCACGAUCCGUCACCACCACGCUUGUUAGAUCACGAACUGUUACCAAUGAUCUUCCAGGUUAUGAUUCAGGUUUGAUCUGCACUUGACGUGUGGGUGCCUUUAUCACUACCAAAGCAGCUAGCACGAGAAAAUUUUUCUCUCAACAAUAGAGAGAAAAAUCUUUUUCUCUGAUCUGUAUAAAGUAGCUGCUCCCCUUUUCUUUAGAGAAAAUAAACCUUUUUAUAUCUCCCUUUAGUGAAAACCCUAGACUCCAAAUAAUGAAAAUCAAAACUCACGUUACUUGCUUUUUCUAUAGGGGAUCCACCUUGUAAAAUAACAUAAGGCCCCUUACACACAAGCUAAUAAAAUAGAGCCUCCCACUAAAUGAUAUAUUUAGGUUUUUGACCCAAAUAACCAGUUAUCUUUUUUAUUAAUCCAGUAGUGGUGCAGUCAAUUAAAUGAGCUAACCAGGGGAUCAUUUGGGAACAUACAAUAGUGGCUAUAACAAUUAAGCAUGUAAUUAAAAUAGCCUAAUUUUUUAAUUCCAAAUCUACUCCACUAAAAGAUUGGAAUUGACCUCCAUAAUUGUAUACUCGAAUAAUAAUUCGUCCCAAGCCACAUUGAUUUCUUUACUGCACAAUCCUUUGUACCACAUCAUUAAUUAAAUCGAUAUCUCAACUGUCCAAUCAAUUUAAUUACAUCUUGUUCCUUAAUACUUACUGGUUUUCUCUAAUGAUCAUUUUCAACAUACUAAAUAUGUUGACACACUCUGGCUAGAGAAUUCUAUGAUCAAGUACCGAAAACCCAUCAAGAGAUAUGUUGUACAAAUUAUUGUUAAUUCAUAACUCCAAUCCUCAUAAUUGCUCCCACCAAGAUACCGGGUAAUCUUGACCACAAGUAUUUGUCGUGCCCAUUGGUAACUCAAAUGGAAUAACAAUUACAAUCAUGAAAUCGUAAUUAACUCAAGAUUAAGAUUACAGUAAAAUCAAUGCCUAUGAGAUUUAAUAAGUAUGACAGUUAUUACAAAGUUAAUUAAAUCUCAUAUGUGAUCAUGUUCAAUGUAGGCGUACUACAUCAAUAAAUUCAUACAUGAUUAAGACAAAUCAUUCAAUGAAUUCAUUACAGUCUAUACCUAAAUAAAGUGCCCAACUUUAUUUAUCAACUGCGAACUAAAUUUAUUUAAUCAUAAGAUAACUUGUAUUUAUGUCUUCUGUGAAUCCACAUAGUGAUCACAUAAAUACAUAUACUAUGAUUAAAUAGAUUUUAAUCAAAAUAUUAAUUUAAUUAAGAUAUUUGAAUAAAAUACCUCAUUUAUUUUAUUAAUUAGAAAAAUUAUUUAUUACAAUUAAAUAAACACAUAUGUUUUUAAAGAGCACAUUUUCCCAACAAUCUCCUAAUAGCUCUCAAAGCAUAUUUGGCAUCUCACGCAUGCCCAUGGAUUCUAAGUGCAAGUUAAAAGGUUUCCCAGGUAUGGCCUUAGUAAAAGGAUUUGCCAAGUUUUGCUCUGACGCAAUCUGAGUAACCUCCACAUCACCUCUCUGCACUAUAUCCCUUAUAAGAUGAUACUUCCUCUCAAUAUGUUUUGUUUCUUGUGGUUCCUUGGUUCCUUAGAUUGAGCUACUGUACCACUAUUAUCGCAAAGUAGUUUAAGGGGUGCAGUUAUAACAGGUACCACCUCAAGAUCUUGUAGGAACUUGCGGAGCCAUACAACUUCUUUUGCAGCUUCGGAUGCAGCCAUAUAUUCAGCUUCAGUUGUGGGGUCUGCGAUACAAGAUUGUUUCACACUCCUCCAACUAAUAGCUCCACUUCCCAAUGUAAACACAUAGCCGGAAGUUGAUUUUCUGGAAUCCUUAUCUGACAUAAAGUCAGAAUCAGUAUAACCCAUUGGAAUGAGUUCAUCACCAGAAUACACAAGCAUAUAAUUUUUAAUUCUUUUCAGAUACUUCAUUAUAUGCUUGACCGCAGACCAGUGUUUAGGUCCAGGAUUAGAUUGAUAUCUACUAACCAUCCUUAUUGCAAAACAAAUGUCUGGCCUAGUGCAAAGCAUGGCAUACAUGAGACUUCCCACAGCUUCUGCAUAGGGAGCUUGUCUCAUUUUCUCUAUCUCUUCAGAUGUUUUAGGUGAUUAAUCCUUAGAGAAUGUAAUUCCAUGUCUGAAUGGUAAUAAACCAGUCUUGGAAUUUUCCAUGCUAAAUCUAGCUAAUAUCUUAUCGAUAUAGACCGCUUGAGACAAGGCUAAAGUUUUAUUCUUCCGGUCUCGUACUAACUUGAUAUCAAGAAUAUAACUUGCCUCUCCUAGGUCUUUCAUAUCAAAUUGUUUUGCUAACCAACUCUUUGUUGUAGUCAAUACUCCUAUAUCAUUUCCAAUUAGGAGAAUAUCGUCUAUAUAAAGAAUUAGGAAGGCUACAUAUUUUUCUUGAAUCUUCUUGUACACACAUGGUUCAUCAAUGUUCUGAAUGAAUCCAAACGAUUUAAUCGCUUGAUCAAAUAUGAUGUUCCAUGACCGGGAUGCUUGCUUCAAUCUAUAAAUGGAUCUCUGCAACUUACAUACCAUGUGUUCUUGGCCUUUUUGUAUAAAUCCAUCUGGUUGCUGCAUAUAGAUGUUUUUUUCAAGAUGCCCGUUAAGAAAGGCAGUCUUGACAUCCAUUUGCCAAAUUUCAUAAUCUAGCACUGCAGCAAUAGAGAGCAGAAUCCUGAUGGAUUUAAGCAUAGCAACCGGAGAAAAAGUUUCCUCAUAAUCGAUUCCCUCUUUCUGAGUAAACCUUUUGGCUACCAAUCUUACUUUAAAUGUUUCCACCCUUCUGUCUACUUCUCUUUUUCUCUUGUAGAUCCACUUGCACCCUAUAGGUUUUACCCCAUUUGGUGCCUCAACAAGUUCCCAGACUUUAUUGGAAUACAUAGAUUCCAUUUCUUGAUUCAUGGCCUUUUUCCAAAAUUCAACAUCUCUAUCUAUUAGAGCUUCAUUGUAACUAGUGAGAUCUUGUACAUGUUCAUAUGAGAUAGCUGUAUAGGUUUCUCCCAAAAGUAUGUAUCUCAUAGGUAACCUAGUUACCCUCCCACUACGACGAGGUUCUAAAAGUGAUGGUUGUUCAGGGAUAAUCCUGUAUUGAUCAUCUGGUUGUUGAUGUUCUUCCUGUUCUGUAACAGGCGUUGAAAGCUGACCAUCAACUUGAUCACCUGACAGUUCUUCAAGUAUUACCUUACUCUUAGGUUUAAAGUUAUUCAUAUAGUCUUCCUCGAGGGAAGUGAAAUGUGUGCUCACGAUCACUUUCCUAUCUUGAUGACUAUAAAAUAAACCUCUCCUUGUUCCUUUGGGAUACCCCACAAACAUACAAAUCUCAGAACGUGAAUCCAUUUUGUCUGCCUUUGGUUUCAGUACAUGUGCUGGUGAUCCCUAAAUACGAACAUGUCGUAAACUUAGUUUGCGACCUGACCAUAAUUCUAUUAGGGUUUUAGGCACUAACUUAGAUGGAACUAAGUUCAAGAGGUAAACUGCAGUUUCUAGUGCUAGUCCCCAAAAAGAGAUUGGUAAUAACGAAUAACUAAGCAUAGAUCUCACCAUAUCCAAAAGAGUUCUAUUUCUUCUUUCAACUACCCCAUUUUGUUGUGGUGUUCCCGGGGCAAUCAACUGAGAUAUAAUCUCAUUUUCAACCAGAUACUCUUUGAAAUCUCCUGAGAGAAAUUCACCACCUCGAUCAAAUCGAAGUUUCUUUAUGUUCUUAUCUAAUUGCUUUUCUGUCUCAGCCUUAUACUCUUUGAAUUUCUCAAGAGCUUCAGACUUAUGAUGCAUCAGAUAAACAUAAUCGUAUCUCGAGUAAUCAUCAGUGAAAGUGAUGAAAUACUCAUAACCUCCUCGAACUUGUACAUUGAUUGGUCCAUAUACAUCUGUAUGAACUAAGUCAAGUGGUACUGUUGCACGUACUCCUUUGGCCGAGAAUGGCCUUUUGGUCAUUUUCCCUUCUAAAUAGGAUUCACAGAGUGGAAAUGAUUCAUUUUCUAAUGGACCCAAAAUCCCAUCUUUGAUCAUUCUCUGUAUCCUAUUUUGGUUUAUAUGACCCAAACGUAAAUGCCAGAGGUAACAUUGGUUGGAAGAAAUAUUUAUUUUCUUAGAUAAAUGUGUAUGCUCAUCAUUAUUUAUCACUGUGUCGUGCAUAGAAUGGAUCAUUGGACUUAAAUGAUAUAAAUUAUCUUCCAAUGUACCAGAACAAAUAAGUCUUUUAUUAUAAAAAAUAAAAACAGAGGAUCCAAAAUUUACAGUGUACCAUUGCUUUGACAAACAAGCUACUGAAAUUAAAUUCUUCUUUAUGUCUGGAACAUAAAGAAAAUUAUUCAAAAUUAAAGUCUCAUUAUUAAAAGAUAAUAAAACAGAUCCGGUCUUCACUGCUGACACGAACUAUCUUGUCCCUAACUGCAGCUUGACGCUUCCUUCACUUAUUUUCCUGGUUUCCUGAAACCAAUAAAGUGAAUUACAAAUAUGAUUAGUUGCUCCUGAAUCCAACACCCAAGUGUCAAUAGGAUUCUGAACUAAACAUGCCUCAAUUACAAAAAGAUUUCCCAUACCUGAUUUCACAAUCGUAGGGCAAUCCUUUUUCCAGUGACCUUUCUGUCCACACUUGAAGCAUUUGCCUUUUGGAAUUGACCUCCAUAAUUGUAUGCUCGAAUAAUAAUUCGUCCCAAGCCAUAUUGAUUUCUUUACUGCACAAUCAUUUGUACCACAUCAUUAAUUAAAUCGCUAUCUCAACUGUCCAAUCAAUUUAAUUACAUUUUGUUCCUUAAUACUUACUGGUUUUCUCUAAUGAUCAUUUUCAACAUACUAAAUAUGUUGCACACUCUGGCCAGAGAAUUCUAUGGUCAAGUGCCGAAAGUCCAUCAAUAGAUGUGUUGUACAAAUUCUAUAUUGUUAAUCCAUAACUCCAAUACUCAUAAUUGCUCCCACCAAGAUACCGGGUAAUCUUGACCACAAGUAUGUGUCGUGCCCAUUGGUAACUCAAAUGGAAUAACAAUUACAAUCAUGAAAUCAUAAUUAACUCAAGAUUAAGAUUACAGUAAAAUUAAUGCCUAUGAGAUUUAAUAAGUCUGACAGUUAUUACAAAGUUAAUUAAAUCUCAUAUGUGAUCCUAUUCAAUGUAGUCGUACUACAUCAAUAAAUUCAUACAUGAUUAAGACAAAUCAUUCACUGAAUUCAUUACAGUCUAUACCUAAAUAAAGUGCCCAACUUGAUUUAUCAACUGCGAGCUAAAUUUAUUUAAUCAUAAGAUAACUUGUAUUUAUGUCUUCUGUGAAUCCACAUGGUGAUCACAUAAAUACAUAUAAUAUGAUUAAAUGGAUUUUAGUCAAAAUAUUAAUUCAAUUAAGAUAUUUGAAUAAAAUACCUCAUUUAUUUUAUUAAUUAGAAAAAUUAUUUAUUACAAUUAAAUAAACACAUAUGCUUUUAAAGAGCACAUUUUCCCAACAAUAUGUUGGAUCAUAAACUUGAUCCAUACAACUUUGAAACGCAAAUGACUCUUGAUCUAGUUCAUGCAAGCUUCUUUGGGUAGUUAAGAUUUGGGGUGUUAAAUGUGGUAAUAUGGGAAGUAGAAUUUGUGGUGUUGAGUAUGUUGUUAGGUUUGGUUUGUGGUUAUGAUUUAUGUGGUAGUUAAGUCAACGUAUGGUUGUGAUUAAAUUGUAACAAGUAUAAAUAUCUACUCUCUCAGUUGGUUUAAGUAACAAGAAGUAGUAAAGCUUAUUAAUUGCAAAAGAGUCGUAAUUAAGGAGUUAUAUUGAGUUAAUAAGAAAAGAGUGUUUUGAGUGUUUGAUUAUUCAAAUUCUCUACUAUUAUGUUCAUGAACUGACUUAAAAUCCUACAACUUAAGGGCAUUCCAUUCAUUACAAGUAUUUGGAAGAAUUACUAACCUUAAAUUACUAUAUCUCUCAUCAAGCUAUUUCAUAUGACAUAUAUGUCCUUUAUAGGAAGAUAUCUUGUUUUGAGUGCUAGAUGGAGAUGGUGACAUUGAUAAAUCGUGGUCUUCUCUUGAUCUUGAAGAGAUGAGUCAUUAUUAUUUUUCAUUGUAUCACUAAGCAUCAAGAUAAAUUUCAGCAACAUCAAGUAUUUUUGGAAAUCCUUCUUGUUCUUGUUUUUUUAUUUCUUUUUUUUGUCAAGAUGACCAUUUUUUCCCCGAAUGUUAUCGAGGGCAAAUAAAGCAUAUAUGCUUAACAUUGAAUAUAUUUUUAUAAAUAAAAGCUAACACGAACGUUAUGCCAAAGAAUCUGUUUAUAGGUAAACUAGGCCCAUUUAGGAUAGUAGCGUUGCCGAACAAGGCUUUGAUUUGAUUACUGUAAGUAUAUACUAAAUAUUUUUAAUAGAAUUUUUGGUUGGGCUGAAUGGUUGAGUAAAAUAAUUCAAAUGGUUUAAGUAACGAUUUUUUUAAUAUUUUAAAGAGUGCACAUGUUUUUUUUUUUGAAAAGAAACUUCCAUUAAAUCGAAGAAGAGAAUAAAUACAUCAAUUGUGAAGGGUAAGAACCCAUCCAAACAACAUUUUCACAUUUCUCUAAUGCUAACUUAGAUAGAGAAUGGGCAAUGGCAUUACAAGAUCUAUGAGUAUAUUUAAUGCUAACUAGCUCAAAAUUCCUCAUUAAGUUUUGAAUCUUCAAAAUUAUCCAAAAGAUCUCAGAAUUGCCGCCUUGCUUGUUGUUAACUAACUUGACUACGCUUUGAGCGUCUGAUUCAACAAUUAAAGCCUUUGCACUUGCAUUCCUAGCAAUCUGUAAUCCCUAUUCCAAGGCUUCUGCUUCAGCAAAGGAAACAUCUCCAUGAAAUUUCCAAAUCUUGAUUGCAGCUGCUAUGACAUUCCCCCGAUCAUCUCGGAUUAUAGCUCCGAGCCCUGCAAGGUGCUUUUCUGAGUUUGUAGCAGCAUCCACAUUGACUUUAACAAAUCCACUUCGGGGGGGAUUCCAAAUUCACUAAGCCUGAACCUACUGAAUUUCAUUUUGAGCUUGCUCUGGUUUUUGAACUCUUUUGUAAGCCUCCAUUACUGCUUCAGCUUUAGCAACCAGAGCCUGGGGGUAAAGAGUGCACAUGUUAAAAUUUAAUAGAUUAGUGUACAAAAUAAUAGAAAAUGGAACUAUCGUACUCUUACUCCGAAACUGCAAUUAGAGUCAACAUUCCAGUAAUUUCUUUACACAGUACUAUAUUACAACAAGCAAUAAUAGAGCAAUAAUAGAGUAAUAAUAUAGUUACAAAUUCUUGUAUAAAUAUUUUUGUAUACAAAUUGAUGUAGCAUGAUUUAAUUGGUUGGAUUAAAUAUCUAUUAGUUUGAAUGAUUUGUUUUUAUUAUUUUCUAUUUUCACUUAACCAAUGAGUUAAUGUCAAAUUAAUUUAUGCAAAAUAAGUUUGUGUAAGAGUUUAUAACUAUAUCAACGCUCACAAUAAUAUUGCUAGAGGAGUUGACUAUUACUUUUCCCUGGAGGCAUAAUAAGUUUACAGCCAUAGGUUGUGACAAUUACGCAAUUAACCUGGAGAAUGUUAAUGAUUCAACUGUGCCUAUGUUUGCACUUGGGAUCCCACUCAGAAAAGUGGUUGCUACGAUUUCCUGUGCUCUAUUCCUCCAAGUAUUAGUAAAUUUUUCAAUGCAAAAUAUGAAUUUCUAUGAAGAAUCCGUUGGCAUUUCACAGAAGCCCAAUAACAAAUACAUCCUCAAAAUAUCCAUCAAAGAUAUUUCAACAAGCUAGUCAAGUAAUGGGACAGGGAAUGGCUCUGUUCCUCAGAAUGAAUUGACGUCCUGUCCAGUGUCCCCCGUUGGCUUCUCAUCACAGAGAUGAAAAUUGAAAUUAGGCCAAUUAGAUUAAAGGCAAGACGGAAUGGAAAUAUUGAACCGUUAAUUAUUAUAGCCAUGACCCCUCUAAUUAAUGGCCCUUUGCCUUUCAAUAUUAUUGUAGGUAUUUGCAAGGAAACCUCCUCUAUCUUUCUUCCAAUUAAGACUUCUUGUGUCCAAUUACUGUCGAUUCUUUUUGAACGUGUAAAGGAUAGCAUCUUGAAGACUUGAGAGGGCCAGCGUUUAUUCAAAGUCAAGUACAGGGACAGGAAAUGGCCCUGUUCCUGAAGUAUGAACUGACGUCCCGUCCGGUGUCCCCUUGCCUACUCAUCAUACAAACAAAAAUUGAAAUUAGGCCAUUUAGAAUAAAGAUAAGACGGAAUGGAAAUAUGGGAUCGUUAAUUAUUAUAGCUAUGACCCAUCUAAUUUGCAAAUGGUUCUUUCCCUUUCAAUAUUAUCGUACGUAUUUGCAAGGAAACCUCCUCUCCCUUUCUUCCAAUUAAGACUUCUUCUGUCCAAUUACUGUCAAUUCUUUUUGAACGUGUAGAGAGGAUAAUAACUUGAAGACUUGAGGGCGCCGGCGUUUAUUCAAAGUCAAGACUUAAUUAGCCUGCAGGACUCUUGAUGGUGAGGGGAAGAGAAAAAGAUGAAAGGCGCUGGGUAUAAGACAUAUAAAACUUCAAUUACUUCAUAAAAUUGUUUUAUUUUUCAUUCGUCGUCACGUUGGGGAUUACCGCAAAUGACCCAUUUUAUUUUCAUCUCUAUGUAGGUCAGUAGGGUCACUGGAAAUCAACUGUUGUCUCUUUUUUCUCACUUACUGAGGAAUUUGGACAAUUAAACAAAACACAUCAAUUACCUCAAAUAUAUGAUGAAUAUCUAGAUUUUUUCGAAUCCACAUGAAGUGUGGAAAUACGACAUUCUCUCCAAAAAUAACCAGAUAUUUCACAUCUAUUACAAAUAUUUUCUUGAAUAUUAUGUUGGCCAGAUAUUUUCUCCUCAUUUUUCUCUUUUCCAUCGAUAAUAAUUUUUUUCAUAACCUCAACCUUGAUAAAAGCCACGACCAUGGUUACAACUAUGUCCACAGUCAAUAAUAAUCUUGCUGAGAAAUUAUUUCUAAUUAAUUUUUUUGUGGUGCUUUUAAUGACACAACAUAAUAACCUUUUUUUAUCUUUAUUUUGUUCCCAAUAAAUCUCAAAACUCACAAAUUUGCACCAUUAUACAUAUGAUAUCUUUUUUCUUCCGUUUAUUAGCUUUAUAGAAUUUUGAUAUAAUACGUGCGUCGCACUCAUAACAUGUACGGCCUGGCGCAUUAGAUUAUUUUUCUAACUUUAUAUAAGUAAAGUAUCUCUCUUAGCGUACAAAUAUAAUUUGAUGCGACGUGGCGCACUGGUCGCACUAGAUGAGUGCUCUAACUUUGUUUAAGUAAAAGCGUCUCCCUUAUUGUGCAAGCAUAAUUUGUAGUGGUUCGGCCCCAAAAUGGCAAAAUUUAUCACUCCAUCGCCUCAAAUUUUAAAAUCCGCAACUAUUGGGCUGUGUGGCGGGCUCGCCAAAGUCACAACCCAACCUUUAUCAUGGGCCCUUUCCAAAGCUAACUUGCACUCUCCAUAUUCUUCCUCUAUUAAAUAAAACCGAAUAUGAUGCAUAUUAACAGACUCUCACCAUUCACGUAUUUUAUAAUGAAUCUCGCACCAAUUCUAAGUUUUCAUUUUUUUCCUACAAAGAAGAAACUUUGGAGUCUUAGGCCCCGUUUGGUACUGUUUUGCAAGUUAUGUUUUCGUUUUCAUUUUUAUAAUACACACAUAAAUCAUGUUUGGUGGAUUUAUUUCACAAAAUAAAUUACAAAACACAAAAUCCGGAUUCAAUAUUAUAACUAUACAACUGAAAACAAGUUAAACAUGUUCUCCAAAUUUUACAAACUAAAUCCAAAAAUGAAUUAAAAAACAACAAAAAAAUCGUGACCCUGCAGCCCUCACUUUUCUCUUCACUGCAGCCCUCACUCUCAAUCCAGUUCACUGCAGCUCCCUCUUUCCCCUCAAUUUUCUCAAUCUAGUUGCAGCAAAUCUCUCUCUUGGUCGCUCUUGGUGUGCUAGCCACUGCCGCAGCUCUUUCUCCGCCGUAACCGCUGCUGCUCCGACUCCGUCCAGCUGCUGCUACUUCGUCUUUGCUCUCUCGGAUCUGCACUUGCUCUCUUGGUUCUUUGCUCUCUCGGAUCUUCGUCUACUGCUACUUCGUUGUUGCUCACUCGGAUCUGCACUUGCCCAACCAUUGUUGCUCUCCCGGAUCUGUCACUUGCUGGUGGGCAGUUGAAGCAUGUUAUCGGAAGGCCAAUAUUUAAAACUGAUCAGAAAGAAGAUUGCAUUUCAAUGGCAGUUCUGUAUUCACCUCCAAGCAUCACUAGCAGCAGCAGCAGCAGCAUCACCUACAUUCCUGAGAAGGGAAAAACUAUUUCCCUUGGCCAACAAUUUAUGAUUGCAAUAUUUUUAACUCUUUUGUAUCACUUUUUGGUUUAUGUUUACAAAAAAUUCUGAUUCUGUCAAGAUUUUUAUUUUUUAUUUUUUCCUUUCAAUUGAUGAAAAUCACACACAUUCACGUCCAUCAAUCAUGAUCCACAUUGUCUAUUGCCCUUUUUUUUUUAAAAAAAAAGUAAAGCUUUCAUUAUCAUUUAGAAUAAAUUUGUAAACAUACUUUGCUCAUUAUAAAAUUAUUGUUAUUAAAUAAUUUAUUUUUUCAUUGUUUUAAAAUUAUUUUCAUUUUAUCAAUAGAAUUGAUUAUAUCAAAUAUUAGGAUUAAAAUAUAGUUAGGGUCCAUAAUUAAUAAAGACAUUUUAGUGGGGAUAAUAUAAGGAUCUUAAAGGAGUGUGAAAAGCAUUACUCUAAUUUUUUUAAAAGAAUAUAUACAGUAUAUGAAUAGGCAUAUAAAAUUAAAGCCAACACCAAAUACACAAUUAAAGCCCAAAUUAAAAAAAAAUGAAAAGACUCAAAUUCUCCACCAAUCCGCCUAAAAAGAUAAGAAAAUAAGGUCUUAAUCAAAAACACUACACUAGCAUACCAAAUAUCUGGGUGGGUAUUUCCGUGGUAAAUGAUUCCCAAAUCUUCAAGUUGUAAGCUGUCCGCAUUGAGUAACAAAUAACCAAGUUCAAAAAGCAAGUUCAGGCUUUUAGUUAUCAAUAUUAAUGCAAAAAGUCAUAGCAAUGCAACCUUUAUGCUGAUUACAUUACUGAAAUUGAGUGGGGGAUUAAUAGCAUGUACUGAAAAUUGUAUGUUAUAAUAUUGAAUCCGGAUUUUGUGUUUAUUAGCUAAAUAAUUAAUGUUAAUUCUUAAAAUUUAUUAUCGUGUAAUUUUUUUAUAUUAAAUUUGGUUAAAUUAUUUUGUUGUAUUUGUGUGUAUUAGGUAAAUAAUUAUUUUAUGACUAUAAAUAUAAUGUAAAUGAUUAGUAAAAACUGUUUUUAAAAAAAGCAUUACCAAACGCAUAUUCUCUGUUUUAAUCAUUUUCAACUGUGUCUACCAAACGCAUAUUACUGUUUUCAGUUUUAAAAUAUAGGAUACAGAAAAUGAUACCAGACGCAUAUUUAAAUUCGAAAUACAGUAACUGCAAAACACCAUUUUCAUUUUCGUUUUUAUUCUCAGAAAAUACAAAUUCAAAAACAAUACCAAACAGACCCUUAGUGACUGCCUAUUUUUUUUUCUUAUCUCGAGGAAAAGAAAAAUGCUAUAAUAACCUAUCAAAUUAUCCAUUAAACCUAUUUAUUAAAUAAAUCACCGAUUAAAAUUUAAAAAUUCAAAUUUUUAUCUAAACUUACGUAUUUCAUUUCAUCAAUAAAUAAAAUUGUGGACUUUUGCCUCUAGUGUCUUAUUUGGUAACAAUUUUUGACUCUAGAACCAAACAUGCAGAGUUUGAUGUUCAUUUUAUAAGGUAUAAAGUACUCAAUGGAGAAAUGGAAGUGGUAGAUAUAUACCAACAAAGCAUAAUAAGAUGGGAAACAUGUUGUGCGCAAAAUGCGGAAUCAAACGCACCGAAUAAUCACAGAAAGGACACAAGAAUUAUGUGGUUCAACAAUAUGCCUACGUCCACGGGAGUAAGAGAAAAAAUAAUUGUAUUAUUAACAAUUAUUUGAAUACAAAUUUGAGUAAAGAAACCUCACUUUCCCAGAACCCAAAUACACCCAAUACUCUCACACACACUCUACAAUUGCUCACACUCUCAGAACUCUCAAAAGCUUAGAAACUUAUAAGCUUAACAAAUUUUUAGGAUGCAAAAACCUCUAUGAAUGAAGCUCUAUUUAUAGUUAAGCUUCAUUGCAAAAAGUCUUAAAGUAGUUGGCAAAAGUCCUAUAAUUUGGUGCCGACUUGAAAAACAAAAGAAAUGCAUGUGGGUCACCUUUUCUUUUUCAACCAAUUUGAAUAAACUCACCAAAAAUCUUUGACUUUUUAACAAUUCUCCACCUCGUCAAAGAUUUGUCCAAAUAUGAGUCGACUACCAAUAAACCAUCAUUCUCAAAGUGAUCAUUCAAUAAGGAUCCAGAAUGGCUGUGUCGCUUUGACUGCCUACGUACCCAAAAUUUGGGAUCAAGCCAACCGUAGUUCAAAAUUCCCGAAUGACAUAACUUAAUACAAUCGAAGGAUUUGAAUUAGUUUUAAGCAAUGUUGAAACUUAACUCUAGAAACUACCUUCGUCAACAUAUCUGAUGGAUUAUCUUUGGUAUCGAUCUUUCUCAACAACACAACACCGCUCUCGAUAAUCUCCCUCACAUAAUGAUAUUUCACAUCUAUGUGCUUUGACCGAGCGUGAUAUGUUUGAUUAUUCGCAAGGAAUAUCGCACUUUGAUUAUCGCAGAAGACCGCAAUGUUCUCUUGGAUUAUUCCUAAUUCACCUAACAAGCUUUUCAACCAGAUAGCUUCUUUUACAGCUUCAGUUGCUACCAUAUACUCUGCUUCCGUAGUGGACAGAGCAAUUGUCGAUUGUAAAAUCGACCUCCAGCUAACCGGACCUCCAUCCAAUGUGAAUAAGUAGCCCGUUGUUGAUCUUCGCUUAUCUAGGUCUUCGGCGAAAUCAGAAUCACAAUACCCAACACAUUGUUGACCACAAUCCUUCUUGAACAAUAACCCAACAUCAACUGUCCCAUACAGAUAUCAGAGAAUCCACUUUACCACAAGCCAGUAAUUUUUACCCGAAUUGUGCAUGUAUCUACUAACUAUGCUCACUAAUUGAGAUAUAUCGGGCCUUGUGCAUACCAUAGCAUACAUAAGACUACUCACAACACUAGCAUAUGGAACACGAGCCAUGUAAUCACGCUCUUUUUGAGAUCUAGGAUAUGAAGAAGAGCUUAAUUUGAAAUGAGGAGCUAGAGGUGUACAUACUGGUUUAGUUUUGUCAUCCAUACCGAAUCUUUCUAGCACUUUUUUCAAAUAAGACUUUUAAGUCAACCAUACGCUCCCAUUCUUCUUGUCUCUACGAAUCUCCAUCCCAAGUAUUCUCUGUGCAUCACCCAAGUCUUUCAUCUCGAACUCAAAAGCCAGCUGCUUCUUUAAUCUUUCGAUCUCAUCUCUAUUCUUCGAAGCUAUAAGUAUAUUGUCGACAUAGAGUAACAAAUAGAUGAAAGCUCCAUCUAGUAGUUUUCUGAAGUAAACACAAUGAUCGUGUUCACUUCUGGUGAAUUUCUGCCCUUGUAUAAAUUGAUCAAAUCUUUUGUACCACUGCCUUGGCAAUUGCUUCAGUCCGUACAAAAAUUUAAUCAACUUACACAAAUGAUUCUCCUUUCCAGCAACUCUAAAACCACAAAGCUGAGUCAUAUAGAUUUCCUCCUCCAAAUCUCCAUGUAAGAACGUUGUCUUAACAUCUAAUUGAGCCAACUCUAACUCAUAUUCUGCAAUUAAGGCAAGUAGGAUACGAAUGCACGUAUGUUUUAUAAUUGGAGAGAAAACUUCAUUGUAGUCAAUACAUUCCUUUUGAGCAAAACCUUUUGCAAGGAGCCUUGCCUUGUAUUGAAGAGUUGAUUGAUUUAGAGAUCCUUGCUUCUUGGUGUAGACCCAUUUAUUGCCAAUACCCUUUUUCCCCUUUGGUAACUCCACAAGUUCCCAAGUCUGGUUUUGAUGGAGAGAUUUCAUCUCUUCUUCCACGGCUAACUUCCAUUGAUCACUUUCACUGCUGCAUAAUGCUUCACCGAAAGUGUUGGGGAUGUCAUCAUUAAUAACUGGAAGUGCAUAGGCUACUACCAUAUCUUUAAUAAGCCAUCCAGAUUUUUUUAUCUCUCUUUUUAGCCUCCUUGUUGCUAUAAAAUCAUCGUUUUCUACAUCAUCAAUUGUUUCUUCAUUUUGGGGGACAUCAGAAGAAAUAACCUCUUCUUCAACUCUAAGUGUCACCUCCAUAGUUGAACCAUUCUUUGAUGUAGAACUAACUGGUACAUAUGAAGUUACAUCAAACUCUACCUGCUGCAAUACCUCUUUGGUCUUGUUCUCCACUUGCUGAGAACUUGAAGCUUCAUCAAACGUGACAUCUCUACUACACACAAACUUUUUAUCUUCGAGAUCCCAAAGCUUGAAGCCCUUUACUCCAUCUUUGAAUCCCACAAAGAUAACUUUUCUAGCACGAGGAUCGAAUUUACCAUUUUUGACAUGAUAAUAAGUUGGACACUCGAAUAUACGAAGGGAAUCAUAGUUUUGUGCAUGUUUUCCAGACCACAUUUCCAUAGGAUUUUUACCUCCAAUUACAGCAGAAGGAAACCGGUUUAUUAAGUGACUUGCGUAGCUCACAGCUUCAGCCCAAAACUUUUUAUCUAAACCAGCAUUAGAUAACAUACACUGUACUUUCUCCAGCAAAGUACGAUUCAUACACUCAACCACACCGUUCUGUUGCGGAGUAUGUCUCACCGUGAAAUGUCUUUUAAUACCCUUAUUCUGGCAUACUUGCAAGAAUAGAUCAGAAGUAUAUUCACCCCCAUUAUCAGAUCGUAAUACUUUGAUCUUUCUAUCAGUUUGAGUCUCCACCAAUUUCUUCCAUUUCACAAAAAUCUCUAGAACCUCAUCCUUUGCUCGCAUGGUAUACACCCACACACGUCUAGAGAAAUCAUCAACAAAUGUAACAAAAUAAUAGUUUCCACCAAUUGAUGCAGUCUUGGUUGGUCCCCAUACAUCACUGUGAACAUAUUCAAAGAUCUCACGAGUAUCGUGAUUAGCCGUACCAAACUUGACCCUUAUUUUCUUGCCUACUACACCAUGCUCACAGAAAUUUAAUUUACAGGUUUUGGUACCUUUUAGAAGUUCAUACCUCAUCAGAGUUUUCAAAGACUUCUCUCAAGCAUGUCCUAGUAGAACAUGCCAUAACUUGGUGGUGUCACUGUGGGCCUCAGCAACAUUUGCUUCAUCAGUUGUACCUCCCUUCAAAUAGUACAAAUUGUGACGCCAAACUCCCUGCAGAAUGACUAUAGCCCUAUGUGCAAACUUCAUUGUGCCAUCUUCAAUAGUAACCUUGUAGCCUUUAGCUUCCAACGCACCCACAUAAAUUAGAUUUUUCUUUAAAGCUGGAACAAAUCUAAUCUCUUUAAGUUCUCUAAUCGUUCCAUCAAACAUUUUGAGCCGAAUUGUUCCUAUCCCCAUUGUACGACAAUGUUGAUCAUUCCUCAUCACAACAGCACCGGAUUCCAGAUUACGAAAAUCCGUAAACUAUUCUUUAAUAGGACACAAAUGAUAGGUUGCCCCAGUAUCAAGUAUCCACUCGCUCGAACUAGCCACGUAUGCUGCAGGAGUAAUAAUUAGUGAAUAAUCAAAGUCCUCAUCUUUUCGUGCCAUGUUUGUUGAUGCGGGUUUCUUCCCAUCUCUCUUUUGAGCUUUUGGACAAUUUUUCCUCCAAUGGCUUUUUUCAUGACAAAAGCCACACUCGUCUCGAGCUAUAUUUCUACUUCUCGAUUUAGAUCGAAAAUUCUUUCCACCAUGCUUAUUCUUUUUCUCCAUCGCCUAAUCUCUGCUCACCAAAGCUUCAGACGAUGCAUGUUCAUAAUUUUUAUCAUUAUUUCAAAUCUCUAAGUUAGUCAAUGCUGUGCAAACAUCUUUGAAGAUGAUCACACUUUUCCCAUAUAUCAAGGUAGUCACAAAAUGGCUAUAUUCCUCUGGUAGUGAGUGUAACAAAAUCAUAACCUUGACUUCAUCCUUAAUAUCUUCAUCAAGAUUCUUCAAAUCAGCAAGUAACUCUGGUAGUGUGUGAUGGUGCUAAGUCUUCACUUAGCCAGUCACUCAACAAUAUCUAGCGGAAGCAAAUAAAGUAACAAGCAUGCAAAGAUCCACAAUGGAGGUUUACGUAAGAGACUAAUUGAUGGUAUUCGAAGUCAGCAAAAAUAAAUACAUACUCUAAAUAAAUUGUGUAUAGUGAUUGAGUAGGGUCGUGUCCACAGAGAUUGGUAAUUAUUUAAAUCUUUUUAAAAUGAAAAAUGCAAAAUGGGGGAAUUGUUGACAAUAAUAAAAAUCAAAUUAAAAUAACAAGAAUGCAAAUUAAAAUUGUAAUUCAAAUUGGGAAAAGCUUUGGUUGAAGGAAUUAACUCAGCUUGAUUCGACUACUGAUCAUUGAUUCAAAUAUAAAUCAUUACUAUUAUGAAUAGACCAGUUAUAGCUACUGAGACCCUCUAAUAGCCAAUCUCUCCUUAACUAGUCGAUAACCAAGGUACGACCAUUGGUUAUUUCCCUAAUCAAUAGACAACCCUAGAUACGAUCAUAGGGUUUAAUCAAUUGACAGCCUGAAAAACCAGAGAGACCCAAAUCCUAAUCAACAAACGCAUACGAUGGUUCAUUUAAAUUAGAUUGUUUAUUCUCAUAACACAACGCACUGCUAUGCUAUUUUGUCACAAACAUUAAAAUCUUCAUACGAUGAAUCUUUUAAUUGACAAUAGAUUAAGUUGAUAAUUAAAUAGUGGCCAAUUAUCUAAUUAACAAACAUAAUCAUGACAAUAAUUUAGAGAAUGAACAAAUAUCCAAAAAGUAAUAAAACAAUUAAAGCAUAAGAAAGAUCUCACAGUAAUGAUGAAUCAAAGCUUUAUUAACCUUCAACCAGAAUAAUAGAUUUAGUUCUUCAUAGAGAGAAGAGAAAAAUUUAGAUCUAGAGUUUCUUUUUCUUCCCUCCUCUUGAAAAAUUCUCCUCCCCUUUGUUUUUCAUGUCUCCUUUCUCUUAUAGAGUUUUUCCAAAAAUAAAAUACUAAUAUCUAAAAUAUUAUCUAAAUAUUAAAUUCAAAAUUACAAAAAUAACCAAAAAGGUAAAACACGUUAAAAUAAAAACUGCAGGUCCUUAGUCGACAGCACGCGCCCAUGCCUUAUCAACAAAGUUCUUCUGAAGCUCAUAAUUUCUCUAGGAAAACAAUCAUCUUCAAACAUCAUCUUGUAGCUCAAUUUUAGCACCAAUCAAUAGAAUUGUACCUACAAAAAUAAAACAGAAGUAAAUCACUAUUAUUAAGUGCAAAACAUCGAUAUUAAAGGAAGUAAACAAUGCAAAAUUAGUGCAUAGAUUGCACUCUAACAAAUUCCCCCACACCAAGAUAAUGCUUGUCCUCAAGCAUAUAACUCAAGACUAAUCUCAAAUCUCCACUCAAUUCUCAUCUCAACUCAUCCAAAAACAAUCUUAAGCAAAUAUAUCUUAAGAAUUUAAGUCAAUCAACAUUCGAGAGACAAGGAUUUUAAAGCAUAGGAUCUCAUAAGCUAGUAUAAAAACAUUCAACCACCCAGAAAAUCCAUUCAAAAUUCAAGUGCAACAAGUUUUAAUAGCCCUCUCAUUGACUUCACUCCAUCUCAAAGUGUUUAGGGUAUCAUUUAUGCACUCCAAUCAAAUCAAAGAAUGCUAUUACCGUAAGCUUGCUCAUAUAUCACAUCUCAAUCCACAAAACAAGAAUUAAAUGCAAAAAUUUAAGGGUCUUAAAAAGGUUGUAACGGGGUUAAAUGGGUUGAAUGAAAAAUAAAGGUCUAUGAAAGAAAAAGAGGUCAAAAUGAGAAGAAUGAACUCAUUGAAUGAACCUUAUGAUAUCAAAAUGCUUAUUUCUACUCAAGUCGCCAAGAAUGUAAACACUUUUUUUUUCAUUCAUUUUUUUUUCAGUAAUGGUGAACCAAACAAAAGAAAUGAACCUUGCAUAAUUUAAUUCAAGCAUAAUGCUUGUUGAUCUAAUUGAGAAACUUUAAUUCAAGGUAGCAAGAGCAACAAAAUAUAUACAAAAUAUAUCCAAACAAUGAGUCCAAAAAUCUCCUUAAAUUGAGGCUCAAAAAGAAGGAAAAUGGGUAAGUAGUUGGAGAGAAUUAGAUGGGUAAAAAUAAUAAUAAUAAUAAAACAAGUGAAGAGAAUGCUUAAGGCUCAAACAAAGAUAACAAAUAAAGGUCUUCGGGUGGAGAAAAAGAAGAAAAAUGCGAAAAUAGAAAAAUGGAAAUUGGUUUGCCCUUAUCAUUUUAGUGCAUAAAAUCCCGUAAUGCAGCUUCAACAUGCAUAACAAAGCAAGUUCUAGCAUAAACAAACUAAGAUUGAUAUUCACAUAACAAAAAUAAUUAGAGCAAAGUGGUUGCUCAUAGGCUCAAAUCCUCACAAAGUUGGUAAAUUUGCCAUCAAAUCAUGUACACUCUUCAAAUGAAUCAACCAUCAAUAGUGGUGUAGAAUGAAAAGAAGAUAUGAGUGAUAUAUAAAAGGAAAGGUAAAAAGGAUAAGAAGCGAGAAAGAUAUAUGUAGUAAUAUAAAAAAUAAAAAUAGAUGUAAAUAAUUUGAAAUAGAUGGGAAAAGAGUAGUGAGAAAGAAAAGAAAAUUAAAAAUAAUAUAUGAAGCAUACUAACUCCAAAAUCAUUUAAGGAUGAACAGAGUGAAAAUAAUACUUUCAGACAUCAAUAUUGCAAAAAUCCCUCCCCCACACCAUGAACUCACAUUGUCCUCAAUGUAUGAUAAUCAAAGCUCACAUAAAGAAAUAAAGCGUAAGGAUACAAGAUUAAAGGCAAAACGUCCCUGAAUUGUGAGCUUUGAUCCACAUAACGUAUAUGGGCUUGGCGGAAAUGGUGGGAUAAAUCCCACACUCUCGAAGUAUGCGGCCAAAUUCUGCUCCAUCUUGUUCAGCUUGUGCUCCAUUUUCUCUAACUAAAUGCUCAAAGGUGGUGCAGAUGUAGAAGGAAUAGUUGGUGGGGCAGCAGUUUCGUCGUCAAACUUGUCAUCAGAGGUAGCACCACUCCUAGCAUAAAGCUUCUUUAGAAGUUGAGUGGGUCCUGGUUCAGUAAACUGAAAUCUCCCCUCCUUGAAUUCGACCACACCUGUUUUUUCAAACAAAGACAUAUCCAAAAAUUCCUUUUUGCAAGCAGGAUGUAAAUCAUUAUUGUUAGGAUCAAGCACACAUAAGUUUAUAGCUAACAGAGUAAUGUAUGGACCAAGAAAUAAAGUCCUAUACCUUUUAAGCACACUCUGAAAUUGAUCUGCUAACCAAAAACCUAGAUUAGGCCUCACAUAAUUUAACAUGCACCAGAUAAAAUAAAACUCAGUUUGAGAGAAAACUUCAGAGUAAUCUUUCUUUCAUAAAAAGUUAUAUGCUAAGAACCGAUGCACACAUUUCAAAAUAUGAUCACGUAAGAAAGAGCUCUUUGAUUUACUCGGGUCAUAGGCAUUGUGAUCAAAAGAUAAAUUACGCCAAAGACCAUAAGGCUCAAAAUUUUCUCUAAAAUCACAAGUUGUCCCUAAAGAUGCAUCAUUAGAAGAAUAAUCAUCAUCAAUGAAUCCUAAAGCUAGGUUAAAAUCUGUGAUAGAUUAUGAAAAAUUUCGUCCCAUUAACCUAAACUUUAUAACAUUCGGAGUAUGCAAAGUAAAAUUAUUUGGUAUAUUAAAUUGAAAAGUAGCAUAGAACUCCCUAAUCAACUCAACAUAACCGAAACAAUCAACAUCAACAAAAUUACGCAAACCAAUCUUAUCUAUCAAAGAAUUAAAAUUAUCUUUAACAUUCAAUUAUUCAAGAGUCGGGUAAUGAAUAUACUUAGCUGGAAGUAUUUUUCGCUUGGAAAUAUCUUUGUACUUUUCUUUCUUUUGUUGAGCCGUGAAUGUGAGGCACCCUCCGAGGUUGGAUUUAGCAAGUGGCAAAACACUCAUGCCUUUUCCAUGUUUCGAUCUUUGUCUCACGGCUCGGCGUGAAUUUGAAACUGUGUUCCAUGGGACCGUAGUGGGAGCAGCAGUCUUGGAUUUCUUUGCGACGGGUUUUGUUUUAGACGUUGAUGACUUGGAAGUUGAUGCUUUCCUCUUCGGCAUUGUUACAGUAAUUUCACUCACGGGUUUUGUUUGAAUGCGAAAAGCGGCGGUUCUUUGAACAGAGGAGAGUGAGGCUGUGCGAGUUGCUGGACGCGGCAAGGAUGUGCUGGAAACCGAUUGCAACGCGCUGGAAACACUGGUACAGUUGGUUGCUGGACUGGUUGUGCUGCUGGAGUGAGGAGAUGCGGCUGGUGCUGCGCUGCUGGUUGCUGGAGAUGCGGCUGCUGGAGUGAGGAGACGCGGCUGGGGACGCGAGACGUGGCUACUGACGGGAUGUUGGAUGCGGCUGCUGCUGGGAUGCCAGUCAUACGUUAGGGAUUAAAACCCUGAAAAAAAAACCUUUUUUCCGAUUAAUUUUUCAAAUAAAAUAAAAAAAAACCUUUUUUUUUCGAUUUUUUUGUAUCAAAUAAAAUAAAAAAAUAAAAUAUAUAAAAAAAACCUUUUUUAUUUUUUUAUUAUUGAAACUAAAAACUAAAAGAGACUUGAGACAUAAAAAAAAAUUCCAGAAGUACUUUUUUAAUAAGCAUAUGGGCAGCCCUUAAAACUAUUUUACUUUAAAAUCACAAAACUACUUAUUAGUAAAAACAUGGGCACGCCUAACCAAAAAUUUUCUUCUGGCCAAAAUAAGAAAAAACAUUAUUUAAACAAUCUGAAUCAAAAUUAAAACAAAUGAUAUAACAAAAAUCAAAAUAAAUAAAUCAUUUGGGUUGCCUUCCAAAAAGCGCAUUUGUUUUAUGUCUUUGGCUAGACACAUUCAUGCAUCAAUCUUCAUAAAUUGGACUCUCGAGAGCCACUUCCUCCACAAUAUACACCAAAAAACCUUUAUAAAAAGGUUUUAAGCGAUGUCCAUUAACCUUAAAAACUUUGUCAGAGGUUGGACUCCGAAUCUCAACUGCACCAUGAGGAAAAAUAUUAGUAACAAUAAAAGGUCCUACCCAACAAGAGCGUAAUUUACCAGGAAAAAGUUUAAGCUUAGAAUGAAAAAGAAGAACUUUUUGACCAACAAAGAACUCCUUUCUCAAAAUCAUUCUGUCAUGAAAUGUCUUCGUCUUUUCCUUGUAAAAUCGCGAACUCUCAUACGAUUUGUUUCGAAUCUCCUCCAACUCUUGCAGCUGCAACUUUCUCUGCUUUCCCGCUUCAUCCAUCCGCAUAUUGCAUUGUUUAACCGCCCAGUAUGCUCUGUGCUCAAGCUCUACAGGUAAAUGACAAGGAUUACCAAAUACUAAACGAUAAGGAGACAUACCUAUGAGAGUUUUGUACGUGGUGCGAUACACCCACAAUGCAUCAUCUAAUCGUAAGCUCCAAUCCUUUCGAUUUAGACCAACCGUCUUUUCAAGAAUAGACUUGAUUUCUUUGUUUGAUAUCUCAGCUUGUCCACUUGUUUGUGGAUGAUAGGCGGUAGUCACUCGGUGGGUAACAUGAUAUCUCUUAAACAAAGCCUCCACCACCCGAUUACAGAAAUGAGUGUCUCUAUCACUUAUCACUGCUCUCGGUACACCAAACCUGAGAAAAAUAUUAGACUCGACAAAAUCUACAACUUCAUCAUUGUUAGUCCGGGUGGCCUUAGCCUCUACCCACUUAGAAACGUAAUCCACUGCUAAAAGAAUGUAAGCAUUGCCAAAAGAUGAGAGAAAAGGUCCCAUAAAAUCAAUGCCCCACACAUCGAAUAUUUCACACACAAGAAUAAGGGUAAGUGGCAUUUGAUUCUUAUGACUUAAAUUGCCAGCCUUUUAACAAUUCUCACACGACUUACAAAACAUGUAUGAAUCAUAAAAUAAAGUAGGCCAAAAUAUACCACAUUCUAACACCUUAGAUGCUGUCCUUUUGGGACCAAAAUGACCACCACAUGCAUAUGAGUGACAAAACUGAAGAAUAAAAGUUAUUUCAAACUCAGAUACGCACCUUCUGAUGACUUGGUCAGAGCAAUGUUUCCACAAGUAAGGGUCAUCCCAAACAUAGUACUUAGCAUCGCUUUUAAUCUUAUCUUUUUGAGCCCUCGUCAGAUCACUAGGUAGAGUUCUUGUAACUAAGUAAUUGACAAUGUCAGCGUACCAAGGAACCAUACCUUGAGUUACAAAGAGAUGCUCAUUUGGAAAAUCAUCCUUCAAAGGUGUUACUUCUUCACUCGUGGUCAAUCUACUAAGGUGGUCUGCAACCAAGUUUUCUGCUCCUUUCUUGUCACGGAUCUCCAAGUUGAACUCUUGAAGUAGUAGGAUCUAGCGGACGAGUCUCGGUUUCGCUUCCUUCUUGGCGAGCAAAUAUUUGAGAGCUGCAUGGUCAGAAAAAAUAAUCACUUUAGUGCCCAAUAAAUAUGAACGGAAAUUUUCUAAAGCAAAAACCAUAGCCAAAAUUUCUUUUUCCGUUGUUGCGUAAUAUAUCACAUGAGCAGCUCUUCCAACCAUUUGUCGGAGAACAACACCAACAGCAUAGUUACUGGCGUCGCACAUUAUCUCACAAGGGAGGCUCCAGUCGGGUGGCUGUAUAAUUGGAGCUGAAGUCAAUAACUCCUUGAGCUUAUCAAAUACUACCUUGCAUGCUUCAUUAAAAUCAAACGUCACAUCUUUCUGAAGCAGCUUGCAUAGAGGCUGAGCUAUCUUCGAAAAAUCCUUGAUAAAACGUCGAUAGAAACUUGCGUGACCAAGGAAAAAACGAACUUCCCGCACACAUGUGGGAUAGGGUAAAGAUUUAAUAACAUUUAUCUUACCUUUAUCUAUCUCAAUUCUUCUAGCAGAGACUACAUGACUUAAAAUAAUGCCUUGAUCUACCAUAAAAUGACAUUUUUCAUAAUUCAAGAUAAGGUUUGUUUCAAUGCAUCUUUCAAGCACUUUCUUCAGAUUAUAGAGACAAUCAUCAAAAGAAUCAGCAUAGACAGUAAAAUCAUCCAUAAAUACCUCUAUAAUGUUCUCUACAUAGUCUAAAAAAAUACUGACCAUGCACCUCUGAAAAGUGGCGGGAGCGUUACAAAGACCCAAUGGCAUACGUCAGUAUGCAAAGGUUCCGAAAGGACAUGUAAAGGUAGUCUUCUUCUGAUCCUCAAGGGCAACUGGUAUCUGAUGAAAACCUGAAUAGCCAUCAAGACAACAAAAGUGAGAUUUUCUGCCAACCUUUCAAGCAUCUGAUGAAUAAAAGAAAUAGGAAAAUGAUCAUUCCUUGUGAGUGAAUUAAGCUUUCUAAAAUCAAUACAAACCCUCCACCCAUUCUGAACUCGGGUGGGUACUAACUCACCAUAAGAAUUCUCAACAAUUGUUAUAUCAGUUUUCUUCGGUACCACUUGUACCGAACUUACCCAUUUGCUAUCCGAAAUUGGAUAGAUUAUACCUGCAUUAAGAACUUUCAGAAUUUCUUUCUUCACUACUUCCAUCAUGAGUGGAUUCAAACGGCGUUGAGCUUGAAUCGAAGGUUUGGCAUCUUCCUCCAGCAGUAUUCUAUGCAUGCACGUGGAUGGACUUAUCCCUUUAAUAUCAGCAAUUGUCCACCCAAUAGCCUUUUUGUAAUCCUUCAACACUCUAAUAAGCUUUUCUUCCUCUAAAGUAUUAAGCUUUGAAGAGAUGAUCACCAGAAGUGUCUCACUAUCUCCUAGAAACAUGUACUUUAGAUGACUCGGCAGUGGUUUAAGCUCUAUUUUCGGUGCCUGCAAAAUAGAUGGAAGAAGUUUUACAUGAGAUAAAAGUAAUUCAAUAUAAGACAUAUGAUGAGUUAAAGUUCUCAAAGAAUUUAAUUCAUAAAUUGUCUCUUGCAAUACAGAAUUUAAAACAAACUCAUUUUCAUCAUUUUGCAAUCCUUUGAGGCCUAAACUGUUAUUUAAAGCAGCUAUCAAUGAAUCUUCAACAUCCAAAUAAAAAACUUCCUGCACUAUAGGGUUAAUAACAUCCACAGAAAAUACCGAAUGUUCCUCACGAGGAUAUUUCAUGGCAUAAUUCAUAUUGAACUCUAUAACCUCUCUAUCAAACUCCAUAGUGAGAGUGCCUUUAUGUACAUCCAUUUUAGUCCUAGCAGUCUUAAGAAAAGGUCUUCCUAGCAAAAUUAGGACAUAAUUAGAAGAGUUAUCCUCUUCCAUAUCAAGUACAUAAAAAUCAGUAGGAAAAACCAACUCAUUAACUUGUACUAAGACAUCUUCUAAUACCCCAUCAUGAUAUGCAUUAGACUUAUUAGCUAGUUGAAUUAUCACGCCAGUUUCUUUUAAUGGACCAACAUUCAAAGAUGAAUAAAUAGAAUGAGACAUGACAUUAAUAGAAGCUCCUAGAUCUAACAUAGCCUUUUCAACUCUAACACUACCAAUUUUGCAAGGGAUAGUAAACAUACCUAGAUCCUUGCACUUAGGAGGUAGUUUCUUUUGGAGAACUGCUGAAACAUUCUCCCCCAUGUGAACUCUUUCAUCUCCUCUUAAUUUUCUCUUGGAGGUGCACAGCUCCUUAAGGAAUUUAGCAUAUCGAGGUAUUUUUUUAUAGCAUCUAAUAAAGGAAUAUUUACCUCAACCUUGCGAAAUGUCUCAAGAAUGUCUUUCUCUUGUUCCUCCUUCUUGGAUUUUGCAAACUGGCUUGGAAAAAGAAGAGGUAUCACCACAAGUAGGGGUUUUGCUCUGGUGGGUUGAGCAUCUUGAGAUUUAGGCAUCAAUUCAUUCUUCUCAAGCUCAUCUUCUACAUGCUUUGUCACUUUCUUACUAGGCUCUUGCAACUCCUUCCCACUUUUAAGGAUGACAGCACUAGCGUUUUGCUUUGGAUUCACCUAAGAUUGUGAAGGCAAUCUCCCUGAUGCUUGAGACUCCAGGCGGCUUAUUGUAGUCGCCAAUUGACUAAUUUGGUUCUCCAAAUUCUAAAUGCUUGUUGUAGUUGCCUGAUAAAAUUGUUGAGUAUUAGUCCAAGUGAUUUAAUAAUUUCUUCAAGAGAUAUACCUGACUUGGAGUUUGACUGUGGAGGGGCUGGUUGUCUUGGUGAGUAUUGUUGUGGGAAUCCUGAUGGUCUAACUCCAUAGCUGAAGUUGGGAUGAUCCUUCCAUCCCGGAUUGUAUGUUUGUGCAUAAGGAUCAUACCUCCUCUGAGGCAUGCCUGGAAAUCCUCCAACUACAUUGGCUUGUUCAACGAGUUCUUCUUGAAGUGUCGGACACAUAUCAGUUGAAUGACCAUAUUAGAACAAAUGCCACAAGUCUUCACCUGUUGCACAUUACCUACAAUAAACUUUUUCACAAGAGAAGUAAGUUUAUCUAAACGUUGUUCAAUAGAAGAAAUAUUUACCUCAUUCACCUUCCUUAAAGUGGGAUCUUGCAUGCUGCCAAACUGUUGUGCAUUGGCAGCCAUAUUUAAGAUCAACUCCCUUACUUGAGUAGGGGUCUUGUUCACCAAUACACCUCCACUAGCAGCAUCUAUCAUACUCCUAUCCAUCAAUGACAGUCCUUCGUAAAAGUAUUGAAUAAGAAGUUGAUAAAAAAUCUGAUGCUGAGGACAACUAGCACACAAUUGUUUGAAUCGCUCCCAAUACUCAUACAAAGUCUCCCUAGGAAGUUGUCUGAUCCUAAAAAUAUCUUUUCUGAUGUUAGCAGCUCUUGAAGCAGAAAAGUACUUCUUAAGGAACUGCUUCUUCAAACCAUUCCACAUUGUAAUCGAUCCAGGAGGCAAGUAGUACAACCAGUCUUUAGCUAGCCCAUCUAAAAAGAAAGGAAAAUCACGCAGCUUAAUCUGCUCUUCAGUCACGCCUUGUGGCCUCAUACUUGAAUAGACAACAUGAAACUCCUUGAGAUGUUUAUGAGAAUCUUCACCGGCAAAACCAUGAAACUUGGGUAACAAAUGAAUAAGACCAGACUUUAAUUCAAAAUUUACCUCCAAGUCUACAUAUUGAAUGCAGAGUGGUUGCUGAUUCAAGUUUGGUUCAGCUAACUCUCUAAGAGUUCUUUCUACAAGUGUAACUCUAUCCAUCACUUGUUCUUCUGAAUCGCUAGAUGAUUCAACCAAAUCAGGCACCGUAUCUGUUUCAUAAAGCAAAGGCGACGAGGAUUGUUACUUAGCUCACUUCGUCUGCUGUCUCAGCUGGUGAGCUGUCUUCUUAAUUUCAGGAUCAAACGAAAGUGUACCUGUACGAGAAGUACGAACCAUACACCAAGUAAAACGUAAAAAGGAUUAAAUAAACGACACCAAUCCCCGGCAACGGCGCCAAAAUUUGAUGGUUGUCGAAGCCUGCAAAAAUAAAUAACUACUCUAAAUAAAUUGUGUAUAGUGAUUGAGCAGGGUCGUGUCCACAGAGAUUGAUAAUUAUUUAAAUCCUUUUAAAAUGAAAAAUGCAAAAUGGGGGAAUUGUUGACAAUAAUAAAAAUCAAAUUAAAAUAACAAGAAUGCAAAUUAAAAUUGUAAUUCAAAUUGGGAAAAGCUCUAGUUGAAGGAAUUAACUCAGCUUGAUUCGACUACUGAUCAUUGAUUCAAAUAUAAAUCAUUACUACUUAUGAAUAGACCGGUUAUAGCUACUGAGACCCUCUAAUAGCCAAUCUCUCCUUAACUAGUUGAUAGCCAAGGUACGACCAUUGGUUAUUUCCCUAAUCAAUAGACAACCCUAGAUACGAUCAUAGGGUUUAAUCAAUUGACAGUCUGAAAAACCAGAGAGACCCAAAUCUUAAUCAACAAACGCAUACGAUGAUUCAUUUAAAUUAGAUUAUUUAUUCUCAUAACACAACGCACUGCUAUGCUAUUUGUCACAAACAUUAAAAUCUUCAUACGAUGAAUCUUUUAAUUGACAAUAGAUUAAGCUGAUAAUUAAAUAGUGGCCAAUUAUCUAAUUAACAAACAUAAUCAUGACAAUAAUUUAGAGAAUAAACAAAUACCCAAAAAGUAAUAAAACAAUUAAAGCAUAAGAAAGAUCUCACAGUAAUGAUGAAUCAAAGCUUUAUUAACCUUCAACCAGAAUAAUAAGUUUAGUUCUUCAUAGAGAGAAGAGAAAAAUUUAGAUCUAGGGUUUCUUUUUCUUUCCUCCUCUAGAAAAAUUCUCAUCCCCUUUGUGUUUCAUGUCUCCUUUCUCUUAUAGAGUUUUUCCAAAAAUAAAAUACUAAUAUCUAAAAUAUUAUCUAAAUAUUAAAUUCAAAAUUACAAAAAUAACCAAAAAGGUAAAACACGUUAAAAUAAAAACUGCAGGUCCUUAGUCGACAGCACGCGUCCAUGCCUUAUCAACAAAGUUCUUCUGAAGCUCAUAAUUUCUCCAGGAAAACAAUCAUCCUCAAACAUCAUCUUAUAGCUUAAUUUUAGCACCAAUCAAUAGAAUUGCACCUACAAAAAUAAAAUACAAGUAAAUCACUAUUAUUAAGUGCAAAACAUUGAUAUUAAAGGAAGUAAACAAUGCAAAAGUAGUGCAUAGAUUGCACUCUAACACUAAUUCCACCAACAACAAAGAACUAAAACCACAAGGAUUAAAAUACACAAAAAUACACACAUUUGCUUUUUACGGAGGUCCCAACAGUGAAUUUUCUAUUUCUGUAAAUUUGAAAAGAUAACAAAUAACUCAGGGUUUUGCAUGCUCAAGGACACCACUCUAUUUACCAAAACUCAGGAUCCCCAAAACAUACUUUCCCAUCACUAUAUAUAAGGCGAGGAGGCACACUGCCCUCGUUCCAUCUCAAUUAUUUCUUCUAAUGUUUAGGCACUACUAAGCAUGUUGUGAGGAAGCACAUCUCCACUCCCCCUUGAGUAAAACAACCGCUACCCACUUAGCCUAGAAGUAAGGAUGUCAUGGAGUGUAACCGUCGCUGCCCACCUUUCUUGAUGAGUAACCGUCACAGCCUACUUCCUUUGCCCCCAUUUUCUAGGCAUGUUAUCCAAGGUCAUGCUCUCUCAUUAGUUACACCCACAACUACCUACUUCAUGCUUAAUUUUAGGUCUCAUUUUUAUUUAUAGCCAAUAAGCUCCACAUUCAACUGCCAUUGUUUGCACACAGAGUGCGUGCAAACGCCUCUUAUCUUUGCAUAGUUUGGCCCCUGUGCAUUCCCUAUUGUGAUACGCUACCUCUACAUACGUUUGCGCUACUGCCACGCGUCAUCCCGUGCGUCCUUUGGGCCCUAUGCGUCCUGCGGUCCUGCACCAUAUGCGUCCUACGUUCACGACCUACACGUCCACACACUUAUGAGAUGUUGCGUGCGUUGUCGAUGGCUUCAAACCCGACAUAAAUUUGAAGAGCUUGUCCUCAUCUAACUCGUUCUUAAUGUACAACAUUAGUGAACUGAAUUCCUUAAUGUAAUACCUCAUUAAUUCAUUAUGCCUUAGCUUUUUCUUCAAGCUUUCUCUCGCGAGCCAGCUAGUAUAUCCUGGUAGGAACUGACCCUUUAGUUUUCAUUUGAGUUUGUCCUAUAUUUCUAUUGCUGAUCACUGCACUUCAACAUCUUCUUAAAGUCUGCUCCAUAUCCCACAUAAAACUCUUCAACUCUUUGGCAUUCCGAGUCCCAUUAUAAGUCUUAGGUUUGGGCACCUUAACUUUCAAAAGUCCAUCCUUCGAACGAGAAGUGUUGUUUGCUGCCCGCUUCAACAACCCAACUUCCGUUUCGAGAUCCCCAAUGUCAACUUUCAGCACCUUCGCUAAUGCAGCAACAUCCUUAUCAUCUUAUUUAGCUUGUCCAAAAACUCAUUCACAAACUCUGUGCAAGUUAGUCUCACACUUGGUAUCUUGAUGGAGUUGAUUUCUUUGUUCUCAGCCAAACUCUCCAAGUCAGGUUGUAAAAUACCUACAAUUGCCUCCAAGUGCACUGACUUGUCCUUUGUUGAUGGCCUCAUCAUUUUGGUUUCUGUCAUUGUUAAUUUCUCCGAAAUUAUACAACUUUACUAUUGCACCGUAGCUUCCCUAAAACCACACAAUCAGCUGUUUGCAAACUAAUUUUAAUUGAAGCUUGCAAUCAAUUGCCACCUACAACAAGUUAUAAUCGUGCUUUGUAACUGAAUUCUGCAAACCCAACUAUGCCUUCUAAUAUUAGUUUCUUCUCAAAAUGAAGCAACCUUUUCUUUGAUACUAGUUGUCACCGAGACUUAUCUUAAGGAUGUGGCAACCCCACGUGAUGGUGUUAAGUCUCUGUUUAGCCAGCCACUCAACAAUGCUAACGAAAGCAAAUAAAGCAACAAGCAUGCAAAGACUCAUAAUGGAGGUCUUACAUGAAAGAUUGAUUCCACCAACAAAAGGAAACUAAAAUAGCGAGUAUUAAAGUUCACAAAAAUGCAUACUAUUUGCUUUUUACGAAGGUCCCAACCCCUAAAUUUUCUAUUUCUGCAAAUAAGAAAAGAUUACAAAUAGCUCAAGGGUUUUGUAUGCUCAACAACACUACUCUCUCUACCAAGACCUGGGAUCGCCAAGACAUACAUUCCCAUCACUAUAUAUACUAGUUUGCAAAUGACGCCCCCGUUUGCUAAGGCAAGGUGGAGCACAACCCUCGCACUACCUCAAUUCUUCUCCUAAAGUUUAGGCAUCAUUAAACAUGUUGUGAGGAAGCACAUCUCUACUCCCUCUCGAAUAAAGCAACCACUACUCGCUUAGCCUAGUUGUAAGGAUAUUAUAGAGUGUAACCAGCAGUGCCCACCUCUCUUGAUAAGUAACCACCACUGCCUACUUCUUUUACCCCUAUUUUCUACGCAUGUGAUCCAAGGCCAUGUUCUCCCAUUAGUUGCACCCACAACUACCCACUUCAUGUUUGAUUUUAGGUCCUACUUUCGAAGAAUUUGUAGCUAACAUGCUCUGCAUUCAACCACCACUGUCCCCACACAGUGAGUGCGCGAACGCCUCUUAUCUUCGCAUAGUUUGGCCCCCGUAUAUGUCCCACUGUGCUGCAAGUUUGUACGCAACCCCCGCAUGCAUUUGCGCUACUGCCUCGCGCCAUCCUGCAUUCUACCCACAUGGCCUGUGCGUGUCCUAUACGUCCCGCACGCCCCAUGCAUCCCCUGCCCGCAUGCCCCAUGCUUCCAGUGCUCGCACACCUGCAUUUCCAUGCGCUUAUGAGAUAUUGUGUGCAUUGCCACUGCAUGCCCUUGCGCACGCUUUCUCACUCUCUCUGUGCUUUUCCUUUAGCUUACGCUUGUUACCGUGCCCCAAUCUACGCAUUAGCCUUGCCUUACUUUCGUGUUUGCCUAGGAGCAUGCUCAUGUUGCUUCCACGCUUGGCAUAAGGCGACAAGCCAAGCCUAGGCAUUUGGUCAUCAUGACUCACGACAACGACACUCACCUACUAUACAAUGCAAAACCAAACAAACAAGUUACACCUCUCUAGUCACUAGUCUUGACGUACAAGUCUUUCAAUUCAUGUCUCAACUCUCCCUCAAACACUCCAUUCCAUACGUCAGUGUGUUUGAAAAAUAUGAGUUAUUUAAUGUUGUAUGAUAUUAAUUGGUUUUAUUAUUAAUUAUCAACUUAUUAUUUUUGCAAUUUGUUAUGACACAUAAAAGAUCAUAUUAUUCAAUAUCUCAAUUGAAUAUAUGAAGUGAGUAAGUAUAAUAUUACUCUUUCCAUAAUUGAUAAGUAAGGAUGGCAAAAAGACCAGACCCCGUCCUUGUCUGAUUAACCUAAUUUAAUUUUUAGGAUCUUUAAUUGAAUUUAAAGGGUCAAGGAUUAGGUUUCGGCCCGAUUACAUUCAAGUCUAGGUUAGGACUUUACUAAAAAUUCCUAACUCAACCUUUGACCCUUCAAUUAAUUUUCAAAAUUAAAAAAUAUAAUACUUAAAAAUUAAAGCACAUACACUACAAAUAUGGUCAGAACUCACUCCUCAAAUUAAUAGUAUUUUGUAUUCGAUUUAUUUACUUGUUAAUUUGGUUAGAUUUUUACAUGUUGUAUUUUCGUUAAAGCUAAAUAAAAAGUUAAUUUAUUAAAUUCCUUACAACCAAAUUUAUCAUAAAAUGGAACAAUAAUAGUACAAUAUAAUUAAUAAAGAAUGAAGAGUUGGAGUCUUACUCUAAAAAAGUAUCUAAAAAUUAAAAAGGUUAUUGCAAGGUGCGGAUAAAGCCCAAGGCUGAACCUGACCUGAAAAAGGUUGACCCUGGCCCAACCCUCAGUUUUGAGGAUCAAACUUUUGAAAACUAAGACCCUUUAUUUUUAAUCAUAGGGGCAAGGCUAGGGGUUGGCCAAGCUUGAGCUCAACUAGAUCGAUUGCCAAACUUAUUGAUAAGAAAAUAAUUAAUAGAGUUGUGAUAUUUGACCCUUCGUUGUAUCUCACCAGCCCCCACUAAUUACUUUUAUAUAAUAUUAUUUUAUCUUUGUAUGAAAUAAUUUAAAAGGGUAAAUGACUUUUAAGUGCACCCACAUGAUAAUUUUCAUUAAUAUAUAAUUUAAGUAAUCUAUUUUCUUAAACCUUAAUUUCUUUAAAUUUUUUAAAUUAUUAUUUCUUCUUAAAUAUUGUAUACUUUACUUUUGGAAGAAAUUAAUUUAUAGCACUCAAUAGAAGAUGAUGAAGAAAUAUUUUUUUUUAUGGUUAUGGUAAUGAUGGAUAAAUCUUUAAAGAGAGAGAGAGAGAAAGAGAAAGAGAUUAUAGUGAUUUUGAGAUUUUGAGAUUUUUUUUUCUUUUUGAAGUAGAUUUUAUAAAUUUCAUUCGGUGGGUGCUUGGAAAAAAAGAUAAAAAAAUCAUAAUAAAGAUAAAUUUGCGAUUCAAUGGAGUAAUAGACAAAAAUUAGUUUAAAAUUUUUAAUAACGUUAACUGAAAAGGGAUUGGUAAAAGGGUCAGGCUACAGUGCAACGGGUGGUACCGUGCCACAGUUUCACCAGCCGUUGGGUUCACUCAAAUGCGUGGGGUCUACUUGAAUAAGUGGGAAUCCAACGGUUGGGUGCAACUGUGGCACGGUACCACAGUUGCACCACAAUUUUAUCCUUGGUAAAAUAUAAUAAGAGGGUCAAAUCUACCACUCUAAUUAGUAUCGUUUUACUCAAAAGUUUUGCUUAAAAGUUUUACUUAUAAAUUUUGGAUUUUGACCAGCUUUAAAUAUAAAAAAAAAAUUGAGAAAAAGUUACUUUAAAAUAUCCAUACAUCAUCCCAAAAAGUUGUACCCAAAAAAAAAAAAAGGCCCAUUCUGGUUAAAUUCAAAAUUAAAAACCCGGCCCGUUUCCCCACUUAAGACCCUCCUAGCAGUUUUAAAAUUUUUUCCCAGCGAAGAAUAGAAGUGAUGGCAGCUGCUCUAGCUUCCGACGCAUCGCAAUGGGAAUUUAGCUGGUUUUAAUUCUCUCUCUUAGCUAUUUCUGUUUCUUUAUUUAACAUUGUGAUAUAUAUUUAUUAUGCUAGAGGUUCUACUAAGUCUCCCUUUACUGGGACUUUUCUCAUCUUGGGAAAUGUUAAUUUUGCCUUAUUUAUUCAAUAUUGUUAUCUUCCACUGUCAAUAAAUUUUAUGCUUUGGUUGGUUAUUCAAUGUGGGUUUGUUCCAUUUUGUUCUUACGCUGUUUGUAUAAAUAUUGAAGGUUUGUUUUUGAAGAUGGCUUUCAGUUAAUUGCCUUCAAAGCUUUAUUUCCUAAAAGAGGAAAGAAAAAUAUACCAAAAUGUUUAAUUUCUACUGCUAUAUGUUUGCGUUUUUAGCUUCUGCUAUGCUUUGUAUUGUGUUGUUUGUGUUGGUAUUAAUGCUAGAAAGAUGUUUUCUUUUCUAAUCUGAUUGCCUAGAAUGAAUAUGAGGUGGUUAUUGAGUUGCAAUAUAUCAAAUCAAUUGAAGUCAUCUGCUUCGUAGGUUUUGAUUCUAUAAAUUGUUUUCAUUUCAGUUACGACACAAUUGCAUGGGUGUUCGAGGAAAUCUAGUACUUCAAAAUAGUAUUGAUUAUUUGAGAAACCAAUAAACUCCCAAAAUACAAUUUACAAGUUGCGAAAAUAAUAGUACUCAAGACACUCUUUUAUUGAAGGAAAAUUAUCAGUCAUAUAUUUUUAAAUGACACCUGUAUCAAAUAUGUGUGAACAUUUUUCAAGUGUAUAACUCGUAUAUCCUAAGUUGAUAAAACACUUCUGCCGUCCACUAAUCCAUUAACUUCUGUUAGAAAAUGAAUAGAAUUAUGGUAAAUUGACUAUUUCGCCCUUGAAACUCAAAAUGAGGUAAAAAAAAAAUUUACCCCAAAAAUUAACAUAAAUUUUUAAUACACAUUUUUUUUUAUUUUGUUAUUAACAAUACAUUUUUUUGAUUAAAAAAAUGAAUUAUUAAUGGUACAUAUUAUUAACAAUUAUCCGUCAAAAUAUCUAUAUUAUACCAUAAAAAUUAUUAACAACAUAUAAUUUACAAUUAUACAUAUUAUACCAUAAAAAAUUCCAGUUGGAGCUUGGAGGAGUAGAUCUUCAAAAAUUUAGAUUAAAUUUUGGAGUAGAUUCGGUUGUAAAGUAAUAUUUUUUUAGCAAUUAUUAACAAUUAUCCAAUAAAGGGAAUGACAUGUCAUUUUUAUCAAUAUAUAUCAUAUGACAUGUCAUUUUUUACUAGGUAAAUGGGAUGACAUGUCUUUUUUUAAUCAAAGUUUCGUCCAUCUUAAAAGACUAGAUUACCCUUAUGAUGUCAGCGUUUACAAACGGCAGUUAACGGAUUGGUGGACGACAGAGGUAUUUUGUCAACUUAGGGUAUACGAGUGAUAUACCUUAAAAGUGUUCACACACGUUUGAUACAUGUGUCAUUUAAGAGUAUAUGACUGAUAAUUUCCCUUUAUUGAAUAACAUCAAACUUUAAAUAGAACUUUAGUUCAAAGUUACAAGCAUAAAAAUAGCAAGCAUUAAGCAUGUUCUCCAUCAUUCUUUAUGAAUCCACAAAAUAAGGGACCAACUAACAACUUAAUUUUGACUUAUUAAAAAACAGCUACACUUAAAAUAUAAAGUAAAUAAUUAAAACCAAUAUUAAAAUAGAAAGAUUGUAACAGCUUUUCUAUUUUUCUGUUAUUGUGUUUACUUUAAUCAAUGGGCCGUGGCACAUAUUGUUAAAUUGUGGAUCGGGUAGUUUACUGGACACGUGAACUAAUUUGUAAUUUAGUUAUAAGUUGUGUGAACCAUAAAAAAAUAAAGUCAGUGGUACUAUUAUUGGAAUAUUGGAUAGUUCUGAAAGGUUUUUGAAUAAGCUGGCAUUGAGGAUAAUAUACUAUUGGAAGUUGAGGGGGUGAACUGUUCUCAGUUCUGUUUGUUGAGGAACAGGACAGAGCAUCUGUGUAGAAAAUAUAAAUUGAACAAAGAAUUGCUGUUUGGCAGCUAGGAAAAUGAAAGGAAAAUUUCUUAUUUCAUUUGAUGAACUGAUAUUUUGCACAUACUGAAAAAUCCAGAAUAUGUAGCUAUUUAUAUAUGCAUUACACACGCUAACUAAUUGAGAACUAACUAACUAUUAGUAAAACUAACUUUCACUCAGCUCACACUCAACACAUAUACAGAGGCUGUAUAAUAGAGUUAGUUAGGCUGUUAGCUGCUGCUGAUUUGGAUUCUCUGACGUGGCACUAAUGACAGCUGGCAACUUGACAUUCUUGAUACGAGACUUGAAAACAGACUGAUUCUUCUUCUUCACUUCUGCAUAAUGAGCUAUCUUCACAAUCUGUAAUUCCUCUGUUGUUUACGAGUUAUCUAUUUUUUUCCCAUGACAGUGUAGUGCUCUUUGUCCACCUUUCAGAAAGUUUUUAGAGGAACUGUACCUGAAAUGUUUUGUUGUUUCUUAGAAAAUGGUUUUUCCCAUGCAGUGACUUUGAAGUGGAUUACGAGUCCAAUGAGAAUGCAUCAAUUGUGCAUGCAGCAUUAGCUAUUGAUAAGGAGGUGAUCCACCACGAUCAUAUUCCUAAGAUCAUACUUUGCUCCUUUAACUUUAUUGCUUGUUCAAUAAAUUCUUACUUGAUAAGGAGGUGAUCCACCACGAUCCUAUUCCUAAGAUCAUACUUUGCUCCUUUAACUUUAUUGCUUGUUCAAUAAAUUCUUACUUGAAUUCAAUUUCCAAGUGCAGUUGCAACCAGACAAAGUGAAAAGGCAGAUAUCUGUGAUUAAUGGGAAACUUUUAGUGUAAAUUUCUAUUCUUUGGUCAUUCUUAUAACUGAUUUUUCAUUCUUGUCCAAUAUUUAUUCAAUUUGCAUCUAUCAGUUUAUCCUAUGAGACAAUAUUCAUUUGGAACUUUUGUGUGGCCCGUUCAACAAUCAUUUUUCCCCUUUUCCUGAAAAAUUUUCAAAUAUGUUACUUCAGAAGAGUUCUUCCUCUAAGAUACCAUUGUUCUUUAGUAUCUCAACUUUGCUUGGACUUUGCAGUUUACAAGUUUCUACAUUUUGUUUAUUUUCUCAUCUGAUUCAGGCACUUUGAGGCAGUUGAGGCCAGGAUUCUUCGUGCAUCAUUUUCUGCUUUUGUAGAUGUGCUUACACUUGCGACAAAAACUAUCGUACAGUUUGGUCAUGGAACGGAAUUGUAACAUCAUACUAUCUUUGGCAGUUGGAGAAUCAUUCUUAGUAGGAACUGUAUUACUUUAAUUCGCCUUCUUGUUUCGGAUUAGUUGACGUUUUUGUAACAAGAGAAUCUAUAGUGUUCGUUUUAUAAUGUAAAUCUUCAAAUUAUCGGAAACCUGUAACAAAUUCUUCAAAGCUGUGAAUUAUAAGUUUUUUUUUUUUUUUUUUUUUAAUCAUUGGGUUUUAUCAAGAGGUUGCAGCUGUAAAUGUUAUAAUCCUCCCUUAGACCUUUUCAAUAAAGUUAUUGACAAGCUAUCUCCAACUCUUUCAGUUUGGGCCAAGCUAGAUCGCCAGACCUCACUUCUAGGGCUUUUCUGUUUACCCCUCAAACAGUUCAAUCUGAUAUUGAUUUCGUAGAGUGAGUAGAAUGAAGAAUUCAUUUGUGCUAAUAUUCUUCCAGCCGUUGAUGCAAUUCUUUACCAUUGUGUGACACAGGAGGUACCUACUUGGCUACCAAGUGGCCCUCAGCUUAACGCACCUCGAUAGCCUUCAUGCUUUUAGAAUUCAUCUAGCUGGUGGAAUCCUAUCUGGAGUCUCUCUAUAAGUUCGAAAAUCAAGAUUUUUCUAUAGCAAGCGUCAAGGUCAAGGGAUUUCUUGUCACCCAAAAGGAACCCAGAAAAGAUAAAAUCGUAGACAGCACUGUUUCACAUGCUGGAAUUCUGGGGAGGGUGCUUAUCAUGUGCUUGUGGCUAUAAAUAUGCUCGAAAAAAUUGGAAAUUGAUGCUGCAAUCCCUCUGCCUGGAGCCUCAAAGAAAAAAAAAAAAAAAAAGCCCUUUUAUAGCUUUGCUAAGAUGAAAGAUUACAGACUUAGCAAGGCUGACACUCAGCAACAAUUUUCUGCAUACACUUUAUCUUGGGCAGAAUCACCAAAAGUCGAUGCAUCUUUAAAUUUAGAAUAAAAGCAGAUUCGACUUGUAUUAUAAGAAAUUCAAAUGGGGUGUCACGGCUGCUUCCAUCUCUAGGAAAACUUGCUUAGAAAAUAUGCUGAAUGCUUUGGCAAUUCUUGAUGGCGUCAAAAUGGCAGUUGAUUCUGGACUGCAACCACCACUAACUGUUGAAUCUGACUAUUUUAAUGCAGCGAAAUCAAUCUUAAAGAAGAGACUUCGGAUGGAUGAUCAAAGGAAUGCUCGGUUAUGUAAGAAAAGGAAAACAAUUUAUAGUUGCAAUACACUCAUCAAUAAUCUCAGGAACCUCUGAUGAUUGAAUUACAAUUUUUUUAAAUCCAUUCCAGAAUACAAGCAUACCUGCUCAUGCAAGAUAUUCGAUGCUCUGUUGGAAAAUUUUCAAAAUAAAUGGUGUCUUAUGGUAAAGAUAUGUCCUAUUAAUUGUGCCUUAUAGAAAAUGUAUCUUCACUAAAGACAUGUCUAAUUAAAUGAUGUCUUAUUGUAAGAACAUGUCAAUUUAAUUGUGUCUUAUAGAAAAUGUAUCUUUUUACUAAAUAAUCUAACUUUUCAUGGUAACAUUUCACUUAGAGAUGCAUCAUUUCAUGGUGACAUUUCAUUUGAAAUGGUGAUGGUUCAAUUUGGACCAUUGAUUAAAAUUAAAUCUAGAUCCAAUGGCCAUGAAUGAAAGGAUAUCAUGAAAGAUGACAACCCGAAUGAAGGGGCACAAGUAUAUCUAUAAAUAGGGGUCAUGUUUAAGCCAUUUAGACAUGAAAUUAAUGAUCCUACACCACUCUUUUCUUGGCAUUCCUUUCUAGUACGAAUUUCAACACAAAACACCCAUUUCUUUUGUGCAUUAAAAAUCCAAUAUAUUGUUUUCUGCAGGAACAAUAUAUUGUUUCUUGGCAGACUUGCAACAUUCAAGAGUAUUCUGGUUUGCUUUCGUCGAUGCAUAACGCAAGCAAACAAACAAGUGCUUCAUUGUAUCCUGAAGGCGUAUUUGCUUAACCCAUGUGCAUCACUCAAUUGGUGGGGGCAAAUAACGUCUUAAGGAAAGCGACAUUUGUAACGUGCCUUGAAACACACAAAUUUUCUGCAGUUUACUUAUUAAUAUUAUUUUUCUUCCUACAUACAGAGUUAGUUGUAAACACAUUACUUUACGUAAUAAAGUUCCACCAUUAUUGUUGCAUUUCUCUACAUUUGCCAUUCCCCACAAUUUCAACCACCAACAAUCUUAAGACGUUAUUUAUGCAACAAUGGCACCAAGUUCAUCUUUUCGACAAUUCGCAAUAGAUUUUGUUAAAUUGGAGCGAUUCGAUGGUGGCAACUUUAUUCGUUGGCAGAAAAAGUUGCAUUUCUUGUUGACAAGCCUCAAUGUGGUCUAUGUUCUCACAACACCAAAGCCUCAAGAACGUGAGGGUGAGACAUUAGCAUAAACCAGAGUGCGGUAGAAGUGGGAGCAAGAUGACUAUGUGUGCAAGGGACACAUUUGCAAUGCAAUGUCUGAUACUUUGUUUGAUCAAUAUCACAACAAAACUACAGCAAAAGAAAUAUGGGACUCAUUAGAGACUAAGUACAUGAUGGAAGAAGCCACAAGUAAGAAAUUCUUGGUUUCUAAAUUUUUUAAUUAUAGAAUGGUUGAUAAUAGACUUGUGGUUGAACAAUAUAAUGAGAUUUUGCAUAUUCUUGAUCAAUUCAACCAACAUAACAUGAAAAUGGAUGAGUCUAUUAUUGUCUCUUCAAUUAUUGAUAAACUUCCUCCCUCUUGGAAAGACUAUAAGAAAAGUCUUAAACAUAGCAAAGAGGAAAUUAGUCUGGAUGGCUUAGGCCAAAGUCUUCGUAUUGAAGAGGAACUCAAACUUAAUAGUCUUGAGGACCAGGCUACUAUGUCCUCUAAAAUUAAUGUUGUGGAGGAGAGGAAGGAGUUUAAGCAUUUUAAUCACCCUAAGAAUAAGCAAAAGAGAAAGUUUGAUUCCAACGAGAAUCAAAACAAUAAGAGGAAAAAGAAGGGUACAUGCCACCACUGCGGAAAACUUGGCCACUUCAAAAGAGAUUAUUGACUUCUGAAGAAACAAAAGGAAGUUUCGAACACAAAUUUUGUGGCCAUGAUAUUUGAGAUUAAUGUUUUCGAAGAUGAUAAUGCAUGGUGGAUAGAUUCUGGUGCAACUAAGCGUGUAUGCAAAGAUCGUAGCCUUUUCAAAUCUUAUAAAGCAAUGGAUGAUGGAAGUGUUCUUUACAUGGGAAAUUCCUCCAUUGCAAUAGUUAAAGGAAAAGGCAAUGUGCAACUACAGUUUACUUCUGGAAAAACUUUAACUCUUACUGAUGUUUAUCAUGUUCCUGAAGUUAGGAAAAACCUUGUAUCUAGUGGGCUUCUUGAUAAGUUUGGCUUCAAACUUAUUUUUGAGUCAAACAAAUUUAUAUUGUCUAAGGGUGGUACCUUUGUUGGGAAAGGAUACAUGUAUGAAGGAAUAUUUAAACUCAAUAUCAAUAAUAUGAAUGUUUCUUUUGCUUAUAUGGUUGAUUCAUUAUCUUUGUGGCAUAAUCGUCUAGGACAUGUGAAUGUUAGAAGAUUGCAUGAUAUGGCUAAUUUGGAGUUAUUUCCUAAGCAUGAAAAUGAUAUGCAUGAAAAAUGUAAAGUAUGUGCACAGACUAAAUCACAAGAUCUCCUUUUUCCAAAAAUUGAAAAAACAUCUUCUUUAUUGCAUUUAAUUCAUAGUGAUGUGUGUGAUAUGCAUAGUAAUCCUACUAAAGGUGGUAAAAAAUAUUUUGUAACAUUUAUUGAUGAUUUUUUAAAAUAUUGCUAUGUAUAUUUAUUACAUUCUAAAGAUCAAGUGUUAGAGAAAUUUAAAACUUAUAAAAUGAAGUUGAGAAUUUUUGUGACACUAAAAUUAAAUGCCUUAGAAGUGAUAAAGGAGGUGAAUAUGCUUUUUUUGAAUUUUGUGAAUCUGUUGGCAUUGUACAUGAAACUAGCACUGCAUAUACUCCACAACAAAAUGGCGUAGCUGAAAGGAAAAAUAGAACAUUAAUAGAAAUGGUUAAUGCUAUGCUUUUUACUGCUGGGCUUGGUAAAGGUUUUUGGGGUGAAGCUAUUUUAACUGCAUGUCAUAUCUUAAAUAGAGUGCCUAAUAACAAGACAAAGGUGACCCCAUAUGAAUUAUGGAAAAAGAGAAAGCCUAAUAUUUCUUAUCUAAGAGUUUGGGGUUGCCGAGCCAUUGUAAGACUACCUGAACCUAAGAUAAAGAAAUUAGGAGAAAGGGGCAUUGAAUGCAUAUUCUUGGGAUAUGCUAAGCAUAGUAAAGCUUAUAGGUUUCUUGUAAAAGAACCUAAUAACUUUGUUGAGAUCAAUACUAUAGUGGAAUCUAGAGAUGCAAUAUUCUAUGAAAAUAGAUUUUUCACUAUACCAAAAAGUAUUGAUUCUCAAGAGAAUGAUAAACAAAUAGAAAUUAGUCAAAAGUGUGAUGCUAAUAAUGAGCAAAAUCAUUUGAGAAGAAGUAAAAGAAUAAGGACUAUAAAAUCUUUUGGACCAGAUUUUAUAGUCUAUUUAGUGUAAGGGACAAGAGACUUACAAUCAAAACAGACCAUGAUCACACCUACUGUAAAGUCUGAUCCCCUCACCUAUGAAGAGGCAAUGAAGUCUCAAGAUGCUGCUUUUUGGAAAAAGGCCAUUAAUGAUGAAAUGGACUCUAUUAUGGGUAAUAAGACUUUGAAAUUAGUUGAUUUACCACCUGACUCUAAUCCUAUAGGUUGUAAAUGGAUUUUCAAAAAGAAGAAGAAAGUUGAUGGAACAAUUGAAGGAUUUAAAGCAAGACUAGUAGCAAAAGACUUUACACAAAAAGAAGGCCUUGAUUAUUUUGAUACUUAUGCACUUGUUGCAAGAAUUGCUACUAUUAGAGUCUUGAUUGCUUUGGCUUCAAUUUAUCAUUUUGAAAUCCAGCAAAUGGAUGUAAAAACAGCUUUCUUAAAUAGAGAAUUAGAUGAGGAAAUUUACAUGAAACAACUAGAAGGGUUUGUUAUGCCAGGACAAGAACAUAAAGUUUGUAAACUAGUCAAGUCUUUAUAUGGUCUUAAACAAGCUCCAAAGCAGUGGCACGAAAAGUUUGACAAAGUGAUUGUCUCAAAUGAAUUUAAUAUUUAUGAAUCUGAUAAAUGUGUCUAUAGCAGAUUCAAUGGAAAUAAAGGUGUGAUUAUUUGUUUAUAUGUAGAUGACAUGUUAAUUUUUAGUAUUGAUAGUGAGAGCAUUGAACUCACUAAAUCAUUAUUGUCAUCUAAUUUUGAUAUGAAAGACAUGGGACUUGCUGAUAUGAUUUUAGGGAUUAAAAUUAUAAAAAAUAAGAAUGGCCUAGUAUUGACCCAAUCACAUUAUAUUGAGAAAAUUUUAAAGAAAUUUAAUUAUUAUGAUUGUAAGCCUGUGUCAACACCUUUUGAUUCAAACAUAAGAUUGUAUCCUAACACUGGCAGAUCAGUAUCCCAAUUAGAAUAUGCACGUGUUAUUGGGUGUCUUAUGUAUGCGAUGACUUGUACUAGGCCUGAUAUUGCUUUCGCUGUUGGAAAACUGAGUAGAUAUACUAGUAAUCCAAGCCAAGCACACUGGCAAGCAGUGUACAAAAUUCUAAAAUAUUUAAAACAUGCAAUGGAUUAUGGUAUAUACUACAUUGGAUAUCCUUCUGUUUUGGAAGGAUUUUCGGAUGCUAGUUGGAUUACUGAUCGAGAUGAUCAUACAUCCACAAGUGGUUGGAUUUUUAAUCUUGUUGGAGGAUCUAUUUCAUGGGGCUCAAAGAAGCAAACUUGUAUAGCAGACUCCACCAUGGCUGCAGAAUUUGUAGCUUUGGCUUCAUGUUGCACGGAAGCUGAAUGGUUAAGGAAUUUGCUUAUAGAAAUUCCUAUUUGGCCUAAACCAAUGCCUCCUAUGUCCAUUCAUUGUGAUAGUGAGGCAACUUUGUCAAGGCCAUAUAGUAAAAAAGAAUUGUGUAUUUUUGAAAAAGUUAAAAAAAACAGGUGGACGGUGGAUAUUUUCCCAUGGAGUUAUCAUAAUUGACUUUGUGAAAUCAUGCCAAAAUUUGGUGGACCCCUUAACUAAAGGCCUUAUAAGGGAUAUUGUAUUUAAACCUUCUAAGGGGAUGGGACUGAAGCCAGCAUCAUCUUAUUACCAAUGAUGGAAACUCAACCAAACACUUGAAAUAUCAAGAUCUUGGGUUCAAUGAGCAAAAGUACAUCAUAUGUUGUGAUAGCAAAUACUAUAAUAUUUUUAGAUGUAUCCCAAAGGUUAGUGCUUGAUACCUGUAACAUAUGGGAAAGGUUAAGCUACUUAACUUUUAAUAGACUUAUAAAUGUUUUAGUUACAGGGACAUUUUAGAUAAGUCUACCUAUAUGAGUGUAGGAGAUGGUGCCACUUCCUAUGUAACUUGGCUGGUUACUAAAGCGCUCAUGAAAACAGGAUAUAGACACAGGGCCAAUCCACGUGUCGGCUAAAGAAUAGUUGAGAAUUUGAAAACUUAUGUGUGAGAUAUAUCCGGUUAGUCGAUUAAGGUCGCUGGUUCAAAGCUUUUCUACCAUGCCACCUUGAUUAACCUUGAUGUAUUGUCACUAAGUGAAGGUUCAAGUCCAAAAGACACCUUUAUCUAUGCAUAAGUUUUCCAAGCCUGUGCAAGAUAAUUUUUUAAAAUUCAUUUAUUUUGAAAAUGGUGGGGGAUUGUUGGAAAAUUUUCAAAAUAAAUGGUGUCUUAUGGUAAAGAUAUGUCCUAUUAAUUGUGCCUUAUAGAAAAGAUACCUUUCACUAAAGACAUGUCUAAUUAAAUGAUGUUUUGUUGUAAGGACAUGUCAAUUUAAUUGUGUCUUAUAGAAAAAAGGUAUCUUUUUACUAAAUGAUAUAACUUUUCAUGGUAACAUUUCACUUAGAGAUGCAUCAUUUCAUGGUGACAUUUCAUUUGAAAUGGUGAUGGUUCAAUUUGGACCAUUGAUUAAAAUUAAAUCUAGAUCCAAUGGCCAUGAAGAAAGGGGUAUCAUGAAAGAUGACAACCCAAAUGAAGGGGCACAAGUAUAUCUAUAAAUAGGGGUCAUGUUUAAGCCAUUUAGACAUGAAAUUAAUGAUCCUACACCACUCUUUUCUUAGCAUUCCUUUCUAGUACGAAUUUCAACACAAAACACCCAUUUCUUUUGUGCAUUAAAAAUCCAAUAUAUUGUUUUCUGCAAGAACAAUAUAUUGUUUCUUGGCAGGCUUGCAACAUUCAAGAGUAUUCUGGUUUGCUUUCGUCGAUGCACAACGCAAGCAAACAAACAAGUGCUUCAUUGUAUCCUGGAGGCGUAUUUGCUUAACCCAUGUGCAUCACUCAAUUGGUGGGGGCAAAUAACGUCUUAAGGAAAGCGACAUUUGUAAUGUGCCUUGAAGCACACAAAUUUUAUGCAGUUUACUUAUUACUAUUAUUUUUCUUCCUACAUAUAGAGUUAGUUGUAAACACAUUACUUUACGUAAUAAAGUUCCACCAUUAUUGUUGCAUUUCUCUACAUUUGCCAUUCCCCACAAUUUCAACCACCAACAUGCUCUGCAUCCGAAACUUCGUCGACCUUUGCAUCUAAGAGAUCAUUAACCUUACAGAACUCAAAUGGUCCACAGUAUUCACAAUGAUCUUUCAAUGUUUCCACCACUCUGCGUAAAUAUGAAGAUGGUUUGUUUUCUCAAUAGAAAAUUGAAAUUAUCAGCUGUAAUUAGAGCAACUCACAUUUGCUUUUGGUCAUCACUGGUGUACCAUAGUUCAAGAUAUUCGGUCGCUGAGUAUAACUGUGUUCUCAGGUUUUUCAAAUCUUGAAAGUAAAGUCGCUUGAGUUAAAAAAAAGACCACAGUAAAUAUUUCCAUAAGAACUUAAAUGUUUUACAAAUUGGUGCUUUUGUAUUUCCAUAACUGUGCUUUUGUAAGGCUAGUCGAAAAAUGAGUAAAAUUUGGAAAUUGACACACGAUCCACCGUUUAAAUCAUAUAAACAAGUAUCGCGCGAUGAAACAAGAGUUACCCUUGAAGACAUAUGCCCCUAUUUGCCACAAUCCUUUUUUUUUUUACUUUUUCUUUUCUUAAAAGUGAAUGUUGAGGUGGGUGCAACUUUUAGUAAUAGCUAUUAGUAGCAUAAAACAAAGAUUGCACGCUCUAAAACAAUUGUAAUAGGGAAACGGGUAUAGACAUACAAUCCAACAGAUUAAAACAAAAUAGAGAAACAGUAGUACCUUGAGACUAUCAGAGAAUAGCAAGCUCCGCUACCCUUUUCUUAAAAGUGAUUGAUUAUGAUGAAACAUUCAGCCUUGUAAUUAAGCUUGCUCCGGUUUGCUUUGUGUUUGGCAUUACUACAAGGAUGGUAUUUGCGACAACUUCGGUGUGAGCAAUGCUUUUUUACAUGGGCACCUAUCAAAGGAGGUAUUUAUGCCUCAGCUACCUCGUUUUAUUGAUCCCACGUAUCCUACUUAUGUUUGCUAACUUAAAAAGGCACUCUCUGGCCUUAAGCAAGCUCACGUUCUUGGAACAACACUGAGCUUCGAAACUUUUUUUCUAUCGACGGGAUUUUUCACUUUACUAUCAGAUUCUUCUUUAUGUAUCUAAUCUCAUGCUAGUGUGCAUGAGAUUAUCUUUGUGGGUAAAUAAACUUUCAUCUGUCGCCAUAAUGUAGCUAGGCACCAAUUAUCCUGUAUAUUACUGUCGCAUGAAACACAUAGCCAUUGACUUUCACUUUGUUCAUCACAAAAUUCAAAAUGGUGUUCUCCGGGUGUCUCAUUUAUCAUCUCAAGACCAAUUAGCAGAUGCCGUCACCAAAACUCCAUCUCAUCAACGAAUAAGUCUUCUUUGUUCCAAGCUCGGUGUCGCAAAUGGUAGCGCCAUCUUACAGGGGCAUAUUAGAGAUACUCUCAAAGGCACGGUGUAAUUGUACAACCUUUUUAUCAUUUGUAUAUACGACUUUCAUAACUUUAAACUGCAAUUGUGUACUUACUAUAAUUAACUAGCUUUAGUUGUGUAUAUAUUGAAAUCAUAUCAAUAGAAACAGUAAGCUGCGUUGUUAUUUCCUUUCUCUAUAUUAUUUAUUGUAUAAACCUAACUUUUUUCAGCCCUUUUUUUCCCCCAAAUCUGACACUUUUUUUUUAAUAAAUUUAUUUACCCACACCUGUGUCGUUUGUCUCACCUUUUUUUUUUUUUUUUCACUUAUUUCGUUACCCAGGCCACACUUUUAUAAACUUUGUCCUGGCCCCGCACUCUACUUUUGUUAGUUUUAUCAAAUGAGCAGCACUAGCAGCACCGUAUGAUUAUCUUUUCAGACCCCUUCUGGUAUAUCAAAGAAGCCCUAUAACAAAUACAUCCGUAAAAUAUCUACCAAAGAUACCUCAACAAGCUAGUGAAGCAGGGAAUGACUCCAUUCCUUAAGCCCAUGUUUGGUUGGGAGAAAUGAUAGAAGAGGAGAGGAAUAGAAAGGAAAGAAUGAGGGAAAAAUGAGUGUAAAUGAUGGUCAAAUUCAUUUGCAUUGUUUGGUUGGAUAUGGAAUUCAUCUUUUUUUCCUAUUUCUUUCCUCUCUCUUUUCCUCUCCUCUUCUCUCCUCAUAUUUCUUAAAACCAAACAUGCCAAUUGACGACCUGUCUGGUGUCCCCUUGCCUACAAUAAAAAUUGAAAUUAGGCCAUUUAGAUUAAAGAUAAGACGGAAUGGAAAUAUGGAAUCGUUAACAAUUAUAGCUAUGACCCAUCUAAUUUGCAAAUGGUUCUUUCCCUUUCAAUAUUAUUGUACGUAUUUGCAAGGAAACCUCUUCUAUCUUUCUUGCAAUUAAGACUUUUGCGUAUCCAAUUACUGUCAACUGUUUUUGAACGUGUAGAAGAUAACAACUUGAAGACUUGAGAGAGAGCCAGCGUUAAUUCAACGUCAAGAGUAGCUUAUUAGUUUGCAGGAUUCAAGAGUAGCUUACUGUCAACUGUUUUUGAACGUGUAGAAGAUAACAACUUGAAGACUUGAGUGAGAGCCAGAUGCUGGGUAUAAGGUCUAUAAAACUUUACUAUUAUUUCAUAAAAUUGUUUUAUUUUUUAUUCCUCAUCACAUUGGGGAUUACGCCCCCAAUGACCCAUUUGAUUUUCAUUUUUAUGUAGGUUAGUAGUGUUACUGAAAAUCAAAUAUUGUCUCUUUUUUUCCACUUAUUGAGGACUAUGGAAUUAAACAAAACUCACCAAUGGCAUAAAAUAUACACACUACUAGAAAAAUAAGCUACUAUGACAGAAUUUUUGUGAUAGAUAUUCAAAAAUUAGUCAUUUAUCACAAAAAUAUGAUAGAUUCGUGAUAGAAUUUUUAUAUAUCAUAAAGGCAUGAUAAAUUUGUGAUAGUUUAUUUAUUUAUCACAUACACAUGAUAGCAUAUUAAUAUUUAAUGAAACGAUGAGUUUUGAAUGGGUUAAUUUAGACAUAGAACGACACCGUAUCUUAAAAAAAAAAAUCAUAAGUGGUAGACUCUCCUUUCACUUCAAUUGGCAAACCCUAAUUUCCAAAUCAUACACAAAAACAAAAUCACGCUGCCGACAAAAAAUUUGGUCCUCUGCUGCGCUGCUUGCCGACAACAAAUUUCUACUCUUCGUCUUCGUCCUUACUCUUUAAUCUGCUGCUGCUACUACUUGCCGAUGAACAACACGCUCAAGUUCAGCUAGGUCUUUACUUCCUCUUUUUCUUAUAUUAUAUUCUUUUGAUUUGAUUUGAUUUUUCUGUGAUCUAAACGCCGUUCUUGCUGAUAUUGGUGAUGAACAGUCCUUGUCACAAUUUUGACCGAUCUGAUUGCUAUUCAUAUAAGUGAUUAUUCUACUAUUAUAUAACCUGCACUGGGUUACUCAAUAUGCAAGCCUUUACGUUUUAUCUUCAGAAUAUGCAAAGGUUCCUUGGUUUGAUUCAGUUCUUGCUGAUAUUGGUGAUGAACAGUCCUUGUCACAAUCUUUAUCUACCUUCUCUAGCCACUUGAAACAAAUAGGUGUAAGGAUAUUCACCUUUCAGAAGCAGUUAAUCAAGUUUGUUUGGAACAAAUGCCCCUUUUUCAACGCUAUUCUUUCUCAUUUUUGUAUUAUGUCAACAAUCUUUAUAAACUGCUUUGAUUCUUUGCAGAUAAUUUUGUUUUCUUAUAAAUUAUUAAGACAUUUAACAAGAAAAGGCACAAGCUCUUGUUGGGAUGUACUUAAUACGAUUUGCAACUUGUGUCAGUGAUGGAUCUCAUGAACUCCUAAGCUUAGUUACUAUAUUGUCAGUCCUGAAUCACUUAUGAUAAUGCUGGUUUUAUUUAUUUAUUUAGUUAUUUUUGGGAUAUUACUAGUUUGUAUUAUAAUACAUUCAUAGUACUGUUGUAGUUUUAUGAUUCCAAUUUAAGUUGACUGAAGCCAAAUUGCUCCUUUGGCAGUAACUACUUCUUCGAGAAUGCUUGUAUGGAGUUCGAUAAAGUUAAAUUAAAGCCAACUUACAAGGUCCUUUGGGGGUACCAGGUUACAUAAUUAUAACUUCUAUUUAUUUGAUGUCUGAAGUGUUAAUGAGUUUAUUAAUUUGGUUUUUUCAAGCCUUAGUGAUUAGAGCUGUAACUAUAAGUUGGCUUCUCCUAUAAAUUACUUCUUGUAGAUAUUAUAUGAAUUGCUAAGAACUUACUUAUGCAAUCUCUAGGUACGUAGAUAUUUGUUUACUUUUCUCCAGAUAAAUGCCAACUGAAACAACUAUUAAAUGCCCAGACUGAAUAUUAAAUGUUACUUAAACAAUUGAAAAUUUUUAUUCUCUUGUAAAUUUCGCUUUAGAAGUAUUGUAUAUUCCCUCUUUGAGCUAAUAAUACUAGUUGGUAGUCGUGCUCUGAACUUUUGGAAACUAAUAUUUUUCCCCGAGGAACUAGUGAUAGCCGGCUUUCUUUGAUGGUAUCAAAAUGAUUUAUUUUUUGUUUAUUUAUUUAUUUAUUCUUUUGUUUGGGCAGCAGCUUCAUGUAAAAUGACUUAAGAGUGUGGUACUGAUUGCAGGUUGUUCAAAAUGCAACUCUACGGUGCUGCUAGUGCUGAGAUUAAUAAGGUAAUAUGCCUUAGAGGUAAUGCAUGUGUAAAAACUUAGCAUCUUUUUUAGCUAAUAAAAAGUUUACAUGUUAUUUUUUCCUUUUGUAAACAGAAGCAAAAUUUUAGUUUUAAGUCUCACAUGUUGUGACUUAAGCAACAGACAACCAGUUUACCUGGUAGGCUAAUUAAUUACCUUUGGGAAUUAUAUGGUCAAAAGAAAAUUCAUACAUAAAACAAAUGUGAUCAGGUAAUAGUCAGUACAUGAUGAGCUUACAUGAUGGAAUUAUGGUCAAAAGAAAAUUCAUACAUAAAACAAAUGUGAUCAGGUAAUAGUCAGUACAUGAUGAGCUUACAUGAUGGAAUUAUGGGAAUCUAAUUUUUUGCCAGUAUAGCAAAGGCCACAGAUAACUUCUCAAGUUGCAAUAAACUGGGAGAAAUUAGAUUUGGGCCAAUGUCCAAGGUAAUAUUGUGGCAUUCUACUGAAAUUAGAUCAUAUUUUCUUUUUAUACUAACUAAUAGGCAGAUCUAUGGUACAUAAAUAGAAAGGCAAGAAAUUACAGUUAAAAGGCUGUCAAAAGGUUCCAGACAAGGAAUGGAAGAGUUCAAAAAUGAAGUUACAUUGAUUUUUGUUAGUAAUUAUAGGUUUUUGUUACACGUGUGAAAUUCUUCAUUAUUCUUGAUUAUUGAACUGUGUGAUGACACCUUAUGAAUUUGAUUAACUAUAAGUGGCCGAUAUGUUAAUUUGCAUUUUUUUGGUACUCAUCUUAAUGUCAUCUGCUUUUCAGGUGAUGUUGGUGGCUUUUGGGAAUUUACCAUCAAUGUUUUUUUUAUGGAUUAAUUAUUUUUCUAGGAUGGGUUGGUGAUUGGAUAUUUUAGGUGAUUAGAUAUUGUAAAUGAUUUAUGAGAUAUUAUUGUGGAUUUGAUUCACCAUGUAUUUUGAUGAUGCUAUUUGAUGGAAGUUUCCAGUGAUUAAAUAUAUGAUGCCCAAAAAGCUAAGUGGUAGUGAAUUUUUUGUAUGCUGGUAUUGUUCUAGAUGAUAGUGAAUCUUGAUAAAGUCUAAGUGGUAGUGAAAUUUGUAUGCUGAUAUUGUUUGAUAAAGUCUUAAGUAGUAGUGAAUCUUGAUCAGCCUGGUAGUGUUUCAGAUGAUAUAUAGUGUUGUGAUGUUUUUGUAUGCUGGUAAUGAUCCAGAUGGUAGUGUUGGGAUGUAGAUUUGUGAUAAUUGAAUAGAUGAUGUUUUGACAAUGUUAUGGUUAUUUCAAGUGAUGAUUUAGUGAUGUUUUGAUAAUAUCGUUGAGAUAAUUUGGAUGUAUUGAUUUUAUACAUAUUUUGAUUUUUAAAUUUCAAUGGAAUUUAUAAAAUAAUAAAAUAAUAAUAUUAUUAUUUAAAAUAUUAAAAAUUAUUUUCUAAUUUAACAAUAUUAAAAAUGAUUUAAAAUAUUAUUAUUAUUUAAAAUAUUAAAAAAUUUUGAUUUUAAAAAAAUUAAAAAGUCUUUUAAUAAUAUUAUUAUUUAAAAAAAAUUCUCAUCAUGACACCAUAUUAGCAUCAUAAAGCUGCGACACAUAAUUACACGCCAUAAUUUAAAAUUGAAUUCAUAAUACCCGCCAAAUGUUUUUUCACAAUAAAACAAAUUUACCACUAAAAUAUUAAAACGAUGUUGCUUUUGUUGUGACACAUUUGUGAUAGCUAUAAGCUGUCACAUACACCUGUGAUAAAUAAAUUAUUGUCACGGAUUUAUGAGAGGGGCUACAAUGAUAGAUAAAAACUCUGUCAUAAACAGGGUCGGAUGAUAGAUAUUCUCUGUCAUGGUAGCCCAUUUUUCUAGUAGUGACAAUGAAUAUUUAUUAACAGAUUUGACAUAAAAUUAAUUUUUGAACCGAUUGAAACUUCCAAAAACUAAAAUUUCGAAUUUGUUAUAAGAAUAUAAUCUAUUUUAAUUAUCAUUGUCAAGUCCUCCUCUAUGGAACAUUAGCAAAUUUGCAACCUUUCUAGCUUAAAUUCUAGGUUCAAAACCUCGCGGCGGAGUUAAAUUUUGUUAUAUUUAAAAGCUAAAUCUUGAAGAUGAAUUAUUUUCUAAUUAAUUUUUUUGUGGUUCUUUUAUAACGAUGGCAAAAUUCUCUACAGGUUUCGGACCCCACCCCAAAUGGCGUGAAUUUUGAAUAUUUUUUAGAAAUGGGGUGAGAAAUGGAUAAAAAUUAAUCCCUAAGUUUUUAAUGGGGUGAACUUUUAAUUAGAUAGAAACCUAUCCGUUCAAUUGAUGCUGAAAAAAUAAAAGUUUUGCAGGAUGUUUUCUCCUAGUAAUGAAAGAGAACCGUUUGUUUGAUGUACUUGAUGCUCCAGCAAUGAAAGAACCUUAGAAGAGAAUGAAAUGACAACAACAUCAGAGAAUCAAGGCAGAGAACAGCCUAUUGAUAAUAAAUAAUUUAAAAAAUAUAAUGACUAAUUGUGUAAUUCAAUCAAACCUUAUAGACCAAAGGAACAUUUGCCAAAGAUUAAAAUAUGUAUAUAUAUAUAUAUAUAUAUAUAUAUUAAGGCUACAUUUUGUUUAAUCCAAAUGAAGCUAAUCAAUCUAUAUUUUAUUCCAAUAAAACUAUGGCUUCGUUUCAUAUCUUAAUUAAAUUAUAUAAUGAUGAAAUAUUAUAUUCUGAACUUAACUGAAUCCAAUAUCAUUUCACCAAUCGGUCAUAUGAGAUGAAAGAAAAAAAUCUGUUGAAAUUAAUUUUAAAUUAAAGUUGAAGAAUGGUGAUAUGAUACAUACAUAUACAUGACUCUGAAUUUAUUAAAUUGAAGAUGUACUGAUCGUCUUGACGAUGUGACAAAAUACUGGAAUGUGAGAAUGGUCUUUGGACUUUGGUGAAGACUUGAGAGGGCCCAGAGUAAUUAAAAGUCAAGAUUGGCAAUCUGAAAUUAAUCUCUGGCUUUAACAUGCAGGACUUUCUAGUCGGUGAGAAAAGUUUCUGAAUUAAUAUAGGAGCUAAUACAUGCACUUUCUGAACUAAAGAAAACUGAGUUUAAGCGGCGAAUGGCUGUGCAUCUUUGUCUGGUGUUGCUGCAGAUUAUUGUUUUGCGCCUCAGGCCGAUCAUAGCAUCAGAAAGAUUUCCCUGUCCAACUGAAUGUGGAAAUGUCAGCAUCAGCUACCCCUUCGGAAUCGGAGAAGGGUGCUACUUUGACAAGGGUUACGAAGUUAUCUGCGAUCACCCUUCUGGCAUUCCCAAAGCUUUUCUUCCUGGCGUCAACAGGCUAGAAUUAGUGGAUAUUCUCUCUAAUGAUUCAAGAGCCGCGGUUAGAGUCAACGUUCCUGCGAUUUUUUUAAACAGCAGUAGUAAGCGAACAAGCAAUAUUGCUAAAGGCGUCAACUUAUCAGGUACCCCUUUCUCCUUUUCGACUGACAAUAAAUUCGCUGCCAUAGGCUGCAAAAUGAGAUAUCACCAAGGGAACGGUUCAUCUGUGUUUGAUGGGUGUCUGUCGAUUUGUACUUGUGAUCCUACUGUCUACCCUGCUUGCUAUGAUUUCCUAUGCCCCCUUCGUCCAAAUAUUACUCAUCUUUUCAAUCUAAAUAAAUCAUACUUGUUUUCUCAAAGUAUUCCUCAGAAAUGUCAGUCUGUUUUCCUGGUUGAUGAAGAUUGGGUCAACAGCAAGUACCUUGAAGAUCCUCAUGAUUUGGAAGAUCAACGAGAAGUUCCUGCAGUGUUGAAGUGGGGAGAAAAGAUAGGCAGUUGUUUUGAAGAAUAUAACUCAUAUUCUAUUUUUUGUAAUUCGGAUAAAACAGGUUGCUUAACACAAUUAAGCUCAGGCCAUUUAUGUCUUUGCUCUGCUGGCUACAACCUAGAGAAAGCAUACUGCUCAGGUACUUGUUGGAUUAUGUGUUAAAGAGAAUUUUUUUUUUUUUUCAAAGAAAAUAUCCGAACGACAAGACUUGGUGCUCCAGGAGCAUUUAGAUGCUAUUUCCGUAUGAACAUUAGCAAUAAGUGUGAUGAGAAACGGAAAAUGCUAUUGGAGAACCCUAGAGUUUACUAGAGUUAAAUGUCAAAUGAUGUAACAGUCCUCCGUUGGAUGGUAAGAUGAUCAGAAAAGAGUUGUAAAAUUUAUCAUCCAAUAGAUGAUUGAAAUUAUUGAUUUUUAAAAUAUCUAUCGAAUUACCUGUAAAUGAGUAAAGUUUUCCCAUUACUGUAACUAUCUUUGUAAACAGAGAAUUAGAGACUAAAAAUGGUGGAGUUUUAUUUAGUUGUAGCCAUGAUUUAGUUUGAUCUUCCCUUUGAUUUAUUUUUAUUUGUUAUUUUCCGGGCAUGUGACUUGAUCUGUAAUAUCUCAAGCGGCUACAGUUGCUCCAAUUGUCCCGAGGGUUGUAAUCGUCUCUCAUAUCGUUGCAUUAAAAUUUUCAACAAAUCUAACAGAUCUAACAAAUCUCGGGUUAAAUUCAUUAUUAUAGGUAUGCAUGGCGAUCGUUUAUUUUACAUCAUAAUAAAUUAAUAAUAUUUUUCAACAUAUAUUUCAAAUGAAAAUACUAAGUGUUCAUACGUUCAUUUAGAUUGAUGAUAUCUUUCCUAUCAUGAUAUCUUUCAUUAUUGUCCUCGAGAGCCGCAGGUUGCGGUGGUGGGCUUGCGUUAUUCUUUCUACUCAUUGGAAUAUGGUGGUUGUACAAGUUUACAAAAAGAAGAAGGGAAAUCAAGCUCAAGCAUAAGUUCUUUAAAAAAAAUGGUGGUUUAUUAUUACAACAAGAAUUGUCUUCCAAUGAAGGUAAUAUUGAGAAAAUGAAGUUAUUUACUUCAAAAGACUUGGAGAAAGCCACCGACAACUACAAUGCCAAUCGAAUCCUUGGUCAAGGAGGUCAAGGUAUUGUAUACAAAGGAAUGUUAGUAGAUGGACGAAUUGUGGCGGUUAAAAAAGCUAAAAUAUUGGAUGAGAGAAAUCUCGAGCAAUUCAUCAAUGAGGUAGUAAUUUUAUCUCAAAUUGACCCCAGAAAUGUUGUUAAGUUGUUGGGAUGUUGCUUGGAGACAGAAGUUCCUCUUUUGGUGUAUGAAUUUAUUCCAAAUGGAAGUCUCAAUCAAUACAUACACUAUCGAUCCGAGGAGUUUCCAAUCACAUGGGAAAUGUAUUUAUCCAUUGCUUUUGAAGUUUCAGGUGCUCUAUCUUAUCUGCAUUCAGCUGCAUCUAUUCCUAUUUAUCAUCGAGGCAUCAAGUCUGCAAACAUACUUUUGGACGAUAAAUAUCAAGCCAAAGUUUCAAAUUUUGGGGCUUCUAGAUCUAUAACAAUUGAUCAAACUCACUUGACCACUCAAGUACAAGGAACUUUUGGAUAUGUAGAUCCAGAAUACUUUCGGUCAAGUUAUUUUACAGAAAAAAGUGAUGUUUAUAGUUUUGGUGUAGUUCUUGUUGAGCUUUUAACUGGACAGAAACCUAUCCGUUCAACUGACGCUGAAGAAGAUAAGAGUUUAGCAAGAUAUUUUAUCCAAGCAAUGAAAGAGAACCGUCUGUUUGAAGUCCUUGAUGAUCGAGUUCUUAAGGAAGCUGAGAAAGAAGAGAUUAUUACCGUUGCUAUGCUUGCCAAAAGAUGCUUGAACUUGAAUGGGAGAAAGAGACCUACGAUGAAAGAAGUGGCAUUUGAAUUACGGGGUAUAAGAGAAUCAAUUGGAGCUUCCAUUUUGCAGCAAAAUUGUGAAGAGACUGAUUUUGUGGAUGGUGACAUUAUUGGACAUGAUUUCGGAAGAAAUUCAUCUUCUAGUGGGUCAAGUUUAAAUAGUGUCUCAGUUUCUGUAGAUGCCGACCCUUUAAUUUCAAACAAAUGGUGAUAAAGAGAAGAAUUGCCUUGAAACUGUUUGUCUUUCAUAAAUAAGAUUGUGAGACUUUUCCAAUAUUAUCAUUCUUGUAUCGCUAGAGUUUCUUUGGGUACCAUCAUUUGUAAUUAAAAACUUCCAAGUCAUUUCAAUCAAAUUUUCCACUAUUUCAUUGCAUGCGCUGCAUUUUCCUUUUUUUCUUUUUUAGGCAAAUAGAGGAGAUCAAGGAAAAAUCUUUUGAAAUUAAUUUCUUAGUUGAAGUUUACAAAUGCAAGAUGAUAUGAUCUCUCGGUCUAAAGUGCAAGCACUUUAGCACUAUGCCACCUAAUAUCUCUGAGUAAAUAGGAGAGAACAACUUGAGCACUUAAGAGGGCCAACGUUAAAUAAACUCCAGAGUAGCAUGUUGGAAUUUUUGGCUUAUUGUUAUGCAGGACUUUCUUGGUAGUGAAAUAAAGUCAAAAGGAAGAUGGGAGGAAAUAAAGAUCAAUGCAAAUUGAUAGAUAAAAUACCCUACAUCAUUUGUGAGUGCAUCUUAGGUCAAAUAUGUAAAGUUUGAACGAUCCUCAAUUUUUUAGUUAGAUUUUGAGUAUGGCUUAAACCCAUGAAUUUUCUAAUAUUUUAUUAGAGUUAAAUUUAUCUAGAUUAGGCCCAUGCUACUUCCCACAGUACCUUAUCACUUUACGCCCUUCACAUGGAGGCAUUAUAAAAGAGUAAUGCUAAGGGGAUCCCAACUUGAGUUCUAAUGGAUGUGAUAUUUAUCUAGUAGAUAGUAAAAUAUUUAUUUUAUCAAUUAUAAAAUUUAUUAUCCAAUACAUGAACUACAUAUAAAAUUUGAGAUUCAAAACUUAAUUGGUGGGUCACAAUCAUUAUUGGUUAAAAAUGAUAUCCAGAGAUAACUAGAGGUAAAUCAAAAACUCUCUCUCUCUCUCUGUGCUAAGACCCUUUCUGCCACAGGCUAAAAUUCACCAGCUUUGAUCAAUCAACCUGCCUGAAUUACACAGCCAUCACAUUUUCAAACCUCCAAUCUUUCAAAUCUAUUUUUCAACUCUUUGUUUCCAGCCACCGUAGCCGCGAACCAACGACACCUCUCCACUGCUACCUCUCGCCACCAUGUCGCCAAUUGCCCAUCACUAUAGCAAAAAAUUAUGCUAAAGGAGUUUAGGCCGGGGAGGGAACCAGUAGGUCUUUUCUUUUUUCUUAUUUUCUAUUUCUCUUCUAUAUUUCUUUUGUUUUAUUUUUGUAUUUGCUUCUGUUAUUGUACGUUUUUAUGUUUUGUUGUUUUGUAAGAUUUUAUACUGCUCGUACGGUGGUCUACAUAGGCGGUGUUGUUUCAAUGUCCAGAUCGGGAUUGUGUCAGUAUUUGGAUUGGAAUAGUAUGACUACAUUGAAGCUGUUGAGGGCUUUAAUAGUGGUACAUUGAGGUUCCGAUGACCUCAGGCGAAGUUCUGAUGGCCUAGGUCAAGGGCUUAUUGAGAGAUUUUCUAGUGAAUCGUAAGGUUGGUUUUUUUUGUUGCAUUUUGUGGAUUUUUUUUUUUGGUUGUUUGUUUGCAUUUUAUUGUUAGAAUUGUGUUUUCUUGUGUUUUGUUGUAUUAUCGGACACUAGGGGGUAUUUGAACUAUAGUAGCUAAGGUUUGUUCCUCUAGUGUUUCUUUAGAUUUUAAUUUGAGAAAAAGGACACCUACACCUUAAAGUUUGAGGAAAUGAUCGCAAAACUCCUAAGUUUUUAAAAAGGACACUAAAAUUCUUUUUUUACCAUAUUAUCCUUUGAAUUUAGUAAUUAGAAAAUUGACUUUAAAGUUUUUGUAAUUAAUACAAAUUUAAUAUAAAUAAUAUAAUCUAUCUAGUAGAUUAAUAAUAUUAAAUUAUUUUUAAAAUUUAAAAUAAUAUUAAAAUUUUAAAUUAUUAUAUUUAUUUUAAUAAUAUAUUUGUAUUUACUAUAAAGAUUUUAAAUAAAUCUUUGGGUUAAAUAAAUUUUUCAAUUAACAAAUAAUAUCCCUAUUAAUAAGAUCAAAAUUAUUUUUUACAUAAUAUUCAAAAUAAUUUUAAUUUUUAAUUUAUUUUUUUAAUAUUAUGUUUCUAUUUAUUAUUAAAAAUUACUUUAAUAUAAUAAAAUAAGUCUAAUAGAUUGUAAAAUAUUAAAAUAUUUUUUAAAUAUUAAAAUUAUUUUAAAAUGCAUAUAUUAUUACAUUUAUUUUGAUGCCAUAUUUCUAUUUAUUAUAAAAUUUUGGCGUCAAAAGUCAAAGGAUAUCACUGUCAAAAAGGAAUCUUGGCGUCAAUUAUUGAAAAUUUGGGGUUUUUUGUGACUAUUUCCUCGAACUUUGAGAACGUAGGUGUUCUUUUUCCCUUAAUUUGAGAAACAAAUUGGUCUCCUUUGAUUUUAAAAUUUGUUUUAUGUACUGUACUUAAACUUGAUAUAACUCUUAUUUAUAUUAUUAUUAUUAUUGGUCCUUAAUGAAAGUCACGUUUUCUUAAAGAAAGAAAAGAAAAGAAAAGAAAAGUUGGAAGAUAUACGGAGGAGAACUUGUNNNNNNNNNNNNNNNNNNNNNNNNNNNNNNNNNNNNNNNNNNNNNNNNNNNNNNNNNNNNNNNNNNNNNNNNNNNNNNNNNNNNNNNNNNNNNNNNNNNNNNNNNNNNNNNNNNNNNNNNNNNNNNNNNNNNNNNNNNNNNNNNNNNNNNNNNNNNNNNNNNNNNNNAUCAUUAUCUGGUGUUGUUGCAAUCGAUGUUUUUGCCAUUAUGGCCAAUCAAAGCAUCAAAAGAUUUAUGCCAAUAUGAUUGUGGGAAUGCCACUAUCAGGUACCCCUUCGGAAUCGGAGAGGGUUGCUAUUUUGAUAAGAGUUUUGAAGUAAUCUGCGAUUACUCUUCUGGCUCCCCAAAAGCUUUUCUUGCGAGCAUCAACAACCUGCAAGUAUUGGACAAUCAUGUUUAUGGUGUAUCCAACAUUAGGGUAAACAUUCCUGUAAUUUCUUUGAAGAGCAGCAACAUGACAAGCAAUGCUAAAGGGGUCAGUCUUUCAGUUAGCCCUUUUACAUUUUCUCCGUGGGACAAUAGAUUCACAGCCAUAGGUUGCAACAACUAUACUACGAUUAUUAAGCGACAGAAUGAUUCAUCCGUUUUUGGUGGGUGCCUUUCGAUUAGCACUUGUGAUCCUGCUCUCAACCCUGGUUGCUACGAUUUCCUGUGCGCCCUUCCUCAAAAUAUUACUCAGGUUUCCAAUGCAGAAAUAUCUAGUUUUUAUCCGAAAAGUAUUCCUCAGGAAUGUCACUCUGUUUCCCAUUGUUGAAGAAGAUUGGGUCAACUCAAAGUACAUGAAGAAUCCUCACGUUUUGAAAGAUCUCGGACAAGUUCCUGCACUGUUGAAGUGGGCUGAGUCUAGAGGAUAUUUGAUACACCUCUUUGCAACCAAGGAUGUAUCGAUAAGAUUUGCACUCUUCGAGUGAGGGCUGACUCCAAAAGAAAUUCGCGAAGAUGAGCAAGAAUGGAGAGAGAGAUUGAGAGUGAGAGAAGAGUAGAGAAAAGUUAAAAAGAAAUGAUUCAUUCUUGAUUUCCCUUACACGAAUUAGUUAUGCUAUACAUAUACUCCUCUGUCUUUUGGCGUUUAAAAGAAUACAGCUCAGCAUAACUUUGUAACAGAAAAUAUGACAGCAAUAUAUACCAGCAAAAUAUAAAGCCCUAUCAAUUUCACUAUACGACAUAAUCUUUAAACCACCCAGGGGGCCUUCUCACUCUUGUGCCUGUGUACCCUUCCUUACGAGCUACUUCUACUUCAACUUGUGAUGAGGCUUCCUUCAUGGGCUGCGCACAAUUAGACUCAUCGAUGGGCUGCCCUUCUCGUAAACAAUCCGGUUGAUCCAGCUGAAUGUGGGGGGUUGUAUCAUCCCCUCCAGCUUCAAAACUCACCUUGUCCUCAAGGUGAAAAUUAGGAUAAAGCUCACAGAAGGUUUCAAACUCUUCCCAAGUAGAAUCUUCAGGCGAAUUGUUCUGCCAUUGAACCAGAAUUUGGCGACAUCGCGUGCCUUAUUUAAGCACGGUUCUAAUAGCGCAAACUGCAGCAGGGAGAUAUAAUGGCUGAUUGUCCACACUAGUUGAUGGCAAGGAAUGGUGAUCAGGGGUAUGAGAACCAAGAAAGGGUUUGAGAAGUGAAAUGUGAAACACUGGAUGGAUCUUGGAACUGCUGGGCAAGGCAAGCUUAUAAGCUACAGGGCCAACUCGAGCUAGUACAGGAAAGGGGCCAUAAUACCGUUUAGCUAGCUUUUGACAAGAACGAGAUGCCACUGUCUUUUGGCGGUAUGGCUGAAGCUUCACUAGAACUUGGUCCCCAACAGCAAACUGAGCUUUGCGUCUAUGUGCAUUAGCCUUUUGAAUCAUGCGAUGUUGAGCUUGACGCAAAUUCUCUUUCAAGGAACGAAGUAAUGCAUCCUGUUCACUUAAAGCUUCAUCAAGAGCUUAGAUUGAAGUAGAGCCCUUUGAGUAAGGAGGAAUUGCUGGAGGUGGUCGCCUAAAAAGAGCUUGAAAAGGAGACAUUUUGAUGCUGCUGUGAUAAGUAGAAUUGUAGGAAAACUCAGCCCACCCAAGUAGAGAUACCCAUGAGUGUGGUUUGUCUUGGGUGAAAGUGCGAAGAUAUUGCUCCAAGCCGCGAUUGACAACCUCCGAUUGCCCAUCUGUUUGUGGGUGAUAGGCUGUACUGUGUCGAAGGGUAGUGCCACUUAACUCCAAAAAUUGCUUAAGAACACAAGGUCGCGAUCGGAAAUAAUAGAGGUCGGAAACCCAUGAAGCUUUAUUACCAUAUCCACGAACAAUUUGGCGGUCUUUAUGCUGUAAAUUGAGUGGGAAGGGAUCCAAAGUGUGCCGAUUUCGUAAGGCGAUCAACCACUACCAAUAUCACCGUGAAACCUCGCGAAACUGGAAGGCCAGUAAUGAAAUCCAUAGUGAGUUCGUCCCAAACUAAAGUGAGGAUAUGAAGAGGCUGCAGUGGACCUGCUGGUGCUUGAGUAGAAUAUUUAGUCUGUUGGCACACAAGGCAUUUGACCACAAAUCGCUCAACGUCCAUACGCAUUUUAGGUAAAAAAAAAUUAGAUGCCAAGCAGACCAGCGUGCGUUUGAUGCCUACAUGCUCUGCAAGUGGAGUAGAGUGGAAUUCAGCCAAUAGAACCGCUUUAAAGGAUGAUGAUGGACUGAUAUAGUAACGAUUGUGAUAAAAAAGGACCCCAUUAUGCCGCGAAUAAUCCCGUGAAAGAGAUCUCGUAGCAAACUGACGAUGAAGAUCAAUCAUUUCCGGAAGUGUGGAAUUCUCUAGUUUUAGAGUUGCUAACAACUCAAACGACGGGUGACUAAGGAGAGGCAAACAAGAAGCAGUCACUGUUGGUGUUUCCUCACUAGCCUCGUCAUGCAUUCGUGAUAAGGCGUCGGCUGCAAGAUUGGUACAGCCCGGUUUAUACUCAAUGCGGAAGUGAUAGCCUAGUAAUUUUCUGAUGUAGACUUGCCGAUCCGGAGUUUGAACUACCUGCUGGAGAAGUUCCUUAAUGCUCUUAUGGUCAGUUCAGAUUACAAAAAAUCUGCCUAAUAAGUAUUGUCGCCAUUUGUGCACCGCUUCAACAAUAGCGGUUAAUUCCUUGAUGUAGGUAGAAGAAGCACGAAGUCAAGGACCUAAUUUCUUACUGAAAUAAGAUAUGGGGUGCCCCGAUUGCAUAAGCAUAGCCCCGAUACCCACAUUAGAGGUAUCAGUCUCAAGAAUGAAGUCGGAGUCAAAAUCUGGUAGCUGCAACACAGGGGCUUCCACCAUUGCUCUUUUAAGAGCUUCAAAUGCCUCAGCUGCUGCUGGUGUCCACUGGAAGGCAUCUUUACAAAGAAAAUAAGUAAGUGGGGCUGCGAAAGACGCAUAUCCACGAAUAAACCGCCGGUAAUAACCCGUCAAACCCAAAAAAACCUCGAAGUUGUUUUGUAGUCUGAGGAGUUGGCCAACGAACCAUAGUUGUAAUUUUCUGAGGAUCGGCCCGCACACCAGAGGCCGAAACAAUGUGGCCUAGGUAAUCGAUAGCGUCUUGGCAAAACAAGCAUUUGGAUAGCUUGACAAAGAAGUGGUGAAAAUGAAGGCACCACAAGACUUGCUGAAGGUACCGCAAAUGUUCCUCUGCUGUAGCACUAUAAACCAAAAUGUCAUAAAAAAAAAUCACAAAUUUACGCAAAAAUGAAGCGAAAAUCUGGUUCAUAGUAGCUUGGAAGGUAGAAGGCGCGUUUGUUAACCCAAAUGGCAUGACGAGGAACUCAUAGUGGCCCUGAUGAGUGCGAAAAGCCAUUUUAUAAAUGUCGCGGUGGUGCACGCGAAUCUGAUGGUAACUAGCCUGCAAAUCCAACUUGCUAAAGAUUACUGCCCCACCUAAUUCAUCAAAUAAUUCGUCGAUAGUCGGAAUGGGGAAUUUAUCUUUAAUGGUGGCGGCAUUCAAAGCCCUGUAAUCAACACAGAAACGAUAGGUCCCAUCUUUUUUUUUUACCAACAAGACCGAUGAAGAAAAUGGACUUUGACUCGGUUGAAUGAUGCGUUGUUCUAACAUUUCACGGAUCAGUUUUUCCAUCUCAUUUUUUUGGAAGUGGGGGUAGCGAUAUGGGCGGACAUUUAUGGGAGUGGUGUUGGGGAGGAGAUGGAUUUUAUGAUCAAUUGUGCGAUGUGGCGGUAGGGUAGUAGGUGGAAGAAAUAAGUUGAGGUAGGUGUGUAGAAGGCCAACAAAGGGUGCGGUUAAAUGUGGAGGUAAUUCGAAGGAAGAACUCUUGGGAUUACUUUCUGAUUCCUCCCCGGGUACAGGUACCUGUUGCAGAGCGAACAAACUAUAAAUGUCAGCACUGUGGAUUAGAGAUUGCAACUGAUGAAAGGUGAUUAAGGAGGGAGUAGUGGAUAGUUCGCUGUGAAGAGUCACUGGUGCCCCAUUCCAACAAAAUUCCAUAGAGAGGGCAGAGUAAUCAUGAGAGACACGGCCCAAGAAUUGCAGCCAUUGUAUUCCCAACACCACAUCAGGCCCCUCAAUGGGCAGAACAAAGAGGUCCAAAGUGAAGAUCGUUCCCUGCAUCGUGAGAGCAACUUGAGGGCAAAAAUAUUUGCACACUAGAAAAUCCCCAUUGCCAAUAUAAACACGGAAAUGUGUUGUUGGCUGUAUCGGUAAGCCUAAACGCUCUAUCACUGUUGGUUUGAUAAAGUUGUGGGUACUUCUGCUAUCGAUCAAUACUUGAAAGCUGUGAGAACCAACUUCGCCAACCAAACGAAAUGAGUGGGGAUUUAUUUGACCCGCCAAAGCAUUCAAACUGGAAAUAUCCCCUGUUAUGAUCUCUUCGACAGAAUCCAGUGGCAAUUCUUGUUCACAAGAAACAAGCUCAUUAUCAUCAGUACCCAUAAGAAGCAAAAACUUACUACGACAGCGAUGAUUAGCGCUAUAUUUUUUAUCGCAGUUAUAACACAAUCCCUUCUCACGCUUGUCACGUAGCUCUGCUGGAGUAAGGCGGCGAAUCGGUAAGUUGGGUGUGGGUAGAAGUGGUGGUAACGUGUUUGGUUUCGGGGGUGGGGAAGUAUUGUGGGAAUGAGAUAUUGUUUGGGCCAUACCAGUGGAAUGGUGCGGUUGGGUUGAAGCAAGGGGAUAUGUGGUAGGCUGAAAUUUGUGUGACGGGGAGGUUGUGGUAGGAGUAGGUGACAUGGUGUUCCAUUUUGGCAAAAAAGGUGUCCUUGUUUGGCCUCCUCAGCACAGGCUUCAUACGCACGAGCUAGUGCAAAUGCUUCCAUUAGAGAAGAAGGCCGAUCAAAAAGCAGCUCACGACGAAUAUCGAGUUUCAAUCCCGUGAUAAAAAAACUUAUCAGAAGUGGUUCUAAAAUUCCAGUCACUCGAUUCAUUAAAUCUUCAAAAGAGGUCUGAAAUUCUGCCACUGUUGUGGUUUGGGAUAACUUAGACAAAUUUCCUUGAGGAUCUUCAUAGAGGGAGGCACCAAAACGAUGUUUAAGGUUCUGCAAAAAUUCUUUCCAGGUUGUCAACAAGCUGUUCAUUUUCAUCCAUUGAUACAACGCUGUCGCGCGUCCUUCCAUAUGAAAAGAAACAAUCCGCAAACGAAGAGUUUUCGGUGUACCGUGGAAAUCAAAGAACUCCUCAAUUCGAAAAACCCACCCGUUUGGGUAAGAUCCAUCAAACUUACGCACCUCCAUCCUCAUAGAACGGAGCACUGGGGACAACUCAAUACCACUGGAAUUUACCUCAUUAGAAGAAGAGGAUGGGUGUGGUGGAUUAGAAACCCGACCUAAGUGAUUGGAAGACCCAUGGAUCUAUGAACGCAAAUCAUCAAAGCGAGAAUCUACCGUGGCCAUAUAUUGUUGCAGCGUUUGAUGCAAGGACAAUGUUUGGCUCUCGAACUGUUCUUGGAUCGUCUUUAAAAGUUCAGAAUCCGUCAUUACGAUAGCAAUGAAAGCACCAAUGAUACACCUCUCUGCAACCAAGGAUGUAUGGAUAAGAUUUGCACUCUUCGAGUGAGGGCUGACUCCAAAAGAAACUCAUGAAGAUGAGCAAGAAUGGGGAGAGAGAUUGAGAGUGAGAGAAGAGUAGAGAAAGUUAAAAAGAAAUGAUUCAUUCUCGAUUCCCCUUACACGAAUUAGUUAUGCUAUACAUAUAUUCCUCUGUCUUUUGGCGUUUAAAAGAAUACAGCUCAGCAUAACUUUGUAACAGAAAAUAUGACAGCAACAUAUACCAGCAAAAUAUAAAGCCCUAUCAAUUUCACUAUACGACAUAAUCUUUAAACCACCUAGGGGGCCUUCUCACUCUUGUGCCUGUGUACCCUUUCUUACGAGCUACUUCUACUUCAACUUGUGAUGAGGCUUCCUUCAUGGGCUGCACACAAUUAGACUCAUCGAUGGGCUGCCCUUCUUGUAAACAAUCCGGUUGAUCCAACUGAAUAUGGGGGGUUGUAUCAAUAUUGUUAUGAAGAAUAUAAUUCGAAAACUACUCGUAACAAGGACAAUAUAUGUUUUAACACAAUUAAGCUCAGACCUCUUUUGCCUUUGCAAUAGGGAAACAAGCGUUGGCCCACACCGCCAUGGAUAUUGCUUAGGUACAGUUUCGACUACUAAUUAAAUUAAUUUCAUAUAUGAAGUGUAAUUACUUUAUUUCCUCGAACCAACUACGUAUCUAACACAAAAUUAGGGACGGUAAUUGCAGAAUUCGCAUAUGUAAAGAAGGCAAGAUUUAUGUAUAGCCGUGAUUUAAUUUGAUAUUCUAUUUCAUUUUUUUGGUUUGUUUAGGAGACUUGCUCUGUAAUACCACAAGCCGCGACAAUUGCUCAUUGGAAUGUCCCAAAGGUUACUUUUCAAAUCCGAGCGUUGGAUACUGCAACCAAAAUCUUAGUAUGCACAAAAAUUCUCUCAAAUUCAUUAUUAUAGGUAAGUAUUGGAAUUUGCAGAUUUUAUCGACAGAAUAACUUACCCCAUAUAUAUAGGCUCACAAACUUAACAGACUAAACAGUUCCUUGGCAUAAAUCACCUCGAAUGUGCAUUAAAUAUUCUUAGCCUGAAGUGUUGCAGGUUGCAGUAGUGGGCUUGGAAUGUUGUUCUUACUAAUUGGAACAUGGUGGUUAUACAAGUUCGUUAAAAGAAGAAGAGAAACCCAGCUCAAGCAAAAUUUCUUUAAAAGAAAUGGUGGUUUAUUAUUGCAACAACAGUCCUCAUCAAAUGAAGGUAAUACUGAGAAAACAAAAUUGUUUACUUCAAUGGAAUUAGAAAUAGCUGCUGACAACUUCAAUACCAAUCGAAUCCUUGGUCAAGGAGUCCAGGGCACAGUGUACAAAGGAAUGUUGGCAGAUGGAAGAAUUGCGGCUGUGAAAAAAUCCAAAUUAGUGGAUGAGGGUAAUGUUGAGCAAUUCAUCAAUGAGGUGGUAGUUUUAACUCAAAUUAACCACAUAAAUAUUGUUAAAUUGUUCAGAUGCUGCUUGGAGACAGAGGUUCCUCUUUUGGUGUAUGAAUUUAUUCCAAAUGGAACUCUCUAUCGAUAUAUACACGACCAAACUGAGGAGUUCACAAUCACAUGGGAACGUUUACGCAUUGAUGUAGAAGUUUCAGGUGCUUUGUCCUAUUUGCAUUCAACUACUUCUAUUCCUAUUUAUCAUCGAGACAUCAAGUCUGCAAAUAUACUUUUGGAUGAUAAAUUUCGAGCAAAAAUUUCAGAUUUUGGGGCUUCUAGAUAUGUCACGAUUGAUCAAACUCAUUUGACCACACGAGUACAAGGAACUUUUGGAUAUCUAGAUCUAGUGUACUUUCAGUCAAGUCAAUUUACAAAGAACGGUGAUGUUUAUAGUUUUGGAGUUGUUUUUGUUGGGCUUUUAACUGGACAAAAACCUAUCCGUUCAACUGACAUCGAAGAAGAUAAAAGUUUAGCAGGGUAUUUUCUCCGAGCAAUGAAAGAGAACUGUUUGUUUGAUAUGCUUGAUGCUUAAGUUCUUAAGGAAGCCAAGGAAGAAGAGAUUAUUACCAUUGCUAUGCUUGCAAAAAGAUGCUUGAACUUGAAUGGGAGGAAGAGACCUACAAUGAAAGAAGUAGCAUUUGAAUUAGGGGGCAUUAGAGCUUCAAUCGGACCUCAAAAUUGUGAAGGCAUUGAUUUUGUGGGUGGCAAUUUUAAAACUGGUUCAUCUUCCACAGGGGCAAUUUUAAAUGCUGUUGCUUUUUCUGUAGAUGCUGACCCUUUGUUUUCAAACAAGUGGUGAUUAAAGGGAAAUUCUUCCCUUUGAAAUGUAAUUAUUUCAUUUCAAAAUAAAUUUAGUUGUGGACUUUUGCAUUAUGCUUCUCUUAUGGUUAAAAUUUUUCACUCUAGAUCAAAAUAUACAGAGUUUGAUGUUCACUUUGUAAGUAGUCAGUGGAGAAAUAAAUUUACAAGGUAGAUUCCAAAAAAGCAUCUGGUGGCAGACAUAUUUAAAGAUUUAAGAAGUAAACCUCUAAUGCUACCAUUAUUUAGGGGCCCUGUGCAUCAAGAAACAGAGGACCCUGCACUCGAACUUUGAAGCUGAAGGAGUUGGACAUCUCAGCAUCUGAGUCUGCAUACAAGUGGAACAGGAGAUGCUGACAUGACAUCCUACGUGGAACUUAUGCGACACAUAUAAUGAGUCCAAUUCGUUCCUAGUUCAUACGCUUACAUUGUAACCCCGUUCUGUGUUUCCAGUACCAUUGGUGAAUCAUCACUUCGUGCCAUUGUAUUGCUAAUAGCACCUUUGCCUUGAUUGAUUUUGCUGACAAUAUGUAGGUUGCAUUUGGAACUGAGGUGCUAUAACUUUUAAUCUGCAGUUAUUGUGGAGUAAAAGUCAUAGUUGUGGUGUACAAGCUAAUGGUGUUGGGUAAAUUUUAAUAGUUGUGGAGUGGAAGCUAUAGUGUUUGGUAAAUUUUAAUACAUGUAGAGUGGAAAUUGAUGAAUAUUUGUAAUAAUUAAUUUUAAAUAAUAUUAUUUUUAAUUAUUAAUUAAUCAAAUUAGUUUUCAUAUUUUGAAUUAUUAGAUUAACAUAUGAUUGUGUUUAUUACUUUGACAAAUUAAAUUAAUAUUUAAUUAAUCAAAUUUAUUUUUCUAUACAAGUUGUAAUAAAUAUUUUUUAAAACAAAAUAAUUUAAAAUUGAAAAUAAAUAAAUUCUAAUUUUACACAUUGAUUGAAGAAAUAAAUUAUACUAAAUAUGUCUAAUAAAGAUCAUACAACAUAACAUUAUAAAAUUAAAAUGUAAUUAAUUACAAAAUUCUUAUAAACAUUUCCAUUGUCAUGCCUCCAUUAAACUUGCAGCAACGCCAUCUCUGAAGAUUAUUUUAUCUUGAGUUAUGUUAUCGACUGUAUCAUAACUUUUUGUGGGAGAUGCAAUAUAGCUUAUAUGUUCACUAUUAUUAUGAUUUAGCUUAUCCAUUGUUUCAUCAAAAUGAUCAUGAUUUUGUGAAUAUCCUUUGAUGUAAUUAUGUAAGGCCAUGGUAGUAAUAACUAUCUUCACCUGCUUCUUUAAUGUAUGGCUUGGCAUAUUUUGUAAAAUCUUCCUUAUUUGUUUUAAACCCCAAAAGAACUUGUUAGAAUGAACAAUACUCUCAACAUUAAGAGAUUCAAAUGCCUCAUUACUCUUUAAAGGAAAACUAGAUGAGGGAAACCAAACAAGGUCACUUGUAGCCACUGCAUUUGAAUAGUUAAUUUAGUUUUUUCUCCAACUAUGAAUCAAUACCAUUUUUUUGAAUUCUAUUGAAUUGCAAAUUUUCAUUUAUUUUCUUUUCCUACCGGUCCUCACUUGCAUCAACUAUACUUAACUAUGAUUCCACCUUAAAUAUGUUUCCUAGUCAAUCAUAUUCUUCCACAAUUUCCAAUUAGUUCUAAGAGAAUCCUAUUUGUUUUUCAUUUGAGUUCUAUUAUAAUCCAAUCCAAUUUCUUCAGUGAAUUCCUUAAUGAAAUAUUUAUAUGCUUGGAAAGUAGCCUUACUAGCUGAGCUACUAGACCUAAUUUCGUACACUUACACCUAGAAUAAAGAAUAAUAUUUCUUUGUCAAACAACAAUACCGGAAAGAGAUUAAUUAAGAGCAAUACCCAAUUUUUUUAAAAACAAAUAACACUAAUUAAGGAUGAAUUAUGUGUAGCAGCAAUGAACUAUGUCUAACGUUACACACCUGUAACACCCCAGCCCAACUUUGAGGACAAAUCUAACCACAACUCACCUAUGUACUUAAAUAUCUCUUUACAAUCAACAACAAUUCAAGUCUUAAAUACAAUAUUUAAAUAGCAGGAGACUUUAAAGAUUUUGCACAAUCAUCUACCAUCCUCAAUUUAAGUCUUCUCCUCACUCAUCACGAAUAAAUCUUGACUUCUGAAAACUGAAUCACAAUAAACUAUAAUGAGUACAAAACUCAAUAAGUAAACUGGUUUUUCAUAUACCAAAAUAGAUACAUACUUAUAUACAAUGUAAAUAGAUAAUAUGCCAUGAUAUUUUCAAAACACUAUAAAAUAAAUUCAUCAAAAUCUCUUUCUGUUGCUUUCAAACUUUCACAUUUUCUUUCAAUAAAAUACAUAUCAUGCAUAAGGCAUUUUGCGCAAUACUUGGCACUUUGCACUAUGCGUUGCACUUCACGACACUCUGACCCUCGAGAGGUGGCCCCUACAUAGUCUCAAAAGGUGGCCCCCACACGGCUUCAAGAGGUGGCCCCCAAUGCAAACUCUCAUAAAACUAAGUAUAAUAGCAAAAUUCAUGUACAAAUCAUAAAAUUAUAAAAUGCAAUAUUAUUAAACAUACUUUUUAUAAAAGCUUUGCAUGUUCAUGCUUAUGCCAAUGAACUUUCAUGCACACAUAUGCCCAUGCAUAUAAUCAUGUUCAACACAUAACAACACAUCACAUAAACACAUGGGUAGAAACAUAUAAAUCAUAUAUGUGCAUAUAAAAAAUAGGUUUUUCAAACAUGUCAAACAUAUACAUAUUAAUUUAUUGUGAUCCAUUUAGAAGUUUAGUUUACUUACCUCUUGGCAUCCACAUGUAACAAAUGCGUAUUGAUAUCAUCAACCUAAAAAUCAUUUAUAAACUCUCAUUAGAUAUAAUCAAGUCCUAAUCAUAAUUCUAAUGUCCUCAAAUUUCUCAUUUUAAACAUAUCCUAAACUCAACCUCAAAUACUCUCAAUAUUCGAUCCCAAAACAGAACAACCCAUGUUCUCUGAUUUUUGAUAAUUUAUUAUCUUAUUGGAAAAGUCCCAAAUUUUCAAGAGUAUAUGCUAACAUACUAGAAAUUCAUUGAUUAAAAUUUCAUAACUUAAUUCUUUCAAAAACUAUUGAAAAUAAUUUACGUUUCAGAUAUCAUUAAUUCUGUCAAACAACUUUCUAUUUUAAACAUACUUGUUUUAAAAAUACAAAACAAUUUAUUGUUUUAUCAUAAAAUCAUGAAAAUUUCCAAAAUCACACUAGACAAAUAUAAAAGUUGCUAAUCCAAGUUUCAUAAUUUUGGAAGAAAUCUAGCUAUGGUAAGAUAAAUUCGUAAUUCAUGUUCUUCAUUGAAAUUAGAAAUUUCCAUGUUUUCAAACUUGAGUUUAAAAAUUGUAAUUAAUUGAAAUCUUAUCCGGUUAGCUUGAAACAAGUUCCAAACAUUCUUCUAGUUUAAGAUAUUCAAAAUCUAGAAUCAAAAUCAAUUUGUACAAAUGGCUAUGAUUUUCGAAAUAACACUCUGUCAGCAUAUUUUCUGUGAAAUCUUAAGUUCUACUUCUAUUACUACUAUCUAACCAUGCUUCUCUAUAACAAUUAACACACUCUCAGCAUAGUUUCUGUGAAAUUUACCUCCAAUUCUCUCUCGACAUAAUAUCCAAUUCAAAAGCCACUACUUUGAUCUCAUGUGUCGCUCAUGGCUAACAAAGAAGAAGACUUUCUUUUUCUUCUUCUCUUCUUCUUUUUCAUGUGUUCUUUUUUUUUUUAACUCGCUCUCUCUCUCUCUCUCUCUCUCUCACAUUAAUAGCAAAGGAAGGCAUCUAUUGGGGUAUUACGCGUUUACCCCUUAAAAGAAUUUCGUCCUCGAAAUUCGCUUUUAGUUAUGCUCAAAAGAAUCUAAACCUCAAAAUCACUUAUGACCAAUAAAUCCUUAUAAAGACUAAAAAGAAACAUAUCAUGCUGUCGUUGCGCUACUCUGAUGCCUCAAUUAUAUAUUUCUUGGAAACAAAAUCACAAAGCGUAAAGGUGUGGUAUAGACCUAAUUCUAUUCAUCCUUACAACAUCCUUUCCAAGCGAUGUAGGAUGUCACAAAUGUCCACACAUUCUUGAUUGGGAAUGCUCUAAUACCAUUUGUAACAUCUCAACCUAAACUCUAAGGACAAAUUAAUCUAACAAUAACUCACAUAUGUACUUAAAUAUCUCUUUACAAUCAACAAUAAUUCAAGCCUCAAAUACAAUAUUUAAAUAGCGGGCGACUUUAAAAAUUUUGUCAAACCAUCUACCAUCCUUAAUUCAAGUAUUCUUCUCACUCAUCACGAAUAAAUCUUGACUUUUGGAAAUUGAAUCACAAUAAACUAUAAUGAGUACAAAACUUAAAAAGCAAACUAGUUUUUCAUAUACAUAGAUACUUAUAUAUAAUAUAAAUAGAUGAUAUGCCAUGAUCAAUUCAAAAUAUUGUAAAACAAAUUCAUCAAAAUCUCUUUCUGUCGUUUUCAAACUUUCACAUUUUCUUUCAAUAAAAUACAUAUCAUGCAUCUAGUAAUUUACGCAAUGUGUGGUACUUUGGACUAUGCGUAGCACUUCGCGGCACUCUAUCCCUCGAGAGGUGGUGCAACACCUUGGCAAAUCCUACAUUGACAAAGCAUAGAAGAGAUGUUGGGUUUAUAAGAGGUGUUUCAUGACACGACACAAAAGCGUAUUACUCACAAGUAUAAGAGUGUCUAGUUAUAAUAUAACCCGGUGAGUCUAGGGUCGAACCAUAGGGAAUUUUAAAAUCUAGUUGUCAAUUUGUUAAACAGAGAAAAUAAUUCUGGGGAAAUAAAUUAUUUGAAAACAAUUUAAAAAUAUGCUAAGGUUACGGGAUCCACUCUCAGUAUUCAAACUAUAAUUUUUAUACUCUCUCAUUUAUAUUUUGCCUCACUUUUACUAGUUAAUUAUUAUAUCACUUAAUUCUAUGUGUGAGGAUAAAUAUGGAAUAAAGUACCCAAAUUUUGACAUGGAAGAACUGGUUGGAAAGGCUGUGCAUGAUUGUCAUUUGUCCAACUGAAAUUUGGGUGGUUUCUCCAACCAAAGUUGUAAGUUUGGGAGUAUUGAUUUGAAUUUGGCCUUUUGAAAUUGUCAACGACAUUUACUUGUUCAUGCAAACUUUCUCUCAGAGCUGGCAAAGUUGGACAGUCCUGCAUAGAAUGGUCAGUAGAAUUGCAAACAUAACGUGAAAUAUUUUGAACAGACUUUACAUGAUCAUUCCUUUUCAACUCUAAUGCUUCGACUUUUCUAGCUAAGAAUGCAAAUGUGGCUUGAAAAUCACGGUCUUCCCUAAGGUUGUGCAUGCCUCCACUAAAUGGAGAUGACUGAGGCUUACUUGAUGACUCAUAAGAACCAACUGUAUCCCAGUGUUGUGCAUUCUCUGCUAUAUAGUUAAGAUAGUCUAAUGCAUUUUCAAGACUUUUAUCCCUAAACUCACCAUUACACAUCAUUUCAACGACUUGUCUGCCUUGGGAUGUUAAUCCCUCGUAGAAAUAAGACACUAAUCUCCAUGUUUCAAAAUCGUGGUGUGGGCAAAUGUUAAGUAGUUCUUUAAACCUAUCCCAACAUUGGUAGAGGGUUUCUCCUGGUUUUUGAGUGAAUGUGGUGAUUUGUCUUUUGAAAGAAUUUGUUAUGUGGGGUGGGAAUAAUGUUUUCAAAAAUUAUACUUGCAUUUCAUCCCAAGUUCUGAUAGAUCAUGACCUAAUGUUAGAGUGCAAUUUAUGCACUAGUUUUGUAUUGUUUACUUCCUUUAAUAUCGAUGUUUUGUACUUAAUGAUAGUGAUUUACUUGUCUUUUAUUUUUGUAGGUGCAAUUCUAUUGAUUGGUGCUAAAAUUGAGCUACAAGAUGAUGUUUGAGGAUGAUUGUUUUCCUGGAGAAAUUAUGAGCUUUAAAAGAACUUUGUUGAUAAGGCGUGGGCGCGUGCUGUCAACUAAGGACUUGCAGUUUUUAUUUUAACGUGUUUUAUAUUUUUGGUUAUUUUUGUAAUUUCAAAUUUAAUAUUUACAUAAUAUUUUAGAUAUUAGUAUUUUAUUUUGGGAGAAACGCUAGAAGAGGGGGGAGAGAGAUUUUUGGAAAAAGAAGAAAAAGUAACCCUAAAUCUAAUUUUUCUCUUCUCUCUAUGAAGAACUAAACCUAUUAUUCUGGUUAAAGGUUAAUAAAGCUUUGAUUCAUCAUUAUUGUGAGAUCUUUCUUAUGCUUUAAUUGUUUUAUUGCUUUUUGGGUAUUUGUUUAUUCUCUAAAUUAUUGUCAUGAUUAUGUUUGUUAAUUAGAUAAUUGGCCACUACUUAAUUAUCAACUUAAUCUAUUAUCAAUUAAAAGAUUCAUCGUAUGAAGAUUUUAAUGUUUAUGACAAAUAAUAUAGUAGUGCGUUGUGUUAUGAGAAUAAACAAUCUAAUUUAAAUGAAGUAUCGUAUGCGUUUGUUGAUUAGGAUUUGGGUCUCUCUGGUUUUUCAGGCUGUCAAUUGAUUAAAUCCUAUGAUCGUAUCUAGGGUUGUCUAUUGUUUAGGGAAAUAACCAAUGGUCGUACCUUGGUUAUAGACUAGUUAAGGAGAGAUUGACUAUUAGAGAGUCUCAGUAGCUAUAACCGGUCUAUUCAUAAGUAGUAGUGAUUUAUAUUUGAAUCAAUGAUUAGUAGUUGAAUUAAGCUGAGUUAAUUCCUUCAACCAGAGCUUUUCCUAAUUUGAAUUAAAAUUUGAAUUUGCAUUUUUGUUAUUUUAAUUUGAUUUUUAUUAUUGUCAACAAUCCCCCCCAUUUUGCAUUUUACAUUUUAAAAUAAUUUAAAUAAUUAUCGAUAUCUGUGGACACGACCUUAUGAAGGUUUUUCGGUGAAUAUUGUGGAGGAAGUGACUCUCGAGAGUCCCAUUUAUGCAGAUUGAUGCAUGAAUGUGUCUAACCAAAGAUAUAAAACAAAGGCGCUUUUUGGGAGGAAACCCAAAUGAUUUAUUUAUUUUGAAUUUUGUUAUAUCUUUUGUUUUUAAUUUUGAUUCAGAUUGUUUAAAUAAUGUUUUUGCUUAUUUUGGCCAGAAGAAAUUUUUUGGUUAGGCGUGCCCACGUUUUAACUAAUAAGAACUUCUAUGAUUUUAAAGUACAAUGGUUUUAAGGCUUGCCCAUAUGCUUAUUAAAAAAGUACUUCUGUAAAUUUUUUUGGUGUCUCAAGUGUCUCUUUUAGUUUUUAGUUUCAAUAAAAAAAAUAUUUGAAAAUAAAAAGGUUUUUUAAAAAAUUUUAUUUGAUAAAAAAAAUUGAAAUUUUUUUUUCAGGUUUUAAUCCCUAGCGCGCAGCUCUAGCCCGCGUCUCCAGUGCAAGCAGCCGCGUCUGCACCAGCCCAGCAUCCUGCGCGCAGUACCAGCCUUGAAACCAGCACCAGCGUCUCCAGCGCGCGUUUGCACCAGCCCUGCAAGCAGUCCAAGCCCAGCAACCCGCACAGCCUCACUCUCCUCUGUUCAAAGGACCGCCGCUUUUCGCAUUCAAACAAAACCCGUGAGUGAAAUUACUGUAACAAUGCCAAAGAGGAAAGCAUCAACUUCCAAGUUAUCAACGUCUAAAAAAAACUCGUUGCAAAGAAAUCCAAGAUUGCCGCUCCCACUACGGUCCCAUGGAACACAGUUUCAGAUUCACGCCAAGCCGUGAGACAAAGAUCGAAAUAUGGAAAAGGCAUGAGUGUUUUGCCACUUGCUGAAUCUAAUCUCAGAGGGUGCCUCACAUUCACGACUCAACAAGAGAAAGAAAUGUACAAAGAUAUUUCCAAGUGAAAAAUACUUCCAGCUAAGUAUAUUCAUUACCCGACUCUUGAAAAAUUGAAUGUUAAGGAUAAUUUUAAUUCUUUGAUAGAUAAGAUUGGUUUGCGUAAGUUUGUUGAUGUUGAUUGUUUGGGUUAUGUUGAGUUGAUUAGGGAGUUCUAUGCUACUUUUCAAUUUAAUAUACCGAAUGAUUUUACUUUGCAUACUCUGAAUGUUAUAAAGUUUAGGUUAAUGCGACGAAAUUUUUCACAAUCUAUUACAGAUUUUAACCUAGCUUUAGGAUUCAUUGAUGAUGAUUAUUCUUCUAGUGAUGCAUAUUUAGGGACAAAUUGUGACUUUAGCAAAAAUUUUGAGCCUUAUGGUCUUUGGCGUAAUUUAUUUUUUGAUCACAAUGCCUACGACCCGAGUAAAUCAAAGAGCUCUUUUUUACGUGAUCCUGUUUUGAAAUGUGUGCAUCGGUUCUUAGCAUUAGGAAAUAAAGAUCACUCGAGAGUUUUCUCUAAAAUUGAGUUUUAUUUUAUUUGGUGCAUGUUAAAUGAUGUGAGGCCUAAUCUAGGUUUUUAGUUAGCAGAUCAAUUUUAGAGUGUGCUUAAACGGUAUAGGACUUUAUUUCUUGGUCCAUACAUUACUCUGUUAGCUAUAAACUUAUGUGUACUUGAUCUUGACAAUAAUGAUUUACAUCUUGCUUGCAAAAAGGAAUUUUUGGAUAUGUCUUUGUUUGAAAGAGCAGGUUUGGUCUAAUUCGAGGGGAGAUUUCAGUUUACUGAACCAGGACCCACUCAAAUUCCAAAGAAGCUUUAUGCUAGGAGUCGUGCUACCUCUGAUGACGUGUUUGGCGACGAAAUUGCUGCCCCACCAACUAUUCCUGCUACAUCUGCACCACCUUUGAGCAUUUAGUUAGAGAAAAUGGAGCACAUGCUAAACAAGAUGAAGCAGAAUUUGGCCGCAUACUUCGAGAGUGUGGGAUUUAUCCCACCAUUUCCGUCAAGCCCAUAAACGUUAUGUGGAUCAAAGCUCACAAUUCAGAGAAGUUUUGCCUUUAAUCUUUUAUCCUUAUGCUUUAUUUCUUUAUGUGAGCUUUGAUUAUCAUACAUUGAGGACAAUGUAAGUUCUUGGUGUGGGGGAGGGAUUUUUGCAAUAUUGAUAUCUGGAAGUAUUAUUUUCACUCUGCUCAUCUUUAAAUGAUUUUGGAGUUAGUAUGCUUCAUAUAUUAUUCUUAAUUUUUUUCUUUUCUUUUCUUUCUCAAUACUCUUUUCCCAUCUAUCUCAAAUUAUUUACAUCUAUUUUUAUUUUAUCAUACUCUUUCAUCACUCACAUUUUAUAUUUCACUUUUUAUAUUACUACAUACAUCUUUCUCGCUUCUUAUCCUCUUGACCUUUCCUUUUAUAUAUCACUCAUACCUUCUUCUCAUUCUACACCACUAUUGAUGGUUGUUUCAUUUGAAGAGUGUACAUGAUUUGAUGGCAAAUUUACCAACUUUGUGAGGAUUUGAGCCUAUGAGCAACCAUUUUGCUCUAAUUAUUUUUGUUAUGUGAAUAUCAAUCUUAGUUUGUUUAUUCUAGAACUUGCUUUGUUAUGCAUGUUGAAGCCAUAUUACGGGAUUUUAUGCAUUAAAAUGAUAAGGGCAAACCACUUUCCAUUUCUCUAUUUUCGAAUUUUUCUUCUUUUUCUCCAUCCGAAGACCUUUAUUUGUUAUCUUUGUUUGAGCCUUAACCAUUCUCUUCACUUGUUUUAUUAUUAUUACUUUUGACCAUCUAAUUCUCUCCAUCUACUUACCCAUUUUCCUUUUUUUUGAGCUCCAAUUUAAGGAGAUUUUUGGACUCAUUGUUUGGAUAUAUUUUGUAUAUAUUCUGUUGCUUUUGCUACAUUGAAUUAAAGUUUCUCAAUUAGAUCAACAAGCAUUAUGCUUGAAUUAAAUUGUGCAAGGUUCAUUUCUUUUGUUUGGUUCACCAUUACUGUGAAAAAAGAAAAAAAAGAAAAAAAACAUUAAAAAAAAGUGUUUAUAUUCUUGGCGAUUUGAGUAGAAAUAAGUGUUUUGAUAUUAUAAGGUUCAUUCAAUGAGUUCAUUCUUCUCGGUUUGAUCUCUUUUUCUUUCAUAGACCUUUCUUUUUUAUUUAACCCAUUUAACCUUGUUACAACCUUUUUAAGACCCUUAGAUUUUUUCAUUUAAUUCAUGUUUUGUGGAUUGAGAUGUGAUAUAUGAGCAAUCUUAUGGUAAUAGCAUUCUUUGAUUUGAUUUGAGUGCAUAAAUGAUACCCUAAACACUUUGAGUGCAUGAAGUGAAGUCAAUGAGAGGGCUAUUAAAUCUUGUUGCACUUGAAUUUUGAAUGGAUCUUCUUGGUGGAUUGAAUGCUUUUAUACUAGCUUAUGAGAUCCUAUACUUUAAAAUCCUUGUCUCUCGAAUGUUGAUUGACUUAAAUUCUUGAGGUAUGCUUGCUUAAAUUUGUUUUUGGAUGAGUUGAGAUGAGAAUUGAGUGGAGAUUUGGGAUUAGUCUUGAGUUAUAUGCUUGAGGACAAGUAUUAUCUUGGUGUGGGGGAAUUUGUUAGAGUGCAAUUUAUGCACUAGUUUUGUAUUGUUUACUUCCUUUAAUAUCGAUGUUUUGCACUUAAUAAUAGUGAUUUACUUGUAUUUUAUUUUUGUAGGUGCAAUUCUAUUGAUUGAUGCUAAAAUUGAGCUACAAGAUGAUGUUUGAGGAUGAUUGUUUUCCUGGAGAAAUUAUGAGCUUCAGAAGAACUUUGUUGAUAAGGCGUGGGCAUGUGCAGUCAACUAAGGACCUGCGGUUUUUAUUUUAACGAGUUUUAUCUUUUUGGUUAUUUUUGUAAUUUUGAAUUUAAUAUUUAGAUAAUAUUUUAGAUAUUAGUAUUUUAUUUUGGGAGAAAUGCUAGAAGAGGGGGGAGAGAGAUUUUUGGAAAAAGAAGAAAAAGAAACCCUAAAUCUAAUUUGUCUCUUUUCUCUAUGAAGAACUAAACUUAUUAUUCUGGUUGAAGGUUAAUAAAGCUUUGAUUCAUCAUUACUGUGAGAACUUUUUUAUGCUUUAAUUGUUUUAUAGCUUUUUGGGUAUUUAUUUAUUCUCUAAAUUAUUGUCAUGAUUAUGUUUGUUAAUUAGAUAAUUGGCCACUACUUAAUUAUCAACAUAAUCUAUUGUCAAUUAAAAGAUUCAUCGUAUGAAGAUUUUAAUGUUUGUGACAAAUAGCAUAGCAGUGCGUUGUGUUAUGAGAAUAAACAAUCUAAUUGAAAUGAACCAUCGUAUGCAUUUGUUAAUUAGGAUUUGGAUCUCUCUGGUUUUUCAGGCUGUCAAUUGAUUAAACCCUAUGAUCGUAUCUAGGGUUGUCUAUUGAUUAGGGAAAUAACCAAUGGUCGUACCUUGGUUAUCGACUAGUUAAGGAGAGAUUGGCUAUUAGAGGGUCUCAGUAGCUAUAACCGGUCUAUUCAUAAGUAUUAGUGAUUCAUAUUUGAAUCAAUGAUCAGUAGUCGAAUCAAACUGAGUUAAUUCCUUCGACCAGAGCUUUUCACAAUUUGAAUUACAAUUUUAAUUUGCAUUCUUGUUAUUUUAAUUUGAUUUUUAUUAUUGUCAACAAUCCCCCCCCCAUUUUGCAUUUUACAUUUUAAAAUGAUUUAAAUAAUUACUGAUCUCUGUGGACACGACCCUGCUUAAUCACUAUACACAAUUUAUUUAGAGUAGGUAUUUAUUUUUGCUGGCUUCGACAACCAUCACCUAAGAUUUUGUAGCCAAGUUUUAUCUUUAUCCUUUAGUAAGAAAAGAAAAAACUUAAGCCUGAUUAUAUUCAUGCUACAAUUUUGAUCAGUACAUGUGUUACAGACUUCCUCAAAUUCCCUUAAAUGCAAAUAUGGAUUUUCAGACACAAAACCAUGAAAAAUAGGAAGAAGUUGAAUGAUACCAGGUUUGAAAUUAAAACGUGAUGCAUCAGGAGGGAAAACUAUGCAUGAUGGUGAUCUUGUUCUAGUGGGAUGCAUGAAGUCUUUAAGGGUCCUAGGCUGUUCAUGAAGAUUUUGCAAGACUUGGUCAUUUUCGUACUCCGAAAAUUUUUUAGCUCCUAUGUCAGCCAUAUCUAAGGGUGGUGAAGGUGAUCUCCUAAUUAAUCUGCCACUAUUUGUACGAGACCAACAAUGCAUGCAAUGCUAAUGAUGUGUGCUAAACCAAUGAUGCAUAAAAUGCUAAAUGAAAAUUGUAGAAAAUAAAAAUAAACUGGAAAUUAAAUAAGUAAAAAUGCGAAAUAAAAAUAAACAAAUUGAAAAUAAAUUAGGUGGUGAAACCAGCCAUAAACAAAGAAAUUACAAAAAUAAAUAAAUUUGGCAGUGAAACCAACCAUAAACAAAGAAAUUAAAAAAAACAGUUUAGGCGGUAUUUUAAAACCAGCCAUAUAAUAAAACAUAAAAUUAAAUUAAUUAAUGUACAAGAAUAAAUAAACUGAAAUUAAAAUGAUAGGCCGUAAAACCAACCAUAUCAAUAAAUUAACAAAUUGAAAUUAAAAUUCUAGGCGGUAGAACCGAACAUUUAAAAUAAAUGCGGAAAGUAAAUUGUAGAAAUUUGGGAACUGAUUUGCAAAGGUUUUUGGGCUAAAAUGAAGUUUCUCACAAAUUUUAUAGAUAAUGUUAAAGUUUGAAAAGAGGAGGGGCACUGACUGAAGUUUUACAAAAAGAGAAUAAAAUAGAAUCACAGAAAGAUAGUAACGACAAAAAAAUAUUAAAAUAAACUAAAGUAAAGAUAAACUGACACCAAAUUUAGAAAACUCCGCGGUAACGGCGCAAAAAACCUGACACGACUUAAAAGUGUAUUACUCCCAAGUAUGAAAAUGUCUAGUUAUAAUAUAACUCGGUGAGUUUGGGGUCGAACCACAGGAAAUUUUAAAAUCUAGUUGUCAAUUUGUUAAACAAAGAAAAUAAUUGUGGGGAAAAUAAAUUAUUUGAAAACAAUUUAAAAAUAUGCCAAGGUUAUGAGAUCCACUCUCAGUAUUCAAACUAUAAUUUUAAUACUUUCUCAUUUAUAUUUUGCCUCACUUUUACUAGUUAAUUAUUAUAUCAUUUAAUUUUAUGUGUGUGGAUAAAUAUUGAAUAAAGUACCUAAUGUGCCACACUAUAUUAAUGUGUCGACAUUAUGUCAAAAUACCAUACAAAUCCAAAGAAAUUUAUAAAUUAACAUGACAUAAAAAUAACUAGAAAAGAAUAAAAUAAACUUAAAAACUCAUUUGAGAAAAUAAUAAAUUUAAUAGUUUGAAAUAUUGAGUUUCACCCUUCACUUCAACUUAAUAAAAUUAGUCACUCAUAUUGAAAGAAAACACAAUACUCUUUUUAUUUCUUGUACUUUUGAAAUAUGUUACAAAGAAAAUUGAUACAGACGAAAACAAGAAAAGAAAAGAAAAGAAAAGAAAAGAAAAGAAAAGAAACAAAGAAACAAAGAAAUUCUUCAACUACACCCUUAGCUAUCACUCUCUCUCAGAACUCGGCUCCGUCCCCCAAUGGCUUGUAUCUCCUUGCAUUUUAUAGGCAAGGGAAGCAUCUUCUUUUCUUUUAUUUCAUUAAUAUUAAUAUUUUAUUUUAUUUUUAUAUUAUAAAUAUGUUAAUUGAAAUGUGUGAUGGCCUCCUGACCAUCACCAACAUGCUUGCCAAUCCUUUUUUUUAUUUGUUUUAUUUUUAAUAACAUCUCCUCGAUUGAUGAAUUCUAAAUUGCUCCAGCUGUCUUUCUUUAUUCUCGCUUUUAACUCCAAUUCCAUCUUUAUUCCUGAAAAAUAUUUAUAAGGUAAAAAUUAACAUAUUGCAAAUUAAUUUAACAAAAAAAUAUAUUUGGGGAAUAUUAAAAUAAUUUAAAAAUAAUGAGCGCAUUAAUUGACACAAUAAGUGAAAUACUAAUAAUUUUAUCCUUAUUAAAUGUGCACUUUUUAGUGUCAAUCACACCCCCCAACCAGCCCCAACCUGCUUAUUGCUAGGUAUUAGCAAUUUAAGCGAUAAAAGUUUAGUAAAAUUCAAACUCAAAUUGAAUUUUUUUUAAAAAAAUUGUAUUUACUUCUUUCAUCAGAUUAAUGACAACAAUCAAAUAAAAGUAUACUCAUUAUCUUUAACCUAAAGAAAAUCACACCUGCACAAAAAAGUUAAGUAAAAUCACGUAAAAUAAUCAAUUAUCAGAGCUAUAUUAAUCAAGUCACUUUUAAGAAUGAUACAUCAAAUCUCAAAACCUCACAAAUAAGAGUGACUCUCUCAAAAAAAAAUAUUCCCAAAAUUAAAUUGUCACUCUAAACAUGGUAGAUUUGAGAGAAUAAUAAAAUAAUAUCACACGCUCUCACUAAGAUGAAAAAAUAAUGUCUACAGCUUAAAAAUAAAAUGAUCUCAAGUCCAAGGAAUUACUAGCAAAAUUUAUUUUUAUUUUUAUGCAUCACCACAUCUUUUAGUCCAUAUUACCAGCUUUUACUUCAGACUAUAGUUCCGAAAAAUCGAGAAGGACUUUUAUUAGGACGUAACGUAGGCUAAGAUUAUCGCUAACAAAAAAGGUAAUAGGGAAAACAAAAAUAUAUGUUUAAAAAAUAAGGGACUUUUUGGAGAUUACAAGAUUCUUUUUUUUUCUUGGAUUUGUUUUCUCUUUUUUUGUUUUUUUUUUCAUUUUUAUUUUUAUAUACAUAUCCUCUCUUUUUUUUCAUAACACCAUUAUUAGAAAUACAUAAUCAUCCCUAUUUUCAAACAUAAUUGGGUGGUGGAAAACAUAAUAUAUAAGGUGAUACUCCACAUUGGAGUGGGAUAAUAUAAUAGGUUAUCAAAGGAAAAGUUUUUUUUUUUCAAAAGCUCAAAGGGGUUAACUAUGGACUCUUUAUAAUAGAGUUUGAUACAAAAGGCUUAAACAAAUCAAAGAUAGCCUUCUGUCAUUUUUUAGAGCUCUAAAUAAUCUUUCAUAUCUACUAGUUCAAUGGACUUUUAGAUGCAGCUGCACAAACUUUCUUUUUUUCACUCUUUUUUUUAAUAAAAAAUAUUGAGAUCUUGUACAAUAAAUUGUGAAGCUGUAUAGGCAAACAUGGUUACUCUCCAAGGAUAAUAGGCUCAAAAACUCGCUUGAACUUUUCAUAACAUGUACAUUCAUCCAAAUAGCUUAAUCAAAUUUACUCAUCAAAUUUCUCAAUUUAUGUUUCAACAUGCAACGGGGAAAACAUAGUGUAACAUAACUCCAGGCCAACGAUAAUACAAAUACCAAAAUUUGAAAAUCAUCAUGUUAUCCAAUGUUAAAAGAUCAUAUUGAAAAAGAAAACUCUUUUUUUUUUGUUAAAGAAACACUAAAAACAAUCUGGACUGAUUACAGAAACUUAAGGGAGAUGAUUAAGAGAAAAAGAGAAAAAGACAAAAAACAAAAAGUUAGAAAACAAUUUUUUUUUUAAGAACAAAACACUAAAAUUAAGAAGAUGCGUUUCUAGAGAUACUACAUUCUAUAUUUUGAUAUCUUCGACUCAAAUUUUUAUCUAAAGUUAGUCUUUACAACACAAAUUAGUAAAAACAUCACCAGGACUGAGACAUUCCACAAUUGUCGACUAUUCCCUCCCCCCAACCUGAAGGAGACAUUGUCCUCAAUGUCUAAAGAAAGAAGUAGAGUUUAGAAGAUAUCACCCGGCCACUGCUGAAAAUAUUUACAAACAGAGAGUUAAAUCUAAUUUAUAAUUUUUACGAGAGUUACUGCCAUCGUCAUCAGUUGCCCAAUCUAACGCCAAAGUCAUGGGAUCUGGCUCUAAUUUGUAAGCUUGCAAAAGAUCAAGUAACUCAUUAGCAGUAGGAGCACAAAUGAAGAGUUUUUUCGCUGAGGGUGGAAUGAAAUAAUUUUUAAUUGCAUGAUUAAGAAAUGUUAUUAAGCCAUCAUAAAAGUUAUUAACAUUUAACAAACCGAUGAGUUCAAGAAGCAAAUGUAAUUAGCGCCUCUAAAGUUGCAAGAUCUCCUGGCAAGAAAAUGAAAGCAUCAACAUGAUUUAACAUUUCAAAUAUUCUUUCUUGCAUACCUGAGACAACUAACUCUUCUCCAGUUGGUGGGUCUGGUAGACAUCCUAAAGGUUUUAAGGUUUUUGGAAUGAUUCCUAGCACUUGGCUUCCUCGAACGAAAGCAGCUUCAGAGACAAGCUUUGAUAACCCUCGGUCAUCUCCUCCAUAUAUAAGAUGUAGUUUCUUCUCUACUAUAACACGACCAAGAUCUAUCGCUGCCUGAACGAACUCCUUAUACUUUCCAUAGCGAAAUCCAGAAAGCACACAAAUGUUCUUUAAUUGUUUGCUUGAAGUUGUUGCCAUUAGAAAAAUUAUAAAAAGAAACAAUUUGUGAGUGCUUGAAAAGGAGGUCCUAUUUAAAGAUCUUGGUGACGGACAUAAUGAUAUACAUUUGUAAAUGGGGUGGUGUGUUUAUCAAAUGACGCGUGAAGCUUUUAGCUUAAUAAUUCAAAGGCAUAUAGUAAAAAGAAAAAGCAAACAGUGAUUAGAUAUAAAAAAGACACACAAUAAUAAUAAUAAUGCAAAAUAUAAAAGAACAAUAAAAUAAAAGGAUAUUUACUAGUAGUUGUGAUUGUGGCUUACAUCUUCCUCUGGUUUUACAUCCAGUAACGGCUUGAACGCCCUCUGUGGGUCGAGGAUAGGCUUCCCAUCCAGUUUUCUUAUAAACUGGCAAAUAGGGUCUUUUAGGAACAACUUCCACAAAUUUUGAAUUUCACAUUGAACAUAUCCGCUCGGAUGUGUCUCAAGAGAUCGUAAGAUAUCAUCCAACGAUUCUUUACUUAUGCCAUCCUUAACGAAUUUGAUUUUAUCUUCAUGAUUUACAGAAACCAUUCCUAAAGUUUUACAACAUGGUUUUCUACAAGCAAGUCUUACAUAGUUAGGACAUUUAGAGCCAAGUCUCUUAGCUCUUCUUUUCUUAGCAAAUGUACUUUUACCAAAACCAGGCAUGUAGGAAAUGAAUGGAUCAGAAAACUCACAUGCCAGUCGGACCUUUGCUUCAAUUAACCGGCGAAUGUCAGCAAGAAUCCCAUUGAUCAUUAACAAACGCAGUCGUUCACAACGAGUUUUGUAAAUCUUCUUAAGAGCAUUUUGAGGGAGAGAAGGAAAAUGUUGAUGCAAUUUUCGUUGUAUUUCUUCCAUGCUUGACAUUGAGGUUUCAGUUAUUGUGGAAAACUGAGAAUACCAACUUAAAAUGUCACAAAGUACUGUUAUCCGCCAUUUAUAUUGGAGAGUGAAUCAAAACAAAACGAAUCAAAUCUGCAAAAUCAAAUCAAAAGUGAAGAACAACAACAAAAUAAAACAAAAACCCACAAGGAAUAUUACUCACCUUCGUCCUUUUAUUGAAUUUACCUCCAGUUCCAAUUGCAGAUUAUAAAUACCAUCAUCUAUUUUCUUGAGUUGUCUUUCUAGAUCUUUCACGUGGUAUACCAACUCUGGUUGUUGUAGAUCCCAAAUGGGAUGUGAUUUACAAAAUCUGAGCAAUUUCCUCAAGUGAAAUUUUACAUGUAAAAGUUCUUUAAAAUGUUCGAAAAUGAUACUUCUCAUGGAGGUACUCAUGAUAAGUAUAACAAUUUGGUGAGCUAAAGCACAAUUGUCAAACAACACACAAUUAAAAACAAUGCAAUGCACUCCAUUCAAGACAUAAGGAAAAGGAAAAAAUCAACAAUUCAAACGAUAAAGUAACAGUAAAUCAAAUUCACAAAAAGUUGAAAUGAAAAAAGCUUAAUUAAAAUUUGGUGGGUCACUCAAAUUGAUUUCGGUAUCUGCUUCACGCGGUUGGUAUUCCAGAUAUGGUUUCAAUCUUUGACCAUUAACUUUAAAUAAGGCACCAUAAUUUGGAUUCUCAAUUUCUACGGCUCCAUAUGGAUAUACAUUUUUUACAACAAAUGGACCAUUCUACUUUGACUUUAAUUUUCCUGAAAAUAAAUGAAGACGAGAAUUAUAAAGCAACACUUUUUGACCAAUGUUUUCCGAAAAAUUCUUUUGCCAUGAAAAAAUUUGGUUCUUGCCUUAAUAAUUCUGGAAUUCUCAUAUGCAUUAUUCUUUAAUUCCUCAAGUUCAUUUAAUUGCAAUUUACGCACAUUACCAGCAUCAUCAAGAUUUGAAUUAAAAGCUUUAAUGGCCCAAAAUGAUUUAUGUUCAAGUUCAACUGGUAAGUGGCAAGAUUUUCCAUAAACAAGCCGAUAAGGUGACAUUCCUAAAGAUGUUUUAAAAACAGUACGAUAUGCCCAAAGUGUAUCAGUUAGUCGAAGAGACCAAUAUUUACGGUUUGGAUUAACUAUCUUUUCUAAAAUUUAUUUUAUCUCCCUAUUUGCUAAUUUAAGUUGACCACUUGUUUGAGGGUGAUAAGGGGUAGCAACUUUAUGUGUAAUUCUAUAUUUCUUCAUUAAGGACUAAAGUAGCUUAUUACAAAAAUGCUUACCCUAUCACUGAUAAUGACUCGAGGUAUUCCAAAUCUGCUCAAAAUAUUUUCUUUUAAAAAGCGAAUCACAAUCUUGUGAUCAUUGUGCCGACAAGGAAUUGCCUCGAUCCAUUUUGAAACAUAAUCAACAGCAACCAAAAUGUAUACAAAUCCAAAUGAUGAUGGAAAAGGGCCCAUAAAAUCAAUUCCCCAACAAUCAAAUAUUUCAAUGACAAGGAUGGGGUUUAAAGGCAUCAUGUUUCGCUUUGAAAUAGACCAUACCAUUUGACAAUUCUUACACACUUUACAGAAUGCAUGUGAAUCUUUAAAUAAUGUAGGCCAAUAAAAUCUACACUGUAAUAUUUUUACAGCUGUCUUUUUUCAAGAAAAAUGGCCACCGCAUGCUUCAGAAUGACAAAAUUGAAAGACCCUACUUACCUCGUCGUCUGGUAUGCAUCUUCAAAAAAUUUGAUCAGAGUAGUACUUAAACAGGUAUGGAUCAUCCCAGUAAAAGCUUCUCACUUUUGUUAAGAAUUUCUUCUUGUCCUGGGAACUCCAGUCACAUGGAAUUUCACCUGUUGAAAGAUAAUUAACAAUAUUAGCAUACUAAGGCAUUUUGUUUAUAGAAAAUAAAAAUUCAUCAAGGAAAGAAUCAUUGAUGGGUGUUGUUUCAAUUGAAGACUCAUUCGUAAGUAUUGAAAGAUGAUCUGUAACAACAUUUUCAACGCCUUUUUUGUCCUUGAUUGUCAAGUUAAAUUCUUGAAGUAGCAAAAUCUAUCGUAUCAACCUUGGUUUGACAUCCUGUUUUGACAUUAAAUAUCUCACAACAACAUGAUCAGAAUAAACAAUAGUGGAUGAACUAAUUAAAUACGAACGAAAUUUAUUCAAUGCAAAUAUUACAGCAAGUAGUUUUUUAUCAGUUGUAGUGUAAUUCAUUUGAUCACUAUUCAAAUACGAACGAAAUUUAUUCAAUGCAAAUAUUACAGCAAGUAGUUUUUUCUCAAUUGUAGUGUAAUUCAUUUUAUCACUAUUGAAAGUUCUACUUGCGUAAUAGAUGACAAAGGGCUUACCUUCCUUUUUUUUUUACCCCGAACAAUGCAAACGGUAUAACCACUAGCAUCACACAUUAGCUCAAAAGGUAAAGACCAAUCAGGGGGUUGCAUUAUUAGGGCUGAUGUCAAAAGAGUAGUUAUUCAUUUGAUCACUAUUCAAAUACGAACGAAAUUUAUUCAAUGCAAAUAUUACAGCAAGUAGUUUAAUUAAAUACGAACGAAAUUUAUUCAAUGCAAAUAUUACAGCAAGUAGUUUUUUCUCAAUUGUAGUGUAAUUCAUUUGAUCACUAUUGAAAGUUCUACUUGCGUAAUAGAUGACAAAUGGCUUACCUUCCUUUUUUUUUUACCCUGAACAAUGCAAACGGUAUAACCACUAGCAUCACACAUUAGCUCAAAAGGUAAAGACCAAUCAGGGGGUUGCAUUAUUAGGGCUGAUGUCAAAAGAGUAGUUAUUCAUUUGAUCACUAUUCAAAUACGAACGAAAUUUAUUCAAUGCAAAUAUUACAGCAAGUAGUUUUUUCUCAAUUAUAGUGUAAUUCAUUUGAUCACUAUUGAAAGUUCUACUUGCGUAAUAGAUGACAAAGGGCUUACCUUCUUUUUUUUUUUACCUCGAACAAUGCAAACGGUAUAAUCACUAGCAUCACACAUUAGCUCAAAAGGUAAAGACCAAUCAGGGGGUUGCAUUAUUAAAGCUGAUGUCAAAAGAGUAGUUAUUUUUUCAAAAACUUGUUGACAAUCUUUAGUCCAUUCAAAAGGUUUGUCUUUUAUUAUGAGGUUACAAAGUGGUCUAGAUAUGACACUAAAGUCUUUUAUAAACCUCCUAUAAAAUUCUGCGUGUCCUAAAAAUGAACGGACUUCUUUAAUUGUCUUUGGUGAGGGUAAUUUUGAAAUGACUUCAACUUUGUCUUUGUCAACUUCAAUUCCUUUUGAAGACACAACAUGGCCCAAGACAAUUCCAGAAGUGGUCAUGAAAUGACAUUUUUUCCAAUUUAAAAUUAGUCAUUUUUCUUUGUACCUUUCCAAAAUUUUUUCUAGAUUAUCAAGACAUGUAUCAAAAGAAUUACCAAAUACAGUUAAAUCAUCCAUAAAACCCUCUAGACAAUUUUCAACCAUAUUACUAAAAAUGCUUAGCAUGCACCUUUGAAAUGUUGCAGGAGCAUUACAAAGUCCAAAGGGCAUUCUCCUAAAUGCAAAUUUUCCAAAUGGGCAUGUGAAUGUGGUCUUUUCCUGGUCUUCUAAGUCUAUAGGGAUUUGAUAAUAGCCAGAGUAGCCAUCAAGAAAGCAAUAGUAAGGAUGUCCAACUACUCUUUCGAGAAUUUGGUCUAAAAAUGGAAUGGGAAAAUGAUAUUUUCUAGUGGCAUCAUUUAAUUUUCUAUAAUCAAUGCACAUGCGCCAACUAGAUGGAAUUUGUGUUGGGAUUGGUUCACCUUUUUCAUUUUUUACAACGGUUAUUCCAGAUUUCUUUGGCACUACUUGUGUUGGACUUACCCAUUUACUAUAAGAGAUAGGAUAGAUAAUUCCUACAUCUAGUAGUUUAAGGACCUCAUUCUUUACCACUUCUUCCAUAUGAGGGUUUAGUCUUCUUUGUGGUUGACGGGUUGUUUUGGCAUUUUCCUCUAAGUGUAUUCGGUGUGUACAAAUUAAAGGAUUAAUGUCUUUUAUGUCUUUUAAGGUCCAACCAAAUGCAGUUUUAUGCCUUUUGAGUACAAAUAACAACUUACUUUCUUGAUCAUGCAUGAGCUGGGAAGAAAUUACCACCAGAUUUGUCUUCUGCUCUCCAAGAUAAGCAUAUUUCAAUUCUUCUGGUAAGGGCUUUAAUUCGAGCUCUGGUGCUUCCUCUUCGUUUGAUUCUUCAGGUUGUACCGUAUCUUUAAAGUUCGAUUGGCCAUCGUCACCUGUAGGUACCUGCAUAGAAUCAAGUGUAGAACAUAUGUUAGCAGUAUUAUAAUUUAAUUCUUUACUUGAUCCAAAAGAACCAGCAAAAUAAAUUUCCAUAAAGUUUGUAAAAUUCUCAUCCUGAAUGUGUUCCUCAAUGAUUGGCUUGAUAAGAUCAAUCUUCUCAUUCUCAUUAUCAUCAUAUUCUUGGUGGUGGGGUUGUUUACACAUGUUGGACACAUUGAGUUCUAAUGUCAUGUUGCCGAAAGAUAAAUUCAUUACUUUAUAUUCCUGCAAUUAAUUAAAGUAUUAGUAGUAGUUAAAAAUGGUCGACCCAAUAUAAUAGGAAUUUGUUUGCAUUCAUUAGCAAUUGGUUCCGUUUCCAAAACAAUAAAAUCCAUAGGGUAUAUGAAUUUAUCGACUCGGACUAAUACAUCUUCAAUUAUUAUUCUUGGAACUUUAAUCGAUCUAUCAGCAAGUAAAAGAGUGGUAGAAGUUGGUUUUAACUCAUUGAGAUUGAGUUGUUGGUACAUUGAGUAAGGAAGCUAAUUAACACUAGCACCAAGAUCAAGUAGAGCAUGUCCAAUUUUAUGAUCCCCAAUAAUGCAAGAAAUAGUUGGACAACCAGGAUCCUUGUAUUUCAAAGCACUAUUGGUUGAGAGAAUGGAACUUUCCUGUACUACUAGAAACGCUUUCUUUUGCACUUUAUGUUUCCUUUUCACCGUGCACAAAUCUUUCAGAAAUUUAGCAUAAGAAGAUAUUUGUUUAAUGGUGUCCAGCAAAGGAAUGUUGACCUUCACUUGUUUAAAAACUUCAUAAAUUUCUAGACUGUGCUUUGAUUUCUUUGGCUUGAUUAGUGCUUGAGGAAAUAAGGGUAGAAGGGGAGAGUUGGUUAUUUCUUCAUGGGUUAAAGGUUCGAAAGACUCUUCCCUAUUUUUUGAAAUUAAAUCUUUACUAGUUUCAUGAGGGUCCACAAUGUGUUUUUCGACCACUUUACCACCACAAAGGGUUAUAACCGAUUUGACUUGAUUUAUAUUUUGGUUUCCUGAAUUUCCCAUUUGAGGAUGUUGUUGACUCUUGGGGUUUGGUUCAGGUUGAGCAGGAAACUUUCCUUUUUCAUGCAUGGUCAGAGCAAAUGUAAGUUUGGAGAUAGUUUCUGUCAAAUUGGUUAAGGUUUGCAUUGUUUGGUUAUUAAUCGACUCUUGUUUUUCAAUAAACAAAUGCAAUGUGUCUUUCAGAGUUUUUCUUGAUGGUGGGACAUAUGGUGAGUAACUCUGGGGGUUUUGGAAAUUUUGACAUUGAAGAACUGGUUGUGAAGGCUGUGCAUGAUUGUCAUUUCUCCAACUGAAAUUCGGGUGGUUUCUCUAACCAGAGUUGUAAGUUUGGGAGUAUGGAUUUGAAUUUGGCCUUUUGAAAUUGUCAACAACAUUUAGUUGUUCAUGCAAACUUUCUCUCAGAGCUGGCAAAGUUGGACAGUCCUGCAUAGAAUGGUCAGUAGAAUCGCAAACAUAACAUGAAAUAUUUUGAACAGACUUUACAUGAUCAUUCUUUUUCAACUCUAAUGCUUCGACUUUUCUAGCUAAUGAUGCAAAUUUGGCUUGAAAAUCAUGGUCUUCCCUAAGGUUGUGCAUGCCUCCACCAGAUGGAGAUGACUGAGGUUUACUUGAUGACUCAUAAGAACCAACUGUAUCCCAGUGUUGUGCAUUCUCUGCUAUAUAGUCAAGAUAGUCUAAUGCAUCUUCAGGACUGUUAUCCCUAAACUCACCAUUAAACAUCAUUUCAAUGACUUGUCUACCUUGGGAUGUUAAUUCCUCGUAGAAAUAAGACACUAAUCUCUAUGUUUCAAAACCGUGGUGUGGGCAAAUGUUAAGUAGUUCUUUAAACCUAUCCCAACAUUGGUAGAGGGUUUCUCCUAAUUUUUGAGUGAAUGUGGUGAUUUGUCUUUUGAAAGAAUUUGUUAUGUGGGGUGGGAAGAAUUUUUUCAAAAAUUGUACUUGCAUUUCAUCCCAAGUUUUGAUGGAUCCUGACCUAAGAAUUUUUAGCCAAGUUUUAGCUUUAUCCUUAAGUAAGAAAGGAAAAAACUUAAGCCUGAUUAUAUUCAUGCUACAAUUUUGAUCAGUACAUGUGUUACAGACUUCCUCAAAUUCCCUUAAAUGCAAAUAUGGAUUUUCAAACUCAAAACCAUGAAAAGUAGGAAGAAGUUGAAUGAUACAAGGUUUGAAAUUAAAACGUGAUGCAUCAGGAGGGAAAACUAUGCAUGAUGGUGAUCUUGUUCUAGUGGGAUGCAUGAAGUCUCUAAGGGUCCUAAGCUGUUCAUGAAGAUUUUGCAAGGCUUGGUCAUUUUCGUGCUCCGAAAAAUUUUCAGCUCCUAUAUCUAAGGGUGGUGAAGGUGAUCUACUAAUUAAUCUGCCACUAUUUGUACGAGACCAACAACACAUGCAAUGCUAAUGAUGUGUGCUAAACCAAUGAUACAUAAAACGCUAAAUGAAAAUUGUAGAACAUAAAAAUAAACUGGAAAUUAAAUAAGCAAAAAUAUGAAAUAAAAAUAAACAAACUGAAAAUAAAUAAAAUAAAUAAAUUAGGCAGUGAAACCAGCCAUAAACAAAUAAAUUAAAAGAAACAAUUUAGGUGGUAUUUUAAAACCAGCCAUAUAAUAAAACAUAAAAUUAAAUAAAUUAAUGUACAAAAAUAAAUAAACUGAAAUUAAAAUGAUAGGCAGUAAAACCGACCAUAUAAAUAAAUUAACAAACUGAAAUUAAAAUUCUAGGCGGUAGAACCGACCAUUUAAAAUAAAUGCGGAAAGUAAAUUGCAGAAAUUUAAAGAAAUAAAUUCGAUUUGGGGACUGAUUUGCAAGGUUUCUGGGCUAAAAUGAAGUUUCUCACAAAUUUUAUAGAUAAUGUUAAAGUUUAAAAAGAGGAGGGGCACUAACUAAAGUUUUAUAAAAAGAAAAUAAAAUAGAAUCACGGAAAGAUAGUAACAACAAAAAAAAUAUUUAAAUAAAAUAUAGUAACGAUAAACUAACAUGGCUUAAAAGCGUAUUACUCCCAAGUAUAAGAAUGUCUAGUUAUAAAAUAACCUGGUGAGUUUAGGGUUGAACCACAGGAAAUUUUAAAAUCUAGUUGUUAAUUUUUUAAACAAAGAAAACAAUUGUGGCGAAAAUAAAUUAUUUGAAAACAAUUUAAAAAUAUGUUAAGGUUACGGGAUCUACUCUCAGUAUUCAAACUAUAAUUUUAAUACUCUCUCAUUUAUAUUUUGCCUCACUUUUACUAGUUAAUUAUUAUAUCAUUUAAUUUUAUGUGUGUGGAUAAAUAUGGAAUAAAGUACUUAAUGUGCCACACUAUAUUAAUGUGUCGACAUUAUGUCAAAAUACCAUACAAAUUCAAAGAAAUUCAUAAAUUAACAUGACAUAAAAAUUACUAGAAAAUAAUAAAAUAAACCUAAAAACUCAUUUGAGAAAAUAAUAAAUUUAAUAGUUUGAAACAUUGAGCUUCACCCUUCACUUCAACUUAAUAAAAUUAGCCACUCAUAUUGAAAGAAAACACAACACUCUUUUUAUUUGAUAUACUUUUGAAAUAUGUUACAAAGAAAAUUGAUACAAACGGAAACAAGAAAAGAAAAGAAAUAAAGAAAGAAAGAAAUUCUUCAGCUACACUCUUGGCUAUCACUCUCUCUCAGAACUCGGCUCCGUCCCCAAUGGCUUGCAUCCCCUUGUAUUUUAUAGGCAAGGGAAGCAUAUUCUUUUAUUUUAUUUUAUUAAUAUUAAUAUUAAUAUUUUAUUUUUAUAUUAUAUAUAUGUUAAUUGAAAUGGAGGCCCAUCACCAACAUGCUUGCCAAUCCUUUUUUUUUCUUUAUUUUUUUAUUUUUAAUAACAUCUCCUCGAUUGAUGAAUUCUAAAUUACUCCAGCUGUCCUUCUUUGUUUCCGCUUUUAACUCCAAUUCCAUCUUUAUUCCUGAAAAAUAUUUACAAGAUAAAAAUUAACAUAUUGCAAAUUAAUUUAAUAUAAAAUAUAUUUGGGGAGUAUUAAAAUAAUUUAAAAAUAAUGAGUGCAUUAAUCGACACAAUUAGUGAAAAACUAAUAAUUUUAUCCUUAUUAAAUGUACACUUUUUAGUGUCAAUCAUUUCACAUCCUAAUUGGCAAGACAAGUUUUUGGGGUGUAUGGGCGCCUCAGAAACAAAACCGUGUGGGUCUUGUUAAGGCCCAAACCUGACAAUAUCUUGUCAGAUCUGGGUUGGGACAGAACAGAUGGUAUCAGAGUGGGUCCGUGUGUCCUCUUGAAUGAUGGAGGCAAACGGCAAACCUCAGUGAGAACGUUGAGUUCCUAAGGGAGGUGUAUGUAACACCCUAGGCAAAUCCCACAUUGACCAAACAUAUGAGAGAUGUUGCGUUUAUAAGGGGUGAUCCACACCCUAAUUGGCAAGAUGCGUUUUGGGGUGUAUGGUUGCCCUAGAAACAAAACCACGUGGGCCUUAAAGUAGAAAUAUCUUGCCAGGUCUGGGCUAGAUCAUGUAACAACCCAAUUCUCUUAAGGGUAGUUUAGUAUUUUUAAUUUAUUAAUAUUUUUGUACCCUAGUAUAAAAAGAAUAAGAUGGCUUUCCUCUAUUAUUAAUAAGAGAGAGAGAGAGAGAGAGAGAGAGAGAGAUCAGCUAAAAAAAAAAGAACGAAAGAAGAAAAAGAGAAAAGUAAAGGAGAAGAAGAAAAAGAGAAAAGUAAAGGAGAAGAAGAAAGUCUUUUUCUUCAUAUAGCUAUGAGCAAUAAAUGAGAUCAAAGUAGUGUCUUUUGUAUUGGAUUUGUGCCGAGAGAGAAUUGGAGAUAAAGUUCAAUUUUUUAUCCUUGUUAAUUGCUAUAGAGAAGCAUGAUUAGAUAGUGGUAAGAGAAGUAGAACUUAAGAUUUUAUAGAAAAUAUGUUAAUGGUAUGUUAUUUUGAAAAUCAUAGUAAUUUGUACAAAUUGAUUUUGAUUCUGGAUUUUGGAUAUGUUAAACUAUAUAUCUUCGAGAAUGUUUUGGAACUUGUUUCAAGCUAAUCGGAUAAGAUUUCAAUUAAUUACGAUUUUUUAAACUCAAGUUUGAAAACCUUGAAAUUUCUAAUUUCAGCGAAGAACAUGAAUUACAAAAUUAUUUUACCAUAACUAGACUUCUUCAAAAAUUAUGAAACUUGGAUCAACGAUUUUUAUAUAUGUCUAGUGUGAUUUUGGAAAUUUUCAUGAUUUUAUGAUAAAACAAUAAAUUGUUUGAUAGAAUUGAUGAUGUUUGAAACAUAAAUUAGUUUCAAUAUUUUUUGAAAGAAUUAAGCUAUGAAAUUUUAAUCAAUGAAUUUCUAGUAUGUCAGCAUAUGCUCUUGAAAAUUUGGGAUUUCUCCAAUAAGGUAAUAAUUUAUUAAAAAUCGGAGAACAUGGGUUGUUCUAUUUUGAGAUCAAAUAUUGAGAGUGUUUGAGGUUGACUUUAGAAGAUGUUUAAAAUGAGAAAUUUGAGGAUGUUGGAAUUAUGAUUAGGACUUGAUUAUAUCUUAUGAGAGUUAUAUUAAUGAUUUUUAGUUCGAUGAUAUCAAUACGCAUUUGUUACAUGUGGAUGUCAAGAGGUAAGUAAACUAGACUUCUAAAUAGAUCACAAUAAACAAUAUGUAUAUAUUUGACAUGUUUGAAAAACCUAUUUUUGAUAUGUACGGAUAUGAUUAUAUACAUGGGCAUAUGUAUGUGUGAAAGUUCAUUAGCAUAAGCAUGAUGAAUAUGCAAAGCUUUUAUAAAAAGUAUGUUCAUUAAUUUUGCAUUCUAUAAGUCUAUGAUUUGCACAUGAACUUUGCUAUUAUAUUAAUGGUGCGUUUACUUUCUGGAUUAGGGAAUCAAAAUCCGAAAUUGAAAUCAUUGACAGCGUUUUCCCCACAAAUAGAGUCGAGAACCGAAAUCAGAAUUGUGGGGCCCACCACAAUGUAAAUGAGGAAUGGGAGACUCAUUCCCAAAGAAGAGGGUGGGAAUCAGUCUCCCAAUCCUGGGGCUAACCAUUUUGCCCUCCCCCAAGAUGAAAAAUGCCACUUUGUCCUCAUUUAUAAUUAAUCAAUAUAUUGUUAUAAUUUAUUU